AAUGGAGGUGGGGCAGAUUUUGCUCAGCUUCGUGUGUAAAUCCUGUGAAUUGAUAUUGAUAGUUUGGUAAAACGAAUUGCAUCAAAGUGGAGGUCAUUCAGGCAUUUUAAUGAUGCAUGCUUAAAUACAAAUUUUACGAAACUUCUGCCUCACGAGAUGUAUAACUACCACAAUUUCAUAUGGUUUGUUUCAUUAGUACCUGAACUUUCUAAAGAAACACGAAAGGUAAUCAAUUCAGCUGAUUGUUACAGUGGAAAAUCAUGACAUCCUUGAGUGCUAGACCAUUGUUUUCUCCAACUUUUUACUGUUUCUCGGGAACAUUGACCUUGUAAUAUUAUCUCUGUUAUGUGGAGUUGUUGAUGGCCCCUAAAAUUCCAAUGCUCCAGAUUCAUCUCGUACCUCAUUACAAUUUCAGAUGUGUUUUGAAAUUAGAAAACCAAUCCCUGAAUAGACUAGGGACAAUGUAGAUUUUCCAAUGCACAAUGGGGAAAAUGUGUUAAAUUGUGCACAAAUCCGUGUGAAGUUGAACUUAGCGUUACUUGUACAUUCAUUCAGAGCCUUUAAUACCAAAUCUGCCCAGUUUGUUUCUCUUGAUUAAAAUCACACGUAGAGUGGAGAUACCUAUCUGUAGCAAGAGCACGUAGUUGCAGAUUCGCAGUACUAGUUCCUCUUACUGAUUGAUUAUGAUGUUUUGAUUACGGUCAUGGGAUACGAUUGUAUGACAUUCUUUUGAUGGCCUACAAAGCGAACAUUUGGCCCCUCAAAUCUCAAGUCGAAAAUCCUCAUCACGCUACUAGCCGUGAGUGGCAUCCUCCUAUCGUUCAUUCGUAUCUACCCCACAUUUAGGUCAAAGUUGUCCACCAACCAACGACAAAAAUUCCCCUUCGAUUGAUAAAAAGUUCCCUUAACGAUUUGGCGAUCCAUUAGACAUGGGUAUACAAUUUCGUGUAUUGUUUGCUUUUUGAAGUCAUUUAAUUGGGCAGUUAACCUCCAUCAACUAUAUCUUACCGUGAAUGGACUGCCCACGUUUUAGGGAAUGGUCAAUAUACAUAAAUGGCAUUAAAGGUCUGUCUUCUCAUAUUCUGAUAAAAAUGCGAUAAAGAAAGAAGUUGUGAAUUUGAUGGGACCGACUGAAGUGAGAUUGACCUUCUUUUUGCUGACAUAAAUCAAAAGUCAAUUGGUUCUAAGUGAGAAUCGACUCCUAAAGUCUUGCAUCUAUCAGAUAUAUUCAAUGUAUAAAUUCAGCAUGGAAAAAGGUAUUAAAUAUAAUAUUCACCAUUUACAUGGGCCACUAAGAUCGAUAUCAAGCAAAGAGUACAGGCAUAUGUCAUAAGAGGUAGAAAUAAUUUCGUUGGUAUUUCCUUCUCUCCGCUCAACUGCAAGAAAUCUUAUCAAUUGGAUUUUAAAUGUUAGCCUUUAAAAGGAUUUGGACAAUUUUAUGGAUUCGAAAUAAAUUUUAAAAGAUAAAACUCUACAGAUGCGAAAAAAGGUACAUGCCUUUCUAGGUGGUGAAAACAUUGUUGGAAACACCAUAAAUUUUUUCAUAAUAAUGACAAAAACAUAAGACACGGUCUAAGAUAAACUACAGAACUAAAAUGUCACUAAAUAAUUGAUUGGCCGCCACUUGGUCAACCUAAUAUGUGUGGAGAGUCAAGGACAAAACAUCCAAGUAUGACAGACACUCGAAAAGUCAAAAUCAAGAAGUCAAUAUACAUGAAUAAUUCCACAAGGAUCACAAAUUAUGGUGUCCAAUUCGAAAGGGGCUUCUCGAUCAAUCUUCGAACCAAUCUUGUCAAUUGAAAGUCUAUUGUUCCGUCAUUAAUAUAUAGUGAGGAAUUAAUCCUAGUGGCGCUAGAAUUCCCAGUCUCACGCUCCUCUCUCUCUUUGCUUCUUUUUUCUUGGACUUCACGUUCCUCGUACGUGCUGACUCUGCCUUCAAACGGAUUUUCUUCUAAAUUUGGGCAGCCGCUAAUUUUUAGAAAGCACUCCUCGGGUAUUUUUGAAUUAAAUACAUUAAGGAAAAUUUUCAAGGAUCUACAAUCGGUAAAUUUCAAAUAUUUGAGAGUCUCUAAUUCAUCCUGACCCUUAACUGCUAGAAGUUCUUCGCAUCCUCGAAUCGACAAGGACUUCAGCCUUUUCAAAGCCAAGAGAUCAUCUAGACUUUCAAUCUUAGGACAAUAAUUUAUUGCCAAUUGUUCCAACGACUCCACUGAUGGUUUGUUUCAUUAGUACCUGAACCUUCUAAAGAAACACGAAAAUUAAUCAAUUCAGGUGAUUGUUACAGUGGAAAAUCAUGACAUCCUUGAGUGCUAGACCAUUGUUUUCUCCAACUUUUUACUGUUUCUCCGGCCUAUUAACCUUGUAAUAUUAUCUUUUUGUUAUAUGGAGUUGUCGAUGGCCCCUACAUUUCCAAUUCUCCGGAUUCAUCUUGUAACUGAUUACAGUUUGAGAUGUGUUUCGAAAUUUGAAAACCGAUCCUUCAAUAGACUAGGGACAGUAUGGAUUGUGUCCAAUGCACAAUGGGGAAAAUGCGUUGAAUUGUGCAUAAUGCUGUGUGAAGUUCGAAUUUAGCAUUAUUUGUAGAGUCAUUCAGAGCCUUUAAAACCAGAUCUGCCCAAUUUGUUUCUCUUGAUUUAAUCAACACGUAGAGAGGAGAUAUCAACUGGGCAAACCAAUCUGCUUAAGGAAUAUAAACAGAUUGCGGAUGGCUAACAACAUGGAAGGCCUCUUAAAAUUAUCUAUAGCAAGAGCUCGUAGUUGUAGGAUUGCAGUACAGUUCUUCUAAACGAUUAUUUAUGAUGUUGUGAUUAUGGUUACGGAACACGAUUUUAUGACAUUCUCCUAUCGUUUGUUCUUAUGUUGCACAAGUUUGGGUCGAAGUUGUUCACCAACCAACGACAUAAUUCCCCUUCAACUGUAAAGAAAAUGUCUCGUGUUGCUUUGGAGAUCCAUUAGACGUGGUUACCCAAUUUCUUGUAUUGCUUGCUUUUGGUAAUCAUCUAAUCGUGCAGUUAAUCUCAUCAACCACGUCUUGCCAUAAUGAACUUUCUACGUUUUAGGGAAUGAUGAACAUAUAAUUGAUAUUAUGAAGAAUGCACCAUUAUUAAAGGCACGUCUUACUGUAUUCUGACAAAAAUGCAACAAAGAAAGAAGUUAUGAAAUUAAUACGACUGAUAGAAGUGAUAUUGACCUAGUUUUUGCUGACAUAUUCCAAGUGCAAAUAUUUUUCUACAGAGAAAGUGAAGAUAUAAAUUAAAACUCAAUUGGUUCUAAAUGAGAAUCUACUCCUAAAUUUUUUAUCUAUUGAGAAUAUUCAAUUGUAAAUUCAACGUGAAAAAUAUGUUGAAUGUAAUAUUCACCAAUCUUACAUUAGCCACUAAGAUCAAAUUAAGAGGUACCAUAAUGUCGUUGAUAUUUCCUUCUCUUUUUUGAACUUUAAAAUAUCUCAUUCAUUGGAUAACUUUAGCCUUAAAAAAAAAAAUCUGGACAAUUAAAUGGAUUAAAAAAAUUCUUCCAAUGUGAAAAAAAGUACAUGCCUUUCCAGGCUUUGACGACAUUGUCAGAAACACUACAAAAAAUUUCAUAAUAACGACAAAAACACGACGACAAUUUAAGAUAAACUACAUAACAAAAAUGUCACUAAAUUCUUGAAAUCUUUGUUUUUCAAUAGUGAGGAACUAACCCAAGGCACUAAAAAAAUCCCAGUCUUACACUCCUCUCUUUCUUUUCCUUCUUUUGCCCCCGACUUUCUGUUCCUUGUAAGUGCUGAACAUGCCAAAAAACAAUCCUGCUUCUAAAUCUGGGCAGCCGCUAAUAUGUAGUAGGCACUUGUCUGGUACUUUCAAAUUGAAUAAGUUGGAGAUACUUUUCAAUGAUCUGCAACCGUGAAAAGACAAUAUUGUGAGAGUCUCUAGUUCAUCCAGGCCCUCAACUGCCUGAAGCUCUACACAACAUCGAAUUAUCAAGGACUUCAGCUUUUUCAAAUCUGAUAGAUCAUCUAGACCUCCGAUCUUAGGACACCGCGAUAUUUCCAAUUUCUCCAACGAAUCCAAUGAACCAAGACCUUGGAUGGCAGUAAGAUUUGGACACAUCUUCAACGUGAACAGCUUCAAACUCUUCAAACUUGAAAGACUAGAAAAUCUCUCAAGGAGGCUUGAGUGACUCACUUCAAAUUCAACCAACUGUUCAAGCCCAUCGAAUUGAACGUCCUUCCAAUGACAUUUACCAAUGUACAAACAUGUCAAUUUUCUCAAGUUACAACAAAAUGACAAACUAAUUGUGUGAUUUUGCAAUGACAAUGUUGAAACACAUGGUGGAAGGACCUCGAGGGACAGUUGGCAUUGACCAUCUUGGAAGAAGAAAGGACCACAGUUCUCUGCAUGACCAUCAUAGCUCAAAUCCUCCAAUUUAGUUAGGUUUGAGAGAUUCGGGAAUUGCCGCAAUGAAUGUGAUCCUAAGCUUAGGCUUAUCAAAUUUGUGGGAAGCUCCGGUAAUACUUUGAGUUCUCUACACCACCCUAAACUCAAUUUCUCUAGGCGAGAAAGUAGUUUGAUCUUCCGUGGAAUAUUUUCAAUAGGGGUGUAUUGCAAUUCCAACACUCUCAAAAGUGAUAAUUGCCAAAUGUCCUCAGGAAUUUCCCACUUUAGAUCCGAGCAACCGUUGGCAUGCAGCUCUUCCAACUCUUUUAGCGCAACAAUGCUCCGUGGUAGCUUUUUUAUUGGAGAACACGAAAUCCUAAUGAUUUUUAAUCUACUUAGGUCUCCAAUAGAUUUAGGUAACUGCAGACAUUUUGUGCUUGAAACAUCCAACUCAAGUAGAGAUUCCAAGUUACCAAUCGAGAACGGAAGUUCCCUUAUGUUAGUAUGUGAUAGAAAGAGAGACUUAAGUUCUCGUAAAUUCCCAAUAGAAUUGGGAAGUUCAUCGAUUUUUGUAGAUUGCAAUUUAAGAACAGACAAGCGAUAUUGGUUACCAAUGGAGUCGGGUAAUCUUGUGAUGGCUGUAUCCGAGAGAUCUAACUCUACUAGCGAUGUCACUCUCGCAAAUGAUUGGGGUAGCUUCCUCAACUUUUCGCAACUGCCUAAAUACAAGUACUCGAGCUUCUGUAACCCUCCGAUUCCUUUGGGCAGCUCCCUAAGAUUUUUGCACCCAUGCGCAUCGAAGUAAAUCAAGCACUUAAGCUUUUUGAGGGAACCAUCAACUUCAGUUAGUUUUUCACAAUACCCAAGGUUCAAUCUCUCUAAACUCAAAUAAUCGGAGAAGUUUGGAGUCCUGGUCAUGUUGCUACAAUGUGAGAUAUCCAAAACUUUAAGCUUUUUAGCAACCUGUUACAGUAGCAAAAUGAGAGUAAAGGGAAAAUUCCAUACGAAUUUAGAGUAAAUAAAUGGUUGUGCUAGAACCUAGAUGUAAUUGGGUUGACUCAUUUUCCUCAUUUAACUCACAUAGAUCCGUUUAGUACUAACACCUAGCUAACCUAAUCCACAUAUAUUCACCUAUAUAUCAAUUCAGUGCAAUUUAAUUUAAUGGCCUUGAUUAAAUCCAUUAAUGAGCGAUUUUAUUUACAGCAUGUUAUUGCCUAUAUAGUUAUGGGUUAGUCAAUUUUAGUUAAAAACAUAAAAAUUGCAUGAGACAAUUCAAUGGAGAUAAACAAAUAUAGCGACGAUGGUACCUUGAAUUGACUCCAUCCAGCCCAUUCCUCUGUGAUUGAACCAAACAUCAGUUGAAGAACUACAAGAUUGCUUGGAUGGAAAUUGAUGGCCAAGAACUCUCGAGAGACCCCUUCGCAGGUCAUGUAUCUUAACUCUGAAAACUGAUUCACAAAGUCUCCAUUGAAAUUCCCCCCCUUUAAUAUGAGGAACCUUAUGUUUGGAAGCCUUGAAAACUCUUUGCUCGUAUAAACUCGUGUUGGUUCACAUAAGCAAAUUGCUUCAAUGGCCUUCUUUCUCUGCCAUUCAAUGGUAAAGUAGCAUAAGUGCAAAUGACAAAUAUCUCCGUUCCCUCACCCCCCCCCCCUUCUUUUAAGAAAGGACUCCUAAUUAAUAAAUGAACUAUUGAGAAAAACAUAGAAUUCGAUGGUCGGACAUAUGCUUUUACCUCGUUUGUUCCUAUGAUAUUAUUGGCCGUCUCAGGAACCCAUAACCUGCUUUGCUUUCUUGGAUCAGUUAGUCUCGUAUCUCCACGAACGAUUUUCCUUCCGAGAUCUUUCAGUUGGUCGUGCAUCCAGAAUUUGUUGUGAUCAGUUAUCUUUAUUAAGGACAUACAAACAAGGACUUGAAUUGAAUAAUCCGACCUAAACCCACAAUCCUUCCACAUGUAGAGUGCAUUUGUCUUGUCCUUGUCCACAAAGAGACAUGCGAUGUCGAGAAAAAUCUGUUGUUGCUCAUGAUUCAAGGCAUUGUAGCUGAUCUUCAGCUUGUCCUGGACCUUCUCAGGAGGUAUUUCUCUCAAAUUGUCUAGCACAUCAUACCAUGAGGCUUUGUUUUGACGAUAAACCAAUGAGCCUAUGACUUCAAGAGCCAAAGGAAGUCCUCCGGUCGUAGAAAUUAUUUGUCUCGAAAGAUUGACAUAAUCAUCUGGAGGAGGAUUCCUUCCAAAAGCAUGUCGACUGAAAAGCUCUAGUGAUCGAACAUUAUCCAACGGCUUCACUUCAUACUCCAAAGUUUUGUUGGAUUUUAUGAUGCUUUUGUUCCUACUUGUCAUAAUAACUCUGCUUCCUAAGCCGAACAUAAUGUGGUUGAUGGCUAGUUUCUGGAGUUGCUCCUCAUCAUCCACAUCGUCAAGAACGAGCAAGACUUUCUUGUUAGAAAGUCGUUGCAAAAUCACUUUGAUCCCAUCGUCAACAUCGUUGAUUUGAUCUUGAAAGCCCAAACCCAAUGUGCUAGACAAUAAUUGUUUUUGCAAAUUUAUGAUGCCAAAGCUGGUCGACGAUUCCCGGACAUUUCCUAGGAAGCAGCAUUGAUUGAAAAGGGAAUUUAGUUUGUUGAACAUUAUCUUAGCAAGAGUUGUUUUACCGAUUCCGCCCAUUCCAUGGAUUAGCACAAAGCGCAAGCCCCCGGAGUCCAUGUCCAACAACUUCAGAACGGCUUCCACUGGAUCAUCCAUUCCAACUAAAUGCUCGGUAACGUAUUUGUCUUUUGUCUUCAGCUUCAGCACAAUCUCUUGUAGCACCGAUUGAAUGAAUUUCCAAUGCCUGCCACAUGAGUGAGUUAACUAAGUUGAUAUUGUAAAAGAUGACCUCAGGACACUCAACAUGUGGUUGCAACCAACAUGGCUAGUGCCACUUAUUUAAUUGGCUAGUGCAACCGACGGGAAGACAUUUUUAUGUGCGUUUGGAACACGACUUCCCUGUGAUUUAAACAAAUAAUCACAUACAGAAAAUUAUGACAUUUUUUAUUUAUUUAUUUGCUUCCGAAAUGGUAACACUUUGACAUAGAUGGAUAGGACACUUGCUCUAGUUCCAUGUAAAAAUCUAUCGAUAAGGAGAGAGAAGGUAACUUUUAAGGAUGUGAUCCACAAUUUACAAACACAAAGAUGUAUAAAAUUAGAUCUAUCAAUGAAAGAAUGCCCUCUUGUCUAUCAUUCAAAGAAUAGACUAUUAGAUGUAGGCAUUUUCCCAUGUUAAAGGAAGCAAGGCAUUGCUAAUUGAUUCCUAAUCCCUUUUUAAGGCAGUCUUGGUAGCUAGGAUAAGAGCUAAGAAGAAAUGUAUUGAAAGUUUUCACACUUAAGAUAGUUAGAAGCAAAAUAAAGUACGUGAGAAAACUAACCCAUCAAAUUGGAGUGCUAAAGUUUCGACCCAAAAAAAAUAAAAAUGGAGUGCUAAAGUAAGGAAAGAACUAAAAAACAAAAACAUAAAAGUACAAACGAAUUACUUCUUGAAUUUACUAACGCAUCUCCCACCUCUAAACUUACCAAAAAAGAAAAAGAACUUUGACUGAAUACUUACCCGGUUUUUGCUUUAUUUGUUUUCGAUGAAUGACAAAAUUGAUUCCGUUGUCGAAAAUAAUUUUGAAAACAUACAUGGUAUGAAUUUAAUUUCAAACAACUUAAACGAGAAUUCAUCCAAGUUUGGGCAUAUCAUUAAUAAAAGUCCAAAGCAAAAGUUAAUGGAGUGCUUCAGGAUCCGUGCAUACCCUUGCUUUUUCAACUCCCAUCCUUUGAUUUGGGCUACACUUUUGAGGGCAUCCUCCCACUUUAGCCUCGUCUGGCGACCGAACUUCUCUUCAUGCUCGUCCAAGGCGCUGACGUACUGUUGAGACUUAAGCUUAACAUCGCAAGGCUUAACGUCGUAGAAAAUCGGCAUAAUCUCCUUCUCGGAUGGUUUGGAUUUCUUGCACUCCACCAUGUGUGUGAGCUCGCGAAGACACCACGCGCUCGAAGCAUAACCUUCAGAGAAGAUGGGUAUGUAGAUCUUCGACUUUUGGAUGGCCGCCGGUAGCUCAUCAGCUAUUUCUUCACCAACGUGGAGCUCUUCCUCAUCGAGGAAAACAUGGAUGUUUGCUUCUAGCAUUUGGUGAUAAAGACAAUCCGUGAAUGCUUGGCGAGUAUCCGGUCCCCUGAAACUCAAGAAAACGUCGUAAUCAAUCGCCGACGGCUCACCACCGCUCGUUCCAGCCUCCGAGCUGUUUCCCAUGUCCAUUCUCACAAGUAUUUUCUUCUGAGGGUUUCCUCUCUCGUAGCACCUGAACAAGAAAGGCUCGUUCACUUUACCACCACUGAGGUUCGUUUAUAUUACGCUUCGGACCUAUCUUCCUAGAACUUUCCCCACUGUUUUUCACAUAAGAAAAGCAAACCAAUUCGAGUCUUCGUCAACUCUAAAAUGGCGUGACCAUUACGCGUAGCUUUUUGGCCCCCGGUGGUCUCUGCCUCUUGUAGACUUGACUUUGGCGAACGCCCAACAUGUAAGGGCUGCGACCGAUGACUGCAACGCCGAGAAGGCUGCGACCACCAACUGCAACGCCGAGAAGCCUUCUCGAUCGUCUUGGUCGGCUGCGACCGCCGACUGCAACGCCGAGAUGGAGAACCGCAAUGCCGCGAUGGAAGGCUGGACGCGAGGCUACGACGGCAAAGGGGGAACGGAGGCGAGGCAGCGGCGAGAGAGGUAGAGACCGAGCAAGGGAGAGAAGAAGGCGAUUGCUAGGGUUUUUGUCCUUUGGGCUAUUACUUCACUGAUUGCGUUUUCAAUUUUAGGAAGGACGGCAAGGAGAGAGACAACGGCUUCCGGGAAAGAAACGAAAGCCUCGUGUAGCGUGACUUCAAUAUUGGGAAGUGACAGGCGUAGGCGGUGGGUGGGGUGGGUGGAGAAAACGGUGGGUGAAAUGAAUGAGUGAGACCCGUUAAGCCAAAAAAAAAAAAAAAAUAUUGAAUGUUAAAUAACUUUAUCAAUACAUGGUAAGACUAAAAAAUAAAUAAAUUGACGGGUUAAAAAGUUAUUUCGAAAGAUAAAAGCAUUAAAUGUUAAAUAAUGAUAUUUUUUUUUUUUUGUGAACAAGAGAACUUGCGCACCGUACUAACACGAAUAGCCCGAAAGGCCCGGGAUAACAGGGUAAACCCUGAGGGUAACACUUGCUAGCCACCACAUAUGUGCCACCGGGUAAGUCACCAGCAGCGCCACCCGGGUGGGUGGUUAAAAUAAUGAUAAAUUUUGAUCAUCGUAGAAAGAUAUAAAUUUAUUUUGACUCUAAUCUCUUGUUAGUUAUUUAUUUCAUUUAUAGCUUUUGUUAAAAUCAAAAAAUGUCAUUCCAAUUUUUUAUGAAUAAAUUUAUUAAUGUUAUUAGUAUAGAUUUAUUAUAGGCUCUUUUUUAUUAUUUAUUUAUUUAUGAAUUUGAAUAUAUUAAUUUAAUAUAAUAAUUAAUAAUGUAUAUAUAAAAAUAUUCAUUUAAUAUACAACAUGUCCCCACGUAUUGGAAUUCUCUUUUUCUGAAUGGAAAUAAAAUAUUGAGGAAAUUACAUUACUGGUCCUUGUUUUCUCCAUGAUUUCAUUUUCGGUCCCCAACUAUGCUUUGUUUUUUUGACGGGCACAGACAAAAAGAGAUUACAAUUUUAUUUUACUUCCUUAAGUCCAGUAUAUUUUUCAAACUUAAGUGAUAUUUUUGAAAUAGAUUUUUGAUUAGAUUUCUUUUACUUGAAGAGGAAAUUCUCCCCUUUUAUUAGCUAAUUUGUUUCCUAGAUUUGUUUGGAGAGACUUUCUUUUGUCUCUUUUUUUUGGUAGUGCUCGCAUCUUCAUUUUCUUUAAACUUAAGCAAUUGAAACUUACACAUAAAAACGUUGACAUGUGGAAGAUUUAUCCAUGGAAAGAACGAAGCAAUGCCCAUUAUCAACAUUGAAAUGCAUAAAACAGAAAUAGAUCUAUCAAUAGCGCGUAUGAUAAUCAUUCAAUUAUUUUUAUAUUUUUAUAUUUUUCUAUUUUCGAGAGAAUAACUUUGGAAUAGAAAUUCGUCUGAUAAGACAAUUUAAUUUUUCUACUUUUGGAACAAUUUUUUAGUUUAUAAAUAAGUUUUUAAUAGAAAUGAAAAGUAAAAAUUUUCUACUUUUCUAUUUUUAGAACAAAAAUUAGGAAUAAAAUAUCUUCUCAUCACUCAUCCUCGCUACUAGCUGGCCGCCCACCUGUCGCUUGCCACCUCCCGCUGCCUGUUGGCUAUUAUCCCUCGUUGGCCAUCUCCUGUUGCUCACUAUAGUUGACCAUCUAGGAAAAAUAAAUUUUAGGUUGUUACUAAACGAAUUAUUAUUUCAAGAAUGAAAAUUUUAUAUUAUCAUUAAACAUGUAAUUUUUUUUAUUUCUAACCAAAAAUUGAUUUCUAGAAUAGAAAUCACACACGACAUGAGUCCAUAAGCAAGCAACAAAAAAAGAAGAAGGGAUCACAACGCGAAUCAAGAACUCACAGAGGUAGAUUUUCCAAAAGAGUCACUUACAUAAAAAAAAAAAAUCAUUAAAAAAAUAAAUAAAAAAAUUAAAUGAAUAAAAAUUAAGAAAAAAAUAAAAGAAAAAGGGCAUUGGCAGGCAAAAGUAGCCUGGCAUGGUUAAAAGCACAACAACAGAGAGAAGAAAAAGGUGGGCACGCGUGGGAAAGGACAUACUGGCAAAAGCCGUGGAAAUGGUGGGGGUGUAACGAGCACACGAGAUGUUUGACCGAGAUGCCUUUCUAAACUGAAGGUUGACCGAUGGUUGGAUUGUGGGCGCAGCUAAUUAUUUCUCACGAGGGAAGUAAGCGAAAGGAGGGUGGCAAUAACUCCGCCGAUUCAAUGGGCUUGAAAAACGAAUGGAGUUUGUUUGCAGUCGUGUCGAGCCUAUUUUGGUAAUAUUCUUAUUUGGAGAAAUAAUUUCUUUUCAAAAAAUAAUUUUUUAUUUUUUAUUUUUAAAUUAAUCUUCUUUACGGUCAACUUUUUUGUUUUCCGUCAUGGAAAGACAUGGAAAGACUUAUCUUUUUUUUUCUCUUUCUCUUGGGACGGUCUGCUCCGUGUUGGGGGCCGAAGGAGGGCUCCGGUCCAUGAUUGUCGGCAGCAUCUCUGGUCUCUCGUUUCAUUGUUCUAAUUGGUGGCGGUGUGAUUUUCUCAAUCACUGCAGGGGCACGUUUGGACCAAGGGUCUGAGAGAGGGUAGCUAUCUUUGGAUAGUAUCUUUGGAUAGUAUUUCUUAUUUUUACCGAUUUUCAAUCAGUAUUUACACAUAGUAAACUUAUUAAAGGGCUAAUUUAAAAAAAAAAUGCCAAUUUUACCUUGAUUGACAAUUCUGGCCUGAACCUUCUUUUAUGUCAAUAAAAAUCACAAAUUUUAUUUAGUCUCAAAUCUAGCCCUGUUAAUCGAAGCUUGAGAUCUUAUAAAUUGUGACAAGCGCUUUGGUAGGGCAUGGUUUUAGAUUCUCCCUUACUAUACUUCAUAACAAAAUCAGUUUAUGUAUUAAAUGAGAUCGAUUGAUUAAUGUCCAUUUGAAGAAAUUUUGAAGUUACAAGGGGAGGGCUUGGGCUUGCUCUAGAAAAUAAAGUUUUGAUUAUGAAUUUGGUAGAUCUUGUCCAUGGCGUCUCUUGAUGGGUGGUGGCCCACAUCCACAACUUCAUAUUAUGACAAAGCAGUGGAGGCUCGCUAGAGAGAUUCAAUUCAGAGAUCUUUUUGACUUGCCGGUGAAGUAAACGAAACUAUAAAUAGUUUCACCAUUAUUUUUAAGUUAUAGCUAAAAAAAAAAGGACAAUGGAUAGUGAUUAAGAUUCGAGUAGCAAGCAAUGUGGAUUUGUUGCUGAGGUGAAAUAAUCACAUUGGAGAAUUAAGAUUUCAAGUCAACAAGACUAGAUUUGAGACUUAAGUAAAAGUUAAUAUUUUUUAUAGACAAAAAAAAGUUCAUCGCAUAAUUGUUUUUUUUUUUCUGUGAGUAAAUUUGUCAUUCCCAAGGUAACUUAGUACUUGGUUUUCUAGUUAAUGCAUUUUUUUAUGUCAUAUCUCAAAUCUAAUGUUUUCAUACAGAUUCUGCAUAGGGAUCACAUGACGUGCAAAUUUGCACAGUUAGGCAUUGAUAAUUGAAUAUUUGCGUAACUAUAAUUGCCAUUUCAGAAUAGAAUUUUCCGUGAAUUAGUGUAAAUGCAUAUUUAGUACAUUAAUAUCACAUUUUUUUUUGUAAUCUUAAUCUCUAUCUUGCAUGGAUCAUAUGCAAUGAAAAGUAUAAAAAUAAAGUAAUUACAACUUGCAUGUUAGUAAUUUAGAUUGUGUCUUCAUUUAAAAAAUCACAAAAAAAAAAUAUGUUUAGGGGUUUAUUUGGGGGAAUUUAGAUAUGUUUCCAUUAUAUUUGUAUUAUUCUCCAAGAAUUGUGUUCCAUUUAGAGUGCAUUAUGCUAAAUUCUCGUAAUUAUAAGAAGGAUUUUUAGGAAAGCAACUUAUUUUGACAAGUUGCAUCCGCAAUUCCGCAUAUAUAUCCCUCGACACAUUAUACAUCUCAAAAGUCUUGCAUAGACUUCCCAUUCACCACUCAUUGGGUCUUACCUUGAAGCUCGACAUUGAGGCCUUAUGUCAUUUUAUCAGAUGCGGCUCGGGUUUUCAUCUUAUAGUUUUAGAUGUGAUUCCAAAUGUGAAAACCAAUCCUUGAAUGAAUGGGGACGAUAUAGAUUGUCCAGUGGAUAAUGGGCAAAAUGUGUUAAAUUAUGCACGACGCAUGAUCAAACAAAUAUUUUGAUAUUAUUCAAGGAUACAUAUAGUAUCUGUAAAAGCACAAAGCAUCUUUGUGAAGUUUGUAUUAUCACUACUUGUAGAUUCAUUCAGGGGAGAAUUAUCAAAAAAGUCCUAAACCUAUUACAAUUGUGUCAAUUCAGUCAUAAACAUUUUUUUUAGCCAAUUUAGUCCUAAACCUUUUAUAAUUGUGCCAAUUUAGUUCAUCCGGUCAAAAUUGGUCAGCCCGCACUGACGUGGACAUCGGCUGUUCAGCGAAAGCUGACAUGGCAAUUUUUUUAAUUAAUUAAUUAUUUUUUUUGGAAUUUUUAAAUAUUUUUUGGAAUUUUUAAAUAUAUAUAUUUAUUUUUUUUCAGCUUCUCCUUCCUCUGGCCGACAAGGGCCAGCGAGGCUGACCUCGCCGACCAAUGGUGAGGCCCCGCCAAAUCUGGUGAGGCCGGCCUCGCCCAGCCAUGGCGAGGGCCUAGCUCGCCGGCACUGGUGAGAUCGACCCUCGCCAUGGCUAGGCGAGGCCGAGCCUCACUAGAUCCAAGGUGAGGGUUGGCCUCUCCCAACCAAGUUGACGGUCUUGCCCGUUGCUCCACGUUUCCGGGGCUCCGGCUUCCGCGGUUUUUUGUUGCGGAAGCCAAGUUGGGUCGUCGUCUUCUCUAAUCCACCCUUUGCAAAAUGAGCCGAAAAACCCUCGGGUCCUUGGCAAGCUCCGACAAUGGAGGCAGUGAACAGGGUGCUGGCCGCGCUCACGAACUUCACUGGCGAGGUCGGCCUUGCCGUCGUUGGGCGAGACCGGCCUUGCCGUCGUUGGUCGAGGCCUCGCCAGAUCUGGCGAGGGCCGAGCUCGCUGGCACUGGCAAGAUCGACCCUCAACGGUCGACCUCGCCAGCCCUCGCCUAGGAAGGAGAAGCUGAAAAAAAAAAGAAUUCAAAAAUUCAAAAAAAAAUAUUUAAAAAUUCGAAAAAAAAUAAAAAAAAUAAAAAAAUUUGCCAUGUCAGCUUUCGCUGGACGGCCGAUGUCCACAUCAGCGCCGGCCGGCCCAAUUUUGGCCAGAUGGACUAAACUGGCACAAUUGUAAAAGGUUUAGGACUAAAUUGACUAAAAAAAAGAGUUUAGAACUGAAUUGACACAAUUGUAAUAGGUUUAGGACUUUUUUGGUAAUUCUCCCAUUCAUUCAGAGUCUUCAAUAACAAAUUUCUUCAGUUUGUUUCUCUUGCUUAGGGAUUGAGAAAUGUCAUGCACAGAGGGGAGAUAACCAUUGGGAAAAAACAAUUCCAGUCGAGGAGUAUAAACAGAUUGCUAAGGGCAAACUAAAUAAAAGCCCUCCUAAAAUUGUAGAUAGCAAGAGCACGUAGUUGUAGACUUGUAAUAAAAGUUCUUCGAAACGAUUGAUCACGAUGUUCCCAUUGUCUUCACUCGUCGAAUACGAUUCUAUGACGCUCAUCGAAUUUGGUAAGCAUACAAUGUGAACAUUUGGUCCCUCAGAUCGCAAGUCGAAAAUCCUCGUCACAUGACUAGUUGUGACUCGCAUCCUUCCAUGGUUCGUCCUUAUCUCGGCCGAGUUUGAAUGAAAGUUCUCCACCAACCGAUGACGAAGAUCCCCUGCAACAAUUCGGAGAUCCAAUAGGCACGUGAAUACAAUUUCUCGUAUUUGCUUGCUUUUGGUAAUCACCUAAUUGAGCAGUUAAUCUCCUCUAUCUUUCACUAGCACAUCUUGUCAAGAAUGAAAUACUUCCCCUACGUUUUAGUGAAUGAUCAACAUGCAUAAAACCAAUAUGAGGAAAACAACAAUAAUUGAAGGUCCGUCUUACCAUCUUGCAACAAUUUAAAAAAAGAAGUGAUAACUAGGAUAAAACUGACAGAAGUAAUAGUGACGUUUAUUUUGCUGAUAUAUCAUAAGUGAAGAUAUUUCAUGGAAAAAAAAAGUGAAGAUCUAAAACAAAAAUCAAUUGCUUCUAGAAAGGAAUCAACUCCUAAAUUUCGUAUCUAUCAUAUAAAUUCAAUGUGUAAACUCAACGUGAAUAAUGUGUUAAAAAUAAUAUUCACCAAUCUUGGAUUAGCCACUAAGAUCAAUAUUAAGCAAAUAUAACGUAUAUAUGUUAUAAAAGGCAGAACUAAUGCUGUUAAUAUUUCCCGUCUCCUUAACUGCAAAGAACUCAUCAGUUAGAUUUUUAAUUUUUAGCCUUCAGAAGAAUUUGGACAUUCAUGUAGAUUCAAACAAAAUAAACAAUUCUACGGGAACCGAAAAGUAUUGUACAUGUCGAACGCUCAUAACCAACAAGCCGAAUACACGUGGAGAAUUACACAAUCAGGAAUUAGCUACUCAAAAUCAUCCAAGUAUACCACAACAAUGGUAUUUACUUAUCAGUGGUAUAGAUUAAAUGAGUGAUAAUGUGGAGAUCCAGUAACACGCGAGCCUGAGCCUGAGAGAAUGAUCGCUUCUUCUUUACUCCUCACUCUUUUAUUCCCUCUUUCUUCCCGGACAUUCCGUUGCUUGUGCAUUCUGACUUUCUCCGUAAACGAACUCGCUCCUAAAUUUGGGCAGCCAGAAAUUGUUAGCGGGCACUCGUCUGCUACUUUCCAAUUGAAUACAUUAGGGAAACUGGUCAAUGAUCUGCAACCGAUCAAUUUCAAUUCUGUGAGCACCUCUAGUUCGUCCAAGGCCUUAAUUGCCAGAAGCUCUUCGCAUCCUCAAAUUUCCAAGGACUCAAGCUUUUUCAAACCCGAUAGAUCUUCUACACUUUCAAUCUUAGGACACGUGCAUAUUUCCAGUUGCUCUAACGAUUGCACUGAAACAAGACCAUGGAUCGCAGUUAUAUUUGGGGCAAUUUCAACCUCUUCAAACUCGAAAGACCAGCAAAUCCCUCGGAGAGUUGUAACGGUGACACAUGGAAUUCAACCAACUGUUCAAGCACGUCUAGUCGAACUUCCUUCCAACGACGUUAAAAAAUGUGCAAAUGUGUCAAUUAUCUGAAGUUGCAAUGAACUGUUUCCUGAUUCAUGAUUUACUAGUAACAAUGUUGACAAAAAUGGGGAAAGGAACAUGAGGGGUUGUUGGUAGGGGUGUCAACGGUUCGGUUCAGUUCGCUUCAAAAAAACCGAACCGAACCGAACCGUUAGGAAAAACUUCCGAAUCGAACCGAAUGAGACCCGAAUUGAAUACAAACUGAAUCGAAACGUUUCGGUUGGGUUCGGUUUUUCGGUUUUUGGUUUUAGCUUUUAGUUUUCGGUUUUUGCAUUUUUUUUUUGUUUUUUUGUUUUUUUUUUUUUUUCUGUUGUAUAUAUUUUUCGUUUCCAAGAAAUAAGCUCUUAUCGGUUUGUUAGAUUGGUUCGGUUCGGUUAACCAAUAAAAACUGAACCGAUAAAAAAAAUUUGGUUUUUAAUGAGAACCGUACUAAAUGAAAUCUGAAUUGAAAAAACCAAAUUUUUCGGUUCGGUUCGGUUCGGUUUUCGGUUUGAUUUUUAACACCCGUAGUUGUUGGCAUGGGCCAUCUUGGAAGAACAAUGGACUAUUCUUAACGGGACCACUAUAGCUCAAAUCCACCAAGUUAGGGUGCGCAUGACAAAAUUUCUGGAACAUAUAUUGAUUUAUGGCCAGAAAUUGAUUUCUCAAUUUCUAUUUCAGAAACUAAGGACGCGCAUGACAACUAUUAUGUUCAAGAAAUAGUUUCUGGAACAGAAAUAGAUUUUUCUAUUUCUAUUUCUAGAAGACUUUCUAAGCAAAAAUAACCAUUUGAUAACGACACAAAAUUUCUUCCUUUCAGACGGCAACGGCGACAACUGACGACUUUUAAUAUAAAAAAUAAAAAUAAAAAUGAUUUAGUAACAAAAAAAAUAAAUAAUAAAAUAAAAUAAAAUAAAUCAUAAAAAAAUAAAAUAAAAAUAUCCUUACAAAUAAAUUUAUUUUAUUUAUUCUAUUUUAUUUUAUUUUACGAAUAAAUUUAUUUUAAAAUGAAUAAAAAUAAAAAAAUAAAGAAAUUUAUUUGGCAAAACACUCAAGGCAAAAAUAAAAAUAAUAUAUUUUUAUUUAUCAUAAAUAAUUUUUAUUUUUAAUAUACUAAAAAUAAAAUGAUAAAUAAAAAUAAUUUAUUUAAUUUUAAUAAAUUUAUUUUUAAUUUUAAAUUUUAAAUGAGUAAAAUGAAUAUAUUUAUUUUUAUUUUUAAUAAAAUGAGGAGGCAGAGACGUAGAGGAGAUGAGGGAGGACUCACCGAAAUUAGAGUUUAGUGGGAGAAAUUAUUUCUGAUUUCUCUUCCAGAAAUCAGAAGUAGAAAAUUUCUAUUUCUAAUUUCUCUUCCAAAUCAAUUUCUAGAAUAGAUCUAUUCCAGAAAUAGAAAAAUAGGUUUAUAUUCUAGAAAUUGGUUUGGAAUAAAAAAAUUAUUUAUGGAACAUAAAUUUUGGUUAUCAUGCACCCCCUAAGAAGCUAAAAGUUUUAGCUUCUGAUUUCUCCUCCAAAUCAAUUUCUAGAAUAGAAAUAUGUUUCAGAAAUAGAGAAAUCAAAUUGCGUUACUAAACGGAUUUAUGUUCCAAACCUGUUUCGGGGAACAGAGAAAUAGAGAAAUCAAGAAACAAAAAUUUUAUCAUGCGCAGCCUUAGUUAGGUUUGAGAAAUUUGGGACCCACCACAGUGAACUUGAUUCAAAGCUUAGGCUUAUCAACGAUUGGUACGGCGCCACGAUCGUUCUCUGUGGCUCUAUAUUUUCCAUCUUGCUGUUCUUGUUGGGUUUCCUUGAUCUUUGUUCUUCGAGUGCUGGUGUUUUUGAAUUCGGUCUGCUGGAGCGUUGACUGUGACCUAGAACGCCGAUAUCAACGACGAUUGAGUUUCUUUUCUUGUACCUUAGCGAGCUCAGUGACUCGAUUGUUUGCCUGCUGAUUUCUCGCGCUGUCGGUUUCUUGAUUUCUAGCAGGGUUGUUGCCUGUUCGGGGGAUGUGGUUCGUUAAUUUGGUGAUUGUGGAUUGCAUCGGGUUGGUGGAAGUCUUUCUAGAUUACACACUUGCUGCUGUGAAUCGGAUAGGCUGUUUGUUUUUUUUUUUUUUUUUUCGGGAGUUGAAGAAUUAAUGAAAUCAUUUGAAUCUGUAUGCGAAACGUGGGAACAAUUAACGCGAAUUAUGCAUUUUGACCAAACUGUGAUUUUGAUGGAGCCAGUGAAUAGUUAAACUUUUUACUCUGUUGGUGUUACAACUUGAUUUGCUGAGCAUUUGAGAAAGAACAUAAUUUGUUUCUAAUGGAGCCAUCAAGAAAAUGCAGUUUGCAUAUGGCUGCAUGUGAUUUUCAUGUAAAGCUCGAAAGGGUUUGAGCCUACUACUGGAUGCCCCCUUGAUAUUCUCCUCGCUUCAAUUAAUAGCAGUGGGCAGCUAUUCUUCUUCACUUGAGCAAUGUUGGAAGUUUACAUCGAUCAAUCUUUACUCUGUGACAUUCUUUGUUUUUAUAGAUUGUUAAAAUUGGUUGCCUAAGUGCUUCAGAUAAUUCUCUUCUCAUGACAGUCUUGCAUUGGAUGGGGAAAUUGAUGUCUAAGAAAUUUAUAGACAUUAACACUAUGUUAAGUCCUUGAAAUUAUCUGUCCGACAAGUAAAGUCCUUGAAAUUAUUUUUCCAAUAAUUGGUAUCAGAAACACUAUUUAGCAUUGCGUUUUAGAUAUUGCUCUGCCUACUGCUAACACAUUUAGUGCACUUGUUGCAUCAUUUAAAAGGGAAGCUGAACAAUUUAAUCGCAUAAUAACUUAUUGCUUGUAUGGUUGCUGACAGACUCUUCUAAGAAAAUUAGGAAGCCAAAACCUUGGAAGCAUCCUGAAGCAAUUACAAGGACACAACUGAUGAAGAUGCGUGAGGAGUUUUGGGACACUGCACCUCAUUAUGGUGGGAGACAAGGUAUUUCUAAAUUGUUAGGAUAAGAUGGUGUUGACAUAAUGCACGGUCACCACCCUUCACCUUCACCCACCCACCCAGUGCUGUGGGAGAGGGGAAAACUUUGCUUUGCACAAUGAGUAGAUCAUACCUACGUGAGUCAUAAGUGCUAUUUUUGCUUGAACGCGUUUGAGCAAUUUCCUUUUGAAUUCUUAAGUUUCUUGCAUAAAUGUGCUGUGUAGCAUAUUUAUCAUGCUGUUGUUGAGUACAAAACUAUAGAUAAUGCACAUUGCACGAGAUACAUGUUUUCCAUGGGAAAGCAGGACAUGGCUUAUCUUGGGGGAACUCAUCGGAUAUUUGUGGUCUUCUUGUGACUAGAUAUAUUUUUAUUUGCCAUACACAAGGAUUGCAGUUGUCUUUAUUGCUAUAGAGGGAGGGAUGAGAUUUGAGUAACCAUGACCUCUAUACAUGCGUCUAUUCCUUAGAAAGUGGUCACUAUACUUUGACACUGGAUGUUGGUAUUGGUGAUGUUGUUUUCUUUAACUCAGCAAUGCAAUAAGUUACCUUGGUUGCUGUAUGGGAAGCUUGCUAGCUGCAAAUUCUCUUCUAUUUAUAUUUAUGGAAAGAUGGUUGUUGAAUGUAAAGUUUCCUAUGUUUUGCUGCUCAUUCAUCAAGUAUUAAAAUGACUUGAAAUACAAACAGCAAUUGGAUAAAGCACAUUCAUUUAAAGGUAGCAGAUGCCUUUUUGUACCUUGUGAGUUGUACAAUACUUAUCACUUAAAAGUGGACUGCAUGAAUUAUUUAGAAGUAGGGAUCCCUUUUCGAAGAAAUGUGCUUACCUGUUCGGUGUUCAUAUUGAAACUUGUGGAGGCUAUAACUAUGAUGAAUGAUAAUGUUUAUGGGCCUACUUAUUCAUUCAUUUUUAAACUUUUAGUGAGGUUAUACUUUUACACUUCUGGCUUGAGUAGUCUAUCCUCUAACUUGAAGGCUGACACUGUUUUGCUUUGCCUUUGUUAAGCUGCAGUCUUUCUCCCACAUACCAUUAUCUUUGAUUAUCCUAAGGCUGCGUUUGGUUGUUCGGAUUUUUAAUUAGGAGAGGACUGGAUAAGAUAAGAUAUGAAAUCUAGGGAUUUUGCUUGGUGAUUACAAUAAUAAAGUCGGAUAUAUUCACAUCAUAUCAUGUAUAUUGUUUAGUAUAAAUGGUAUAUUGAUAUAAAUGAAUAAAAAAUUUUACAAUUAGAAAUGAUAAUAAUCUCUUAUGACAUUCUUGCUUACUUUACUUUUAUUUGCUUUUUUAUUUUAUUUUUCUCUUUUUUGGAUUAAUUUCUUUUUUAUUUCUUUCUACCCGUUCCACUAUUCUUUAAUAAAAUUCUAUUAAAAAGUAAAUUGUAUUAAUAUACCUAAAAUACUAAAAUACUAGAAUAUGUAAAUUUAUAUUAUAAUAUAAUAUCAGGACGAGGCAGUCCAUUACAUGAAAUAAACUUUCUUUGCUGUUGAAAUGAUUGUGUGGGUUGACAAGUCUUGAGGGUAUGCUUGUUACUUCAAGUUGCUUGGACCCAUACGUCUGACGCAUUAAGUUCGAUCCUAUUUAGAAGAUGUGGCACAUAUCAAAUAUCAAAAGGCCACCCAUAAAAUGAAAGGUUUUUUUGUAAGUCAAAAAAAUAACUUGCUAUUAAUAUUGUCGACUAACAUUAAUAAGUGAUACCCAGUUAAUAUGAUUUUCUGGAGAUUUCUUUUCAAUUGGUGAAAGUGCCUAAAAACUACCAAGCGUGUUAUCCUUGAAAAUAGGCUCUCACUGUAGCCAACACUAAUUUGCUUUGAGUCACAAUGCUUUGCAUUCGUGACAAUGCGGUAAUAGUUUUGCUAUUGACUGACCAGAUGUAUUGCAGCAUGAGUUUGGGCCAGUUUGGUAAUGUGAUGAGAAAUGCACAUUCCAUAAGACUUGUGGGAUUUUUAAAGCAUUGCACAUCAAUAUUCCUUGUCUACAAUUAAGAAACCUUCAUAGCAACAACUGUGGAGUACGACACGCACAAUUGACAGAGGGAGUGGGGAGGCAGUGAGGGAGGGAGGUUUCUAGGUAGGCACAUAAUUUGUGCAUAUUUUUUGAGAUACAUUCAAGCCUCAUCUUCUGUGCAUUUUCAGUGGUGAAACUUUUAGAGAGACGGAAGAUGGUGAAGGAGCUGAUGUGAAUUGGCAUGUCAAUAUCUUGAUGACGUAGUUAUGUUUUCUGUUGUAUAUUACCUGACUUCCCCUUAAUCUCUAUAGUAAUUAAAUCUCUCUGUCUCACUACCUCUCAUUUCAUAUCACUGUUGUAGACUGGUUAAGCAAUUUAAUUCUGCUUUCAGAGAUAUGGGAUGCUCUGCAUGCAGCAGCAGAAGCAGAUCUAACGCUUGCCCAAGCAAUUGUGGAUAGUGUUGGCGUGAUUGUUCAGAGAGCUCACUUGACAAUAUGCUAUGAUGAAAGAGGUGCUAUGUUCAUCUAUUCACACAGUCCCCCACCCGCUUCUCGCCCACCACCACCUAGAAAUCUUUUCCAUCUCUACCAUCCUGUCCAGCAUCUAAUUCAUGCGAUGUUGAUUGUUGCAGGUGCGAAGUACGAAUUGCCCAAGAACGUUUUGAGUGAGCCGACCAAUUUGAUUGAUGAAAAUUGACAAUGGAGGUGGGGCAGAUUUUGCUCAGCUUCGUGUGUAAAUCCUGUGAAUUGAUAUUGAUAGUUUGGUAAAACAAAUUGCAUCAAAGUGGAGGUCAUUCAGGCAUUUUAAUGAUGCACGCUUAAAUACAAAUUUUACGUAACUUCUACCUCACGAGAUGUAUAACUACCACAAUUUCAUAUGGUUUGUUUCAUUAGUACCUGAACCUUCUAAAGAAACAUGAAAAGUAAUCAAUUCAGGUGAUUGUUACAGUGGAAAAUCAUGACAUCCUUGAGUGCUAGACCAUUGUUUUCUCCAACUUUUUACUGUUUCUCAGGCACAUUGACCUUGCAAUAUUAUCUGUCUGUUAUGUGGAGUUGUUGAUGGCCCCUAAAUCUCCAAUGCUCCAGAUUCAUCUCGUACCUCAUUACAGUUUCAGAUGUGUUUUGAAAUUAGAAAACCAAUCCCUGAAUAGACUAGGACAAUGUAGAUUUUCCAAUGCACAAUGGGGAAAAUGUGUUAAAUUGUGCACAAAUCCGUGUGAAGUUGAACUUAGCGUUACUUGUACAUUCAUUCAGAGCCUUUAAUACCAAAUCUGCCCAGUUUGUUUCUCUUGAUUAAAAUCACACGUAGAGUGGAGAUACCUAUCUGUAGCAAGAGCACGUAGUUGCAGAUUCGCAGUACUAGUUCCUCUUACUGAUUGAUCAUGAUGUUUUGAUUACGGUCAUGGAAUACGAUUGUAUGACAUUCUUUUGAUGGCCUACAAAGCGAACAUUUGGCCCCUGAAAUCUCAAGUCGAAAAUCCUCAUCACGCUACUAGCCGUGAGUCGCAUCCUCCUAUCGUUCAUUCGUAUCUACCCCACAUUUAGGUCAAAGUUGUCCACCAACCAACGACAAAAAUUCCCCUUCGAUUUUUUUUUUUUUGGUCGAAAAGAAGAGACGUGCUAUUCUUACUUAAAAGGAGUCUUACAAGACAAAUAAGGACUAAUGUCCAAACAUAAUAUAUUCUAAAGAGGCAAAGGAGGAUUAAUCCACCAGUUCAGGGGAAGCCUGUUCGCUCGGUGCGUUCGUGCAAUCCAGUCCGCUGCACGGUUUUCUUCUCGGGUACAACAGCUCACUUUGACAUUCGCACAUUGAUCCAGCUCUUGUUUGCAUCGUCUGACCACUUCUUUCAAGUUCCAUUGAAUAUCGGCCCGGCCCAUUACCUGUUCAACUGCUGGAAGACAAUCGCUUUCACAAAUCCAGCAAAGUGGUUGACUUCGGAAGUCCUGCACGUGCCGCAUAUGGAGUUCUUUCAUAUAAAAGAGGCCGUGUAAAAGGGCUUCGACUUCCGCCUCUUGCGAUGAAGAAACCCUAUAUGUGCAAGCGAAGCCCUCGACCAUCCGCCCAAACGAAUCCCUCACUACACCAGCAACAGAGCAAAGAAACUCUCCUUGAUUCCAAGAUGCGUCAACAUUCAGCUUCAAAUCUGGUCGAUCCGGUGGUUUCCAUCGCUGAGGUAAGUCGUGAUUAGGGUUGGGUCGAUUCUUUCUCUUCUGUCCACGGGUACAAAUUGAGUGCUGAUCUUGUGCCCAUCUCAGUGUAUCAGCAGAGAUCGGAACUUUUGCUCGAAAGAUCCAGCCGUUCCUUGCCUUCCAUAUGUGCUAGAGGAUCAAUCCAGUGUAUUCCCAGUCAGGUAAGUCUUUAGUCGGAUGAAAAGCUUCCAUUAACCACUUAUCUGCUCGGUUGAUCCUGCUUGUUGGACUAAGACCCCUACAAGUUGAAUCUUCCCAGAUACGUUUAGUCCAUUUACACAAAAAGAAGAGAUGUUCAGUUGUUUCUACCUUCGUAUAACAGAUUGGACAUAAUGGGUCUAUAAUAAGUUUUCUUCUGUGUAGAUUUUCCCUCGUGGGGAUGGCAUUUUGAUAGAGAGCCCAGAGGAAAGUCUUGAUUUUCGGUGGCACAUCAAGGCUCCAUAUUCUUGUCCAUAAGGUAUGUGGGGGUCGAAAUGAACAAGAGGCCUUAUUGUUGUCUUGCCUUGUGUUAACUGCAAUUGCUCUGUUGUAGCCGCUUUUGACAGUGUAUUUCCCAGCAUUAUUACCUGUCCAGACUAGGUAAUCUGAGUGCGAUUAUGGGUUCAGUGGGAUAGCUAGGAUCUCAUUGGCGAUAUCUGCAUUAUAGACCUGUUGAAUCUUUUGUACAUUCCACUCUUUGGAAUCUUCCUGUAUGAGCUCAGAUACCAUCAGGGGUUCUGAUUGAUUGCUUUGUCCACCAAUUACCCCUUGCAUCAACCAUUUAUCUUUUCGAAUAUGAAUAGAUUUACCAUCUCCAACUGACCAUUUGAUAUUUUCUUUAAUUGUAUCUCUGCCGAGUAUCAAACUCUGCCAUCCCCAUGAGGGGCGUUGGCCCGUGCUUGCUGUCCAGAGGUCCCCAUUAGGAAAAUAGAUUCCUUUCAGCACUCUACUACACAAGGUAGAAGGAGAAUUUGAAAGCCUCCAUACUUGCUUGCCUAACAUGGCAUAAUUAAAGGUAAUCAAAUCUUUAAAACCCAUUCCUCCUUCAUCUUUUCGAGCUUUCAUCACCUCCCAGUUUUUCCAAUGAAUUCCCCUCUUAUUAUCAUAUUUUUUCCACCAGAAUGAUGCAAUUCGCUGUUCAAUUGAUCUGCAGAUAGAUAGUGGUAGCUUAAAGAUGGACAUAGCAUGCAUAGGUAUGGAAUGAACAACGCUUUUAAUCAACACCUCCUUCCCUGCCUUGGUAAGUAAUCCUUCAAGCUUUGUAUUGACCCUAGCUAAUAUCCAUGCAAAAAGUUCUUUUUUUGAUUGGCCCCAAUCUGUAGGAAUGCCCAAAUACUUCCCUGUUUUUUCAAUCACCGGAACCCUUAAUUCUAUGGCCAUAUUUCUUUUCAAUGUUAAGGGACAGUUGGCACUAAAAUACACCCCCGAUUUGUUUAGGUUUAUAGCUUGUCCCGAGGCAUAGCAGUACUGUUUAAGUAUCAUUGCCAGAUUUUGACAUUCCAUGAUAGUACCAUCCAUAAAAAAGAUAACAUCAUCCGCAAACAAUAGAUGUGAUAGUUUAGGACAAAACCUGUUUAACUGAAUGCCUUUUAGACUGCCAUCUGUAAUUGCUUUAUGCAUCAGCCAAGUGAGAACAUUAGAAACCAGAAUAAAUAAAUAAGGUGAUAGGGGGUCGCCUUGUCUGAGUCCUCUUGAGGGAUAGAAGAAAUUGGUAGGUUCUCCAUUUAUCUUCACACUAAAAGAUACUGUAGACACACAUUGCAUUAUAAGUGUGAUCCACUUUCCACAAAACCCCAUAUGCUGCAUGCAAUCCCUCUGAAAAUUCCAUUCGAUUCGAUCAUAUGCUUUCUGCAUGUCUAAUUUAAGUAUGGCCAGAUGUUUUUUCCUCUUUUUUGUGAUGCGCAGCUGGUGCAAUACUUCCUGCACAAUGAAGAUAUUGUCAUGUAUCUGUCUGCCUUGGACAAAAGCACACUACUCCGGUUCAAUAAUAAAGGGUAACCACUUCUUCAGUCUGUUUGCUAUAAGUUUUGAAAUUACUUUGUAACUAAAGUUACAUAGGCUGAUAGGUCUAUAUUGACUGAUGUUUUCAGGGUUUUUCACUUUAGGGAUUAAGGAAAGAUGUGUCUGGUUGAGUAGGGGAUCAUGCAGUCCUGUUUGGAAAAAAUCCAAAACUAACUGAAGCAAAUCAUUUUUCACAGUAUCCCAUGAAUUUUGAUAAAACAUACCACUGAAACCAUCUGGGCCAAGUGCUUUGAGUGCCCCCAUAUGAAAAACAACUUCCUAGAUCUCCUCAAGCGAAGGUAAAACCACUAGAUCAUCAUUUAUGUUUUGUGUUAUAGGUGAAGGACACUAGGUGAGAACAGGUUGGUAUUGCCUUGGACCCUCUGAAGUGUAUAGCUCUUUAUAAAAUGACAUAAUAUGGUUGCAGAUCAAUAUAGGGUCUCUACACCAGAUUGCAUCUUCUAGUUGCAACAUUGUUAUUCUAUUUCUCUGCCUCCGUUGUAUAAUUGAUGCAUGAAAAAAUCUGGUAUUCUUGUCUCCCCACUGCAUCCACUUAAUGCGUGACAUCAUUCCCCAAAAUUGUUCCUCUUGUCUGCGCAUUUUCUCUAUCUGCUAGAUAAUGCUAUGUUUUUCCUUUCUGCUAGUGUGCUGAUCAUAUCGAUUAGUAAGCUCUGUAAGAGCCAUAUUUAGCUCUUUUAUCUACAGCCUUGCAUUGGCAAACUUCUCUUUACUCCAUUUUGCCAACACUUUUGAUGUCUCCUUUAAUUUUUCUGAAAAGGUGCAUGGUGAGAUAGAGUUAGGUUUCCAUGUUUGUUGAAUAAGAUCAUAAUACUCUUCAUGCUCUGUCCAGAAAACCUCCAUUUUGAAAGACCUCUUUGUCUUUGUCUUCCCAGGAUGGAGUCGAAGAACAAGAGGACUGUGAUCUGAGCCAAUGGCUGGAAGGGCUUGUACUUCAGCUUCAGGAAAGGUAAUUCUCCACUCCAAGGUGCAUAGUACUCUAUCUAAUCGUUUCUUCACAAGAUCUUCCCCAUCUCUAUUAUUGGCCCAUGUAUAUGCACACCCAUGACUAUCCAUAUCCAUUAAAGAAAGUUCAUUGAUCAUGUUUCUGAAUGCUGCAAUACGACUGUUAUCAGCCUCUUUUUUCCCAACUUUUUCCCACACAUACAGAAUUUCAUUAAAAUCACCCAUGCAGAUCCACGGCCAUGAAUUGUUUGGUUUAAUAUGUCCCAAUGUUUGCCACAAGGUCAGUCUCUCACCAAAAUUGGUAGAUGCAUGGAUAAAAGUAAUUUGCAUAUGUUGUCUGCUAUCUGGGUCCAUACAAUCCACAUCAAUAUAGUACUUUGAACUAGUUUUUACCUUCAAAGAUGCUUCCUCUUGCCAUAAAAGAGCUAAACCCCCUGCUGUGCCUGAAGGAUUCACUAGAAAUAUAUUCUGGAAGAGUAAUUUUUUGCAAACUUUUUCCACCAUUGCCUCUUUAUUUUUAGUCUCCAUAAGAAAUAGAAUACUGGGCCUUUCUUUAGCUGUUAAGGCUUUCAGCUCUUGAAUUGUCAGGGGGUUGCCCAGCCCCUGACAAUUCCAACUAACGAUUUUCAUGGCGUUAUAGGUGGCUUAUUAGGGCUAGCCACUAGAGCCCAUUUUUGUCCUUCUGCAGCCAGUUCCACAGGAGUAUCCAGAAAUUCAGUAUCAUCAAUCAGGAAAGGGGUUUUCUCAGAAAUACACUUCUGUUUUUUCGCCUUCUGAACUUUCAUGUUCUUCUUACUGCUUUUUCCUACUUUUGAUAGGACUUGUUUAUGGUUUUCAGAGCAUUGUAUCAGUUUUCCAUGGUCUCUGACUUCAUUAAAAGACCCUUCAUUGAUUGGAGCUAUCUCUUUGCCAAAAGAGCUGUCAAGUCUUCUUUUGCUGCAAGCUCCAAGUUGUAAAUCAGAGGCUGUUUCAUGAGCUAUAAUCUCCAUUCCGCCGGAUUGGGGAGUUGUAACAGGUAUUGUUUCCUCCACAAUAAUGUCUUCUUCAAUUUUGCCAUAAAAAGUUUCCCAAUACGGGCUAUGCUCACUUGCUUCUGAUUUCAGCCAGGGCCCGUAGGAUCCAAUUUUGUUGUUUCCCCAAGGUGACUGUUCAUAAGGAAUUUAAGCACAAUCGGAAGCAUAAUGCCCUAUUCUCCCACAAGAAUAACAAAAAUGGGGGAGAUGCUCAUACUUGAAUUCCACCCAUAGCCAUUUGGAUCCAAUAUCCAGGAUUGCCCCCGAUUUCAAUGGUAUGUUCAGGUCAACUUCUACUCUCACUCUUCCUCCUCUCUGUUGAUUUCCUGUAGUAUCAAGGCUAACUUCCAAGACUUGACCGAUUCUACUUCCCAGAUCUUUGAAGACUUGCUCUUCUUUCCAACCAGGGGGAACGUCUCCAAUGCGCACCCAAAAGGCAACUUUAGUAAACUCGUAACAAUGCUUCGGGGUUUCUGGCACGCACUGUCUUAAUACAAGCAGGUUGCUAGAGUACGACCAAGGUGAAGCCUUCAUAAUUCUCUAUUUUUCAUCCUCCAUUUGAAAGAUAAAAGUGAAUGGCCCCGGUUCUUUUUGUGCACAGAUAACAGUGUCAGCUUUCCACGCUUUUUUCAUAGUGGAUACAAAUGCUGGGAAAUUGACAUUAGGUUUGGAGAAGAGCUUGCCAAAGAGAGUACGUGUACAAUCCUCCUUUUUUGACUGAGAAAUUUCAGGGGAUACUUCUACAACAUCUUCCUCAGACCAAAGGUAACCCAGUCUUUUACAUAGUGCUGCCACUCGCAGUUCAUUUUCUUCUUUUCUCUCCAUGAAUACUAAUGUAAAAUUUGACUAAACCGAUCCACCAGCCCUGAUGAUCGAGAAAACCCUUCUUCCUCAAAUACACUCAAUCGAUCGACCAGCACAGAAGAGCUCGAGGAUACUCAUCUUCCUCAAAUGCAGAAAACCAAUCUACCAGCAUUAAGACUCAACAACACUUGCAGCCACUACUCCUCCGCAAUAACCUAACCCCUCGACAGAAGAAAUCAACCAGAACAGAAUAUUCACCCAAUCGCCCAGGAUCCGAAGAAACCCAGAGAUAAUCCGAAGGCUAAACUGCUAGAUCCAAACCAAUGCAGGAGGACGAAGGCUAGAUCGGCGCAAUCCACUGUUCGAUUCGCAGUUCCGACUUUGACCCAGCACCAUUGGGGAUUUUUUUUUUUUCCGAUUCAUAAGAAGCAUAAAAAGGAAGGAAAGACAGUUAAGGAAGCAAAAGGGUCUUAGGGUUUGGGAAAGGAAGCACUACCAUUGCGGUAGGGAAUCAUUCGCAUGAAGGUCUUAGGGUUUGGGAAGGGGAACACUACCAUGGCGGUAGAGAGACACUCGCAAAGGCGAGAGAGACAACCGGAACACGAUCCAUUUUGGCUAGAUGGCUAAUUGUAAUUAAGGACAUGUCAACCUUGAUAAAAGGUCCCCUUAACGAUUUGGAGAUCCAUUAGACAUGGGCAUACAAUUUCGUGUAUUGUUUUUUUUUUUUUUUUUGCAGUCAUUUAAUUGGGUAGUUAACCUCCAUCAACUAUAUCUUACCGUGAAUAAACUCCCCACGUUUUACGGAAUGGUCAACAUACAUAAAAGACAUUAAAGGUCUGUCUUCUCCUAUUCAGAUAAAAAUGCGAUAAAGAAAGAAGUUAUGAAUUUGAUGGGAUCUACUGAAGUGAUAUUGACCUUGUUUUUGCUGACAUAAAUCAAAAGUCAAUUGGUUCUAAGUGAGAAUCGACUCCUAAAGUUUUGCAUCUAUCAGAUAUAUUCAAUGUAUAAAUUCAGCAUGAAAAAGGUAUUAAAUAUAAUAUUCACCAUUUACAUGAGCCACUACGAUCGAUAUCAAGCAAAGAGUGCGGGCAUAUGUCAUAAGAGGUAGAAAUAAUUUCGUUGGUAUUUCCUUCUCUUCGCUCAGCUGCAAGAAAUCUUAUCAAUUGGAUUUUAAAUUUUAGCCUUUAAAAGAAUUUGGACAAUUUUAUGGAUUCGAAAUAAAUUUUAAAAGAAAAAAUUCUACAGAUGCGGAAAAAAGUACAUGCCUUUCUAGGUGGUGAAAACAUUGUCGGAAACACUACAAAUUUUUUCAUAAUAAUGACAAAAACAUAAGACACAGUCUAAGAUAAACUACAGAACUAAAAUGUCACUAAAUAAUUGAUUGGCCGCCACUUGGUCAACCUAAUAUGCGUGGAGAGUCAAGGACAACACAUCCAAUUAUGACAAACUCAAAAAGUCAAAAUCAAGAAGUCAAUAUACAUGAAUAAUUCCACAAGGAUCACAAAUUAUGGUGUCCAAUUCGAAAGGUGUUCCUCGAUCAAUCUUCGAACCACUCUUGUCAAUUGAAAGUCUAUUGUUCCGUCAUUAAUAUAUAGUGAGGAAUUACUGUGAUGUUCUCUCUGCCGUCGGUGGCUUCCUCUCUCGCUGAAGGUGAGUGUUCCUCCAUCCCCUCUGGUGAUGGCUCCUUCAUUCUCCAUCCCAAAUCGAAUCCCAUAGGGUAAUGGCUGUUGCUACUAUCUCCUCACCUGAUUAAUCAUCUUUGUCACUCCAUUUCAAACCCUAAUAUGGAUAAACCGAUCUUUAAAAACCUAACUUGGUGUUUCCCAAACAUAGAACUCCCUUCACUCCCAACCAAACCUAUCCUCCUUACCCAACCUUAACGUCCACAAUAUUCUGUCCCAUCUUCAGCGGUUUCUACUUCCACUGCCGCAUGGAGGGUAUCCAAGAAAACCAGCUUCGAUUGCUGGCCCUUUGUAAACGAAUGGGUGAUCUAUGGGCUGCGGAUGACAUUAUGGAACCGAAUGCCCAUAUUCCUGUGGUAGAUAAACAGGCUGAUGAAUAUCUGUUAUAUGGGAAAUUAUUUUCAAAACCAAAUGUCAAUUUUCAAGCAUUUUGGGAUACCAUGAAAAGGGCUUGGAAGGUGGAAGAAGUUAGAUGUGAGGUGAUACAACAGGGUUUCUUCGUUUUCACAUUUAAGUCAGUGGAAGAUCAGAAAAGAAUACUCCAGACAGGCCCCUGGUCCUUUGCCAGCAAUUUGUUAGUAUUACAAGAAGGAGACCCUACCAUUCCCGAGCACUGCUAUGAAUUCAUCCACUGCUCUUUCUGGGUGCAUUUGAUGGGUCUUCCACGAGCUGCAUUGUCGGAGGAUUGUAUUUGAAUGAUUGCUGGAAAAAUGGGAGAGGUAGAGGAAGUUAGAAUUGAUGCUAGAACCAAUGGAUCUCGAAAAACAGGUAAAGCGAAAGUGAGGUUAAAUCUGCUGCAUCCUCUUAAAACUGGCACGAUUAUCCACGUGGGAGAUCGAAAUUGGUGGAUUGACUUUAAAUAUGAGAGACUACCACACUAUUGUUAUUCCUGUGGUUAUAUUGGUCACUAUGCUAACUAUUGUCCGACGAUCCCAUAUGAAGAUUCUGGACUUCCCCAAGACAAACCAGGGCGCUAUGCUUUCUUGGUUGAAAGUAGAGGUUAAAGAUUUCAGCCCUUGUUGGAACACUUUUUAUGGAAAGAUAGAUUUUACCUUAACUGAGGAUGAUAUGAUUCUCGAGACCCUUGUUAUCCCUUCUAACGAUGAAUCGAACAUGAAAAGCUCCUUUGAUGGUAGUCAAGCCCUUGUGAUUUACAACCUUGCAACAAAGAUAACAUCAAAAGUGUCAGUUAUAGAAGAACUUGCUGCACAGAAGAAAAGAAAAAGAAUACAGCAGAGUUUGGAAUAGCUAAAUGGGCAUUUAGUGCAAGAUGCAAGGGUGGUCAAAUCUGGUUCAAAGAAACAACCACCCAAAAAAUUAAAAAGAUUUGCUCCUUAUGAAAAAAGGGUUUCACUAAUGACCCUUGAUGAUAUGGACCAGCUUCUAGAUACACCCAUUCAAGUGUGGGAAGGCGAAUCAGCAGGGGCUUUGGUGGCUAGCACUAAUAAGCCAUCAAGGAAGCCAUGAAAGUGUUAAGCUGGAACUGUGAAGGUUUAAGCUGCGCAUGAUAAAAUUUAUGUUUCUUGAUUUCUCUAUUUUUCUGUUCCCCGGAACAGGUUUGGAACAGAAAUCCGUUUAGUAACGCAAUUUGAUUUCUCUAUUUCUGAAAUAGAUUUCUAUUCUAGAAAUUGAUUUAGAGGAGAAAUCAGAAGCUAGAAAUUGUAGCUUCUCUGUUUCUGAAAUAGAAACAUGAAUUAUUUCCUUUUCUCCAUCCUUCAGAAAUAGAAUUUUUAUUCUCAAAUUGGCAAAAGAGAUUAUCAUACCACCUUCCUUUGAUGUUGUCCCACAAUAGAUUCUUAUGGAUCCUAAGCAUAAAUGUUACUUCAAGGUAGAAUUCUCAUAUAUUCCUUUACACCAUCAAUUUCAAUUUGCUGAUAAUCUUGUAUAAUACUAGUCUUUGAUAAAAUGACAGGGCUAUAUAGGCACUAUUAAUGGCACCCACAUUCAUGCUUUGUACCUGUGUCGAAGCAAAUCCCAUUUAGAGGUAGGAAAGGCACCACCACUCAGAAUAUGAUGUGCGUUUAUUCAUUUGAUAUGAAAUUUACUUUUGUAUAUGCUUGUUAGGAAGGCUCUGCCAACGAUUGUCGAGUGCUUGCAGCAGCACUGGAGACUCCUCACUUGGAAUUUCCUUGGCCGCCACCAGGUAUUUGUUUGUCCUUUAAGUAGUAAUUUUCUUUAUGAUCAUAUUUAUAGUUACAAAUUAUGACCAAUGUAUGAAUACAUUGUUGUAGGCAAAUAUUAUGUCAUGGAUUCUGGUUAUGCAGCAACUCCGAGAUUUUUAACUCCUUUUAGAGGUGACCAAUAUCAUUUAAAUGAGUAUAGAGGUAGAGCAAGAUGGCCAACAACUAUAAGAGAAUUGUUCAACUAUAGACAUUCUUCUUUAAGGAAUGUCAUUGAAAGAUCAUUUUGGGCAUUGAAGAAUUGUUUUUUCAUUUUGAGACACAUGCCCUCAUUUGCAAUUCGAAAGCAAGCACAUAUCGUAAUUGCAUGUUGUGUCAUCCAUAAUUACAUCCGUGAUCAAGACAAGAUGGAUAAGAAAUGUGCUUGGCUAAACCUACGUAGGAUGAGCUUGCAAACGUUCAGUUGACCGAGGAGGGAAACCAAAUAAAUACGCUUAGGAAAACCAUUGCCAAUAAAAUAGCAAGGAAUAAUAAUAUGCCGGAAAUUUCAUGAAAUUGUAUUUUUAACUUUUGUAAUGUGUUAGUAUUAUUUCGACUAUUAUUUUGUAUUUGAGGAUUUCCUAUAUUGUUAUCUAUCCAAUUUUUAUUCCUAUAAAUAGAAAUUUUAUUCUAUUAUCAAACGGAUUUCUGUUUCAGAAAUAGAAAUUUUGAGUUGUUAUCAAACAGGUUUCUUUGCUCAGAAACUUGUCUGGGGAAUAGAAAUUGACAAAUCAAUUUCUGGCCAAAAAUCAAUUUCUAUUCCAGAAAUUUUAUCACGCGCAGCCUUAGGUUCUCCCUUGACAGUUCAGCACCUUCGAGCCUUAGUGGCUCGUGAGAGACCUAAUUUGGUUUUUCUUAUGGAAACAAAGAAUCAGCACUUGGUGGUUGAAAGAAUCAAAAAGAGACUAAAGUUUUCAUCUAUGUUUGCUAUGAAUCAUAUAGCCAUUGCGGGGGGUUUGGCUUUAUUAUGGGAUGAGUCAGUGCAAAUCACGAUUGAGUAUAGCAGUCUAGAGGUGAUUGAUAUUGUUUGCACAGAUGCUGGUAAUGGAGUUAAAAUGAAGAUUUCAUUCCUACAUGUGUCUACUAAUUUUCAAGAGAGAGUCUCUCUUUAGAACUUACUUCGAGCUAGAAAUGGUAUGGCGUCAUUACCUUGGCUUUGUUUAGGUGGUUUUAAUGAAGUGUUGUAUCAUUGGAAGAAGGUGGGUCGACGUCUAGUGGAAAGAUUCUGAAUGACGGCAUUUCGGGAAUUUGUCGAUUCGUGCUCCUUAAUAGAUAUUGAAAGUAAGGGGUGUGCAUUCACGUGGACAAAAUAGGGAAGGAGAGGAAUUAGUCAAAGAACGGCUUGAUCGAGCAUUUUGUAAUCUAGAAUGGCGGCUUCUAUUUCCUAAUGCCGAAGCUUUUGCAUAUCUAGCCAUAGGUUCUGAUCAUGGUCCUAUUCUACUAUGCUUAAACUCACUUAAAAAGAUACAACAGAGAUUAUUCAGAUUUGAAGCUUACUGGUUAGAUCACCCUGAGUGUGCAGAUGUAGUGGAGAAGGCUUGGGCCAGCAAGGAAACUUGGUUAAGAAGACAAAACAAGUGACCCAAGAACUGAGAAAGUGGAGUCGAAAAUCCUUUAAAAAUACAUCAACACAGCUCGAUCAGCUCAGAAACCAUCUUACUCAUAUAAUGAACAGGACAGACCAGAUAAAUAUGAGGGAGGAAUAUCACAGAUUAACUAAGAAAAUGGGUACACUGUGGCGCUAGGAAGAAAUGUAUUGGGGCAUUAGAUCCAGAAUUAAUUGGCUAAAAUGGGGUGACCAGAAUACAAAACUCUUCCAUGCAACAACCAUUCAGAGGAGACAAAGAAAUAAGAUUAAUAAGCUACGGCUUGAGGAGAAUGUUUGGAGCCGCGAACCUCAGAUUAUCAAACAACAUAUCACAAGCUAUUAUAAAGAUCUGUAUAAAUUUGUGGGGCCCUGAUACUAUUAGCCAGUCUUAAAGCAGUGUCCGCUUGUCAUUUCCAAUGAAAUGAAUGAAAUGCUAACAAGACAAAUUACAAAGGAAGAAGUGCAGCAGACUGUUUUUCAAAUGGGGGCAACUAAGGUCCCAGGACCAGACGGGUUGAGUGGCCUAUUUUAUCAAAGUUAGUGGCAUCUUAUUCAAGAAGACAUUUUCCAGCUUGUGGAUUCUUUCUUUAAAGAAGGUUCCUUUGAUCCAGCACUAAACGAGACCCUUAUAACACUUAUCCCCCAAGGUGGCCAAUCCCGAGAGUAUAACAGAAUUCUAACCCAUCAGUUUGUGCAAUUUUAACAAUAAAGUGAUUACUAAAGUCAUGGCAAAUAGACUCAAACCUUGGCUCCCAUCUAUUAUUUCCCCAAAACAAAGUGCAUUUGUAGGCGGCCGCCAAAUACAAGAUAAUAUUUUUAUAGUCCAAGAAGUCCUACAUCAACUAAGAGUUAGGAAAAGACACAGAAAAUUCCAAGCUGUGCUGAAGCUGGAUAUGCAUAAAGCGUAUGAUAGGGUUGAGUGGGACUUUCGAUGUGAUUGUAUGAAGAAGAUGGGUUUCAACGAAAAAUGGGUAAAUUUGAUCAGAUUUUGUAUCUCCUCGGCUCAAUUUCGCAUCCUAAUUAAUGGGGAAGCAGGGGAAAUUUUCGUGCCAACUGGAGGCAUUAGACAAGGGGAUCCUCUCUCACCUUAUCUUUUCAUAAUUUUGGCCAAUGUUCUUUCCCACAUGGUGCAAAGGGCUGUUAUCGAUGGAAGCUUAAAAGGUAUUAAAUUGAAUCCUGACUGUCCUACCCUAUCCCACCUAUUCUUCACAGAUGACGCCACAUUUUUUCUGGACGGAACAAUUAGGGAAACUCAGAAUCUUGCAAAUAUACUGAAUUACUACUGUUUUGUGUCUGGCCAGUUAAUCAAUCUCAAUGAAUCUGGGCUGUUUUUUGGGGCAAGUUGUCCACAGGACUUGAAAAGAAACAUUGCAGCUGAAAUGAGGGUCCCUAUAUUAGAAAAAACUGGAAAAUACUUGGGGAUACCAUCAAAUUAGGGUCAAACUCGAAAACAUAUGUUUAAUUGGAUCAUGGCACGGGUGUUGGAAAGAGCAGUUAAUAUCAAAGGCGGGGAGAGAAAUAUUAAUAAAAAUGGUUGUUUAGGCAUUGCCCCAAUAUGCCAUGAAUAUUUUCAAAAUACCUUUAUGCAUUUGUCAAGCAAUUGAAAGGAAAACCUUAGCUUUCUAGUGGAAGCAGAAUGCAGCAAAAAAAGGUAUUCAUUGGAAAAGUUGGGAUGUUUUAAAGAUGAGAAAGGAGCAAGGGGGAAUGGGGUUCAAGGACCUAGUGGAAUUUAACAAGGCGAUGCUGGGGAAACAAGCCUAGAGACUACAUCAAGCUCUAGAGGCCUUAUGGAGCAGAAUAUUUAAAGGCCUCUACUUCCCUCAUGGCAAUCUAUGGAAUGCUAAAAGGGGUGCCAGACCAUCUUGGGGUUGGCAAAGUCUCCUAGUUGGCUGAGAUGCCCUAAAGCCUGAUAUGAAAUGGGAGUUUAGAGAUGGAAAAUCUAUCAACUUGAGAGAGGAUCGUUGGCUAAUGUUAGGAAAAAUUGGAGGACAAGCAAAUAUAGAUGACCCCUAAUGUGUGGCAGAUAUCAUCGAUCCAAACAUGCGCACAUGGAACACUCAACUUAUAAACGAGUUAUUCAAUAGCACCAUAUCAGAGGAGAUUUAGCAAACCACACUUAGCAUCAUUCCCAGACCGGAUUGUUUAAUAUGGACAGGGGAUUACUCCGAGAACUACAAUGUUAAAAGUGGUUAUCAUAGACUCAGAACAGCAAACACAACCACCACAGGAUACCAGGCGUCUUCCUCAUAUCAAGCUCCAAAACAAUUAUGGAAAGAAAUAUGGCAUCUACAAACUACCCCCAAAGUCAGACACUUCAUGUGGAGCCUAUGUAAUGAAGGUCUCCCUACAAGAAUCAAUCUAUACCGGAGAAGAGUAAUACUUGAGCCUGCUUGCCCCUUCUGUCACCAGUGGCCAGAAUCGUCCGAACAUCUAUUCAUCCUGUGUUAGUGGACAAAAAAAUCUGGCUGAAUUAUAAUGUCGAAAUAGAUGUUUCCCCAACAUCGAUCACAAGAACAGAUCAAUGGGUAUGCGACUACCUUUUCUCUGACAAAUCGGCAAGCCAAAAGGCGAUCUUUGCGACUACUCUUUGGCUAAUAUGGAAGGCACGCAACACUCUGAUUUUUCAAGGCAGGCAAACAGAACAACACCAGGUAAUCAGUGAAGCGUUUCUGUUACAGUAGCUAUACAAGAAGUGGCAACCAAGAAGGAAAGAGACUACCUCAGAACCGAACAGCUGGGUGCCUCCAGAGCCGGGUGCUUUGAAGAUCAACGUCAAUUGUUCAUGGGAGGAGAACGGAUUGGAGAGCUCCAUAGCCAGAAUCUGUAGAGGAGCUGAUAGGCGGUGUAUCGCAGGUUUUGUGAAGAAGAUCUGCGCUCAAUGGGUACACAUGGGCGAAACCCUAGCUAUUUAGCAGGCCCUCGCGUGGAUGAAGGAGAAGAAAACUGAUCCGACAGAGAACACUUCAAACUCACGAACUGAAGCCCCCGUGUGCAUCUCCAGCGAUUGUCUCCCGGCUGUGGACUCCAUUCUAGGUUGAAAUGACAUCCCCCUCCCCUUUCUUAAGAAAGGGCUCCUAAUUAAUAAAUGAACUAUUGAGAAAAACAUAGAAUUCGAUGGUCAAACAUAUGCUUUUACCUCUUUUGUUCCUAUGAUAUUAUUGGCCGUCUCAAGAUCCCAUAACCUGCUUUGCUUUCUUGGAUCGGUUGGUCCCGUAUCUCCACGAACAAUUUUCCUUCCGAGAUCUCUCAGUUGGUCAUGCAUCCAUAAUUUGUUGUGAUCAGUUAUCUUUAUUAAGGACAUACAAACAAGGACUUGAAUUGAAUGAUCCGGCCUAAACCCACAAUCCUUCCACAUGUAGAGUGCAUUCGUCUUGUCCUUGUCCACAAAGAGACAUGCGAUGUCGAGAAAAAUCUGUUGUUGCUCAUGAUUCAAGGCAUUGUAGCUAAUCUUCAGCUUGUCCUGGACCUUCUCAUGAGGUAUUUCUCUCAGAUUGUCUAGCACAUUGUACCAUGAGGCUUUGUUUUGACGAUAAACCAAUGAGCCUAUGACUUCAAGAGCCAAAGGAAGUCCUCCAGUUGUAGAAAUUAUUUGUCUCGAAAGAUUGACAUAAUCAUCUGCAGGAGGAUUCCUUCUAAAAGCAUGUCGACUAAAAAGCUCUAGUGAUCGAACAUCAUCCACAUCGUCAAGAACGAGCAAGAAUUUCUUGUUAGAAAGUCAUUGCAAAAUCACUUCGAUCCCAUCGUCAACAUCGUUGAUUUGAUCUUGAAAGCCCGAACCCAAUGUGUCGGACAAUAAUUGUUUUUGCAAAUUUAUGAUGCCAGAGCUGGUCGAUGAUUCCCGGACAUUUCCUAGGAAGCAGCAUUGAUUGAAAAGGGAAUUUAGUUUGUUGAACACCUUCUUAGCAAGAGUUGUUUUACCGAUUCCACCCAUUCCAUGGAUUACCACAAAGCGCAAACCCCCAAAGUCCAUGUUCCACAACUUCAAAACGGCUUCCACUGUAUCGUCCAUUCCAACUAAAUGCUCAAUAACGUAUUUGUCUUUUGUCUUCAGCUUCAUCACAAUCUCUUGUAGCACCGAUUGAAUGACUUUCCAAUGCCUGCCACAUGAGUGAGUUAACUAAGUUGAUAUUGUAAAAGAUAACCUCAGGACACUCAAAACAUGUGGUUUCAACCAACAUGGCUAGUGCCACUUAUUUAAUCGGCUAGUGCACCCGAUAGGAAGACAUUUUUAUGUGCGUUUAUAACACAAUUUCCCUAUGAUUUAAACAAAUAAUCAGAUACAGAAAAUUAUGUCCUUUUUCUAUUUAUUUGCUUCCGAAAUGGUAACACUUUGACAUAGAUGGAUAGGACACUUGCUCUAAUUCCAUGUAAAAAUCUAUCAGUAAGGAGAGAGAAGGUAAAAGGUAACUUUUAAAGAUGUGAUCCACAAUUUUCAAACACAAAGAUAUAUAAAAUUAGAUCUAUCAAUGAAAGAAUUCCCUCGUCUAUCAUUCAAAGAAUAAACUAUUAGAUGUAGGCAUUUUCCCAGACGCGCAGACCCCUGGAGUGCCUUAACUUUGGCCAAAGGGACACUUAAGUGCCAUAACUUACGAAAGGUACACUUAAGUGCCAAAAUCGGAGUAAAAGGGAUCACUUGAGUGCCAAUCCGGCGAAAAUCCAGCCAAAAUGUCGACGUGGCACUUUUCCGGCGAACGGAGCUCAAAAUAACGCCGUUUUUCACGCUGACGUGGCCAAAACGGCGUUAUUUUGGCUGACAUGGCAAACAAAAUAAAAUAAAAUAAUUAGUUAAAUUAAAUUUAUUUAAAAUAUUUAAAAAUAAUAAUUUAAAAAUUAAAUUUAGUUAAAAUAUUUUAAAUUAAUAAUUUUGAAAUUAAAUUUAGUUGAAAUAUUUAAAAAUAAUAAUUUAAAAUUUUUAAAAAAAAAGUUGGGGAGGCGGUUGAGGGCUAAUCCCUCAGCCGUCGGGAAGGGCCGGCAACUGUGCGGGGAGUUCCCUUGGUGCUGCUCCUACCCCAUGGGCUGAAAGGGCAAAUGUUUGUCUCAUGUCAAGGGGUCACUCUUUACUGACGCCAUUCAUCUGUGCAUAUGCAUGUAUCUACUUCACAGCUACACAGAAGCUCACUGCUUGUUCUUCGAUAGUUCUCACAGCUAGAUGCUCAGUACUNNNNNNNNNNNNNNNNNNNNNNNNNNNNNNNNNNNNNNNNNNNNNNNNNNNNNNNNNNNNNNNNNNNNNNNNNNNNNNNNNNNNNNNNNNNNNNNNNNNNNNNNNNNNNNNNNNNNNNNNNNNNNNNNNNNNNNNNNNNNNNNNNNNNNNNNNNNNNNNNNNNNNNNNNNNNNNNNNNNNNNNNNNNNNNNNNNNNNNNNNNNNNNNNNNNNNNNNNNNNNNNNNNNNNNNNNNNNNNNNNNNNNNNNNNNNNNNNNNNNNNNNNNNNNNNNNNNNNNNNNNNNNNNNNNNNNNNNNNNNNNNNNNNNNNNNNNNNNNNNNNNNNNNNNNNNNNNNNNNNNNNNNNNNNNNNNNNNNNNNNNNNNNNNNNNNNNNNNNNNNNNNNNNNNNNNNNNNNNNNNNNNNNNNNNNNNNNNNNNNNNNNNNNNNNNNNNNNNNNNNNNNNNNNNNNNNNNNNNNNNNNNNNNNNNNNNNNNNNNNNNNNNNNNNNNNNNNNNNNNNNNNNNNNNNNNNNNNNNNNNNNNNNNNNNNNNNNNNNNNNNNNNNNNNNNNNNNNNNNNNNNNNNNNNNNNNNNNNNNNNNNNNNNNNNNNNNNNNNNNNNNNNNNNNNNNNNNNNNNNNNNNNNNNNNNNNNNNNNNNNNNNNNNNNNNNNNNNNNNNNNNNNNNNNNNNNNNNNNNNNNNNNNNNNNNNNNNNNNNNNNNNNNNNNNNNNNNNNNNNNNNNNNNNNNNNNNNNNNNNNNNNNNNNNNNNNNNNNNNNNNNNNNNNNNNNNNNNNNNNNNNNNNNNNNNNNNNNNNNNNNNNNNNNNNNNNNNNNNNNNNNNNNNNNNNNNNNNNNNNNNNNNNNNNNNNNNNNNNNNNNNNNNNNNNNNNNNNNNNNNNNNNNNNNNNNNNNNNNNNNNNNNNNNNNNNNNNNNNNNNNNNNNNNNNNNNNNNNNNNNNNNNNNNNNNNNNNNNNNNNNNNNNNNNNNNNNNNNNNNNNNNNNNNNNNNNNNNNNNNNNNNNNNNNNNNNNNNNNNNNNNNNNNNNNNNNNNNNNNNNNNNNNNNNNNNNNNNNNNNNNNNNNNNNNNNNNNNNNNNNNNNNNNNNNNNNNNNNNNNNNNNNNNNNNNNNNNNNNNNNNNNNNNNNNNNNNNNNNNNNNNNNNNNNNNNNNNNNNNNNNNNNNNNNNNNNNNNNNNNNNNNNNNNNNNNNNNNNNNNNNNNNNNNNNNNNNNNNNNNNNNNNNNNNNNNNNNNNNNNNNNNNNNNNNNNNNNNNNNNNNNNNNNNNNNNNNNNNNNNNNNNNNNNNNNNNNNNNNNNNNNNNNNNNNNNNNNNNNNNNNNNNNNNNNNNNNNNNNNNNNNNNNNNNNNNNNNNNNNNNNNNNNNNNNNNNNNNNNNNNNNNNNNNNNNNNNNNNNNNNNNNNNNNNNNNNNNNNNNNNNNNNNNNNNNNNNNNNNNNNNNNNNNNNNNNNNNNNNNNNNNNNNNNNNNNNNNNNNNNNNNNNNNNNNNNNNNNNNNNNNNNNNNNNNNNNNNNNNNNNNNNNNNNNNNNNNNNNNNNNNNNNNNNNNNNNNNNNNNNNNNNNNNNNNNNNNNNNNNNNNNNNNNNNNNNNNNNNNNNNNNNNNNNNNNNNNNNNNNNNNNNNNNNNNNNNNNNNNNNNNNNNNNNNNNNNNNNNNNNNNNNNNNNNNNNNNNNNNNNNNNNNNNNNNNNNNNNNNNNNNNNNNNNNNNNNNNNNNNNNNNNNNNNNNNNNNNNNNNNNNNNNNNNNNNNNNNNNNNNNNNNNNNNNNNNNNNNNNNNNNNNNNNNNNNNNNNNNNNNNNNNNNNNNNNNNNNNNNNNNNNNNNNNNNNNNNNNNNNNNNNNNNNNNNNNNNNNNNNNNNNNNNNNNNNNNNNNNNNNNNNNNNNNNNNNNNNNNNNNNNNNNNNNNNNNNNNNNNNNNNNNNNNNNNNNNNNNNNNNNNNNNNNNNNNNNNNNNNNNNNNNNNNNNNNNNNNNNNNNNNNNNNNNNNNNNNNNNNNNNNNNNNNNNNNNNNNNNNNNNNNNNNNNNNNNNNNNNNNNNNNNNNNNNNNNNNNNNNNNNNNNNNNNNNNNNNNNNNNNNNNNNNNNNNNNNNNNNNNNNNNNNNNNNNNNNNNNNNNNNNNNNNNNNNNNNNNNNNNNNNNNNNNNNNNNNNNNNNNNNNNNNNNNNNNNNNNNNNNNNNNNNNNNNNNNNNNNNNNNNNNNNNNNNNNNNNNNNNNNNNNNNNNNNNNNNNNNNNNNNNNNNNNNNNNNNNNNNNNNNNNNNNNNNNNNNNNNNNNNNNNNNNNNNNNNNNNNNNNNNNNNNNNNNNNNNNNNNNNNNNNNNNNNNNNNNNNNNNNNNNNNNNNNNNNNNNNNNNNNNNNNNNNNNNNNNNNNNNNNNNNNNNNNNNNNNNNNNNNNNNNNNNNNNNNNNNNNNNNNNNNNNNNNNNNNNNNNNNNNNNNNNNNNNNNNNNNNNNNNNNNNNNNNNNNNNNNNNNNNNNNNNNNNNNNNNNNNNNNNNNNNNNNNNNNNNNNNNNNNNNNNNNNNNNNNNNNNNNNNNNNNNNNNNNNNNNNNNNNNNNNNNNNNNNNNNNNNNNNNNNNNNNNNNNNNNNNNNNNNNNNNNNNNNNNNNNNNNNNNNNNNNNNNNNNNNNNNNNNNNNNNNNNNNNNNNNNNNNNNNNNNNNNNNNNNNNNNNNNNNNNNNNNNNNNNNNNNNNNNNNNNNNNNNNNNNNNNNNNNNNNNNNNNNNNNNNNNNNNNNNNNNNNNNNNNNNNNNNNNNNNNNNNNNNNNNNNNNNNNNNNNNNNNNNNNNNNNNNNNNNNNNNNNNNNNNNNNNNNNNNNNNNNNNNNNNNNNNNNNNNNNNNNNNNNNNNNNNNNNNNNNNNNNNNNNNNNNNNNNNNNNNNNNNNNNNNNNNNNNNNNNNNNNNNNNNNNNNNNNNNNNNNNNNNNNNNNNNNNNNNNNNNNNNNNNNNNNNNNNNNNNNNNNNNNNNNNNNNNNNNNNNNNNNNNNNNNNNNNNNNNNNNNNNNNNNNNNNNNNNNNNNNNNNNNNNNNNNNNNNNNNNNNNNNNNNNNNNNNNNNNNNNNNNNNNNNNNNNNNNNNNNNNNNNNNNNNNNNNNNNNNNNNNNNNNNNNNNNNNNNNNNNNNNNNNNNNNNNNNNNNNNNNNNNNNNNNNNNNNNNNNNNNNNNNNNNNNNNNNNNNNNNNNNNNNNNNNNNNNNNNNNNNNNNNNNNNNNNNNNNNNNNNNNNNNNNNNNNNNNNNNNNNNNNNNNNNNNNNNNNNNNNNNNNNNNNNNNNNNNNNNNNNNNNNNNNNNNNNNNNNNNNNNNNNNNNNNNNNNNNNNNNNNNNNNNNNNNNNNNNNNNNNNNNNNNNNNNNNNNNNNNNNNNNNNNNNNNNNNNNNNNNNNNNNNNNNNNNNNNNNNNNNNNNNNNNNNNNNNNNNNNNNNNNNNNNNNNNAUUAUUAAUUUUUUAAUAUUUCAACUAAAUUUAUUUAAAAUUAUUAUUUUUAAAUAUUUUAACUAAAUUUAAUUUUAACUAAUAAUUUAAAAUUAAUUUAAUUAAUUUUUUUAAUUUUUUUUUACCACGUCAGCCCAAAACGACGCCGUUUUGGCCACGUCAGCAUGCAAAACGACGUCGUUUCGGGCGCUCUUUGCCGGAAAAACGCCACGUUGGCGUUUUGGCCGGAGUGGCACUUAAGUGAUCCGUUUUUCUUCGAAUGUGGCACUUAAGUGUACCUUUGACCAAAGUUAUGGCACUUGAAGCGUUCUUUUGCCCAUUUUCCCAUGUUAAAGGAAGCAAGGCUUUGCUAAUUGAUUCCUAAUCCCUUAAGGUGAGAUAGCUAGUAUAACCACCUAAAGGGGGGGUGAAUAGGUGCACAAACAAUUUAUCGAGAUACGGAAGCGAUUCUAGGCAACCGAUAGAAAGGAGGUUCUCUAUUGAUUAACAAAAUGAAGUACGAUCAAAGUAAAGAGAGUAAGGAAGAGAAAAUUAAACACGAGGUUUAUAGUGGUUCGGCUUAUUCCAAGCCUACGUCCACUCUUCCGCACUGACAGCCCACUGGCUGGAUUUCAAUAUGAACAAAAGAGUAGUUACAUCAUAGCUUUUCCUUGAUUCCAUAGUGUAGAUGUUCUAUCACACCUCCUCAAGGUUUCUCACAAUUAUAGACUCUCUUUUGUAUACAAGGUUUCGCUCAAAGGAAUUGUUUAAACAACAAGGAGCUUCAGACUUUGGAAUUAUUCUAUCGCGCACUCCACGAAUAACUUAGAAUGUCUUCCUUAUAUACUCCUUUAUGCCAUCAUACCCGUUGGCACUUACCAAAGGAAUUCCUCCAAUCUACCCGUUGGACGGAAUCAAUUAGGAAGAUUAUUCGAGCUAUUAAAGGAACGUGUCGAUAGCCCAUCAAUCAUGUUCGCCCAUACAAUCAGGAUCUCGGUUUCCAUAAGUAGAACCUUCCAAGAAUAUUUAGGCAAUCAUUGGUUCCUUAAUCUUCGAGUCAAUCUCGAUCAAUCAAAGGAUUCCGUUGCGUCUUUUCCAGCCAAGAGAUCUUCUCCAGUUGAUAAGGUCAUAUCAUUAAUGAAACAUCCAGUUCUGGAUAACAUUUCUUUAACGGAUUAGAGACUGUCAAUGAGGAUAGACUUUGAGUCUUGAGUCUGGCUGUAUGGAGGUCUUCAGACUUUAAAUAGCAGAGUCUGCAAGCCUUCAGGCUAGACUGAUGGAAACGUUUUGUUAGCUUCAAAACACUUCAAGAAGAUUUCUCCAACAAUCUCCCCCUUUUUGAUGGUGACAAAACUUUCCUACAGAUUUGGACAACUUUGACCUGCAAAAUAUUUCUUAAACACAUAUGCAUAUCUUAUAGAGAUAAAUGGCUAAAUGAAUAACACUAGAAUCUGCAACCACAGAAAAUAGGUUAGUCUAAUAUGUGAUAAAGCCAUCCAUAAGAUAUCACUAAUAGUUAAUAGAAGCAGUCAAGUCCAAGUCUAGUUCAGUUCUCAUCCAAACACAAAAACAAAGUCAAACAGAUCAAAACAAUCCAACAAAAUCCAACAAACAGUCCAACAAACCAUACGAUUAAAAGUCAAAUUGUUCAAAUCUUGCAUCUCUCCCCCUUUUUGUCAGCAUUAAAAAGGUUGAGAUGAAAAUGGAAUAAAGUCAAGAUUGCUUGGGAACGCGAACAAGCUGGAAAUCUCCCAUAGACUGAAUGAUGCCUUCCAGCCUUUUAAAGUCUUCAUUUAGUUGUGCAAUCUCCUCACCCUUGGCAUUGGCCUGAUUCUGAAUAGAGAGGGCUUGCAUUUUAUCAUUCAAUGAACAGGAAGAAGCUUGACCUUCAUUCUUCAAGCUUUGAACUUCGCAUCCCAAGGCAUAAAUUUGACCUCGCAUCUCCAAGAGAAUAUCCAUGAUUCUGCGAAAAUCUGCUCCAUUAUCAGUCUGAGUACUUGCUUCGGCUCGAUCUGAUGGAGUAAAUGCAGACGAUGGUAGAUCAGCAUAAUCUCGCAGGUUUGGCGAUGAAACUUCAUGACCUUCUUGUGGAAAUUGAGAGGCAUAAACGUCCUCUGGGUCUGCAGGUGAGCGACUGACUCCUUCACUUGCAUCAGGAUAUGAGGACUUCCCUCCUUUCUCUUGAUCUCCCCUUGUUUCCAUGCCUACAGGUGGAGAAGAGUGUUCCUCAGGUUCUCCUUCUUCUCUUCUUUCUUCUCCUUCUUUCUCAACUCUUUCCUUCUCAGCUUGUCUUUCUUCGUCUUCCUUCUUCUCUGCUUCUUUCUCCUCUGUUUCUUUCGUCAUUUGUUCCGAUUCUUUCUUUGGAACAGAACGACUCAGAUUCUUCAAAGCCAUUGCAGAAAUGGUGAGGUUUUCAUCAUCAUCUUCAUCUUCAAUAAUAAGAGCUAUUCUUUUCGUUCUUGAAACAACCAAGGGCUCCUUUCCUUUCCGUUUUGAUGAAGAAGAGGGUUGAUGAGCUUUGACUGGAGUCUUCUCCUUGAAUUUCUCCAACGCCUUGUUCAAUUCUUUCAGACGCAUUUUGGUCACCAUUUUCAGUCCUACCACCAUAUGAUCGCACGGUCGAACACAAAAGAUUUGCGGAGGCUGAAUAUUCAGAUGUCUAAAUAACUUUGUCACAAGACUUAGGUAAGGAAGUUGACCUCUGUCCUUCAUCAUGGCUCUAUACAUGUGGAACAUAAUAGUGUGGGGAAGAGAAAACCUUUUCCUAGUGAGGAUGGCAUACAUUAGCUUUGCCUCUGAACUUGAAACAUCAGUCUUGGAAGUUGAUUUUGGUCGGAGGCAAUUGAUCACAAUCUUGUGAAGCAAGAUGUUGAACGCACUCAUCCUUAAGUAGGAAAUCUUUUUCUCUGUUCUCCUGUCCUUAACAAGUUCCAAUGUAGCACGAGCAAUAGAAACUUUGAUCGGUUGAUAUCUUCCUCUUUCAACUCCUAAUACAUCCGCCAGCAUAUCCAUAUCCACAACAUAGUCUUGAUCUUUGACACUGAAAGAGAAUCUAUUCGCAUCCAAAAAGCUAAGAUUUGAAUAGAAAUAUGCGGUUAGUUCAGCAUAGGCCUCUGUAGUGUCGGAGCAGAACUUAACCGAACUUUUCCCUCAAGUUCACAUUCACAGCAUCGAGAAAAUCAAAAUCCACACUUCUAGGGUUUAUUACCCCACGCUUCAACAAUUUUGAGUACAAAUCCUUUUGUUCCUUCGAUCUGAACAAGUCUCCCCUUUUUCCUCGAUUUUCAACCGCAACACCCAUUCUCGGUUGAAAUUGGUUGUACAGUUUAUCAUCAUCAUUCCCAUCUACAGGAUUAACUCCCCAAUCACGAGGAUCACUUGGGAUAUCCGCAAGGGUUUCUUCAACCACCCAUUUACGAGCAAUUCCCUCCAUUUUUCGCAAAAAGAUAUAUUCAUUUCCAUAUCCUUUGUCUUUAAGAAAAUCAUCGACAUACUUCAAAGGAGUAUGAAUCCCUUUUAAAGCACGAUACAGUUUAUACAUAAAAGCGGGUUUUUGAACUCUUAUAGGAUCUGCAUCCUCGAUGAUUUCUUCCUCUUGUUGAUGAUCAGCGCCUUGAGGACUGGAUGGAGGAGAGUGACGCUGCUGAGAAUGUUGUGGGCUCUGCUGCUGAUCUGGAGACACUUCUUCUUCAGUAAGAUCGAAGUUCGUAGGCCCCUCACUCAUUCGCCGUGGUCCCCUGUGAUAUUGCUAGUAUGAGUACCUAGAGGGGGGUGAAUAGGUGCAUAAACAAUUUAUCGAAAUACGGAAGCGAUUCUUAGCAUAUGAUAGAAAGUAAAUUCUCUCUUAAUUAACAAAAUGAAAUACGAUCGAGGUAGAGAGAGUGAGGAAGAGAAAAUUGAACACAGGAUAUAUAGUGGUUCGGCUUAUUCCAAGCCUACGUCCACUCUUCCGCACUGACAGCCCACCGGCUGGAUUUCACUAUGAUCAAAAGAGAAGUUACAGCACAGCUUUGCCUUGAUUCCACAGUGUAGAUGUUCUACCACACCUCCUCAAGGUUUCUCACAAAUAUAGACUCUCUUUUGUAUACAAGUGUUCGCUCAAAGGAUUUGUCUAAACAAAAAGAAGCUUCAGACUUUGGAAUUCUUCUAUCGUGCACACCUUGAACAACUAAGACAGUCUUCCUUAUAUACUCCUUUAUGCCAUCAUACCCGUUGGCACUUACCAAAGGAAUUCCUCCAAUCUACCCGUUGGACGGAAUCAAUUAGGAAGAUUGUUCAAGCUAUUAAAGGAACGUGUUGAUAGCCCAUCAACCCUGUUUGCCCAUACAAUCAGGAUCUCGGUUUCCAUAAGCAGAACCUUCCAAUAAUAUUUAGGCAAUCACCGGAUCUUCAAUUUAUCGAGUCAAUCUUCGAUCAAUCAAAGGACUCCGUUAUGUCUUCUCCAGCCACAAGAUCUUCUCCAGUUGAUAAGGUCAAAUCCUUAACGAAACAUCCAGUUCUGGAUAACCUUUCUUCAACGGAUUAGAGACUGUCAAUGAGGAUAGACUUUGAGUCUUGAGUCUGGCUGUCCGGAGGUCUUCAGACUUUAAAUAGCAGAGUCUGCAAGCCUUCAGACUAGACUGAUAGAAACGUUUUGUCAACUUCAAAACACUUCAAGAAGAUUUCUCCAACAAUCUCCCCCUUUUUGAUGGUGACAAAACUUUCCUGCAGAUUUGGAUAUCUUUGACCUGCAAAACAUUCCUCAAACACAUAUGCAUAUCUUAUAAAGAUAAAUGGCUAAUAGAAUAACACUAGAAUCUGCAACCACAUAAAAUAGGUUAGUCCAGUAUAUGAUGAAGCCAUUCAUAAGAUAUCAAUAUUGGUUAAUAGAAGCAGUCAAGUCCAAGUCUAGUUCAGUUCUCAUCCAGACACGAAACAAAGUCAAACAGGUUCAAACCACAAACCACAAAACAAUCCAACAAACAAAAAGUUUAAUGAAUGAAAAGUUUUUGAUCAAAUCUUGCAUCUCUCCCUCUUUUUGUCAUCAUUAAAAAGGAUGAGAUGAAGUCAAGAUUGCUUGGGAACGCGGACAAGCUGGAAAUCUUCCAUAGACUGAACGAUGCCUUCCAGCCUUUUAAAGUCUUCAUUUAGUUGUGAAAUCUCCUCACUUUUGGCAUUGGACUGAUUCUGAAUAGAGAGGGCUUGCAUUUUAUCAUUCAAUGAACAGGAAGAAGCUUGACCUUCAUUCUUCAAGCUUUGAACUUCGCAUCCCAAGGCAUAAAUUUGACCUCGCAUCUCCAAGAGAAUAUCCAUGAUUCUGCGAAAAUCUGCUCCAUUAUCAGUCUGAGUACUUGCUUCGGCUCGAUCUGAUGGAGUAAAUGCAGACGAUGGUAGAUCAGCAUAAUCUUGCAAGUUUGGCGAUGAAACUUCAUGACCUUCUUCUGGAAACUGAGAUGCAUAAACAUCCUCUGGGUCUGCUGGUGAGCGACUGACUCCUUUACUUGCAUUAGGACAUGAAGACUUCACUCCUUUCUCCUGAUCUCCCCCUGUUUCCAUGCCUACAGGUGGAGAAGAGUGUUCCUCAUGUUCUCCUUCUUCUCUUCUUUCUUCUUCUGGUCUUUCCUCCUCUGUUUCUUUUUUAGCUUCUAAUUCUUCUUCUUCCUUCUCCUCUGCUUCUUUUGUCAUUUGUUCCGAUUCUUGCUGUGGAACAGGACGACUUAAAUUCUUCAAAGCCAAUGCAGAGAUGGUGAUGUCUUCCUCAUCAUCUUCAUCCUCAACGAGGAGAGCUCUUCUCCUCUUGGAUGGAGCAACCAUGGGCUCCUUCCCUUUUCUUUUAGCUGCAGAAGAGAGUUGAUGAGAUUUUGCAGGAGUCUUCUCCUUGAAUUUCUCCAACUCCUUGCUUAGUUCCUUCAGACGCAUUUUGGUCACCAUUUUCAGACCUACCACCAUAUGAUCGUAUGGUCGAACACAAAAGAUUUGUGGAGGCUGAAUAUUCAGAUGUCUGAAUAACUUCGUAACAAGGCUUGGGUAAGGAGUUGACCUCUGUCCUUCAUCAUUGCUCUAUACAUGUGAAACAUCACAGUGUGAGGGAGAGAAAACCUUUUUCCAAAAAGAUGGCAUACAUCAGCUUGGNNNNNNNNNNNNNNNNNNNNNNNNNNNNNNNNNNNNNNNNNNNNNNNNNNNNNNNNNNNNNNNNNNNNNNNNNNNNNNNNNNNNNNNNNNNNNNNNNNNNNNNNNNNNNNNNNNNNNNNNNNNNNNNNNNNNNNNNNNNNNNNNNNNNNNNNNNNAUGGAAACUUUGAUUGUUUGAUGUUGAUAUCUCUCUUUGACUCUAACACAUCUGCCAGCAUAUUCAUAUCCACAACAUAGUCUUGGUCUUUUACGCUGAAAUAGAAUCUAUUCGCAUCCAAAAAGCUUAGAUUUGAAUAGAAAUAUGCAGUUAAUUCAGCAUAUGCCUCUGUAGAGUCAGAGCAGAACUUUUCAAGUUGAAGAUAACUGAACUUUUCCCUCAAGUUCACAUUCACUGCAUCCAGAAAAUCAAAAUCCACACUCCUAGGGUUUAUUACCCCACGCUUCAGCAAUUUCGAGUACAGAUCCUUUUUCUCCUUUGAUCUGAACAAAUCUGCCAUUUUUCCUUGAUUUUCAACCGCAACACCCAUUUUCGGUUGAAAUUGACUGUAUAAUUUAUCAUCAUCAUUCCCAUCUACAGGAUUCGGCCCCCAGUCACGAGGAUCACUUGGGAUAUUUGCAAGGGUUUCCUCAGCCACCCCUUUUUCGAGCAAUUCCCAAACUUUCCAUUUUUUUCAGAAAAAUAUAUUCGUUCCCAUGUCCUUUGUCUUUAAGAAAAUCAUCAAUGUAUUUCAAAGGAGUAUGAAUUCCUUUUAGGGCACGAUAUAACUGGUAAAUAUAAGCAGGCUUUUGAACUCUUACAAGGUCUGCAUCCUCGAUGAUUUCUUCCUGUUGUUGAUGAUCAACUCCUUGAGGACUAGAUUGAGGAGAAUGACGCUGUUGAGAAUGUUGUGGGCUCACUUGUUGUUCUGGAGUCACUUCAUCUUCAGUAAGAUCGAAGUGCGUAGGCCCCUCACUCAUCCGUCGUGGUCCCCUACUUGCGAUUCUUGAGUACUUUCUUGAAGAUGACAUCUUUCUCAGUUUUUGGAAGAUUCCUUGCUUGACUUUCCCAGGAAAGAUGACAACUUUUUUUAGGAUUGAACGAAGAAGACAAACGGGAAUGGAGGAUCGAUGCUUUCUAGGGUUUUUGAGAGAAAAGUGAAGAGGAAUCGACAGUUCAUGAUCAGUUAAAAAGAGAGAUAGACAAACCGUCAUAAAGGAAAUAAAAAUAUGCCUUUUCAAAAUAACUGUCUUUUUCCGCAAAAAUAGCUAUUUCAAAAAUAACUUCCCUUUUGAAAAUGAAACGAUGCAAUAUUUACGUCAAUUAAAUAUAGCAACAAUUUAAACACAGUCUGACGAUCGUACCUUUUCAAGAUGAGAUUCAAGGGAGAAAGACUUACAGUCUGACGGACGUACCAAGACUGUCUUUCAGAUAAAGUCUUGUAAGUCUGAGUCUGAAAGUCUUUAGACUUUAAUAUCCUCAUACCUCAAAAUGUUGAGUCUGGACCGUAUAGACUCAAAUUGAUUUUUCUCCAAAGGCUUUGUGAAUAUAUCCGCCAGUUGAUUCUUUGAGUCAACAAAUUGAAUUGAAACAUCUCCAUUUUGAACAUGAUCUCUAAUAAAGUGAUGUCGAAUCUCUAUAUGCUUUGCUCUUGAGUGGAGAAUUGGAUUUUUGGUGAGGUUGAUAGCGCUGGUGUUGUCGCAAUUAAUCUCCGUGCAUGAGUCUUCAAUUCAAAGUCUCNNNNNNNNNNNNNNNNNNNNNNNNNNNNNNNNNNNNNNNNNNNNNNNNNNNNNNNNNNNNNNNNNNNNNNNNNNNNNNNNNNNNNNNNNNNNNNNNNNNNNNNNNNNNNNNNNNNNNNNNNNNNNNNNNNNNNNNNNNUUCCCGAAGUGCUUUUUCUAUCAACUCUGCAACCGGCCAGAUCUGCGUCUAAAUAUCCCAGGAGAUUAAAGUCUCCCUUCUUAGGAUACCAAAGACCGAUGCUUGAUGAUGAAGCCACGUAUUUAAUGAUGCGUUUCGCAGCACUAAGAUGGGAUUCUCUAGGAUCUGAUUGAAACCUAGCACAGAUGCAAACACUCAACAAAAUGCCAGGUCUAGAAGUGGUAAGAUAAAGAAGUGAACCAAUGAUGCUCCUGCACAGCUUUUGAUCAACUUUAUUCCCUUCUUCAUCUUUGUCUAUCUUCAAAGAACUUGACAUCGGUAUGUCGGUCUUUUUGCACUUCUCCAGUCCAAAUCUUUUGACAAGAUCAUUAACAUAUUUUUCUUGAUAAAUAAAAGUUCAUUCCUUCAAUUGUUUUACUUGAAGACCAAGAAAGAAUGUUAACUCUCCCAUCAUACUCAUUUCAAAUUCAUCCUGCAUAGACUUAGAAAAUUUCUUGCACAAAUUUUCAUUAGAAGAUCCGAAAAUAAUGUCAUCCACAUAUAUUUGAACAAGUAAGAAACUUUUGAUCUCCUUUUUGAUAAAUAAAGUCGUAUCUACUUUACCUUUGAUAAAACCAUUUUGUAUUAAAAACUUACUUAAUCUGUCGUACCAAGCUCGAGGUGCUUGCUUUAAACCAUACAAAGCCUUUUUCAGUCUGAAGACUGAGUCUGGCUUCUUUGGGUCUUCAAACCCUGGUGGUUGUUCUACAUAAACUUCCUCAUGGAUAAAUCCAUUUAGGAAGGCGCUUUUGACGUCCAUUUGGAAUAACCUGAAAUUCUUAUAACAAGCAAACGCAAGUAAUAGUCGAAUAGCUUCUAACCUUGCUACUGGAGCAUAAGUCUCAUCAUAGUCUAUUCCUUCUUCUUGCGUAUAUCCCUUGGCCACGAGUCUUGCUUUGUUUCGUACGACUUUUCCUUUCUCAUUCAUCUUGUUUCUGAACACCCAUUUAGCUCCAAUAAUAGUUUUACCUAUUGGUUUGGAUGUCAAUUCCAAGACAUCAUUAAUGCUGAACUGUCUGAGCUCUUCUUGCAUAGCUUCAAUCCAGCUUUCAUCAGACAAAGCUUCUUCUAUGCUUUUUGGUUCAAUUUCAGAAACAAGAGACACAGCACUAGACUCUUCUCGCCUUUUGGAUCUGGUGCGAAUUCCUUCAUUAAUUUCGCCAAUNNNNNNNNNNNNNNNNNNNNNNNNNNNNNNNNNNNNNNNNNNNNNNNNNNNNNNNNNNNNNNNNNNNNNNNNNNNNNNNNNNNNNNNNNNNNNNNNNNNNUGGUUCCUCAUCAUCAACAAACUUGGUCUGCUGUCUUGAAAGUUUUGUUUCUUUGAGUUGAACCUUCUUCCUUUUCUAUUCAAUUUUCUGAAUCUUCUUAUCAUGAGAGCAAGCUCCUCAUCGUCCAUAUCUUCUUCAGAAUCUGUAUCAUCAGAAUCAUCAUUUGAUUUUAAUGCAAUGGAUUUCUUACCUUUUGGAUCUUCAUCUUCAUUGAUCCGUUCCACUUCAUAAGACUGAAGAGUUCCAAUUAGCUCGUCGACAGAUAGUGGCAUAAUUCUCUGCGUCUCUCUUAUCGAAGUCUUUAUGUGAUUCCAAUCCCUGGAGAGUCCACGCAGUAGCUUGUUUACCUUCAUGGGAUCAGAAGUUGGUUGACCUUGAUUUUCAAGACCAUUCACAAUAUCUGUAAAACGACUAAACAUGUCAGAUAUUGAUUCUCCUGGUUUCAUUCUGAAGGCUUCGUAUUGACCGAGAAGAAUGUUGAUUCUUGUUUCCUUCACUCGAUCUGUUCCUUCAUAAGUGAUAUGCAAUCUGUCCCAAACUUCUUUUGUUGUACCACAAGAAGAUAUGCUAUUAUAUUCAGUUGGUGAUAAAGCACAAUAUAAGGAGUAAAUUGCUUUUGCAUCGAAUGCUUGUCUCUUGAUUAUUUCUUCUUGAGACAUUCCGCUGGUUUCAUCAGUUUCUUUUCCUCUUUCAGAGACUGAUGCAGUGGUAGGAGUAAUUCCUUUUUCUACAACGUCCCAUUCCAGAGGAUCCUUUGAUCGUAGGAAAGCUUUCAUCUUGUUCUUCCAGAUGUUGUAAUCCUUUCCAUCAAAGUAGGGUGGUCUGGUAUUGCUUUGCCCUUCCAUCAGCCCUGGUGCUAGCAUACUAGCCAUGGAUCUUUUACUACAAAGUAAAACACUUCAAAUAAAGUAAGUACACAGGCUCUGAUACCAAUUGAUAUUGCUAGUAUGAGUACCUAGAGAGGGGGUGAAUAGGUGCAUAAACAAUUUAUCGAAAUACGGAAGUGAUUCUUAGCAUAUGAUAGAAAGUAAAUUCUCUCUUAAUUAACAAAAUGAAAUACGAUCGAGGUAGAGAGAGUGAGGAAGAGAAAAUUGAACACAGGAUUUAUAGUGGUUCGGCUUAUUCCAAGCCUACGUCCACUCUUCCGCACUGACAGCCCACCGGCUGGAUUUCACUAUGAUCAAAAGAGAAGUUACAGCACAGCUUUACCUUGAUUCCACAGUGUAGAUUUUCUACCACACCUCCUCAAGGUUUCUCACAAAUAUAGACUCUCUUUUGUAUACAAGUGUUCGCUCAAAGGAUUUGUCUAAACAAAAAGAAGCUUCAGACUUUGGAAUUCUUCUAUUGUGCACACCUUGAACAACUAAGACAGUCUUCCUUAUAUACUCCUUUAUGCCAUCAUACCCGUUGGCACUUACCAAAGGAAUUCCUCCAAUCUACCCAUUGGACGGAAUCAAUUAGGAAGAUUGUUCAAGCUAUUAAAGGAACGUGUUGAUAGCCCAUCAACCUUGUUCGCCCAUACAAUCAGGAUCUCGGUUUCCAUAAGCAGAACCUUCCAAUAAUAUUUAGGCAAUCACCGGAUCUUCAAUUUAUCGAGUCAAUCUUCGAUCAAUCAAAGGACUCCGUUAUGUCUUCUCCAGCCACAAGAUCUUCUCCAGUUGAUAAGGUCAAAUCCUUAACGAAACAUCCAGUUCUGGAUAACCUUUCUUCAACGGAUUAGAGACUGUCAAUGAGGAUAGACUUUGAGUCUUGAGUCUGGCUGUCCGGAGGUCUUCAGACUUUAAAUAGCAGAGUCUGCAAGCCUUCAGACUAGACUGAUAGAAACGUUUUGUCAACUUCAAAACACUUCAAGAAGAUUUCUCCAACACCCUGCUUGCGAUUCUCGAAGACUUUCUUGAAUACGACAUCUUUCUCAGUUUUUGGAAGAUUCCUUGCUUGACUUUCCCAAGAAAGAUGACAACUUUUUCGAAGAUUAAACAAGGGAAGAAAACGGGAAUGGAAGAUCGAUGCUUUCUAGGAUUUUUUAGAGUAAAGUGAAGGGAAAUCAACAGUGCACGAUCGGUUAAAAAAGGGAGAUAAACGAACCGUCACAAAGGAAAAUAAAAAGAUGCAUUUUCAGAAUAACUGUCCUUUUUCCGCGAAAAUAGUCAUUUCAAAAAUAACUUCCUUUUUGAAAAGGAGACGAUACAAUAAUUACGCCGAUUAAAUAUAGCAAUUUAAACACAGUCUAAUGGUCGUACCUCUUCAAGAUAAGAUUCGAGAGAGAGAGAGAAACUAACUUACAGUUAAAGUCUUGUAUGUCUGAGUCUGAGAGUCUUUAGACUUUGAUUUCCUCAUACCUUAAAAUGUUGAGUCUGGAACGGAUAGUUUCAAAUUGAUUUUUCUCCGAAGGCUUUGUAAAUAUAUCCGCCAGUUGGUUCUUUGAAUCAACAAAUUGAAUUGAAACAUCUCCAUUUUGAACAUGGUCUCUAAUGAAGUGAUGUCGGAUUUCUAUAUGCUUUGCUCUUGAGUGGAGAAUUGGAUUUUUGGUGAGGUUUAUAGUGCUGGUGUUGUCGCAAUUAAUCUCUGUGCAUGAGUCUUCAAUUCCAAAGUCUCUUAGCUGUUGUUUUAUCCACAGAAUUUGCGAACAACAACUUCCGAGAGCUAUAUAUUCUGCUUCUGUUGUAGAGAGAGCUACUGUACUUAGCUUUCUUGAAAACCAAGACACUGUCCUGCCUCCAAGUACUUGACAAGUACCCGAUGUGCUCUUUCUAUCUACUCUGCAUCCAGCAAGGUCUGCGUUUGAAUAUCCAAGAAGAGUAAAGUCUCCGCUUUUUGGAUACCAGAGACCAAAGCUUGAAGUUGAUGAAAUAUAUUUGAUAAUACGCUUCGCAGCAUUCAAAUGAGAUUCUUUUGGGUCUGAUUGAAAUCUGGCACAAAUGCAAACACUAAACAGAAUGUCAGGUCUAGAAGCAGUAAGAUAAAGAAGUGAGCCAAUGAUACUCUUGUAUAGCUUCUGGUCGACUUUCUUUCCUUCUUCAUCUUUGUCUAUCUUCAAGGAGCUUGACAUUGGUAUUUCAGCCUUCUUGCAAUUGUUCAAACCAAACUUUUUGACGAGAUCAUUAGCAUAUUUUUCUUGAUGAAUAAAAGUUCAUUCCUUCAAUUGUUUCACUUGAAGUCCAAGAAAGAAGGUUAACUCACCCAUCAUGCUCAUUUCAAAUUCAUCCUACAUAAUCUUAGAAAAUUUCUUGCACAGACUUUCAUUAGAGGAUCCAAAGAUAAUAUCAUCGACAUAUAUUUGAACAAGCAGAAAACUUUUGCUUUCUCUUUUAAUAAAAAGAGUAGUGUCUACUUUACCUUUAACAAAUCCAUUUCGAAUUAAAAACUUACUUAAUCUGUCGUACCAAGCUCGAGGUGCUUGUUUUAAGCCAUAUAAGGCCUUUUUGAGUCUAAAUACUGAGUCUGGUUUCCUUGGGUCUUCAAACCUAGGUGGUUGUUCCACAUAGACUUCCUCAUGGAUGAAUCCAUUAAGGAAGGCACUUUUGACAUCCAUUUGGAAUAACCUGAAAUUUUUAUGACAAGCAAAUGCAAGUAAUAAACGAAUUGCUUCUAACCUUGCUACCGGUGCAUAAGUCUCGUCAUAGUCGAUCCAUUCUUCUUGUGUGUAUCCCUUGGCCACGAGUCUAGCCUUGUUUCUUAUGACUUUUCCUUUCUCAUCCAUCUUGUUCCUAAAAACCCAUUUAGCUCCAACAAUUGAUUUACCUUUUGGUUUAGGAGUCAGCUCCCAGACAUCAUUAAUUCUGAAUUGUCUAAGUUCUUCUUGCAUAGCUUCAAUCCAGCUCUCAUCGGAUAAAGCUUCUUCUAUGCUCUUGGGUUCUAUUUCAGAAAUAAGAGCCACAGCACUAGACUAUUCUCGCCUUUGGAUCUUGUGUGAAUUCCUUCAUUGAUGUCGCCAAUAAUAAGAUCUUUGGGAUGACUGGACUUAUGUUUCCAGUUGCUGGUUAAUUUAUCAGAUUGAUGGUCACUUCCUUCACUUGAAUCUUCAAUAGUCACUUGCUGCUGGUCUUUCAAAGUCUGAGCUUCUUCUUGAGAUUUAGACUUUGUAGAGUCUGGAGCAGAUUCAGUCUCUUCAAGAUGAGUCUGAAUAGAUUCAUUUUGUAUAGAAUCUUGGAAUUUGACAUUCAUUGAUUCUUCCACAGUUUGAGUCUUCUUGUUGUAGACUCUAUAUGCUUUGCUUGUGGUUGAAUAUCCAAGGAAGAUGCCUUCAUCUGAAUUUUCUUCAAACUUACCAACUCGAUCAUUUGGAUUUUUCAAUAUGAAACAUUUGCAUCCGAAUACAUGAAAAUAUGAAACAAUGGGCUUCUUUUCUUUGAAUAGUUCAUAGGGGGUUUUUUUUCUAGAAUAGGCCUUAGAAAAACUCUAUUGAUAAUAUAGCAUGAUGUUGAAACUGCUUCAGCCCAAAACCGUAAAGAGAUAUUGCUUUCAAUUAAGAGAGUUAUAGCCAUUUCUUGAAGAGAUCUAUUCUUCCUUUCUACAACUCCAUUUUGCUCUGGAGUAUAUGGAGAAGAGAACAAAUGCAGAAAACCAGAUUCUUCACAAAAUUUAGCAAAAUCUUGAUUUUCAAAUUCACCUCCAUGGUCUGUUUUUAUACUUGAAAUAACAUACCCCUUUUCAUUUUUAACCUUCUUAGCAAAAUUUUUAAAGUAAGAGAAAGUUUCAGACUUACUUGCCAAGAAAUAUACCCAAGUUUCAGUUCUGGAUAACAUUUCUUUAACGGAUUAGAGACUGUCAAUGAGGAUAGACUUUGAGUCUUGAGUCUGGCUGUUCGGAGGUCUUCAAACUUUAAAUAGCAGAGUCUGCAAGCCUUCAGACUAGACUGAUGGAAACGUUUUGUCAGCUUCAAAACACUUCAAGAAGAUUUCUCCAACAUAAGGCAGUCUUGGUAGCAAGGGUAAGAGCUAAGAAGAGAUGUAUUAAAAGUUUUCACACUUAGGAUGGUUAGAAGCAAAGUGCAUGAAAAAGCUAACCCACCAAAUUGGAGAGCUAAAGUUUCGACCAAAAUAAAAUAAAAUUGGAGUGCUAAAGUAACAAAAGAAUUAAAAAACAAAAACAUAAAAGUACAAAGGAAUUACUCCUUGAAUUUAAUAACAUAUCUCCCACCUCCAAACUUGCCAAAAAAGAAAUAGAACUUUGACUGAAUACUUACCCGGUUUUUGCUUUAUUUGUUUUCGAUGAAUGACAUAAUUGAUUCCCUUAUCGAAAAUAAUUUUGAAAACAUACAUGGUAUUCAUUCAAUUUCAAACCACCUAAACGAGAAUUUAUCCAAGUUUGGGCAUAUAAUUAAUGAAAGUUCGAAGCAGAAGUUAAUGGAGUGGUUUAGGACCCCUGCAUACCCUUGCUUUUUCUUCAACUCCCAUCCUUCGAUUUUGGCUACACUUUUGAGGGCAUCCUCCCACUUCAGCCUCGUUUGGCAACCAAACUUCUCUUCAUGCUCCUCCAAAGCGCUAACGUACCGUUGAGACUUAAGCUUAACAUCACAAGGCUUAACAUUGUAGAAAAUCGGCAUAAUCUCCUUCUCGGAUGGUUUGGAUUUCUUGCACUCCACCAUGCGUGUGAGCUCGUGAAGGCACCACACGCUCGAAGCAUAACCUUUAGAGAAGAUGGGUAUGUAGAUCUUCGACUUUUCAAUGGUCACCGGUAGCUCAUCAACUAUUUCUUUGCCGACGUGGAGCUCUUCCUCAUCGAGGAAAGAUGUUUGCUUGUAGCAUUUGGUGAUAAAGACAAUCCGUGAAGCCUUGGCGAGUGUCCGACCCCCUGAAACUCAAGAAGACGUCGUAGUCAAUCGCCGAUGGCUCACCAUCGCUCGUUCCUGCCUCCGAGCCGUUUCCCAUGUCCAUUCUCACAAGUAUUUUCUUCUGAGGGUUUCCUCUCUCGUAGCACCUGAACAAGAAAGGCUCGCUCACUUUACCAGCAGCGAAGUUCGUUUAUAUUACCCUUCGGACCUAUCUUCCUAGAACUUUCCCCACUGUUUUCACAUAAGAAAAGUAAACCAAUUCGAGUCUUCGUCAACUCUAAAAUGGCGUAACCAGUACGCGUGGCUUUUUGACCCCCGGUGGACUGUGCUUCUUGUAGAGUCGACUUUCACGAACGCCCAAUAUGUAAGUCGUUCUUGGACCUGAACAAGUCCUUAAAAGGUUCCCUCCUGAAUCAGAUAUCCCAGGAGGUCUUCUCCCCCACAAGCCAUUUAAGGCAAGUGAGGGGGAAGAAAAUAUGGGAUAAUAUCCCCAUUGGGUACCCCGACCAACACCCCGAAAGGGGAAGGGGCCCACAUCUGGAUCCUCGUGAAGCCUUCCCCAGGGGUGCCUGGCGUGGUUCAGGGAAAUGAAAGAUGCUUCUCCUGGUGGACUGUGUUUCUUGUAGAGUCGACUUUCACGAAUGCCCAAUAUGUAAGUCGUUCUCAAAGGAAAUAAAAUAUUGAGGAAAUUACAGUACUAGUCCUUGUUUUCUCCAUGAUUUCAUUUUUGGUCCCCAACUAUGCUUUUUUUUUUUUUGAUGGGCACAGACAAAUCGAGAUUAGAAUUUUAUUUUACUUCCUUAAGUCUAGUAUCUUUUUCAAACUAAGUGAUAUUUUUGACAUUGUUUUUUUUUUACUUGAAAAGGAAAUUCUCCCCUUUUAUUAGUUAAUUUCUUUCCUAAAUUUGUCUGGAGAGACUUUCUUUUGUCUUUUUUUUUUUUUUUGGUAGUGCUCGCAUCUUCAUUUUCUUUAAACUUAAGCAAUCGAAACUUGCACAUGAAAACGUUGACAUGUGGAAGAUUUCUCCAUGGAAAGAACGAAGCAAUGCCACCUCCUGCAGCUUGUUGGCUGUCGUCCCCCGUUGGCCGCCUCCUGCUACCCACUACCAUCGGCCACCCGGAAAGAAGAAAUUUUGUAUUGUUAUCAAACGAAUUUUUAUUUCAAAAAUAAAAAUUUUAUAUUAUCAUCAAACAUGUAAAAAUGUAUAUUUAUGGCUAAAAAUUGAUUUCUAGAAUAGAAAUCGCACACAACAUGAGUCCAUAAGCAAGCAACAACCAAAAAAAAAGAGAAGGGAUCACGACGCGAAUCAAGAAUCAAGGUAGAUUUUCCAAUAGAGUCACUUACUUUAAAAAAAAAAAAAAAGAUCAUUAAAAAAUUUAAUAAAACAUUUAAAUGAAUAAAAAUUAAGAAAAAAAUAAAAGAAAAAGGGCAUUGGCUGGCAAAAGUAGCCUGGCAUGGUUAAAAGCACAACAAUAGAGAGAAGAAAAAGGUGGGCACGCGUGAGAAAGGACAUACUGGCAAAAGCAGUGGAAAUGGUGAGCGCUUGCUUGGCAAAUUCCGAUGGACGUGCCAGGGCCAUUCUGGUAUAUUCAUUCAGAGAUAAAAAAGACGGAUCCCCGGAUUUUUUUUUUUUUUUUUUUUGGUGGGGGAGAGGGAGGAUAGGAAGGAGGGAGGGAAGAGUCCCUCAUCCCGCUGCAAAUCUUGCUUUGGUCAUAGGGAUGGGUUUGGUUUGUUUCGUUUUCGUUUUCGUUUUCCUACGUCGUUUUUGUUUUUGUUUUUUUCCCUUUUUUGCCCUUUUUCUGGAGGACAGACGAAUCAAUUUAUUUAUUUUUAAAAUUAAUCUUCUUUUCGGACAACUCUUUUUUCCCCCUCGUGGCCGGCCCCCCACACACAAAGCUCUGACAGUUAAGCAAGGACAAGCGUAGGUCGAGUUCAUCACGGGGGAGGACUCUCUUUUUUCUUUCUUUUUUCUCUUUGGGAGGGUCCGGUCCCGCGUCGCGGGGCGGAAGGAGAGGGGCCCAGUCCGUGAUUGUCGGCAGCUAGGCGGAAAUUUAGAUUCAUUUCCAUUAUAUUCGUAUUAUUAUCCAAGGAUUGUGUUCCAUUUAGAUUACAUUACGCUAAAUUUUCGUAAUUACAAGAACGAUUUUUAGGAAAGCAACUUAUUUUGGCAAGUUGCGUCCGGAUAUAAAUAUAUAUAUUCCUUGACAAUUUUGUACAUCUCAAAAGUCUUGCACAGACUUCCCAUUCGCUACUCAUAGGGUCUCAUCUUGAAACUCGACAUCAAGGCCUUAUGUCAUUUUAUUAGACGCGGCUCGGGUUUUUAUUUUAGUCGUACUUUAUUUAUUUUAAUUGCUUUGAUUAUUGAUUUUUUUUUUUUUGCUUGAGUGUUUCCCCUUGUCGGAGCACCUAAUCAAUGAAAGGCUCAUUCACUUUGCGUUUGUAUAAAUACAUCCAUGUCAUAUUUACUCUAAAUUAAAAUUCAGGUCUAGAAAUAGAGCUCUCAAGCACAAUACAAACGAAAUUCAGUAAAUUUAACUCUAGGGCUUCUCAGAUCCCACUUUUAGAAAGGUGAUUUUUUUUGUAAAAUAAAUUUAUGAGUAGAUUUCCACACGAACCGUAAAUUUCUAGAUUUAUUAGCUAAUUCGUUUCCUAGAUAUAUUUGGAGUGACUUUAUAUAUAUAUUGCGGUACUCGCACUUUGGCUUUCUUUAGUAUUAAGCAAUCAAAACUUUCUCAUAAAAAUGUUGACAUGUACAUUCACCUAAAUUUUUUUUCAUAAUUCUCUAAAAUUUAAAUUACAAUAUUACUAAUUUGAUGGGAAAGCAAAAAAGUCGUUCUUACUUUUUAUAAGCCCAAACAAAUAGACCCUUAUCUCUAGGUUGUUUUAUGGAUUCGACUAUUUGAAUUCAGAUGUGAAAAUUAAGUUUUUUUCCCCUUUUGCGCUUAGUGACUGGUUCCAGGCCUUUUAUUAAGCAUUCCGAGUUUUGCAACUACACAUACAACACCAAAAAAAAAAAUACUUGGUAAAGACAGCUAGAAAUUGACUAACAUUUCCAAUUCCAGUACAAGUUAGAAAAUCAAUUUUCUAAAAAGGGGCACGAAAAUGCCCAUUAUCAACCUUGAAAUGCACAAGACAGAAACAGAUCCACCAAAUUGCACACUAGAUGAGUCCACCGGCAAGUAACAAACAAAGAAAAAAGAAGGAAUCUCCGAGCGAAUCAAGUACUCACAAAGGAAAGAGAAAAAUCGCCACUAGUUCCUUCCGAUUCUAGUUUCAAGCACCAGUUCUCAGGCAGAACCGUAAGUUUAGCACAAUACAGUGGGAACCGAACUAACUAUUAUGGUUGAAACGGCACUGACGUUCACCCCUAAUUUUAAUUGUACUUAUUUGACAGUGGAGCAGGUAACUCGUGUUUUUUAUUUCAAAAGUCAAAAGAUUCCACCAGGAAUUACGCUUAGCCGCCAAUUCCUCUUUCUCUCUAGCUUGAAUUUUGGAUUAACAAGCUUUCCUUUUCUUUUCUUUUUUUCUGUGGUUGCUUUUGUAUCAGCAUUAAAAGUUUAUAUUUCUAGAUAUCUCAACAUUUAAAUUAAUGGAUUGCUUUUUUAAUGAUCGCAAUAUUCUUCAUUUAGGAAAAGUUAAAGUAAGCUCUUGUAGAAGAACUCAAUAUCAAAUCUAAGAAGCCGUGUUGAUAUCUUUUUUAUUAGCAAAAGAAAAAUUUUAAAGUCAGCUUAAUCAAUCUAUCUAAACCAAACCAAACCAUGUAUCUCAAUGGUAAGUUUAUUUGAUUUCUUGCACAUUGUUUUGUAAUAAAUUUUGACUAAAUAAAACAGUUAAACAAAUUUUAAUUUUCUUUUUUGACAUUAAUUUUUGAAAUUUUACUAUCAUAAUACAUCACUUUGAGUCCAUUUAUUUCGCAAAAUUUUUCCUUUUGGAAAGCAUUCUUCAUAAUUUUUGUUAUGUUUCAUUUAGGAAAAUGAGUCCAAAGAAACGAUUUUCAUGAUCACUAAAAAAUUUAUACUCAAAUUUAGUAAAUAAAUUCUUUAAAAAGUUAGAUUUUUUUUUGGUAAAUAUGACAAGACUUCAGCAUUUGGAGUAUCCCGAUUAUUCCUCCGAGCUACUUUCGGUUGAAAAAUGAAUUGCGACUAUCUUGCCCCUACUGAUGCUCGGUCUAAGAGAGGAUGGCUACUUUUGCGUAGCAUUUUAUACCCUUUUUUGGAACAUCUGAGAGAAUUUCAGAGUGACUUUGAUUUAUCUCGUAACAAAAUAUUGACAACAUAAUGUGCUACAAGUGGGCAACUAGAUUCUUUCAAGUGUCACCUGCUUAUCAUAAAUAAUAAUAAUAAUAAUAAUAAUAAUAAUAAUAAUAAUAAUAAUAAUAAUAAUAAUAAUAAUAAUAAAUUUAAUUAAUUAAAAAAUUAAAGAAAAGGAAUUGGCAGGCAAAAACAGCCUGGCAUGUACGCAUAAAAGCACAAUAACAGAGAAGAAAAAGAGGGCACGCGUCAAAAAGGACAAACCGGCGAAAGCAGCGGGCAAAAAGGGAUAAUGGAAAGAUAAGAUAAAAAAGAGAAAAGUUCAAAAAAUUUACAAAUUAUAAAAAUUAUCCACCUCAGCAUAGUCGUAUCGCAUAAGAUUGCCGAGAAUGUUUAGAAGUAUAUAAAAGGUUUAGGAUUAAAUUAGUAAUUCAUCAAAAAUUUUAAGAUUAAAUUGACACGAUUAGAAUUAGUAAGUCGUCAAAAAAUUUAUAAUUAAAUUAAUAUAAUUAAAAUAUUUAAAAUUGAAUUUGUUGCUAAGCUAUAAAUUUAGAUUUUUUUUGGAUAAUUUUUCCUCAUCGCUGGCCAUAUUUGAUACCUAAAUUUUCAUAACUAAGAGUCUGUCACUUACAUUAAAAAAACAAAAUAAAAAUAAUUAAACGAAUAAAAAUGACAAAACAGAGAAAAAGGAAUUGAUAGGCCAAAACAGCCUGGCAUGGGGCGGAUAAAAGCAGAGCAACAGAGAGGAAAUGGCAGAACGCUCGGUGUGUAAAAAGAUGCCGAGUGAUGCUCGUGCUCGGUGGGGCAUGGAUAUUUGGUUUCCUGUUUUCAUGUUUAAUUGAGUUAACUUAGCACUUGGUUUUCUAUUCAAUGCAUUUUUUUUAUAUAAAUGUCUGGAGAAAAAUAAAUAAUUAAAAAAAUAAAAAGAAAGAAAGAGGGAGACGAAAACAGCCUGCCAUGCAACCCAUGAAAGCACGAGAUUAGAGAAAAUGGUUAAUACCACGAAAAAACCCAAAAUAAUACACUUGCAAUAAAUUUACCUCAAAAUUUCAAAGUCAGCUUAACCGAUCCACCAAAAUGAAUCCAAACUAUGUAUCUCAAUAGUAAGUUGAAUUGAUUUCCUAUACAUUGUUUUGUAAUUAAUUGUUAUCGACCAAAUAAAAUAGUUAAAAAAAAAUUAAUCUUCCUUUUGACAUUAUCUUUCGAACUAUUAUUACCAUAAUACAUUUCUUAGGACCCAUUUGUUAUGCGGAAAAAAUUUCUAUCGGAAAAUGUUCUCCAUAAUUUUUGGUGUUUGGAUCAGUUUGGUAUAUGACUCAAUAAAAAAUAUUCUCACGGUCAAUGGAAAACUCAUACUUAAAUUUAAUAUAAUGAAUUCUUUAAAAAAUUAGAAAAUAUUUUUUGAUAUAUGACAAGACUCCGACACUUGGAUUAUCCUAAUUACUACUUUGAGGUACUUUUGAAUAUACUGUGAAAAAUGAAUUGCAAUUUUCUUUCACCUACCAAUGCUCGGUCUAGAAGAGGGUGGCUCUCUUUGCAUAGCAUUUCUUAUUCUUUUUGGAACAGCAAGACAAUUAAGAAUGACUUUGAUUUACCUCAAAACAAAAUGCUGACAAUAUGGCGUGCUCUAUGCGGGCACCAUGAUUUAUCCAAGGUGUCAUUGCUUUAAAAAUAAUAAUAAUAGAAAAUAAUAAUAGAAAUACAAAUGAUGAUGAUAAAGGCAGGGAUAUUUGUGCUCCCACGUGAUAGUUGAUUGAGGGGAAGUCCAGAUAUCUAGUUGGUUGUUUUCAUGUUUAAGGCUCCAUUUAUUUUGGAGAACUAGAUAAUUUAAAAAAAUAUUUUUAAUUAUUAUUUUUAUUGUCUAUAUAAAUGAAUAUACAAAAAAUAUUUUCAUCCUUCAUGAAAAUAUUUAAUGAUAAAUUGUUGUCGAUGAUGAUAACAUUUUUUAUUGGCUAAUUGUUUCAAACAAUACAAGUAAUCAUUUUCUAAAAGUGCUUUCUCAUCAUUAAUUUUCCAUGACAAAAAUGAAGCCUAAGUUAACUUACUACAUGGUUUCUAGUAAAUUUGAAAAAUAUNNNNNNNNNNNNNNNNNNNNNNNNNNNNNNNNNNNNNNNNNNNNNNNNNNNNNNNNNNNNNNNNNNNNNNNNNNNNNNNNNNNNNNNNNNNNNNNNNNNNNNNNNNNNNNNNNNNNNNNNNNNNNNNNNNNNNNNNNNNNNNNNNNNNNNNNNNNNNNNNNNNNNNNNNNNNNNNNNNNNNNNNNNNNNNNNNNNNNNNNNNNNNNNNNNNNNNNNNNNNNNNNNNNNNNNNNNNNNNNNNNNNNNNNNNNNNNNNNNNNNNNNNNNNNNNNNNNNNNNNNNNNNNNNNNNNNNNNNNNNNNNNNNNNNNNNNNAAUUUUUAUUAAUAAUAAUAAUAAUAAUAAUAAUAAUAAUAAUAAUAAUAAUAAUAAUAAUAAUAAAUUACAUCUUGCGUGUUAGUAAUUUGGCUUGUUUCUUCUUAAAAAAUAUCAUAAAAAAUAUGUUUAGGAGUCCCUUUGGGGAAAUUUAGAUUUAUUUGCAUUAUAUUUGUAUUAUUCUUCGAGUAUUGUGUUCCAUUUAAAUUACAUUAUGCCAAUUUUUCAUUUUAAGGAGCUAAGCAAGUUACAUCCGCAUAUUUAUAUAUCCUUAAAAAAAAGGGUCAUUUUAGAAAACUUGCAUGGACUUUCCAUUUACCACUCCCGGGGUCAUGUCCCGAUGCUUAUUAACGAGGCCUAUUUUAUUUUAUCGGAUGCGACUCGGAUUUUAUUUUAUUCGCACUUUAGUUAUUUUCGCCUGAGGGUUUCUCUGUCGGAGCAUAAAAAGUAGGCUGAGUAUCCACCACUGAAUUUUGUAUGUAUUACGCUUGACUUAAGACAUCUAUUCCUAGAACAUUCCCUAGUCGAAUGGUCUUUGGAUAGCACUAACCAAAACCGAAAUUUCUAGUCGAGUCUACGUCAACCCUAAAACAACUGUUUUUACAUUUUUAUUUUUUUUGGUCGAACCUUAUGGUAGACUUGACUUUUGACAAACUCACAAUAUGCAAGUCCUUCUAAAUGGAUAUCAAAUAUUCAGAAAACUACGGUAUUAGUCCUUGGUAUUCCCAAUAUGUCAUUUUCGGUCCCCGGCUAUGCUCUCUUUUUUUUUUUUUUUUUUUAAUGGGCACAAAUAAUCGAGAUUAUAGUUUUGUUUUACUUCCUUAACUCUAGGAUUUUUGAGAUACUGAUUUCAAAUAUAGGUGAUAUUUUUGAAAUAGAUUUAUGAUUAGAUUUCUUUUACUCAAAACAGUAAAUUUUCACGUUUAUUAGCUACUCGUUUCCUUAGAUCAACAGACCUUAUCUUUUACUUUGUNNNNNNNNNNNNNNNNNNNNNNNNNNNNNNNNNNNNNNNNNNNNNNNNNNNNNNNNNNNNNNNNNNNNNNNNNNNNNNNNNNNNNNNNNNNNNNNNNNNNNNNNNNNNNNNNNNNNNNNNNNNNNNNNNNNNNNNNNNNNNNNNNNNNNNNNNNNNNNNNNNNNNNNNNNNNNNNNNNNNNNNNNNNNNNNNNNNNNNNNNNNNNNNNNNNNNNNNNNNNNNNNNNNNNNNNNNNNNNNNNNNNNNNNNNNNNNNNNNNNNNNNNNNNNNNNNNNNNNNNNNNNNNNNNNNNNNNNNNNNNNNNNNNNNNNNNNNNNNNNNNNNNNNNNNNNNNNNNNNNNNNNNNNNNNNNNNNNNNNNNNNNNNNNNNNNNNNNNNNNNNNNNNNNNNNNNNNNNNNNNNNNNNNNNNNNNNNNNNNNNNNNNNNNNNNNNNNNNNNNNNNNNNNNNNNNNNNNNNNNNNNNNNNNNNNNNNNNNNNNNNNNNNNNNNNNNNNNNNNNNNNNNNNNNNNNNNNNNNNNNNNNNNNNNNNNNNNNNNNNNNNNNNNNNNNNNNNNNNNNNNNNNNNNNNNNNNNNNNNNNNNNNNNNNNNNNNNNNNNNNNNNNNNNNNNNNNNNNNNNNNNNNNNNNNNNNNNNNNNNNNNNNNNNNNNNNNNNNNNNNNNNNNNNNNNNNNNNNNNNNNNNNNNNNNNNNNNNNNNNNNNNNNNNNNNNNNNNNNNNNNNNNNNNNNNNNNNNNNNNNNNNNNNNNNNNNNNNNNNNNNNNNNNNNNNNNNNNNNNNNNNNNNNNNNNNNNNNNNNNNNNNNNNNNNNNNNNNNNNNNNNNNNNNNNNNNNNNNNNNNNNNNNNNNNNNNNNNNNNNNNNNNNNNNNNNNNNNNNNNNNNNNNNNNNNNNNNNNNNNNNNNNNNNNNNNNNNNNNNNNNNNNNNNNNNNNNNNNNNNNNNNNNNNNNNNNNNNNNNNNNNNNNNNNNNNNNNNNNNNNNNNNNNNNNNNNNNNNNNNNNNNNNNNNNNNNNNNNNNNNNNNNNNNNNNNNNNNNNNNNNNNNNNNNNNNNNNNNNNNNNNNNNNNNNNNNNNNNNNNNNNNNNNNNNNNNNNNNNNNNNNNNNNNNNNNNNNNNNNNNNNNNNNNNNNNNNNNNNNNNNNNNNNNNNNNNNNNNNNNNNNNNNNNNNNNNNNNNNNNNNNNNNNNNNNNNNNNNNNNNNNNNNNNNNNNNNNNNNNNNNNNNNNNNNNNNNNNNNNNNNNNNNNNNNNNNNNNNNNNNNNNNNNNNNNNNNNNNNNNNNNNNNNNNNNNNNNNNNNNNNNNNNNNNNNNNNNNNNNNNNNNNNNNNNNNNNNNNNNNNNNNNNNNNNNNNNNNNNNNNNNNNNNNNNNNNNNNNNNNNNNNNNNNNNNNNNNNNNNNNNNNNNNNNNNNNNNNNNNNNNNNNNNNNNNNNNNNNNNNNNNNNNNNNNNNNNNNNNNNNNNNNNNNNNNNNNNNNNNNNNNNNNNNNNNNNNNNNNNNNNNNNNNNNNNNNNNNNNNNNNNNNNNNNNNNNNNNNNNNNNNNNNNNNNNNNNNNNNNNNNNNNNNNNNNNNNNNNNNNNNNNNNNNNNNNNNNNNNNNNNNNNNNNNNNNNNNNNNNNNNNNNNNNNNNNNNNNNNNNNNNNNNNNNNNNNNNNNNNNNNNNNNNNNNNNNNNNNNNNNNNNNNNNNNNNNNNNNNNNNNNNNNNNNNNNNNNNNNNNNNNNNNNNNNNNNNNNNNNNNNNNNNNNNNNNNNNNNNNNNNNNNNNNNNNNNNNNNNNNNNNNNNNNNNNNNNNNNNNNNNNNNNNNNNNNNNNNNNNNNNNNNNNNNNNNNNNNNNNNNNNNNNNNNNNNAGAUGGCGGCUGAGUUAGUGAUUUGAAAUGUCCAAUCUUCCUUUUUGUUCAUAGCUUUUCCAAUCUUUUAUCUAGCGCACAUUUGAAUUGAUACAUAUCGUGAAUCUUCUUGGCACAACCCAAUUUCCAAUUUUAGCAUCCCAAUUAUAAGCUGAGUUACGAAAAGGGAAUAAAAAAAAUUAUUUUUUUAGAGGGGCCUUUCGGAACUAGGGAUAGAUGUAUUAAAAGUCCUAAAAAUCAUUAUAAAAGUGCGAUUGAAUCCUAAAACUUUCAAAAAGUACAAUUAAGAUCUAAAACUUAUCAUGAAAGCGCAAUUAGAUCCUAAAAUUUUCAAAAAGUAUAAUUGAGUCAUAAAUCUUUUAAAAAGUGCAAUAGAGUCCUAAAACUUGUUACGAAAGUACAAUUGAGUUCUACAACUAAAAAGUUUUAUCAAUGAAGAGACUUGAUUUGACCAAUUUGAUAAAUUUUAGGAUUUGAUUGUACUUUUUGAAAGUUUUAGGAUUUCAUUGUAUUUUUUGUAAGACUUAAUUACAUUUUUUGAAAGUUUUAAGGCCAAAUUACAUUUUUUUAAAAUAAAUUUUACGACUUCUAAUAUAUUUAUCCUUCGGAAUUACAAUUGUGAAAUAGUACUUUGGAGUGGGUGUACCAUGUCUUCGGAGAUAUAGAUAGAAAAGACAUUGUGCGUUCUAUGACUAAAGAGAUUGCUAUACAAGGUGUGUUGGAAUGAUAUGUCUGAUCAAAUGCAUAACCCAACUCUGUUUGAUGAACUUAACCGUCUCUCAAACGCAUUUCAUCCGAAUUUCCCAACUCAUUUUCCAAGCGAAUUCAUGUCCAAAGCAGAUUUCACGCAGCAAAGCUUAGGUAGAGCACACCCAUUUGUGUUAAUUAUUAGCGAGGGAGCGAUGAAAAAAACUUUCCUUCUUGCCGAAAUGAUUGUGCGGGAUGACAAGUUUCAAGUUGCUCAGACCCAUGCUUAAACUUUAACCUCGUGAGAUGCGCGUUGGUCUCUCGAAUAAGGCAGCUCGUUCUUCUUUGUCACAGCUUUAGCAAGUGAUCCUCAACAUGAAAAAUCAUCAAAUAACGACAAGCAAAUAUUUCCCGACCUCAGGCGGUAACUUGUUCCAAAUUCCCAACUAAGCAAGAUCAAGCGAAACGGCUGGUGUACUCAAAUUUUAGCUUAACCAAAUCACCAGAACACUUCACUACAAGGGUUCUGGAAUCAGAGAUUAUAUCAUCCCUACUCAAUUUUCUACCAUAUUUACGGUUGGAAUUCAAGUUGGCGGAAGACGACUUACUUUUAUCCGAUGCACAAACAACAAUUAGCCCCGGAACGAACGUUGAAUUGCCGAUGAAACACGAACAAAAUUACUUCAUGUUAGUCUAAAUGCAAUCACAAAGAAAGCAUCCGAUUCCCACAGCGUAAAUGCCGAUUGUUCUUGUAAAGGAGAAAUGUAAUGCUUCCUUUUCUUUUGAUGGAAAGGAGACAAGACUGAGAGAGAAUUCUGAGUGUACGUUCUGCCAAACCGUGCCAACGGUUGUCUUCCGGAGUCUUUUAUAUAACUCCAUCACACCCCUUCAAAUGGUGUUUUUCCAUCGUAGCGUAUCAAGUUGAAACUGUGCGUUCACAUCGCACCCCAUCAUGGACGUAAUAAUAAUAAAAUACUACAUUUGCCAAUGUUCAUCUUUGGUUUCUGUGAUCUCCGUGGAAUCGGGGGUGACUUCCCUAGGAAGUUUUGUUCCCCUCUAGCUAACCCCGUCCACCAAAACACUCAGCAUGCAAAUCCACAGUUAAUGAUAGACCAAAAUCCUAUUCAAUCUCCUUAUCCAGCUUAUUCUACCUAAGUGCACCAGACUUAUAAUCCCUGAAUAAAGCCGAGGAAGACACCAACAGAUGAUUAUUAUCAUGUCUCAAGUGAAGCAAUUCCUUUGAGGCAUAUCAUUAAACAGUCACCGUGCAUUAUCCAUUUGGCCGCAAUGGAUCGAUAGCUAAGAAAAACUUCCUGAAACCUCGAAGCGGAUAUAACAGAGACAAUGUCAGAAUGAGUGAUUUCGACUUCGUUUAGGAAGAUCCUAGUAGUACCGGUCGCACGUGGAGCGAAUUAUGGAUCAGUUCCUGCUGUUGAGCUUGAGACUGCGGCAGGGAUGAAGCGACAGGAGCUUCGUGUAUGGAGGUUGUGGUUGCGGAGAAGAAGAUGGCUCCAUAGAAAGGAAGAUGGCGAAGCAACUGAGAGAGAGCAACGGAGAGAGAGUUUGGCGGGCCGAGCCCGACUUGAGCUACAGUGAUCGAGCUUUAUGGAUGGGCUGGAUUAGUGACCCGAUGGGUUGGGUGCUUUAUUUAUUAUCUUUUAUUAUAUCUUUAUUUAAAUUUUAACAAAACUCUAAUAUUUAAUUUGCCGGUAAAAAUUCAGAUGCCAACAGUUUACUUUUAUUUAUUUAUUUUAAAUUCCAGCAAAUUUGCUCUUCAGGGGUCAUAAAUUACUGCAUUUGUAUCAUUCUCGUACCCUUUAAUUUGCUAGUAAUCAUUCAAUUUAAAAGAAAUUACUAGUAAUGAUACUUUAGAUACCUUUACUUUGAAAAACCAUUUAUUUUCCUGUCGAAAGGCAACGACAAAUCAACGUUCACAAAAAUCCAACAAUUUCCAUCUCUAUACUAAUUUUUCACUUUUUCGGCGAAACACAUAUAAAAUCAGGUGAGGUCUAUAUAGGCCAAGAUUGAAAGAGGAACCGCAUGGCUAGACUUGCCUAUGUGCACUUCGAGCUCGGGAAGGUCUAGUGGGCUGUGAUAUUUAGGGAUUGCAAUUGUCUUUUAUGGCUAGCGAUGGAGGGAUGAGAUUUGAGUAAUUAUGUUCACUUCACCUUUGACACUAGAAGUGGCUGAUUAGUGAUGUUGCUUUCUUUUAACUCAGGAAUGCAAUGGGUUACCUAUCUAUUUACUGCUCGUUUGUGAAGUAUUGAAAUGACUUUUAUUUAGGAAAAGCAAUCGGAUGAAGCUCAUCCAGUAAAAUGUCUCGGAUACAUCAAGUUGCUUGGACCCCAUGCUUUUGUCCAUGGCCUUACCCGUAACCCUAGCAUUACCUUACCCGUAAUCCUAGCAUUAAGCUAGAAGAUGCGGCACAUAUUGAAUAUCAAAAGGGCACCCCAAAAAAUGACAAGUUUCUAGUAAGUCAGAAAAAUAACUCGCUACUAAUACUGUCGGCUAACAUUAAAUAAUGAUAGCCUGCUGAUAUGAUUAUAUUGAGAUCGAUUUCAAUUUGUGGAAGUGCGCGAAAACUAACAAGCAUGUUGUGCAUGAAAAUAGGCUUAGGCCACUUCCACUCUCCUUGUACCUAGAGCUAAGGGGGUGCAUGAUAAAAAUCAUUUCUGUUCCAGAAAUGAUUUUUUUGUUCCAGACCAAUUUCUGGAACAGAAACUUGUUUGAUAACACUUAUCAAAUUUUCUAUUUCUGGAAUAGAUUUCUAUUCCAGAAAUAGAAAUGGAGGAGAAAUCAAUUUUUGAUUUCUCCUAACCUAAUUUCACUCUUCUCCCUCGUACGCCUCUUCUCUACCUCCUCCUCCUCCUCCGCCUCUGCACCGACGCCCUCCACCUCUCCUCUGCCUCUGCACCAACGCCCUCCGCCUCUCCUCCGCCUCUCCUCCGCCUCUGCACCGACGCCCUCCGCCUCUUCUCUGCACCCCCGCCGCUCGUUCCCCUGCGAAGCCAGAAGCCUUCAAUAGAUCCAAGCACCGAUGCCCUCCACCUCUUCUCUGCACCCCCGCUGCUCGUUCUCCUGUGAAGCCAGAAGCCCUCAAUAGAUCUGAGCACCGACGCCCUCUACCUCUUCUCUGCACCCCCGCCGCUCGUUCCCCUGCGAAGCCGAAGCCCUCUGCAACAGAUCCGAGCACUGAUGCCCUCUGCCUCUUCUCUGCACCCCCGCCUCUCGUUCCCUUGCGAAGCCAGAAGCCCUUAACAGAUCCGAGCACCGACACCCUCCGCCUCUUCUCUACACCCCCACCGCUCGUUCCCCUGCGAAGCCGAAGCCCUUUGCAACAGAUCCGAGCACCGAUGCCCCAAGUCGCUCUUGCUCUGCUCCGACGAACCAAAAGCCGCCAUCGCCCCACGACCUCAGCCGCGCGCCCUCUCCUCAUCUAGCGACGAGUUGCUCACGAAUCCGCUCCUUCGCCUCAUCCAGAAGCCCUCUGCAGCAGACACCGGAGCCGCUCGUGUUCGUCCGACGAGGCCCACGACCGUGAAGUGCGCAAAGAAGCAGAACUACCCUUCUCCUCCCUUCUCUGGUUCGUGCCGAUUCCUCUUCUUUUUUCUCUCUCUGUUGAGUGCUCUGCUGCAUUGCCCUUUGGUCACGUCGAGUUUGAGGCGGGAACGAUGGGCCGAGACGCGAUUCUUCUUUUUCUCUCUCUAUUGUGUGCUCUGCUGCAUUGCGCUUUGGUCGCGUCGAGUUUGAGGCGGGAGCGAUGCUGCAUUGCAGUUCAUAAUCAAUUUGUCGAUCCCUAUUUUUUGUGCAUUGUAAUUGAUCGUCUUGAUGGCUCUGACAGUUCUGCGGUGAGUGUUGAUUUCAUAGCGCAUGCUGUUCGUGUCCUCCUCUGCAACUAUUUUCUUAGCAUUACUUGGAUCGAGCAAUUGGACGUGUGCUUUGUAGUUUAUGCAGAUGCAGCCUAUUGGCUAUUUUCAUCGGAUAAGGACCAGUUUAUUUUUUGCUUGUGGUAGAGCUAGAUGAGAAUUGGACAUUGUUGAGAUGACAUUCGAUCUGCAAAGCCAAUGAGCGGCUGUUGAUUGCAAUACUGAAGUUGUUGUAAUUUAACUUCCAGGAAAGGACAGUGGAUUUGCCUUAAGAGGUAAUGCCAGCUUGGACUUGUAAAACAAUUUACCAACUUGUAAAAGUCAGUGCAUGAUCACUGCGAAAUGUUCAUGGCCUGAAAUUGGUAGCAAUUUGUGUGCAGUUCAAGAAAUAACAACUUUCUUUUGGAUUUUUUUCUUUUAAUUCCUUCCGCCCUUUGUUUCUACUAUGAGGUGCAAAAACGUGGUAGCAAUGGUCACAACCAUCUUUUACUGACAGGCUUUGUAAGUUUGUGAUAAUCGCUUGAAAGAUAAUUCUAUUGAGUGCUCUGCUGUAUGAUUCUUUCUGGGGCUUUGUAAGUUUGUGAUAAUAUAUGGUUGCUUGUAAAAUUUUAUAUGAGGAUUAUUCUCUUUUUGCUUGAUGUGAUAUCGACAUCAAAGUCUACGUGCUUGAACUGGUACACCAAUUGAUAUGGCUCAUUUGAUGCUCAAGUAGUUAAGGUUAAAUGGCUUUCCACAAAGAGGUUUGUAUGGCAAAAUGGACUGAGCCUUUGACCAAUGAGCUUGUAAGCUUGUUGGUAACAGAGGUAACAAAGGGAAAUAGCACCACUUCUACCUUCAACAAAACAGGAUGGAAUAACAUACAUGCCGAAUUCAAUAUCCGGAUGGGACUCAACUUUAGUGUAAUUCAGUUGAAGAACAAGGUCAACAAACUGAAGAAACAUUAUAGUAGUUUCAAGAAACUUUUGUCACAAUCUGGAUUUGGAUGGGAUAAUAUAAACAAUAAGGUUGUUGUGGAUGAUCAAAGUGUGUGGGAGUCUCACAUCAAGGUAUCAAUUUACCAAUGUCAUUUUGUUCAUAUUGUAUUGCAAGCUUUGAUUAUAUUACUAACAUUUGUCAUUAUUGUAUAAAUUACAGAAUAAUAGCGAAUGGGCUAAAUUCAGAAAUGAAGGGUUUCCUCAGUAUCCUGAUUUAUGUAUCGUGUUUGGUGAUACAUAUGCUACUGGGAACUAUGCAUCAGGAAAUGCAGAAGAAGUGGUAGGAUAUGCUGAAGAAGUGGUAGUGUCCUCUAAGAGAGAUGACAAUGGUGGUGACAAUGGUGAUGGUGGUAGUGGUUAUGCAGUAGGUGAUCCAGAGGAAUUUGAUGAACAGCGUAUUGAUGAUGAGGCCUUCAUACCUGAUACGACUACUACCUCAAAUCUUAAGAAACACAAGCAUGAUAGGACUCCAAAUUCUAAGAGGAGGAGGAAGAGUACCAGAUAUGAUGUUAGUGACACCUGCAAAGCCAUUCAAGAAAUGAUUAAAAUUAGGACGGCUCAAUCAACAAGUGGCUCUAUGACCUCAGAUGCCCCAUCAACUGUAGACCCCUACUCCACAACAGCUGUGGUUGUCGUCUUAAAUAGUAUGCCUGAUUUGGAGCAGAAUAUUUACAACAAAGCUGUGAACCAAUCAUGUCUUCAUGCCAGUUGGAGAGAGGCUUUUAUCACAAUGCUACCUGAAAGGAGAUGUGGAUUUCUUGAAUCUCUUUAAACAGAUGUUGAGUAGUAUGCUAUGGAUUUAUAUAUUUUGUUUUAUUUCACUCUAUGACUUAUGUAUUUGAGAUACUUUGGUCUUUUUAUGAUUCAAUUAUGAAAACUUUGUGACUAUUGUUGAUUAUUAUUAGAUUCCUUACUUACAUAUUGUGUUUAUCCUUUCUUUUUUUUUUUUUCUUUUUUUGCAUGUGAAGGCAUAGGUAAUAUGGAGGGGGUGAAAGUAGCAUGUGUAGUGAUCAAGUAGCAACAGGUGAAUCGGUUGAAGUAAUCUUUAAUGAUUUUGAUAUCGAUAGUAUGACAGCAUGGUUGAGCAUGGUUGCGGUGGAUAUGUCUUUGCAUUCGAGAGAACCUAUUAGGGAUAGCAUAUUGUCAGGACUCGAAUGGAUGAUGGAGAUUCUUCAAGGACAUUCGGAUAGAAUAUAUGAAUCUUUUAGAAUGGAGAGACACGUUUUUCUCAAUCUUUGUGGUUUGAUGAAGGCAAGAGGUUGGUUGAAAGAUAGUCGAUAUAUAAAGGUAGAUGAACAAAUUGGGAUAUUCUUAUUUAUGAUUUGUCACAAGAACUCGAAUAGAACUUUAUGCGAGAGAUUCCAACGUUCGGGACAAACUAUUAGCAAAUACUUCACUAUAGUGUUGCUAGCAGUUCUCAAACUUGUAAAAGAGAUUAUUGUACCGCCUUCCUUUGAUGUGGUCCCAAAUGAGAUUCUUAUGGAUCCCAACCAUAAACUUUAUUUCAAGGUAAGAUUUUCAUACAUUCAUUUACAAUAUCGGUUUCAUUUUGUUGCUAAUCUUAUAUAACACUAGUCUUUGAUAAAACGACAGGAUUGUGUGGGUGCUAUUGAUGGUACUCAUGUUCAUGCUUCUAUACCUUUGUCGAAGCAAAUCCCAUUUAGAGGCAGAAAAUGAGGUACCACUCAAAAUGUGAUGUGUGUAUAUUCAUUUGAUAUGAAAUUCACUUUUGUUAUGCUGGUUGGGAAGGAUCUGCCAACGAUUGCCGGGUGUUAUCAGCAUCACUCGAGACUCCUCGCUUGGAAUUUCCUCGACCUCCACUAGGUAUUUUUACUUGUUCUAGAAUUAUCAAUUUUCUUUAAGAUUGUAUUGUAUUUACAAAUCACUACUAAUAUAUUAAUAUUUUGUUAUAGGCAAAUACUAUGUUGUAGAUUUUGGUUAUGCAUCAAUUCCGAGAUUCUUAACUCCUUUUAGACGCGAAUGGUAUCAUCUAAAUGAUUAUAGGGGUAGAGCAAGACGACCAAGAACAGCAAGAGAGUUGUUCAACUAUAGGCAUUUUUCACUAAGGAAUGUCAUUGAGAGAUCAUUUGCGACAUUAAAGAAUCGUUUCUUUAUUUUGAAACACAUGCUUGCAUUUGCAAUUCGAAAGUAGGCACAUGUUGUAAUUGCAUGUUGUGCUAUCCAUAACUACAUCCGUGAUCAAGACAGGAGGGAUAGAAACUUUUCCUUAUAUGGAGAUCCAGAGUACUCAUGUGAACCUAUACAAGAUGAGGUUGUAGGUGAUACAUCGACCGAGGAGGAAAUUGAGAUGAAUAUGUUUAGAAAUAAUAUUGCCAAUAAGAUGGCAAGGGAUCAUAAUAUGCCGGAGAUUCCAUGAAAUCGUGUAUUUAAUUUUUGUAAUGUAUUUCUAUUAUUUUGUAUUUGGGGAUUUACAAUCUUUGCUUUUGUGUUGUGAUAAUGUAUUUGAUGAUUCCUAUCUCAAUUCUUGUAAUGUGAUGUUCUACUUGAUGAUUUCCCUUAUUUGUAAUGGUCCUUGUUACACUUCGUAAAAUUCGCCGAUUUUGUAAAAUUUGCCGCAAAUUACCCAAUACAAUUACCCAAUACACUUGUUAGUGUUUCUUUCUAAAACGAUUGCUCGAUAUCGUAAACCGUGGCGGCGAUCAAGGUGACACACUAGCAUGAAGGGGAUUAGAAUAUGGUUGCCCACCUUCAUUCUACUAGAAUUUUGGGAACCUUCUAUCAUGCUCAAGAGUAAUGCAUAUCGAUCUCUUUUUUCUAUUGUAUGGAGACUAUUGAUAAGUAUAUAUUGUUUGACUAUAAUUACCUAUCUACGUGGAUGCUAAAGAAUUUUCUGUGAAAAUUUAGAAAAUUUGAUAUAACAUCUCUUACUUUGUAUUUUUUUUUUUUGCAAAAAAUGGAGACUUUACUCUAAAAAAAAAAGUCAAUACUUUGUAUUUGGGUCAAUGAUUUCAUAAGCAUAUGAAAUUUGUAAGAAUGUACAUUUCAUUUGCUCUAAAAAAAGAAAAUUUUGUUUUAAGAAAUAAAAAUUUUAUUUAGUUAUCAAACGAAUUUCCAUUUCUGAAACAGAAAUUUUGUAUCUUAUCAAACAGAUUUUUUUCCUCAGAAACUCGUCCAGAAAUAGAAAUAGAAAAAUUCAUUUCUGUUUCUGGAACAGAAAUGUUGUCAUGUGCCCCUAAUUCGCCAUGAGUCACGAUUCUUUGCACUCCUGACAACGUUUGUAGCUUUGUUAUUGACUCACAAGAUGUAUUGCAGCAUGAGUUUGUGCUAGUUUUGUAAAGUGGUAACGAAAAAAGUGAAGAAUUUGAUAGACGGUGAAAACCUUGUUAGAAAAACAAUUCUGCGGAUACAAAAAAGACAAAAAAGAAGUGUACAUUGUUGAAACCACUUCAGAAGGUUUCAUAAUAGCGACAAAAACAUGUGAAGCAAUCUAAUAUAAACUACAUAGCGAAGAUGUCAGCAGAUACCGUGAUUGAUUGACCGGACUUGGUCGAAUUAAUGCAGGAAAUGUAAACUGCAUGGAAGGACGACACACUGAAUUAUGACGAACCCUCGUUACCCAAAAGCUAGUACACAUGAAUAAUUACAACCGGAUCAUAUAUUAUGGUGUCUAACUUGAAAGCUACCUCCUGGGCAAUAGCUAGUGAAAAUAACAAGGGUUGAAUAUUGGGGAAGCUGAAAAUUCUUGAGAUUGAACCUGAGAGAAUGGCCGCCUCAUCAUAGUAACAGGCGAGACUUGAAUUUUAAAUGUUUCCAUUGCUUGUACAUGCUGACUGUCUCUUCAAACCAAUCAUCUCUUAAAUUUGGGCAGUCGGAAAUAGUUAGUGAGCACUCAUCUGAUAAUUUCCAAUUGAGUACAUUUGGGAAACUUCUUAGUGAUAUGCAACCUACAAAUUCCAAAUAUUUGAGUCUCUAAUUCAUCCAAGCCCUUAAUUGCCAGAAGCUCUUCACAUCCUCAAAUUACCAAGGACUCCAACUUUUUCAAAUUCGAUAGAUCAUCUAGACUUUCAAUCUUAGGACACUUGUCUAUUUCCAAAUGUUUCAAGGACUCCACUGAACCAAGACCUUGGAUCGUAGUUAGAUUUGGGCAAUCUCUCAGCCUCAACAGCUUCAACCUCGUCAAACUCAAAAGACCCGCAAAUCCCUCGAGGUGUUUUAACCCUUCCACUUCGAAUUCUAUCAACUGUUCAAGCCCAUCGAGUUGAACUUCCUUCCAAAAACAGUGACUAAUGUGCAAAUGUGUCAAUUUUCUCAAGUUGCAAUGAAAUGAUGAGCUGGCUAUUGAUUCAUGAUAUUGGGCACACAAUGUUGACAGAGACGGUGGAAGGUUUGCGAGGGAUUGUCGGCAUGGACCAUCUUGGGAGUAAAGACGACGCCAGUUCUCAUCAUGACCACCAUAUCUAAGAUUCACCAAUUCAGUGAAGUUUGAGAGAUCCGGGAUCCAUCUCAACGAACUUGAUCCGAGUUUUAGGCUUAUCAAACUUGAGGGAAACUCGGGCAACAGUUCAAGUUUGCUGCAAUCACAUAAUCCCAAUUUCUCUAGGCGAGGAAGUAGUUUGAUUGUCACCGGAACAUUUCUAACAAGGGAUAAUUCCAAGUGUAGAACUCUCAAAAGUGAUAAUUUCCAAAUGUCCUCGGGAAUUUCCCACUCCAAACACGGGCAAUUCCCAGCAUGUAGCUCUUCCAACUCUUUUAGCUCAACAAUGCUCUGUGGUAGAUCCCUCAUCAAAGAAUACGAAAUAUUGAUGACUUUUAAUCUACUCAGGUUCCCAAUAGAUUCGGGUAACCAUAAACAUUGCGUUUCCGAGACAUCCAACUCAAGUAGUGAUUUCAAGUUCCCAAUCGACAUUGGGAGUUCCCUUAUUUUAGUAUAUGAUAGAAUGAGAAACUUAAGUUUGUAUAGAUUCCCAAUAGAACUAGGAAGUUCAUUGAUUUCUGUAUAUUGUAGUUUAAGAACUAACAAGCACUCUUGGUUACCAAUGGCGUCGGGUAAUCUUGUAAUAGUCGUAUUUGAGAGAUCCAACUCUACUAGUGAUGACACUCUCGCAAAUGAUUCAGGCAGCUUACUCAACUUUUUGCAAUUGCCUAAAUACAAGUAUUCAAGCUUCUCCAACUGUCCGAUUCCUUCGGGCAACUCCCCAAGACUUGUGCACCCAUUCGCAUUGAAGUAAGUCAAGCAUUUAAGCUUUCCGAGGGAACUAUCAACCUCAAUAAGUCCUUGGCAAUUUUCAAGGUUCAAUCUUUCUAAACUCAAAUAAUCAGAGAAGUUUGGAGUCCUGGUCAUGCUGUCACAAUAUGUGAAAUCCAGAACUUUAAGCUUCUUGGCAACCUGUCACAAUAUCUAAAAGAGAUAAAGGGAAAAUUAUGUGCAAAUUUAGAGGCAACAAAUGAUUGUGCUAGAACCUAGAUGUAAUUGGGUGACUAUUUUUCUCAUUUAACCCACAUAAUCCACCUACAAAUCAAUCCAACACAAUCUAAUUUAAUGGCCUCGAUUAUGAGACCAGCUUAGUCAGCUUAGUUUUACUUGUAGAAUAGCCUUGAUGAAUCCAUUUAUGAGCCAUUUUUUUUACAAUAGCUUAUUGUCUACAUUGUUAUGGUACAACAAUUUUAGUUAAAAACAUAAAAAAAAAAAAAAAACAACAUGAGACAAUUCAAUGGAGUUAAAGAUAAACAAAUACAACGACGGAAUACCUUGAUUUGACUCCAUCCAGCCCACUCCUUCGUGAUGGAACUAUAAGAAAGGUCAAGAACUACAAGAUUGCUUGGAUGAAAAUUGAUGGUGGAGAGCUUUGAGGACACCCAUACCAGGUCAUGUAUCUUAACUCUGAAAGUUGGUUCUCAAAGUUUCCAUCUAAUUGUCCCCAAACUAAUUCGAGGAACCUUAUGUUUGGAAGCCUCGAAACUCAUCGCUCGUAUAGCUUCCUAGUGCAUUUCCAUUUAAGCAGACUGCUUCAAUGGCCUCUUUUCUCUGCCAUUCAAUGAUAAAGUAGCAUAAGUGCAAACGAAAUGUCUUCACUCUCUCUCUACUAUGAUGAAAUGGCUCUUAAUUAGUAAAUGAACUAUUGAGAAAAAGCAUAGAUGUUUCACCUCUUCUGUUCUUAUGAUAUCAAAGGCAGACAAAGGAUCCCACAACCUGCUCUGUUUUCUUGGAUCAAUUUGCGUCAUAUAUCCAUAGACGAUUUUCCUCCUGAGAUCUCUUAAUUGAUCGUGCAUCCAAAAUUUGUUAUCAUUGGUUAUCUUUAUCAAGGACAUGCGGACAAGGACUUGAAUUGAAUAAUCUAGAAAAAACCUACAAUCUUUCCACAUGUAGAAUGCACUCGUUUGGUGUUUGUCCACAAAGAGACAUGCGAUGUCAAGGAAGAUCUGUUUUUGCUCAUGACUCAGGGCAUCAUAGCUGAUCUUCAGCCUGUCCAAGACCUUCUCAUGAGGUAUUUUCCUUAGAUUGUCUAACACAUCUGUCCAUAAGGCUUUGUUUUGGCAAUGAAGUAAUGAGCCAACAACUUCAAGAGCUAGUGGAAGUCCUCCAGUUGUAGAAACUACUUGUCUUGAAAGAUAGACAUAAUCAUUCAGAGGGAACUUUCUUCCAAAAGCAUGUCUACUGAAAAGCUCAAGCGAAUGAAUGGAAUCUAACGACUUCACUUCGUACUCGAAUGUUUGGUUGGCUUUUAAGAUGCUUCUUUUCCUUGUUGUAAUAAUAAUUUUACUCCCUGAGUUGAGCGAAACAUGCUUGAUGGCUAGUUUCUUGAGUUGUUCCUCAUCAUCCACGUCAUCUAGAACGAUGAAAACUUUCUUGUUAGAAAGUCGUUGCGCAAUCACCUUGAUCCCAUCAUCAACAUCGUUGAUUAUGUUGGGAAAGCUCGAACCAAACAUGUCAGAUAAUAAUUGUUUUUGUAAAGUUAUGAGGCCAAAGCUGAGCGAUGAUUCCCGGAUAUUUCCCAAGAAACAACAAUGACUGAAGAGGGGAUUUAGCUUGUGAUAAUGCUAGUACGAGUACCUAGAGGGGGGUGAAUAGGUUUAUAAAAUUUUUCUUGAAGAUUGCACAAUACUUAGACAGAUAAAGGAAUAAAAAAUCAAUCGUAAGACUGAGUAAAGGAAAGAGAGAAUUAAACACGCGGUUUAUAGUGGUUCGGCUUGAUUCAAGCCUACGUCCACUCUUCUGCACUGACAGCCGAUUGGCUGGAUUCCACUAUGAACAAAGAGAUGUUACGAUCUUCCUUGAUUUCUAGGUGUAGAUGAUCUACUACACUCGCUCAAGGUGUCACCAAGUAUGAACACUCUCUGUGUAUACAAUUUCGCUCGAACUGUAUCGACUAACAAUCAAGGUUCUUCAGACUCUGGAAUUUUUCUAUCAAUCACACACUUAAAACAACUAGAACGUCUUCCUUUUAUACUCCUUUAUGCCAUCAUAGCCGUUGGCACUUACCAAAGGAAUUCCUCCAAUCUACCUGUUGGACGGAAUCAAUUAAGAAGAUCAUCCGAGCUAUUUAAGGAAUCUGAUGAUAGCCCAUCAAUCCUGUUUGCUCAUACAAUCAGGAUUUUGGUUUCCAAGAAUAGAACAUUCCAAGAAUGUUUCGUCGACCAUCGGAUCUUCAAUUGUUCUUAGAUAAGAAUCAAAGAAUCCGAAAUGAUUAUCCAACCAAGGGAUCUUUUCCAGAGGAUAGGAUCGAAUCCUCAACCAUAUACUUCGGCUUCGGAUUUCCUUCUUCACUGGAUUAGAAAGAUUGUCAGUGAGAAUAGUCUUGAGUCUUGAGAUUACAAAGUCUUGAGACUUUAAACCGUUGAUAUUCAGACUAGACUGAAAGAAAUGUUUUGUCAGCUUCAAAAUAUUCUGGAAAGAUUUCUCCAACAAUCUCCCCCUUUUUUAUGGUGACAAAACUUUCUUGUAGAUUUGAACAACUUUGACCUGCAAAAACAUUUUUCAAGCAAUAUGGCUAACUCAUAAAGAUUAAUAAACAACCAGACUCUGUAUCCACAGCAAAUUGGUUAGUCUUUCAUGAGUAAUACCAUAUAACAAUACUUGAUAUAAAUGCAACCAGUCAAGCAUCAAAAUCCACAGCCAAUUCAAUCUCACACCCAAGUUCAAGUUCUCAAGUCAUACUCAAAAAUAAACAUAACCACAAAAGUCAAAGUUAAAAAAAUGAUGUUUGUUCAAAUUGGUUCUCCCCCUUUUUGUCAUCAUUAAAAAGAGGGUGAGAAAGGAGUCAUGUCUACUUGGGAAUGCGCACGAUCUAGAAAUCUCCCAUUGACUGGACUACGCCUUCUAGCCUCUUCAAGUCCUCCCUUAGAUGAGCUACCUCCUCUCCUUUGGCAUUGGCUUGAAUUUGCAGAGCGAGGUCUUUCAUCUUGUCCUCCAGGCUGACUGAAGAUGCUUGUCCAACAUUCUUCAUGGCUUGAAUUUCACAGUCCAGAGCAUAUAUCUGGCCACGCAUUUCCAGAAGAAUAUCCAUGAUGCGAUGAAAAUCUACAGAAUUGUCUGUCUGUGUACUGGCAUGAGCUUUUUCAGAUGGAGUAAGAGUAUACGAUGGCGCUUCUGUAUAGUCUUGCAGAUUUGGUGUCGACGUAUCACCUUCUUCAGGCAAUUGAGAAGCCUGAAAUUCUUCUAGGUCUGCUGGAGAUUGUCUUGGACCUUCACUAUCUGCAGCAUGAGGUGUAGACCUUUCUUGCUCGCUAACUCCCCCUGUCUCUAGGACAUCCAAAGGGGAAGAGUGAUGAUCAUGCUCUAGAUUUCCCUUCUCUCCAGAUUCAGCAGACUUUUCUUUCUCUUCUUCAGCUUCUUUCUCCAUCUCUCUCUGCUCUUCUUCUUCUCUGCUCUUAGUUUGCUCUUCUUCUUCUCUCUGAUUCUUCUGAAGUUUUGUCGACUGAGACACAGAACGUCUGGUUCUUAUCAGUGCAUGGAUAGUAGGAUCUUCAUCCUCUUCAUCUUCAUCCUCUAGGAUGAAAGUCCUUUUCUUUCUUUUCGAUGGGGCACCAAUGACCUCCUUUCCUUUUCUCUUUGAAGCAGACUGAACUGGAGAUUUCACUCUGAAUUUCUCCAUUGCCUUGGAAAGUUCUUGCAGACGCAUCUUUGUUAACAUCUUCAAUCCUACCACCAUCUUAUCACACGGUUGAACACAAAGAGUUUGAGGUGGUUCAAUAUUCAUGUGUCUGAAGAUCUUGGUCACCAGACCAGGAUAAGGCAAUUGUCCUUUGUCUUUCGACAUCGCUCUGUACAUAUGGAAGAGAAUAGUGUGCGGGAGAGAGAACUUCCGUCCUGAGUUGAUCGCGUACAUCAACUUUGCUUCAGAAAGAGACACGGAAGUCUUUGACGUAGACUUCGGUCUAAGACAGUUGAUUACAAUCUUAUGAAGUACAAUGUUGAUGGCAUUCAUCCUGGAAUAGGUAACUUUCUUCUCUGCGUCCCUAUCUUUGACAAGUUCCAGAGUAGUUCGAGCAGGUGAGACUUUGAUUGGUAGAUAACAUCCUCGUUCAACUCCAACUAUGUCAGCCAGCAUAUUCACAUCUACCACGUAGACUUGGUCUCGUACACUGCAUGAAAUUUUAUUCGCAUCCAGAAAGCUAAGAUUUGAAUAGAAAUAAGCAGUCAAAUGAGCAUACCCGUCCGUAGAGUCAGAGCAAAAAUUCUCAAGUUGAAACAAAUUCAAAUUUUCUCUUAAGUUUAUGUUGAUGGCGUCCAGGAAGUCAAAAUCGACACUUCUAGGGUUUAUCACCCCUCUUUUCAACAACCUGAAAUAAACUUUUUCUUGAUCCUUGGAUUUGAACAAAUCCUUCCGAUUUCCUUUCACCUUUGCUGCCACUCCCAUUUUCGGUUGAAAUUCAAGGAACAUUCUGUCAUCAUCGUUCCCUUCAAUUAAAUUUUGUCUUGGCAUACGAGGAUCACUUGGAAUGUUCGCAAGUGCGUUCUCUGCUUUUCCUUUCGGGGCAAUUCCCAAUUCCUCCAUUUUCUUCAGAAAAAGAUACUCAUUCCCAUAAUUUUUGUCCUUAAGGAAGUCAUCUAUAUAUUCAAUGGAGUACCAGUGCUUUUCAACGCACGAUAAAGUUUAUAGAUAAAGGAGGGCUUUUGAACUCUUACUGGUUGGCAUCCUCGAUUAUCUCUUCUUCCAGAUGAUGACUUGCACCUUGUGGGACAGGAGGCGUUGAAUGACGUUGGAUGAGAGCGAAUCGGACUUUGUCGCUGACUUGUUAAGUCUCUCCUCAGUGAGAUCGAAGUGAGUCGGUCCUUCUCCAUUCUUUGUGGUCCCCUGCUUGCGAUUCUUGAUGAUUUCCUCGAAGAAGACAUCUUUCUUUGUCGAUUGGAAGAUUCCUUCACUUGCUUUCCCAAGUAAAAUGACCACUUUCUCGACGACGAACAAGCAGUAGAAACAGUAUCGGGAGGAGAGUGCUUUUUAGGGUUUUGAAGAUUGGGAAAAGAAAAACUGUAUAUAUAUAACCCAGUUUUGAAAAGGGAAGUUCAAUCGGUGCAAGGAAAGUGAACGAUCACUUCUUUUCAAAAUCAAUAACUGCCAAAAUUAUUCCUUUAAAAAGAUAAGUCUUCAAAUUUCAUGCGGAUUAUAGAAUAACUGAACAAAAGAUCGUACCUUUUCGAGUUAAAAUAACUAAAUGAAAAUUCGUACCUCUUAGAUGAAAUACAACUUACAGUCUAUAGCCACGAAUGUCUGAGUUUGAGGAUUUAAAGUCUGAAAGAUUAGAGUCUUAGAGUUGGUGAGUCUCUAGACUUUAACUUCUUCAGGUUUCAAAAUGUUGAGUCUUGAACGGAUAAAGUCGAAUUGAUUUUUCUCCAAAGGCUUUGUAAAUAUAUCCGCUAGUUGACUCUUUGAAUCAACAAAUUGAAUCGAGAUUUCUCCAUUUUGAAUAUGAUCUCUAAUGAAGUGAUGUCGAAUCUCAAUAUGCUUUGCUCUUGAAUGAAGGAUUGGAUUUUUGGUGAGAUUGAUCGCACUGGUGUUGUCACAUCUGAUUUCUGUGCAUGAGUCUUCAAUCCCAAAGUCUUGUAGCUGUUGUUUUAUCCAUAGAAUUUGCGAACAGCAGCUUCCAAGAGCUACAUACUCUACUUCUGUCGUUGAGAGAGCUACAGUGCUUUGCUUCCUCGAAAACCAAGACACUGUCCUGUUUCCAAGCAGUUGACAAGUUCUAGAAGUGCUUUUUCUAUUGACUCUGCAACCAGCCAGAUCUGCAUCUGAGUAUCCUAGAAGAUUAAAGUCUCCCUUCUUGGGAUACCAGAGACCGAUGCUUGAAGAUAAGGCAACGUAUUUGAUAACACGUUUUACAGCACUGAGAUGGGAUUCUCUAGGAUCUGAUUGAAACCUAGCACAAAUGCAAACACUCAACAAAAUAUCAAGUCUAGAAGCAGUAAGAUAAAGAAGUGAACCGAUCAUGCUCCUGUACAGCUUUUGAUCUACUUUCUUCACUUCUUCAUCCUUGUCUAUCUUCUAAGAACAUGACAUUGGUAUGUCGGUCUUUUUGCACUUUUCCAAUCCAAACCUUUUGACAAGAUCAUUUGCAUAUUUUUCUUGAUGAAUAAAAGUUCCUUCCUUCAUUUGUUUCACUUGGAGUCCAAGAAAGAAUGUUAACUCUCCCAUCAUACUCAUUUCAAACUCAUCAUGCAUAAACUUAGAAAAUUUCUUGCAUAGACUUUCAUUAAGUGAUCCAAAAAUAAUAUCGUCCACAUAUAUUUGAACAAUUAAAAAGCUUUUGCUUUCCUUUUUGAUAAACAAAGUAGUAUGUACUUUACCUUUGACAAAACCAUUCUGUAAUAAGAACUUACUUAGUCUGUCGUACCAAGCUCGAGGUGCUUGCUUUAAACCAUACAAGGCCUUUUUCAGUUUGAAGACUGAGUCUGGCUUAUUUGGGUCUUCAAACCCAGGUGGUUGUUCCACAUAAACUUCCUCAUGGAUGAGUCCAUUUAGGAAUGCACUUUUGACGUCCAUUUGGAAUAACCUGAAAUUUUUAUAACAAGCAAACGCAAGUAAUAGACGAAUAGCUUCUAACCUUGCUACUGGAGCGUAAGUCUCAUCAUAGUCUAUUCCUUCUUCUUGCGUAUAUCCUUUGGCCACGAGUCUUGCUUUGUUUCGUACGACUUUUCCUUCUUCAUUCAUCUUGUUCUUGAAUACCCAUUUGGUUCCAAUAACAGUUUUACCUUUUGGUUUAGAUGUCAAUUUCCAGACAUCAUUGAUGUUGAAUUGUCUGAGUUCUUCUUGCAUAGCUUCGAUCCAGCUUUCAUCAGAUAAAGCUUCUUCUAUGCUUUUUGGUUCAAUUUCAGAAAUGAGAGCCACAGCACUAGAUUCUUCACGCCUUUUUGAUCUGGUGCGGAUUCCUUCAUUGAUUUCGCCAAUAAUGAGAUCUUUGGGAUGACUAGAUUUAUGCUUCCAGUUACUGGUUGAUCUGCCUGGUUGAUGAUCUCUUUCUUUGUUUGAAUCUUCAUGUGCUUCUUGAUGUUGAACUUCCAGAGACUGAGAUGCUUCUUGAGUUGUAAGCGUUGGAAGGUCUGAAGUGGGUUCAGACUCUUCAUACUGAGUCUGGCUGGAUUCAUCUUGCAUUGAGUCUUGGAAUUUAACAUUCGUUGAUUCCUCCAUCGACUGGCUUUUCUUGUUAUAGACUCUGUAGGCUUUGCUUGAUGUAGAAUAUCCAAGGAAGAUGCCUUCAUCUGAUCUUUCUUCAAACUUACCAACUCGAUCAUUUGCAUUUUUCAAAAUAAAGCAUUUGCAACCAAACACAUGAAAGUAUGAAACAAUAGGCUUUUUACCUUUGAACAAUUCAUAGGGGGUUUUCUCUAAAAUAAGUCUUAAAAAGACUAUUUAUAAUAUAGCAUGCUGUUGAAACAGCUUCAGCCCAAAAUCGUGAAGAGAUUUUUCUUUCAAUUAAAAGUGUUCUAGCCAUUUCUUGAAGAGAUCUAUUCUUUCUUUCCACAACUCCAUUUUGCUUUGGAGUAUAUGGAGAGGAAAACAUAUGAUUAAAACCAGAUUUAUCACAAAAUUUCGUAAAAUCUUGAUUUUCAAAUUCACUUCCAUGAUCUGUUCUUAUGCUUGAGAUUGCACAUCCUUUUUCAUUUUGAAUCUUUUUGGCAAAUUUUUCAAAAUACGAAAAGGUUUCUGACUUACUUGCAAGGAAAUAUACCCAAGUAAAGCGGGAGUAAUCAUCCACAAUUACUAGGCAAUAUUUCUUACCUCUAAUGCUCUGGGUUCUGGUUGGUUCGAAGAGAUCCAUAUGAAGCAACUGUAGUACAUGAUUAGUAGAGACAUGAUUUAUUUGCUUAAAUGAAUUUCUUACCUGCUUUCCCAGAAUGCAUGGAGUGCAUGAAUCAAACUUUUGGUAUGGCAAUUUAGGUAGACCUCGAACAAGCUUCUUUGAUGAGAUUUUGGCUAAUCGCUUCAUGUUGACAUGGCCAAGCUUUCUGUGCCAUAAGACUGCUUCAUCUUGAAUUGAGAUUAGGCAUUGUGCUUCAUUUGGUUUUACAUCGAGAAGGUAGAUAUUUCCAUGCCUUCGACCCAUGAAAGACUGAGUUGAGUCUUUGCUAAUUCCAGAACAUAUGCCUUCUUGAAAGGAGAUCUUGAAACCAGUAUCACACAAUUGGCUAAUGCUUAGAAGAUUGUAGUUAUGUCCUUCCACUAGAGAGACAUUGCUUAUUGUGAGAUUUCCAAUUUUCACAGUUCCAAAUCCCACAAUGCUUCAAUUACUGUUUCCUCCAAAUGAGACUUUUCCACCAUUCACUUGAACAAGUUUUAUGAAGCAAUUUGAGUCUCCUGUCAUGUGUCUUGAACAUCCGCUAUCAAGAUACCACUUAACUUUCUUUUUGACAGGGACCUGCAUUCAAAAGAGGGUCUCAAGCUUUCUUUGGUACCCAAAUUUUCUUGGGUCCUUUGUCGUUAGUAGAAUAAGCAUUACUAGGCCAUACUUUCUUAACAGGCUUCCAAACCAUAGGACACUCUUUUUGAAAAUGAUCCUGACUGUUACACUUUGAACACCUUAGAGCACUUCGACCUACAGACUUUACAAAAACUUUCUUGAAAUGAUUUUUGUAAGCCUCUUUUGACGGUCUUUUUUUAAUUCUUUCUUUUACUUUUGGAAAAUCAAUCAAAGGAAUUGUUUCUACUGUCAUACCUAAACCAGACUUGUUAAAAUAAGGUCUUUGGACUGAAAGAACUUUUUCAAGUUUUUCAGACCCUAUUGAAAAUUUCUUUGAAAUAUUUGAUAAGUCAGUUUUUAAGAAAGCAUUUUCUUUUGAAAGUUUAUUUUCAUUCUCCUUAAGAGUAGAAACAUUCAAGUCUAAACUUUUCACUUUUUCUUCUAAAAUAUUUUCCUUUUGUUUUAAAACUGAGUUUUCCUUUUUAAGUUCGGAAAUCCUUUUUAGAGAAGUCUUAAGACUGAAACAUGGUUCAUCAAUGUAUUUAGAGACUUUGACAGGGAUUUUAUAAUCACUUACCUCAAAUUCACUGUUUGAGUCUGAUCCAGAAUCUGAGUCUGAUUGUGCCAUCAGACACAAUCAGACACAGGUUGGCAUAUUCCUCAUCACUUUCUUCACACUCUGUAUCGCUCCAAGUUUCGGCUUUGAGAGCUUUUCGAGACUUUUCAGCUUUUCCUCUCUUCUUCUUCAGGAGAGGACAAUUUGGUCUGAUGUGUCCCUUUUUCUUACAUUCGAAGCAAACUACAUCUUUGUUUGGUUCCUCAUUAUCAACAAACUUGGUUUGCUAUUUCUGAAGACUUUGUUUCCUUGAGUUGAACCUUCUUCCUCUUCUAUUCAGCUUUCUGAACUUUCUAAUCAUUAGAGCAAGCUCCUCAUCGUCCAAAUCUUCUUCAGAGUCUGUAUCAUCAGAAUCGUCGUUAGAUUUUAAUUCAAUGGAUUUCUUACCUCUUGGAUCUUCGUCUUCAUUAAUUCGUUCCACUUCGUAAGACUGAAGAGUUCCAAUCAGCUCGUCUACAGAUAAUGGCAUAAUUCUUUGCGUCUCUCUUAUUGAAGUCUUUAUAUGAUUCCAAUCCUUGGAGAGUCCAUGCAGUAGCUUGUUCACCUUCAUAGGAUCAGAAAUUUUCUGUCCUUGAUUCUCAAGGCCAUUGACAAUAUCUGUAAAACGGCUAAACAUGUCAGUUAUAGAUUCUCCUGGUUUCAUUUUGAAGGAUUCAUAUUGACCAAGGAGAAUGUUAAUUCUGGUCUCCUUCACUUGGUCUGUCCCUUCAUAAGUGAUAUGUAAUCUGUCCCAGACUUCUUUUGCUGUAUCAUAAGAAGAUAUUCUGUUAUAUUCAGUUGGUGAUAAAGCACAAUAUAAAGAGUAAAUUGCUUUUGCAUCGAGUGCUUGUCUCUUGUUUAUCUCUUCUUGAGAUAUUCCGCUGGUAUCAACAGUUUCUUUCCCUCUUUCAGAUACUGAUGCAGCAGUAGGAGUAAUUCCUCUUUCCACCACAUCCCAUUUCAGAGGAUCCUUUGACCGUAGAAAAGCUUUCAUCUUGUUUUUCCAGAUGUUGUAAUCCUUUCCAUCAAAGUAAGGUGGUCUGGUAUUGCUUUGCCCUUCCACCAACCCUGGUGCUAGCAUACUAGCCAUGGAUCUUUUACUCUGAAGUAAAACACUUCAAAUAAAAUAAGAACACAAGCUCUGAUACCAAUUGAUAAUGCUAGUACGAGUACCUAAAGGGGGGUGAAUAGGUUUAUAAAAAUUUUCUUGAAGAUUGCACAAUACUUAGACAGAUAAAGGAAUAAAAAAUCAAUCGUAAGACUGAGUAAAGGAAAGAGAGAAUUAAACACGCAAUUUAUAGUGGUUCGGCUUGAUUCAAGCCUACGUCCACUCUUCUGCAUUGACAGUCGAUUGGCUGGAUUCCACUAUGAAUAAAGAGAUGUUACAGUGUUGAUCUUCCUUGAUUUCUAGGUGUAGAUGAUCUACUACACUCGCUCAAGGUGUCACCAAGUAUGAACACUCUCUGUGUAUACAAUUUCGCUCAAACUGUAUCGACUAACAAUCAAGGUUCUUCAAACUCUGGAAUUCCUUUUAUACUCCUUUAUGCCAUCAUAGCUGUUGGCACUUACCAAAGGAAUUCCUCCAAUCUACCCGUUGGACGGAAUCAAUUAAGAAGAUCAUCCGAGCUAUUUAAGGAAUCUGAUGAUAGCCCAUCAAUCCUGUUCGCCCAUACAAUCAGGAUUUUGGUUUCCAAGAAUAGAACAUUCCAAGAAUGUUUCGUCGACCAUCGGAUCUUCAAUUGUUCUUAGAUAAGAAUCAAAGAAUCCGAAAUGAUUAUCCAACCAAGGGAUCUUUUCCAGAGGAUAGGAUCGAAUCCUCAACCAUAUACUUCGGCUUCAGAUUUCCUUCGUCACUGGAUUAGAAAGACUGUCAGUGAGAAUAGUCUUGAGUCUUGAGUCUUGAGUCUUGAGAUUACAAAGUCUUGAGACUUUAAACUGUCGAUAUCUAGACUAAACUGAAAGAAAUGUUUUGUCAGCUUCAAAAUAUUCUGGAAAGAUUUCUCCAACAGCUUGUUGAAUACAACCUUAGCAAGAGUUGUUUUACCGAUUCCUCCCAUUCCAUGAAUUAGAACAAUGUGCAUACCCUUGGAGUGCACGUCCAAUAACUUCAGAACAGCUUUCACUUGAUCAUCCAUUCCGACUAUAUGCUCGGCGACAUAUUUGUCUUUUGUCUUCAAUUUCAUCACAAUCUCUCGUAUCACUGACUUAAUGAAUUUCCAGUGCCUGCCACAAUAUCGAAUCAUCUAAGUUGAAAAUUGAGAAAAAUAACUCAGGACACUUCGCAAGUUGCAUCAACAUGGCUAGUAACGCUUACUAAAUCGACUAAACCCAAAAGGAAGCGAUGUCUUAGGUGCUCAUGGAACCCGGCGUGUUUAUGAUUUAAACAAAUGAUCAUGUAGCAAAUAUUAUGAACUUUUCACUUCUUAUUUGCUUCCGAAAUGGCAACACCUUUAAAACGUGAUUGAUACCGUGUAAAAAUUUCUCGAAAAGAGAAAGGAGGCAAUUUAAAGGAGGUAAUCCCCAAUUUACGAACACAAUGAUAUAGAAAAUUACAUCUAUCAAUGAAAAGAAAAACAGAUUCUUACUUUAUUUGGUUUGGAUGAACGAGAUGGUUACCAAAAAUAGUUUUCAAAACACACUUGCUAUUCGUUCAAUUACAGACCGCCCAAACAAGAUCUUAACCAAGCUCGGGUAUACAUUGAAAGUCCAAAACAAAAGUUACGGAGAACGGUAAGACAUCUACAUACCCUUGGCUUUUCAGCUCCCAUCCUUUGAUUUUAGCCACACUUUUGAGGGCAUCCUCCCACUUUAGCCUCGUCUGGCAACCAAACUUCUUUUCAUGCUCCUUCAAAUCGCGGACGUACAGUGGAGACAUAACCCUAACAUCGCGAGGUUUCACGUUGUAGAAAAUCGGCAUGAUUUCCUUCUCGGAUGGUUUGGUAUUCGUGCACUCCACCAUGUGUGCAAGCUCGCGAAGGCACCAGGGACUCGAAACAUAACCUUUAGAGAAGAUUGGUACAUAGAUCUUCGACUUUUCGAUAGCCAUCGGUAGUUCAUCAGCUAUUUCUUUACUGACGUGGAGCUCUUCCUCAUCGAAGAAAACACGGAUGUUAGCUUCUUGCAUUUCAUGGUAAAGGCAAUCCGUAAAUCCUUGGCGAGUGUCCGGCCCUCUGAAACUCAAGAAGACCUCAUAGUCAAUCGUUGAUAACUCACCGCCACUCGUUCCAGCCUCCGAGCUCUUUUCCUUAUCCAUUCUCGCAAGCAUUUUCGCCUUAGGGUUUGCUCUCUCAGAUCGCCUGAUCAAUGAAAGGCUCGUUCCCUUUGCAUUUGCAUAAAAAAUUUUUAAAAAAUACUGGCCAUACUUUUGUUUGCCUUAUCUUUAAGUGUCCAAAAUUAUAUAUAUAAAUUUCGAGUCUACGUCGACUCUAGAAAAGCGGAAUCAGUCCCCACAGCUUUUUCCUCCGGUGUGCUCCGCUCCCCUAGAGUGACUUUCGUCGAACUCGCAAUAAUACAAGUUUCGUUCUCACUGGAGAAAAAAUAAAAAUAUUGAGGAUUAGUUGAUAUUUCCGAAAAUAUUCGAGUCUGCGUCAACUCUAAGACUAUGCUUUGUCUUUUUAUGGGUCACGGACAAAUCAAGAUUGCAAUUUUAUUUUAUUUACGUAACUCUAGGAUUUUUAUCAAAAUUUUUAAUAGAUUUAUGAUUAGAUUUAUUUAACCUGAAUAUUCAAUUUUCCCUACUUUACUUGCUAAUUUAUUUCCUAGAUUUGUUUUGAGUGACUUUUUAUUAUGUCUUUGUUUAUUUAAUAAUUUUACGGUGCUGGCAACUUAACUGUCUUUAAACUUAUGCAAUUAAAAACAUUAUGUGAAAAUGUUGACAUGUACAUUCACCUCCAGAUUUUUCAUAAUUCUCUAAAAUUUGAAGAAUAUUACAAAAUUAGGUGGGAAAGCAAAAAAAAUUGUUUUCAUUCUUUGAAUUCGGAUGUGAAAAUUCAGAUUUUUUUUUUUUUUUUAGUUUGUGUUUUUGCACCCAGUGAUCGGUUUCAGGAUAAAUAAGCCCCCAUCUUGGAACUUGAAAUCUCCUUAGUUAGGGCCAAAACUAACCCCGUUAACCUCAUUCCAAGCUGGUUCUAGGGUUGAGCCGGCUGAAUAUUUUUUUCCGCCUAGUUUUUAAAAUUUCAAUGGAGUUUAAUUUUGUAUCGUUAUUAAAUGAAUAAAAUGUUUGUAUUGUCAUCAAAUACACUUUUAGCCAAAAAUUAAUUUUUGGAACAUAAAUUGCACCCAACAUGAGUCCAUAAGCGAGCAACAAACAAAAAGAAAAAAAAAGGAAUCAUGACGCGAAUCAAGUACUCAUAGAGGUAGAUUUUCCUAAAGUGUCACUUACUUUAAAAAAGGUGUGCACCCGUGAGAAAGGACAUACCGGCAAAAGCAGUGGAAAUUAGAGGGGGGGGGGGGGCGGGCGGCGGCGGGGCAUAACGAGCACGAGAUGUUUGACCGAGUGCAAGAUUGAAUUGCAAUUUUCUUUUCGUCUACCGAAUAUGGUGAGCGCUUGUUUGGCAAAUUCCGAUGGACGUGCCAGGGCCAUUAUCAUUUAUUAUCUUUAUCAAAUUUUAACAAAACUCCAAUGUUCAAUUUGCCGGUAAAAAUUCAGACGUCAACACACUUACUUCUCUUUAUUCCGGCAUAUUUGCUCUUCAGUGGUUACAAUUUACUGCAUUUGUAUCAUUCUCAUACCCUUUAAUUUGCUAGUAAUCGUUCAAUUAUAAAAAAAAAAAAUUAAUUAAUUUUUGUUUUUUGCUAGUAAUCACACUUUAGAUAUCUUUACUUUCAAAAACCAUUUACUUUCCCGUCAAAGAGCAACAACAAAUCCACAUUCGCAGAAAUCCAACAAUUUCCAUCUCUAUACUACAUUUUUCACCUUUUCGGUGAAACACGUAUAAAAUCGGGUGAGGUCUAUAUUGGCCGAGAUCGAAAUAGGAACUGCGUGGCUAGACUCGCCUAUGCGCACUUCAAGCUUGGGAGGGUUUAGUGGGCUGCAGCACUCCAGGAUUGCAAUUGCCUUUUAUGGCUAGUGAUGGAGGGAUGAGAUUUGAGUAACGAUGGUCACUUCACUUUUGACACCGGAAGUUGGUAAUUAGUUACGUUGCUCUACUUUAACUCAGGACGCAACGAGUUACCUAUGUUUUUACUGCUCGUUUGUGAAGCAUUGAAAUGACUUUGAAUUAGGAAUAGCAAUUGGACGAAGCUCGUCCAAUAAAAUGUCGCGGAUACUUCAAGUUGCUUAGACCAAUGCCUUAUGUCCAACGCCUGACGUGUGAUCCUAGCGUUAAGCUAGAAGAUGCGGCGUGUGUUGAAUGUCAACAGGCCACCCGAAAAAUGAAAGGUUUCUAGUAAGUCAGAAAAAUAACUUGCUACCAAUAUUGUCGGCUGACAUUAAUUAUUGAUAGCCUGUUGAUAUGACUAUACUGAGAUUGUUUUCAAAUUGUGGAAGUGCUCGAAAACUACCAAGCAUGUCGUGCAUAAAAAUAGGCUUAGGCUACUUCAACUCUCCUUGUAGGCAAAACUAAUUUGCCAUGAGUCCCGAUUCUUUGCAAUCCUAACAACGCUUUGUAAUUUUUUGUUGACCGACUAUACACAUUGGGGCAUAAGUUUGCGCCAGUUUCGCAAUGUGACUAAUGUUUCCUUACAAAGAUGAAAACCAACUUCACAUUCAACUGCGGCAGCACGGAGUUCUUUUUUUUUUUUUUUUUCAGUUAUUGAAUUGUCUUAUUAAUUUCUUAUUAUCUUUUUUUCUUAUACUAGCUUAUUUAAUAUAAAAUUAGCUAUAUCUCACGUUACAAAAGCAAGUUAGGAGUUGUAAUGACUGCCCAUGAAAGUUAAAUUUCAUAAAAGGUUUAUGAGGAGCAUAUUUCCACCUUCACAUCCGCUAGACACUCUUUUUUCUCUUUUUUUUUUUUUCUAGUGAAAUGACUCUCUCUCUCUCUCCAUUUGAUUCCUUUCUUAUACUAUUUAACGAAGAAAACUAGCUCGUUUCCUUUUUUAUACUAUUUAACGAAGAAAACUAGCAUUAUUUUUACCAUCUCUCUCAUCAAUUUCACUAUAUAAAUGCUUGAUCACUCCCAACAAGAUAUUAUCUUAUCUAGCAUCCUCUUUUCAAUAUGCUUGUAGAAGGUUAUCAAUUUUAAUUUAUGGUUUCAUCUUGUGAAUCACCAAAACUGAAGAAUAAAAAUUUCUUUUCAUGAUGGCAUGAGUAUAAACAAUUAAUUGCCUAUUAUCUUUUCAAAUAGUUUGAGCGAACUAUAUUUUAAAAAAUAAAAUAAUAUUUCAAUCCAAUUAUCGAAUUGGCCUUGACCUUGGGCGUUGGGCCAGAUAUAUUUUCACGUGACGCUUGUGGGAUUUCAGAAGCAUUGCACGUCAAUCUUGCGUAUCUACAAUUAAGAGACCUUCGUAGCAACUUGUGAGAGAGAGAGAGAGAGAGAGAGAGAGAGAGAGAGAGAGAGAGAGAGAGAGAGAGAGAGAGUUUGAGUCAUUAAGAUAUUGAUAUCCCAAUUCACGUCAGCUCCUUCACCAUCUUCAGUCUCUUUAAAAGUUUCACUACUGGAAAUGCACAGAAGAUUAGGCUGGAGCUUGUGCUCCAGCUAAAAUAUUUCUGAAAAAUAGGCGCAAAAUAUGUGCUGUAAAACUAGAUUGGCAGUAUCUGCACCAUAAAUCAACCUCUCUCUCUCUCUCUCUCCAUAUUUCUGUUGUAGACUUAUCAAGCAAUUUAAUUCUGGUUUUUAGAGAUAUGGGGAUGCUCUGCAGGCAUCAGCAGACGCAGGUCUAAUACUUGCCCAAGCAAUUCUGGAUAGUGCUGGCGUGAUUGUUCAGAGAGCUGACUUGACAACAUGCUAUGAUGAAAGAGGUGCUAUAUCCAUCUAUUCUCCCAGUCCCCUGCCCGCUUCUCGCCCGCCACCACCUAGAAAUCUUUUCCAUCUCUAUAGUCCUGUCCAACAUCUAAUCCAUGCGACGUCGAUUGUCGCAGGUACGAAGUACAAAUUGCCCAAGUACGUUUUGAGUGGGCGAACAAACAAUUUGAUUGAUGAUAAUUGACAAAGGAGGCGGGGCAGAUGUUGCUCAGCUUCGUGUGUAAAUCCUAUGAAUUGAUAUUGAUAGUUUGAUGAAAAAAUUUGCAUAAAAGUGGAGGGCAUUCAUGCAUUUUAAUGAUGCACGCUUCAAUACAAAUCUCACGUAACUUCUGCCUAACGAGAUGUAUGACUUCCACAAUUUCAUAUGGUUUGUUUUAUUAGUACCUGAACCUUAUAAAGAAAUGCGAAAAGUAAUCAAUUUAUGUGAUUGUUACAGUGGAAUAUCUGGGCAUACUUUGUUGCUAGACCAUUCUCUUCCCUAACUUGUUAGUGUUUGUCCGGCGAGUCGACCUCAUAAUAUUUUCUGUCUGUUAUGUGGAGUGGCCAAUGGCCCCCACAAUUCUGAUGCUCCAAUUUGUUUCAUUCAGAGCCUUUCAUACCAAAUCUGCAUAGUUUGUUUCUCUUGGUUAAAUCACGCAUAAAGUGGAGAUACCCAUUGGGCAAAGCAAAGCUGUCAAAAAGAUUGCUGGUGGCUAGCAGCAUGAAAGUCCUCUUAAUAUUGUCUAUAGCAAGAGCACGUAGUUGCAGGUUUGGAGUAGAAGUUCUUCCAAAUGAUUGAUCAUGAUGUUGUGGUUACGGUCAAGGAAUUCGAUUCCCUCACAUUCCAUGAGAUUUGGCUCCUUAAAUCUCAGGACGAGAAUCCUCGUGAACCUGCUAGCCGCAACUCGCAUCCUUUCAUUGUUCAUUCUUAUUUCUCUCCCAAGAUUGGAUCGAAGUUGUCAUCAACAUCGACAGAAUUCCCUUCACGAUUUGGAGAUCCGUAGACAUGGGUAUACAAUCUCAUGUAUUGCUUGUUUUCGGUAAUCAUUUAAUUGAGCAGUUAAUCUCGUCAAUCACGUCUUGCCAUGAAUAAACUCCCUACGUUUUUGGGAAUGGUCAACAUGCAUAAAUGACAUUAUGAGGAAAGCACGAUAAUUAAAGGUCUGUCUGGCCAUAUUCUGAUAAAAAUGCAAUAAAGAUAGAAGUUACGAAUUAGAUAGGAUUGACAUAAGUGAUAUUGAUCUUUGUUUUGCUCAUGUACUGCAAGCGAAAAAUAUUUUUCUAGAAAAAAAGUGAAGUUGUAAAUCAAAAGUUAAUUGUUUCUAAAUAAGAAUUGCGACUCCAAGAGUUUGUGUCUAUUAGAUAUAGGCCUUGUUUGGUUGGGCAUUUGGAAGGCACUUUGGGACUUUAAAGUCCCUUGGCCAAAUGUAAACGCGUUUUGUUCGUUUUUUUUUGGCAACUUUGGCAAGAUGAGCUCUAAGGGCCUUUAGCCCAAUGCAGCUCCGGAGGUACUUUGGGAAGUUGCAUCUUCGGAAUGCAAAUCCCCGGUACUAUUCAUCUUCUCCAAAACCACCACACACCACCGCACGAAGAAGCCGACCGGAGGUCAACGAUCGUCGGCCAAGGGGCCGUGCGUGCCGGCGACCGCUGCCUGAGGGUCGCUUGACCCCAGAGACCGUCACCGAACUUCAGGUAGCUAUCGCUGGGGUCGCGCGACCCCAGGCGAUGGUCACCAAGGGUCGCACGACCCUAGGCGAUGGCAGGCGAUGGUCGCCCAAGGGUCGAGUGACCAUCUGGGGGCCAAAUCUGCCAAAUCCGGCCAUCCGACCGCUAGAUCCGGUGGUCCGGUGGCCAGACUUCAAGAAAAAAAAUACAAUUUUUUUUUAAUUUAAUAAAAGCCAUUUACAAAUGCAAAUUUUACCAAACAUUAUUUGAUUUCGGAAAACCCCAUUCUUCCAAAAGUAUUUGCAUUUUUGCAAGUGCAUUCUCCAAAAGCUAAACCAAACGGGCCCAUAUUCAGUCUAUAAUCAACGUGAAAAAGGUGUUAAGUAUAAUAUUCACCGAUCUUACAUUAGCCGCUAAGAUCAAUAUAAAGCAAAUAGUACGUACAUAUGUUACAAGAGGUAGAAAUAGUGUUGUUGCUAUUUUCUUCUCUGUCCUCAACUGCAAAAAAUCUCAUCAGCCGGAUUUUAAAUUUUAGCCUUUAGAAGAAUUUGGACAAUUCAAAUCAUUAAAAAAAAAAGAAAAAAAAAUGCUACAAUGCAGAAAAUAAGUACAUGCCUUUCUUGGCGGUGAAAACAUUGUCGGAAAUACUACAAAAAUUACAUGAAAAAGACAAAAACAUGCGACGCAAUCUAAGAUAAACGACGGAACCAAAAUGUCACUAAAUAUCGUGAUUGAUCGACCGCCACUUGAUCGACCUAAUAUGCGUGGAGUGUCUAAGGACAACACACCGAAUUAUGGCAAGCACUCCAAAAGCCACUUCGUCACUUGAAUACCCCCAGAAGAAUUUUGGGCAGUCUCACACUCCUCAUUCUCUACUCCUUUUUCCCAGACACAGUCUUCUAUUCGCAGUAUCACAUUAACUAAUCUCUUUUCCUUCCUUUUUUCCCAGCCAUUAACACAUAGAAGGCAAAAGUCUGGUAUUUUCAAUGAUCCGCAACCAGUAAAGUCUAGGUAUUUGAGAGUCUCCAGUUCAUCGAGGCCCUUAACUGCCAGAAGCUCUUCACAAUAUACAACCACCAAGGACUCCAGCUUUUUCAAAUCGAAUAGAUUAUCUAGACUUUCAAUCUUAGGACACUCGUGUAUUUUCAAAUGCUCCAAUGACUCCAGCGAACCAAGACCUUGGAUCGCAGUUAGAUUUGGGCAAUUGGACAUCCUCAGCACCUUCAACCUCUUCAAACUCGAAAGACCGGCAAAUCCUUGCAGGAGUUUUAACCCUGCCACUUCAAAUUCAAUUAACUGUUCGAGCCCAUCGAGUUGAACUUCCUUCCAAAGGCAGUAACGAAUACUCAAACGUGUUAACUUUCUGAAGUUAUGACAAAAUGACAAAGUGGUUGAUGACGUAUGAUUUUCGAGUGACAAUGUUGACAUAGAUAGUUGAAGGAACUCGAGGGAUAGUCGGCAAGGACCAUCUUGGAAGAACAAAGGAUGGUAGUUCUCAUCAUGACCACAAUAACUCAACUCCACCAAUUGAGUUAGGUUUGAGAGAUCUGAUACCCACCGUAGCGACUUUGAUCCAAAGCUUAGACUUUUCAAACUUGUGGGAAGCUCAGGCAAGAGUUCAAGUCCACUACAACGAUCUAAUCUUAAUAUCUCUAAGUGAGGAAGUAGAUUAAUCGUCAAAGGAACAUUUCUGAUAGGGCUAGAUUCCAAGUUAAGAACUCUCAAAAGUGAUAAUUUCCAAAUGUCCUCGGGAAUGUCUUUUAGAGAUGGGCAAAACUCAGCAUGUAGCUCUUCCAACUCCUUUAGUGUGACAAUGCUUCGCGGUAACUCCCUUAUCGAAGAAAAUGAAAUGUUGAUGACUUUUAAUCUACUUAGGUCUCCAACAGAUUUAGGUAACCGAAGACAUUUCGUGUCCCAGAUUCUCAACUCGAGUAGCGAUUCCAAGUUCCCAAUCGACAUGGGGAGUUUUUUCAUUUUAGUAGAUGAUAGAACGAGAGACUUAAGUUCUCGUAGGUUCCCAAUAGAACCAGGAAGUUGUCUGAUUUUUGUAGACUGCAAUCUAAGUGUUGACAAGCACUUGUGGUUACCAAUGGAGUUGGGUAAUCUUGAGAUAGCCGUAAACGAGAGAUCCAACUCUACCAGUGAUGUCAGUCUUGCAAAGGAUUCAGGAAGCUUCCUCAACUUUCUACAAUUGGCUAAGUACAAGUACUUGAGCUUCUCUAACCCUCCAAUUCCUUCGGGCAACUCCCUAAUACUUGUACACCCUUUCGCAUUGAAGUAAAUCAGGCACUUAAGCUUUUCGAGGGAACCAUCAACCUCAAUCAGUCGACUGCAACCUUGAAGGAUCAAUCUCUCUAAGCUCGUAUAAUGAGAGAAGUCUGGAGUCUUGGUUAUCUCUUCACAACAUGUGAGAUCCAGAACUUUAAGCUUCUUGGCAACCUAUUAAAAUAGCUAAAGAGAGUAAAGGGAAAAUUCCGUGCUAAUUUAGAGCCAAUAAAUGGUUGCGCUGGAACUUAGAUGUAAUUGGGUUGAGUCAUUUUCCUCAUUUAACCCAUAUAAAUCGUUUAUUUAGCACUAACACCUAUCUAACCUGAUCCACAUAUAUCGACCUAUAUAUUAAUUCAAUACAAUCUAAUUUAAUGGUACAAGAUCAUCUCAGUCAGCUUAGUUUUACUUGUGGAAUGGCCUUGAUUAAUCGAUUUGUGAGCCAUUUUAUUUACAACAUGUUAUUGCCUUUAUAGUUAUGGUAUAGUUGAUUUUAAUUAAAAAUAGAAAAACUGUGUGAGACAAUUUAAUGGAGAUAAAUAAAUAUAGCGACCGACGGAUGAUACCUUGAUUUCACUCCAUCCAGCCCAGUCAUCCAUGAUGGAACUGCAACACAGCUCGAGAACUACAAGAUUGCUUGGAUGGAAAUUGAUGGCCAACAACUCUGGAGGACAAUAAUACCAGGCCAUGUGUCUUAACUCUGAAAGUUGAUUAUCAAAGUCUCCAUCUAAUUGUUUCCUAAAUAAUCUAAGGAACCUUAUAUUUGGAAGCCUUGAAAACUCUUUGCUCGUAUAGGUUCCCGAUUCAAAUCCAUCUAAGCAGAUUGCUUCAAUGGCCUCCUUUCUCUGCCAUUCAAUGGUAAAGUAGCAUAAGAGUAAAUGAAAAUUGUUUUCAAAUUCUCUCUAUUGAAAAGGGCUACUUAUUGAUAAAUAAAAUAUUGAGAAAUCUAGAAUUUAGUGGCCAAGCAUAUCGUUUUACCUCCUUUGUUCUUAUGAUUUUAUUGGCCAUCUCAGGAAUCCACAACCUGCUCUGGUUUCUUGGAUCCAUUAUCUUCAUAUCUCCACGAACAAUUUUCCUCCCGAGAUAUCUCAGUUGGUCAUGCAUCCAUAAUUUGUUAUCAUCAGUUAUCUUUAUCAAGGACCUAUAAACAAGGACUUGAAUCGAAUAAUCUGGGAAAAAUCUACAAUCUUUCCACAUGAAGAAUGCAUUCGUCUUGUCUUCGUUCACAAAUAGACAAGCGAUAUCGAGAAAGAUCUGUUUUUGCUCAAGACUUAGGGCAUUGUAGCUGAUCUUCAGCUUGUCUUGGACCUUCUCAGGAGGUAUUUCCCUCAAAUUGUCCAGCACAUCUAUCCAUGAUGCUUUGUUUUGCCAAUGAAGUAAUGAGCCUAUGACUUCAAGAGCCAAGGGAAGCCCCCCAGUCAUAGAAACGACUUCUUUCGAAAGACCAACAUAAUUAUCUGGAGGAGGAUUACUUCCAAAAGCAUGUCUACUGAAAAGCUCAAGUGAUUGAAUGGAAUCCAACGGCUUCAAUUCAUACUUCAAAGUUUGGUCGGCUUCUAUGAUGCUUCUAUUCCUGGUUGUCAAAAUAACUCUGCUUCCCGAGCCAAAUGAAAUGUGCUUAAUGGCUAGUUUCUCGAGUUGCUCCUCAUCAUCCACAUCGUCGAGAAUGAUGAAGAGUUUCCUAUAAGAAAGUCGCUGCCUAAUCACCUUGAUCCCAUCGUCAACAUUGUAUAUUUUGUCUUGAAAGGCUGAACCCAACGUGUUAGACAAUAGUUGUUUUUGUAAAUUUAUGAGGCCAAAGUUGAUCGACAACUCUCGAACAUUUCCCAAGAAGCAGCAAUGACUAAAGAGGGAAUUUAGUUUGUUGAACACAACCUUAGCAAGAGUCGUUUUACCGAUUCCACCCAUUCCAUGGAUUAGCACAAAGCGCAAGCCCUCGGAGUCCAUGUCCAACAACUUCAGAACGGCUUCCACUGGAUCAUCCAUUCCAACUAAAUGCUCAGUAACGUAUUUGUCUUUUGUCUUCAGCUUCAUCACAAUCUCUUGUAGCACCGAUUGAAUGAAUUUCCAAUGCCUGCCACAUGAGUGAAUUAACUAAGUUGAUACUGUAAAAGAUAACCUCAAGACACUCAACAUGUGGUUGCAACCAACAUGGCUAGUGCCACUUAUUUAAUCGGCUAGUGCACCUGAUAGGAAGACAUUUUUAUGUGCGUUUAGAACACGAUUUCCCUAUGAUUUAAACAAAUAAUCACAUACAGAACAUUAUGACCUUUUUUUUUUAUGUGCUUCCGAAAUGGGAACACUUGACAUACAUGGAUAGGACACUUGCUCUAACUUUUAANNNNNNNNNNNNNNNNNNNNNNNNNNNNNNNNNNNNNNNNNNNNNNNNNNNNNNNNNNNNNNNNNNNNNNNNNNNNNNNNNNNNNNNNNNNNNNNNNNNNNNNNNNNNNNNNNNNNNNNNNNNNNNNNNNNNNNNNNNUAAUUGAUUCCUAAUCCCUUUUUAAGGCAGUUUUGGUAGUUAGGAUAAGAGUUAAGAAGAAAUGUUUUGAAAGUUUUCAUACUUAAGAUAGUUAGAAGCAAAGUACAUGAAAAAGCUAACGCACCAAAUUGGAGAGCUAAAGUUUCAACCAAAAAUAAAAAUAAAAAUUGGAGUGCUAAAGUAAGGGAAGAAUUAAAAAAACAAAAACACAAAAAUACAUCCUUGAAUUUAUUAACACAUCUCCCACCUCUAAACUUACCCCGCAAAAAGAAAAAAAAAAAGAAAAGAAAAAGAACUAACUGAUUGCUUACCCGGUUUUUGCUUUAUUUGGCUUCGGUGAAUGACAUAAUUGAUUCGGUUAUCGAAAAUAAAUUUGAAAACAAACAUGGUAUUCAUUCAAUUUCAAACAACUUAAACGAGAAUUCAUCCAACUUUGGGCAUAUACUUAAUGAAAGUCCAAAGCAAAAGUUAAUGGAGUGUUUCAGGAUCCGUGCAUACCCUUGCCUUUUCAACUCCCAUCCUUUGAUUUGGGCUACACUUUUGAGGGCAUCCUCCCACUUUUGCCUCGUCUCGCGACCGAACUUCUCUUCAUGCUCCUCCAAAGCGCUGACGUACUGUUGAGACUUAAGCUUAACAUCGCGAGGCUUAACGUCAUAGAAAAUUGGCAUAAUCUCAUUCUCGGAUGGUUUGGAUUUCUUGCAAUCCACCAUGUGUGCGAGCUCGCGAAGGCACCACGUGCUCAAAGCAUAACCUUUAGAGAAGAUAGGUAUGUAGAUCUUCGACUUUUGGAUGGCCGCUGGUAGCUCAUCAGCUAUUUCUUUACCGACGUGGAGCUCUUCCUCGUCGAGGAAAACACGGAUGUUUGCUUCUAGCAUUUGGUGAUAAAGACAAUCUGUGAAGCCUUGGCGAGUGUCCGGCCCCCUGAAACUCAGGAAGACGUCGUAGUCAAUCGCUGACGGCUCACCACCGCUCGUUCCUGCCUCCGACCGAUUUCCCAUGUCCAUUCUCACAAGUAUUUUUCUUCUGAGGGUUUCCUCUCUCGUAGCACCUGAACAAGAAAGGCUCGUUCACUUUACCACCACCGAAGUUCGUUUAUAUUACGCUUCGGACCUCUCUUCCUAGAACUUUCCCCACUGUUUUUCACAUAAGAAAAGCAAACCAAUUCGAGUCUUCGUCAACUCUAAAAUGGCGUAACCAGUACGCAUAGCUUUUUGGCCCCCGGUGGUCUCUGCCUCUUGUUGACUUGACUUCGGCGAACGCCCAAUCUGUAAGUANNNNNNNNNNNNNNNNNNNNNNNNNNNNNNNNNNNNNNNNNNNNNNNNNNNNNNNNNNNNNNNNNNNNNNNNNNNNNNNNNNNNNNNNNNNNNNNNNNNNNNNNNNNNNNNNNNNNNNNNNNNNNNNNNNNNNNNNNNNNNNNNNNNNNNNNNNNNNNNNNNNNNNNNNNNNNNNNNNNNNNNNNNNNNNNNNNNNNNNNNNNNNNNNNNNNNNNNNNNNNNNNNNNNNNNNNNNNNNNNNNNNNNNNNNGAAAACAGAUGGUGAAAUAAAUGGGUGGGACCCCAUUUAGCCCAAAAAAAUAUUUAAAUUUUAAAUAAUUUUAUUAAUACAUAAUAAGACUAAAAAAUAAAUAAAUAGGCGGAUUAAAAAGUUAUUUUGAAAAAUAAAAGCACUAGAUGUUAAAUAAUGAUAAAUUUUGAUCAUUAUAAAAAAUAUAAAUUUAUUUUAACUCUAAUCAUUCGCUGCUUAUUUAUUUCAUUGAUAACUUUUAUUAAAGUCAAAAAAUGUCUUUCCAAUUUUUUAUGAGUAAAUUUAUUAAUGUUAUUAGUAUAGAUUUACUAUAGGUUUUUUUUAUUAUUUUAUUUAUUUAUGAAUUCAUUUAAAUAUAAUAAUUAAUCAUAUAUAUAUAUAUAUAUAUAUUCAUUUAAUAUACAACAUGUCCUAACGUGUUGGAAUACUGUCGUUCGUGUUGUGUGUUCAUGUCGGUGCUAAGUUGUUCUCAGUGGAAAUAAAAUAUUGAGGAAAUUACAGUACUAGUCCUUGUUUUCUCCAUAAUUUCAUUUUCGGUCCCCAGCUAUGAUUUUUUUUUUUUUUAGAUGGGCACAGACAUAUUGAGAUUAUAAUUUUAUUUUACUUCCUAAAGUCUAGUAUCCUUUUCCAAUUAAGUGAUAUUUUUGACAUAGUUUUUUAUUAGAUUUCUUUUACUUGAAAAGGAAAUUCUCCCCUUCUAUUAGUAAAUUAGUUUCCUAGAUUUGUUUGGAGAGACUUUCUUUUGUCUUUUUUUUUUUUUGGUAGUGCUCGAAUCUUGAUUUUCUUUAAACUUAAGCAAUUGAAACGUACACACGAAAACGUUGACAUGCGGAAGAUUUCUCCAUGGAAAGAACGAAGCAAUGCUCAUUAUCAACAUGAAAUGCAAACUUAUUAAAGGGCUAAUUAAAAAAAAAUGCCGAGUUUACCUUGAUUGACAAUUCUGGCCUGAACUUCUUUUAUGUCAAUAAAAAUGGCAAAAUUUUAUUUAGUCUCAAAUCUAGCCCCUGUUAAUCAAAGCUUGAGAUCUUGUAGAUUGUGAUAAGCACUCUGGUAGGGCAUGGCUUUAGAUUCUCCCUUACUAUACUUCUUAACAAAAUCAAUUUAUGUAUUAAAUGAGAUCGAUUGAUUAAUGUCCAUUUGAAGUAAAUUUCGAAGUUUCAAGGGGAGGGCUUGGGCUUGCUCUAGAAAAUAAGGUUUUGAUUAUGAGUUUGGCAGAUUCCAUGGCAUCUCUUGAUGGGUGGUGAUCCACGUCCACAACUUCAUAUUAUGACAAAGCAGUGGAGGCUGGCCAAAGAGAUUUAAUUUGGAGAUCUUUUUGACUUGCUGGUGAAGUGAACGAAACUCAUCAUUAUUUUUCAAGUUGUGGCUAAAAAAAAAAAAGACAAUGGAUGGUGAUUUAAAUUCGGGUAGCAAGCAAUGUGGAUUUAUUGUUGAGGUGACUUAGUCACAUUGGACAAUUAAGAUUUCAAGUCAAAAGGACUAGAUUUGAGAUUUAAGUAAAAGUUAAUAUUUUUUAUACACCAAAAACACUUCAUAGCAUAAUUGUCUUUUUCUUUUCUUUUUCUUUUUUAUCUCUAAGGGAAAAUUUGUCAUUCUCAAGGUAACUUAGUACUUGGUUUUCUAGUUAAUGCAUUUUUUUUAUGUCAUAUCUCAAAUCUAAUGUUUUCAUACAGAUUCUGCAUAGGGAUCACAAGACGUGCAAAUUUGCAUAGUUAGGCAUUGAUAAUCGAAUAUUUGCAUAACUAUAAUUGCCAUUUUAGAAUAUAAUUUUCCUUGAAUUAGUGUAAAUUAUUGCAUGGAUCAUAUGCAAUGAAAAGUAUAAAAAUAAAGUAAUUACAACUUGCAUGUUAGUAAUUUAGAUUGUGUCUUCAUUUAAAAAAAUCACAAAAAAAAAUAUGUUUAGGGGUUUAUUUGGGGAAAUUUAGAUUCAUUUCCAUUAUAUUUGUAUUAUUCUCUGAGGAUUGUGUUCAAUUUAGGUUACAUUAUGCUAAAUUUUCGUAAUUACAAGAACGAUUUUUAGGAAAGCAACUUAUUUUGACAAGUUGCGUCUGCAUAUUUAUUGUAACAUUCGGGGCCCCACUGUGUAAUAUUGUCUGCUUUAGGUCACCCAGUCUGGCGUGGAUGAACCGCUAUCCCAGCCACAGUCUUUUCCCUCACGGCUUUAAAACGCAUUACACAGAUUAGAAGGACCAAGCCUUAUAAGCUAACCAAGACCUCUCUCCCUAGUCGAUGUGGGACAAGAGAAGAGAGGGACCCCUUUCCUUGCGCACGUCUGAGGACCGUCGCUUGGGCCGUCACACUCUUUACCUCUUAAUAGAAGAGCAUCAGAACAACAUGCUUGCUAUGGCCUCACACACGGUCGGGAGUCGGCUCUGAUACCACUUGUAACAUCUCGGGGCCCACUGUAUAAUAUUGUCCGCUUUGGGUCAUUCGCCUUGGCAUGGAUGAACCGUCAUCUCAACCACGGUCUUUUCCUUCACGGCUUUAAAACGCAUUACACAGAUUAGAAUGACACAAACCUUAUAAGUUAGCCCAUGACUCCCUCCCUAGACGAUGUGGGACAAGAGAGGGACCCCUUCACCGCUCGGGCCGUCACACUGUCCACCUCUGAACAGAAGAGUGUCCUCACUAUGGCCUCACACGAAGUCGGGCAUCAGAACAACAUUCUUGAUGUGGCCCCACAUGAGGUCGAGCAUCAGAACAGCAUUCUUGCUGUGGCCCUACACGCGAUCAGGAUGUUACAUUUAUAUAUAUAUCCCUUGACACAUUAGUACAUCUCAAAAGUCUUGCACAGACUUCCCAUUCACUACUUACAGAGUCUCAUCUUGAAGCUCGAUAUUGAGGCCCUAUGUCAUUUUAUCAGAUGCAGCUCAGGUUUUUAUUUUACUCCUACUUUAUUUAUUUUAACUACUUUGAUUAUUGAUUUUUUAUUUUGCCUGAGGGUUUCCCCUUGUUAGAGCACCUAAUCAAUGAAAGGCUCGUUCACUUUGCAUUUGCAUAAAAGGUAGAUUGACCAGCCACAACUAAAUUUCAUUUGUAUAAUGCUUGAGAGCUCUAUUUCUAGACUCGAAUUUUAAUUUAGAGUAAAUACGAUACAUAUAUAUCAAUUCGAGAAUUUUUAUGAUAUUUACUUUUAUUUUUUGACACAACACAAAGAAAUCGAGAUUGCAAUUUUAUUUUAUUUCCUUAACUCUAGGGCUUCUCAGAUCCCACUUUUAAAAAGGUGAUUUUUUUUUUUUGUAAAAUAAAUUUAUGAGUAGAUUUCUGCUCGAACAGUAAAUUUCCCGAUUUAUUAGCUAAUUCGUUUCCUAGAUAUAUUUGGAGUGACUUUUGUUUUGUUUUGUUUUGUUUUUUUUCGGUACUCGCACUUUGGCUUUCUUUAGUAUUAAGCAAUCAAAACUUUCUUAUAAAAAUGUUGACAUCUCACCGAAAAAAUUUUCAUAAUCUCUAAAAUUUAAAUUACAAUAUUACUAAAUUUGAUGGAAAAGCAAAUAAGUUGUUCUUACUUUUUAUAAGCCCAAACGAAUAGGCCCUGAUCUCUAGGUUGUUCUAUGGAUUCAACUCUUUGAAUUCAGAUGUGAAAAUUAAGUUUUUUUUUUCCUUUUUUUGCCCUUUUGAGCUUAGUGAUUGGUUCCGGGCCUUUUAUUAAGCAUUCCAAGUUUUGCAACUACACUUACAAGACAAAAAAAAAAAAAAAAUCUUCGUAAAAACAGCUAGAAAUUGACUAACAUUUGCAAUUCCAGUACAAGUUAGACCUUCAAUUUUAUAAAAAAGGAGCAUGAAAAUGCCCAUUAUCAACCUUGAAAUGCUCGCAAGGCAGAAACAGAUCCACCAAAUUGCACACUAGAUGAGUCCACUUGCAAGCAACAAACAAAGAAAAAAAAGAAGGAAUCUCCGAGCGAAUCAAGUACUCACAAAGGAAAGAGAAAAAUCUCCACUAGUUCCUUCCUAUUCUAGUUUCAACCACCAGUUCUUAGGCAGAACCCUAAGUUUAGCAUGAUACAAUGGGAACCAAACUUUAUUAUGGUUGAAACGGCACUGACUUUCACCCUUAAUUUUAAUUGUACUUAUUUGACAGUGGAGCAGGUAACUCGUCUUUUUUUUUUUUGUCAAAAGUCAAAAGAUUCCACUAGGAAUUACGCUUAGCCGCCAAUCUCUCUUUCUCUCUGGCUUGAAUGUUGGAUUAACAAGCUUUCCUCUUUUUUCUGUCGUUGCUUUUGUAUUAGUAUUAAAAGUUUAUAUUUCUAAAUAUCUCAACAUUUAAAUUAAUAGAUACUUUUGCCUUUUAAAUGAUCGCAAUAUUCUCCAUUUAGGAAAAGUUAAAGAAAGCUCUUGUAGAAGAACUCAAUAUCAAAUCUAAGAAGCCGCGUUGACAUCUUUUCUAUUAGCAAAAGCAAAAUUUCAAAGUCAGCUUGAUCAAUCUAUCUAUACGAAACAAAACUAUGUAUCUCAAUGGUAAGUUUAUUUGAUUUCUUGCACAUUGUUUUGUAAUAAAUUGUUUUUGAUGAAAUAAAACAGUUAAACAAGUUUUAAUUUUCUUUUUUGACAUUAAUUUUUGAAAUUUUACUAUCACACUACAUCACUUUGGGUCCAUUUAUUUUGCGAAAAUUUUCAUUUUGGAAAGCAUUCUCUAUAAAUUUUUUUCAUGUUUCGUUUAGGAAAAUGAGUCAAUAGAAGAAAUUCUCAUGAUUAGUAAAAAAACUUAUACUCAAAUUUAGUAAAUGUAUUCUUUAAAGAGUUAGAAAUUUUUUUUUUUUAAAAAAAUAUGACGACUCUGGCACUUGGAGUAUCCUGAUUAUUCAUUUGAGAUACUUUCGGUUGUACUGUUAAAAAUGAAUUGCAACUAUCUUGCCUCUACUGAUGCUCGGUCUAAGAGAGGGUGGCUAUUUUUGCUUAGCAUUUCAUACUCUUUUUGGAAUAUCGAGAAAAUUUCAGAGUGACUUUGAUUUAUCUCAAAACAAAAUAUUGACAAUAUAACGUGCUACAAGUGGGCAACUAGAUUUUUUUAAGUGUCACCUGCAAUAAAAAAAAUUAUCAUAUAAUAAUAAUAAUAAUAAUAAUAAUAAUAAUAAUAAUAAUAAUAAUAAUAAUAAUAAUAAUAAUAAUAAUAAUAAUAAUAAUAAUAAUAAUAAUAAUAAUUAAUGGGCAGGCAAAAACAGCCUGGCAUGGACGCAUAAAAGCACUAUAACAGAGAAGAAAAAGAGGGCACGUGCCGAGCUCAGUUGCGCGGGCUUGUGACCCAAGUGGGGGCAACGAUGUGGUGGAACAUGGGUUCAGGUCUUGCGGGGCGGGCUCGUGGUGGCAAUGUUCUGGCCCGCCUGUUCCAAGCCUAGAGUUGAUCCGUGCGGUCCGAGCGAAGGCUUGGGCCUUGCGGGUCCUAGAGUGGAGGAGUCCGCGUGAGGCUGGCUUCACAGAGCAGCGAAAACCUCCCUCUCCCGGCAGUGGGAGGAUAACGGGCCGGUGCCACUCGGGCCCAUCAUGACCCAAUGGGCUGAGCCUACCGAACCACCACACUUUUAAAAAACCUUUACCAAAAAAAAAAAAAAAAAAGAGGGCACGCGUCAAAAAAGACAAAUCGGCGAAAGCAGCCGGGGAAAAAGGGUGAAACUGAGAAGAAAAGUAAAAAGGGAAAGAUAAGGAUAAAAAGAUAAAAGUUCAGAAAAUUUACGAAUUAUAAAAAUUAUCCAUAUUGUACUACGUAAAAUGGUUGAGGAUGUCUAGAAGUCUUUAAAAGAUUUAGGAUUAAAUUGACAACUCAUAAAAAAUUUUAAAAUUAAAUGAUAUGAUUAAAAUUGGUAAGUGUCAAAAAGUUUAGGAUUAAAUUAAUAUAAUUAAAAUAUUUAGAAUUGAAUUAGUUACCAGGCUAUACAUUUAGAAUUUUUUGGAUAAUUUUUCCACGUUACCUCGUCAUAUUUGACAACUAAAUUUUUCAUAAUUGUCAGUUGAUACUUACACUAAAAAAAUAAAAAAAUAAUUAAUGAAUAAAAAUGACAAAAACAGAGAAACGAGAAUUGGCAGACCAAAACAGCCUGGCAUGGGGUGCAUAAAAGCAGAGCAACAGAGAGGAAAUGGCAUAACGCUUAGUGUGCAAAAAGAUGCCGAGUGAUACUUGUGCUUGGUGGGGUAUGGAACAGAAAUAGACUUUUUUAAUUCUAUUUCUAGAAGAGUUUCUAAGCAAAAAUAACCGUUUAAUAACGACACAAAAUUUCUACUCUAAAAAUAGAAAUUCGUUUGAUAACGACACAAAAUUUCUUCCUUACAGACGUCGGUGGCAACGACCGACGACCUUUAAUAUAAAAAAUAAAAAAUAAAAAUGAUUUAGUAACAAAAAAAAUAAUGAAUAAAAUAGAAUAAAAUAAAAUAAAUCAUAAAAAAAUAAAAUAAAAAUAUCAUUUUAUUUUAAAAUAAAAAUAUCCUUAAAAAUAAAUUUAUUUUAUUUAUUCUAUUUUAUUUUAUUUUACGAAUAAAUUUAUUUUAAAAUGAAUAAAAAAUAAAAAAAAAUUAUUUGGCAAAACAUUCAAGGCAAAUAAAAAUAAAUUUAUUAAAAAUUUAAUAAAUUUACUUUUAAUAAAAAUAAUUUAUUUAUUUUAAUAAAUUUAUUUUUAUUUUUAAAUGAAUAAAAUGAAUAUAUUUAUUUUUAUUUUUAAUAAAAUGAGGAGAGGCGGAGGAGGAGGAGGAGGCAGAGGCAGAGACGUAGAGGAGAUGACGGAGGACUCACCGAAAUUAUAGUUUAGUGAGAAAUUAUUUCUGAUUUCUCUUCCAGAAAUGAGAAGUAGAAAAUUUUAGCUUAUGAUUUCUCUUCCAAAUCUAUUUAUGGAAUAAAAAUCUAUUCCAGAAAUAGAAAAACUUAAUAGGUUUAUCAAACGGAUUUCUCUUCCAGAAAUAGGUUUGGAACAGAAAAACUAUUUUUGGAAUAGAAAUUUUGAGUUGUCAUGCACCCCCUUGGUUUCCUGUUUUCAUGUUUAAUUAACUUAACUUAGUACUAGGUUUUCUAUUCAAUGCAUUUUUUUUAUAUAAAUGUCUGGAGAAAAAUAAAUAAUGAAAAAAAAAAAAAAAAAAAAGAAAGAAAGAAGGAGACCAAAACAACCUGCCAUGCAACCCAUAAAAGCACAAGUAUAGAGAAAACUAUUAAAACCACAAAAAAAAAACUCAAAAUAAUACACUUGCGAUAAAUUUACCUCAAAAUUUCAAAGUCAGCUUAACCGAUCCACCAAAACCAAUCCAAACUAUGUAUCUCAAUGGUAAGUUGAAUUGAUUUCCUAGGCAUUGUUUUGUAAUUAAUUGUUAUUGACCAAAUAAUAUAGUUAAACAAGUUUUAAUCUUCUUUUUGACAUUAACUGUUGAACUAUUAUUACCAUAAUACAUUUCUUAGGACCCGUUAGGCGAAAAAAAUUUCUAGUGGAAAAUAUUCUCCAUAAUUUUUGGUGUUUAUAUUGCUUUGGUAUAUGACUCAAUAAAAAAUAUUCUCAUGAUCAAUAGAAAACUCAUACUCAAAUUUAAUUUAAUGAAUUCUUUAAAAAAUUAGAAAAUAUUUUUUGAUAUAUGGCAAGACUCCGGCACUUGGAUCAUCCUGAUUACUCCUUUGAGGUACUUUUAAAUAUAGCGUGAAAAAUGAAUUACAAUUUUCUUUCUUCUACCAAUGCUCGGUCUAGGAAAAUGUGGCUAUCUUUGCAUAGCAUUUCUUAUUCUUUCUGGAAUAGCAAGAGAAUUAAGAAUGACUUUGAUUUACCUCAAAACAAAAUGCUGACAAUAUGGUGUGCUAUAUGCGGGCACCAUGAUUUAUCCAAAGUGUAACUUGCAUUAAAAAAAAAAAGCAUAGAAAAUACUAAUGAUACUGAUGAUGAUGAUGAUGAUGAUGAUUACAAUAAUAUUAAAGGCAGUAAUAUUUGUACUCCCACGUGAUAGUUGAUUGGGGGGAAGGUCCAGAUGUCUAGUUGGCUGUUUUCAUGUUUAAGGCUCCAUUUAUUUUGGAGAACUAGAUAAUUUGAAAAUUAUUUUUUUAAUUAUUAUUUCCAUUGUCUAUAUAAAUGGAUAUAUGAAAAAUAUUUUCAUCGUUCAUGAAAAUAUUUAAUGAUAAAUUGUUGGCAAUAAUGAUAAUAUUUUUUAUUGGCUAAUUGUUUUUUUUUUUUGGUAAAGGUAAGUAUAAUUGGCUAAUUGUUUCAAACGAUAUAAUCAAUUAUUUUUCUAAAAAAUGCUUUCUCAUCAUUUAUUUUCCGUGAUAAAAAUGAAGCCUAAAUUAACUUAGUAAAUGGUUUUCUAGUUAAUGCAUUCUUUUAUAACAUUUCUCAAGAUUUCAUGUCUGCACAAAUGUAGAUGCAUAUUUUAGGACAUUAAGACCGCAUUUUUUUUCUUGUAAUUUUUAUUGCUAUCUUGCAUGGAUGAAAUGUAAUAAAAAGUAUACAAAAAAAAAUUAUAUCUUGCAUGUUAGUAAUUUGGAUUUUUCUUCUUAAAAAAUAUCACAAAAAUAAUGUUUAGGGGUCCCUUUGGGGAAAUUUAUAUUUAUCUGCAUUAUAUUUGUAUUAUUCUUCGAGUAUUGUGUUCCAUUUAAAUUAGAUUAUGCCAAUUUUUCAUUUUAGGGAGCUUAGCAAGUUACAUCCACAUAUUUAUAUAUCCUUUGAUAAAUUAGUUUAUUAGAAAACUUGGAUGGACUUUCCAUUUACCACUCCCAGGGUCAUGUCGCGAUGCUUAUUAACGAGGCCUUAUUUUAUUUUAUCGGAUGCGGCUCGGAUUUUAUUUUACUCGCACUUUAGUUAUUUUCGCCUUAGGGUUUCUCUGUAGGAGCAUAAAAAGUAGACUGAGUAGCCACCACUGAAUUUCGUAUGUAUUACGCUUGACUUAAGACAUCUUUUCCAAGAACAUUCCCUAGUCGAAUGGUCUUUGGAUAGCACUAACCAAAACCGAAUUUUCUCUAGUCGAGUCUACGUCAACUCCAAAACAACUGUUUUUUUUUUUUUUUUUAUGGGCACAAAACAAAUCGAGAUUAUAGUUUUGUUUUACUUCCUUAACUCUAGGUUUUUUCAGAUACUGAUUUCAAAUAUAGGUGAUAUUUUUGAAAUAGAUUUAUGAUUAGAUUUCUUUUACUUAAACAGUAAAUUUUCACGUUUAUUAGCUAAUCGUUUCCUAGAUCAAACAGACUUUAUCUUUACUUUGUUCUAUUUUUUUACUGUCGCCCUUUGACUUUCUUUAAUCUUGAGUUAUUAUUUUUCUGACCCCCAAAAGUAAAGUAAUUAUUGCAUUCAUCUAAAAAUAUUGGCACUUACGUUCGCCUACAUAUUUUUCAUAACUUUCUAAAAUUUAAUUAGUACUUCAAGCUUUGGUGGGAAAGCAUAAAAGAAGUUCUUACUUUUAUAAGGCCAAACAAAAAGGCCUUGAUCUCUUGGUUGUUUCCUAAUCUUCAUUUAGGAUUCUUAUGAUUCGAUUUGGAAGAAAGGUUGCCACUAUGAAUUCGAUGCAAAAAUUGGGAUUCUUUUUUUUUGUUUCACGCUUUUGCAUGUGAAGCUAUAUAUCAUAUGAGCCUAAUGGUUCAACUCUCUUCGUUUUCUUGGUAUUAGUUUGAAAAUGGAGCAAGGAACUUGUUUUCGCUUCAUGAAGUAUUGCCAAAAAGUCCCCCUACUUUUGGUCUGAAUUUUUUAAAGAAUUAGCUUUUCAUGGACAUUUUCUGCUAAGAGUCGGCAAACGACACAAUUUCCGAGCAACUUCCGUCUUUCACAAUUCAAAGAUGGCAGCUGAGUGAGCGAUUUGAAAUGUCCAAUUGUCCUUUUUGUUCAUAGUUUUUCCAGUCUUUUACCUAACGCGCAUUUGAAUUGAUACACAUUGUGAAUCUUCUUGGCACAACCCAAUUUCCAAUUUUAGUGUCCCCAUUAUAAGCGCCUGAGUUACAAAAAAGGAAGGAAAAAAAAAGAUGUCCGAAAAGAAGAUUAAUUUAAAAAUAAAUAAAUUGAUUCGUCUGUCCUCCGGAAAAGGGCAAAAAAGGCAAAAAAACAAAAACAAAAACGACGUAGGAGAACGAAAACGAAACAAGCCAAACACAACCCCAUGGCCUUGGUACGUGGAUCGGAAUUUGCCAAAGAAGCGGUCACAAUAUUCGGUAGACGAAAGAAAAUUGCAAUUCAAUCUUACAGUCGCUCACCAUUUCCACUGCUUUUGCCAGUAUGUCCUUUCUCACGCGUGCCAAUGUCCUUUUUCUUCUCUCCGUUGUUGUGCUUUUAACUAUGCCAGGCUACUUUUGUCUGCCAAUGCCCUUUUUCUUUAUUUAUUUAAAAAUUUUAAUGAUUUUUUUUAAAGUCAGUGACACUUUUGGAAAAUCUACCUCUAUGAGUACCUGAUUCGCGUCAUGAUUCCUUUUUUUUCUUUUUGUUUGUCGCUCGCUUAUGGACUCAUGUUGGGUGCAAUAUAUGUUCCAAAAAUCAAUUUUUGGUUAAAAAUGUGUUUGAUGAUGAUAAAAAAGAUUCCUUUAUUUGAUAACAAUAUAAAAUUAAACUUCACUGAAGUUUAAAAAACUAGAGGGAAAAAAAAAAAGACUUAGCUGGCUCAACCCUGGCACCAGUCGUGAACGAGGUUAGUUUUGGCUUUGACUAAGGAGAUUUCGAGUUCCAAGAUGAGGGUUUAUUUAUCUUAAAACCGAUCACUAGGUGAAAAGCACAAAAUAAAAAAUAAAAAUCUGAAUUUUCACAUCAUAAUUCAAAGAAUAAAAACAAUUUUUUUGCUUUCCCACCUAAUUUUGUAAUAUUCUUCAAAUUUUGGAGAAUUAUGAAAAAUAUGUAGGUGAAUGUACAUGUCAAACAUUUUCACAUAAAAUUUUUAAUUGCAUAAGUUUAAAGACAGUCGAGAGCGCCGUAACAUUGUUAAAAAAACACAGACAAAAUAAAAAGUCACUCAAAACAAAUCUAGGAAAUGAAUUAGCAAGUAAAGUAGGGAAUAUUAAAGAUUCAAAGUUAAAGAAAUCUAAUCAUAAAUCUAAUAAAAUUUUUUGAUAAAAAUCCUAGAGUUACGUAAAUAAAGUAAAAUUGCAAUCUUGAUUUGUCCGUGAACCAUAAAAAGACAAAGCAUAGUUUUAGAGUUGACGCAGACUCGAAUAUUUCGGAAAUAUCAACUAAUCCUCAAUAUUUUUAUUUUUUCUCCAGUGAGAACGAAGCUUGUAUUAUUGCGAGUUCGUCGAAAGUCGCUCUAGGGGAGCAGAGCACACCGGAGGAAAAAGCUGUGGGGACUGAUUCCGCUUUUCUAGAGUUGAUGUAGACUCGAUAUAUAUAUAUAUAUAUAUAUAUAUAUAUAUAUAUAUAUAUAUUAAUUUCAAUCUUGGACGCUUAAAGAUAAGGCAAACGAAAGCACCAGGAAUGGAGGUCUUCAUAAUGUAAACGAAAGUCAGCAGUGGCUAGUAUUUUUAAAAAGAAAAAAUUUAUGCAAAUGCAAAGGGAACGAGCCUUUCAUUGAUGAGGUGAUAUGAGAGAGCAAACCCUCAGGCGAAAAUGCUUGUGAGAAUGGAUAAGGGAAAGAGCUCGGAGGCCGGAACAGUUAAACAAAUUAUGGUAUAUUCAUUCACCGAUUAAAAAAGACAGAUCCCCGGCUUGGUUUUUUUUUUUUUUUUUGGGAGGGGGGGAGAGGGAGGAUAGGAAGGAUGGAGGGAAGAAUCCCUCAUCCCGCUGCGGGUCUUGCUUUGGUCAUGGGGUUGGGUUUGGCUUGUUUCGUUCUCGUUCUCGUUCUCCUACGUCGUUUUUGUUUAUGUUUUUUUUUGUCUUUUUAGCCCUUUCUCUGGAGGACGGACGAAUCAAUUUAUUUAUUUUCAAAUUAAUCUUCUUUUCGGACAACUUUUUUUUUUUACCUAGUGGCCGCCCCCCACACGCAAAGCUUUGACGGUUAAGCACGUCACUCAAAGCAAGGACAAAGCGUCGGUCGAGUUCAUCAUGGGAAGACUAUAUCUUUUUCUCUCUUUUUUCUCUUUGGGAGGGAGGGUCCUGUCUUGUGUCGCGGGGUUCGUGAUUGUCGGCAGCUCCUCUGGUCUCUCGUUUCAUCAUUUUGAUUGGCGGCGGUGCGAUUCUCUCAAUCAGUGCAGGGGCGUGUUUAGACCAGGGGUCUGAGAGAGGGUGACUAUCUUUGGAUAGCAUUUCUUACUUUUACCGAUUUUCAAUUAUUAUAGACACAUGAUAAACUUAUUAAAGAGUUAAUUCCAAAAAAAAAUAAAAAAUAGCUCACACACACACAAUUCUAGCCUAAACAUUUUUUUUAAUAAAAAUAAUAAAUUUUAUUUGAGUCUCAAAUUUGGCGUUUGUUAAUUGAAGUUUGAGAUCUUAUAGAUUGUGAUAAGUACUUUGGUAGGGCACGCCUUUAGAUUCUCCUUCAUCAUACUUCUUAACAAAAUCAAUUUAUAUAUUAAAUGAGAUCGUUUGAUCAAUGUCCAUUUGAAGUAAAUUUUGAAGUGGAGGGCUUGGGCUUGUUCUAGAAAAUAAGGUUUUGAUCAUGAGUUUGGCAGAUCUUGUCUAUGACAUCUCUUGAUGGGUGGUGAUUCAUGUCCACAACUUCAUAUUAUGACAAAAUAGUGGAGGUUGGCCAUAGAGAUUUAAUUUGGAUAUCUUUUUGACUUGCCGGUGAAGUGAAGAAGACUAUUAAUAGCUUCACUAUUAUUUUUCAAGCUGUAGCUCAAAAAAGAAGAUGAUGCAUAGUGAUUUAAAUUCAAGUAGCAAGCGAUGUGAAUUUAUUGUUGAUAUAGAAUAGUCAUGUUGGACAAUUAACAUGUCAAGUCAAUGGAACUAGAUUUAAGAUUUAAGUGAAAGUUGAUUUUUUUAUAAAACAAAGAAAAAAAUUUAGAGCGGAAUUGACUUUAUUUUUUUUAGCAGAGUUGUCAUUUAAGGUAAAGUUUAUUUUGAUUACAAAAAGAAAAAGAUUCCAUCAGGAAUUACCCGUCUCUCUCUCUCUCUUUUCGGCUAGAAUGUUGGAUUAACAAGUUUUCCUUUUUCCUGUUUUUGCUUUUGUGUUAGCAUUAUCAUUAAAAGUUUAAAUUUCUAGAUAUCUCAACAAUUAAAUUAAUGGAUACUUUUGUUGUUUAAAUAAUCACAAUAGUCUCCAUUUAGGAAAACUUAAAGUAAGCUCUUGUAGAAGAACUUAGGGUUCGUUUGUUUCGCGAAAAAUUGACAAUUUCUAGAAAAUAUUUUCCUAUAAAUCAUUUUCCAAGAAAAUGAUAAUAUUUUCUGGUGUUCGGCUAAAAUCUGAAAAUGUUUUGGAAAAUAUUUUUCGGUGUUCAGUAAGGAAAAUAUUUUCCACUUACCAGAUUGGCGAGCGCGAGUGUCAAGCUCGAGGCUCGCUAGAUUGACGAGCACGAGUUUGAGAUCGAUGAGCUUGAGGUUAACCUGGUCCGAGGACUAGCCAAGAAAGAAGAAUAUGGGAAACAAAGAAAAAAAAAGAAAAAAGAAAGAAAAAGAGAAGAAAAAUGAAAUUAAAAAUAAUUUGAAUUAAAAAAGAAAAAAAUUAAAAUAUAAUUCGAAUAAAAAAAGAAAAGAAGCAAAAGAAAGGGGAGGAGGAAGUGAGGAUUUGUAGAGGUGUGAGAUAAGAGAGAUCAGGUGAGGAAAAUGUUUUCCACUUUUGAAAAGUGGAAAACAUUUUCCUCCACUUUAGAAGACUUUUUUCCUUUGAUGGAAAAUAUUUUCUCCAAGGAAUUCAUUUUCCGGGAAACGAAUAUCGGAAAAUCCGGAAAACAUUUUCUUGAAAAUUAUUUUCCACGAAACGAAUGGAACCUAAUGUCAAAUCUAAGAAGCCGCCUUGAUAUCUCUUUUAUUAGCAAAAACAAAAUUUCAAAGUCAGCUUAAUUAAUCUAUCUAAAUGAAACCAAACUAUGUAUCUCAGUGGUAAGUUAAUUUGAUUUCUUGCACAUUGUUUCGUAAUAAAUUGUUAUUGACUAGAUAAAAUAUUUAAAAAAAUUUUAAUAUUCAUUUUUACAUUGAUUUUUUUGAAUUUUUACUAUCACAAUACAUUUCUUAAGAUCCAUUUAUUUUGCGAAAAUAUUUCUAAUGAAAAAAAUUCUCCAAAAAUUUUCAGUGUUUAGAUUGCCUAAGAAAAUGAAUUUAAUAUAAAGUAUUAUCAUAGUUAGCGGAAAAUUUAUACUUAAAUUCAAUAUAAUGAAUUCUUUAAAAAAUUAGAAAAUAUUUUUAGAAAUAUAGCAAGACUCGGGCACUUGGAGUUUUCUGAUUAUUCCUUUGAGAUAUUUUCAAUUGUACCAUAAAAAAUGAAUUGCAAUUUUCUUUGAGACAAGGGAUCUUUACAUAGCAUUUCUUAUUCCUUGGGCACCUAGAUAUUUCCAAAGUGUCACUUGCAUUGAAAAUAGGAAAAAUUCCAAAUAAGAGCUUGAAAUGCUCUUAUUUUCUUAAAUAAAGACUUGAAGUGGAUAUUAUUUUAAAUAAGGGCCUGAAGUACCUUUAUUUUCUUAAAUAAGGGCAUAAAGCGCCCAUAUCAGUUUUAAAAAGGGCUUGAGGAGAAAUUUUGCCAUUUAAAAUUUUUAUUUUUUUUCCUUUUAUUCUUUCUUUAAUCUUUAGAACACAAAAAAAAAAAAAAUGAUAUUUGUGCCACAGUGUGUAUAAUUUAGGGUUUUUGAUGGUAUCUUUCCACAUAUAUAUAUAUAUAUAUAUAUAUAAACUUUUUACAUAUAAAAUGGACUAGGCCUAGACAAAUUAAGAUCAAGAAAACAACCACAUGCGCAGCCUCCCCUAUUUGCACUUCAAGCUUGGGAGGGUCUAGCGGGCUGUUAGGCGUAUAAUUACCUCUCUUGUCAAAAUUUCACGUUUUAAUUACGAUUUGAAGUUUCAAUUUAAAAGUAUAGUCUUGACACCUUUGAGUCUAAUAUUGUUCUCAUAAGCUUGGGACGAUUAUAGAAAGUAAAUGGUAUCAAGGGUCGAUUACAGAGAAAAAAUGGAUAAUGAAAUAGAGUCUCCCUAGAUACUGUUUUUGUCAAAUAAGGAGGAAGAGAAGGGAAAAAAACGAAAAAGAAAAAAAUUAAUGAAAAAUUCGAAAAAAAUAAUGAUGUAUUAAGUAGAAAUGUCCACAUCAGUAAUUUCUGGCCUAAUUUGGCUGGAUUAGCUCAAUUGGUAUUAAUAUGAAAAGAUUUAGAAUUAAAUUGAUCAAAUUAAAAGAUUAAUGACUGAAUUGAUACAAAUAUAAUAAAUUUAUGACUUUUUUGGUAUAUUUUCUCUAUAGUUGGUCUCUAUAGGGUUUUUCCGAGAUGUGCCCCGCUCCUUGUAGACUUGACUUUUGACAAACCAACGAUAUGCUAGUUUUUCUUGUUACAAUAUUACUCCUUGGUUUUUCCAGGGUGUCGUUUUCAACCCCCGGCCAUGGAAAACAAAGUUUUUAACGAGGCUCUGACAAAUCGAGAUUGCAAUUUUGUUUUAUUUCCUUAACCAAGAACUUUUACAGAUAGUAUUUUCAGAAUAAGGUUAUUCUAUUUCUUUUAGUUGAUGAGUAGAUUUUCUUAUUUAUUAGCUAAUUUGUUUCCUACGUCUGUUCGGAGUGACUUUAUCUCUUUUUUUUUUUUCUUUUUUUCUUUUUUUUUUUAUCUUUGUUUGUUAUUUUCUUAUUUUGCGGCGCUCGCACUCUGCCUUUCCUUAAUCUUAAGCGAUUAAAACUUUCGAUAAUAUAAAUGUUGACAUGUACAUGCACCUAUAAUUAUUUUCAGAAUUUUCUAACGUUUGAAUAAUAUUUCAAAAUUUGGUGGAAAAGCAAAAAUGUUGUUCUUACUUUCUACAAAGGCCAAACAAAAGCCCUGGUCGCUAGAAGUAUGGUGGGUUCUAAUAAAAGUUCCCUAAACAACGUAAAACGAGUUUAUUUAUUAAUUUAUUAAUUGUGAAUUCGAUGACGAGCUGAACCCUAGAUCCAUAAAGCCGAUCCAGAAUUCCUCUUCUUAUAAGAUCGUUAUCGUUAGACGGUUGCAUAGAUACAUUUGAGAAAAAUGAAUUUAUUCUGCAAUAGAACAAUGGAAGAUUGCACCAUUCCGGUGAAGCUAGAUGAGAGAACAGUUCAAUCAUGUCAGCUUCUAAUGAAAACACCAUUAUAGUCUCCCCAAUAGCACCUAGUUUAUAUUUUAUUAUCUUCUCAUUAAAAUUUCAGAUAGUUUCUCGUGUUGUUUUUAGCAAUUGUGUGCCAUGAACAAAUUGAUAUCGUCCUAAAGGCAUUAUACACACACACCGCGGGUGGUGAAAUUGGAAACUUGCUACGACCAUGAACUCCUACUAGCAUGAAGAACAUGUCAAACAAUCACAAUUUUGUACGUCGCUCGGAUCAAUCACGUUGUCUGCAUGACUAUGUCUCAUCCUAUUUAGCACUUAAAUAUUAGAUAUACUCAUGUUUAAGUGGCUUGUUGCAUCAUAGGUCAUUAUCACGAACUUUAACCGUUACACGAAAUAUCUUGCCCGUUCCUCAACAUGAAAUGAUAUACUUUCUUGUGUGUAUUAAUAAGUGAUGCUUGAGCAUUAUCAAAUACAUUUGUGCAUGAACGGCUUUCUUUACUACAUCCUUUGCUCAAUCAAUGAGCCGAGGUAGCUUUCCAUCAUGGUGGCUUAAUACCAUUUUGCUAAUGUCCACAUUAUCAACAUAAGUCAAAUGCACAACGGGCAAAAUGCUUUUUUUUUUUUUGGUCGGAAUAUGCUGAAUUUCAUUACUAGCUCGUAAAAUGGGCACCGUUAGUUGGUAAGUCUAAACAUAAUAUUGAACAUAAAGGUUGAGGAGGGAAAAAAACACAAUUGCUAGGAAGAGAGUUGGUGCGGUGGGCUUUGGCAACCUAAUCCGCAGCCUUGUUGAAUUCCCUCGGCUCAUAGAGGACAGAGACGACACCGAUCUGGGCUAUAAGUUGUGUGUAGUAAGCAAUAAUGGAUUGGGCUUGCCAAGGGGGCUCUUCUCGGCCCGAUAAGCAUUCAACAAGGGAUAAGCUAUCCGAAAAUAAGUGCACCUUCAGAUCAGUUGCAGCAAAGACUUUGUGUGGGGUUUCAGUUCGUGCGGAGCUUGCUGUUCAACUUUCCCUUACCCACAACAAAGCUUCUCUCACGGCUAGGGUUUCUGCAAUCCAUGCGGACAGGGCUGAGAUUUGCUUCAUAAAUUCGGCGACAAGGAGGCCAACUAUGUUUCAGCAGACACUCGCGACAGAUCCCUCUAGUUUUGAGCUGCACCAUGAGGCGUCGACAUUCACCUUCAACGUGUGUGGGUCAGGUGGUUUCUGUUUUUCCCAACUAUUCUAAUUUACUUGCUUUCAGUUUUCUCCAUUUUUCCCCUUAGCUGUCCAUUUCAUGCACAGAUCUACUACUGUACGAGCUUCUUCUUGGGUGCUGAUUGGGUUGGGCUCUUUUCCUUAGAAAACAGCAUAGUUGCGGGUCUUCCAAAUCUGCCAUAGGAGAGCAACAAAGAGGGAUUUCGAUUUUGUUCCGACUCUUGAGGUGAGGUUUUCUAAAAUCCACCUAUCAAUUCGAGUUAUACUUGCUGGGUCUGUCUCGGCUUAAAAAUCCGGGGCUGACCAUACACUUUUUGUCCAGUCACGGAGGAUGAAUAUGUGCUCCAUUGUCUCUGGUGCUUGGCCGCAUGUUUGGCAAGUUGGGUCAGGUAACAUUUGUCUUCUAUGCAAAUUUUCUUUUGUUGGGAGAGAGUUGCUGCAUAUAUUCCAGAUUAAGAAUCUAAUUUUUGGGGACGUUGGUAGCUUCCAUAUUUCGUGCCAAAGUGAUUUUGGUAUUUGGUAGGAUGGAGAGGAAUUUUGUCUAGUGGAGGGUACGGCUAAGUUUUGUAUUUGGUUAUAGCCGCUCUUGACAGUGUAUGAACCAGAUCUGUUUGCUGUCCACACAAGCUUGUCUGGGUUAGGAUGUAGGCUUAGAGGGUGAGCUAGAAUCUCUUUCGCUACAGUUUCCUGAAAAAGUGCAUUUACUCUAUUCAUAUCCCAUUCCUUCAUGUCGCGAUCUAUUAGUUCAACCACAACUCUUGGAUCAUCCUUAUUUGCUGGGCCAAUGAUUCUUCCAGAAGGCAACCAUGCAUCUUCUCGAAUUCUUAUCGUUUGUCCAUCCCCAACCUCCCAUCUCGUGGCUGGUUCAAUUGCAUCUCUCCCCACCAACAUACUUUGCCAUCCCCAUGAAGGCCGAUUGCCUCUGUUUGCAGCCUAGAAAUCACGUCGAGGAUAAUAGAUAUUCUUCAUCACUUGGCACCAUAGAGCAUUUGGUUGUUUGACAAUUCUCCAAGCCUGUUUUCCCAGCAUAACUUUAUUAAAAUCCACCAAAUCUUUAAAACCUAAACUACCAUAAUCCUUCCUAAUUUCCAGAUCUUCUCAUUUCUUCCAAUGAACUCCUUUUCUAUCUGCAUUCUAUUUCCACCAAAAUGAAGCUACUCUCUUCUCAAUAGUUCGGCAUAUAAAAGUUGGAAUUCUAAAAAUGGACAUCGCAUAUUGGGGAAUGGCUUGAAUAACUGUCUUGAUAAGAAUUUUUUUACCCGUCUUCGAGAUCAACCUCUCCUUCCACCCUUCCAAUUUCCUUUCGACUUUUGCAAGGAUCCAAGCAUAUAUUAGCUUUUUUGUUUUCCCCCAGUCUGUUGGAAUUCCAAGAUACUUUCCUAAAUUUUUUGAGAUAGAAACUCUUAAUUGUGCUGCUAAAUUAUGUUCAAGGUUGUGAGGACAACCUCUCCCCACGAAAAGGCCUAAUUUAUUGAGGUUUAUAGCUUGACCUGACACAUAAUAGUAUUGAUUCAACACAUUUGAGACAUUCUGAGCUUCUCGGAUUGUGUCAUCUAAGAAGAAAAUGACAUCAUCUGCAAAGAGGAGAUGUGAAAGGGUUGGGCAUGUAGAAUUAAGGCGAAUACCCUUUAUACUUCCAUCUUGAACAGCUUUGCUCAUGAGGGUCGAGAGAAUGUUGGCCAUGAUGAUGAGCAAGUAGGGGGAAAGGGGGUCCCCUUGCCUAAUUCCUCUAGUAAGUCUAAAAGCAGCUAAAGGCUCACCAUGAAUUAAUAUUGAAAGAUACCGAUGAGAUAUAUUGCUUUAUCCACUUGACCUAUUUCUCAUGAAAACCCAGCUUCAGCAUAUAAUCACAAAGAAAAUCCCAUUCAACUCUAUCAUACGCUUUUUGCAUGUCUAGUCUUAUAAUGGCUUGAAAUUUACAUUUCCUCAUUUUCACCCUUAGUUGAUGGAUCACCCCUUGGACAAUAAAUAUGUUGUCUUGAAUUUGCCUGCCACUUAUAAAGGUUGUUUGCUCUUCAGAAACUAUUUUUGACAGCCAUGGUUUCAGCCUACUAGCUAGCACUUUUGCUAUAAUUUUAUAAUUGAAAUUGCAAAGGCUUAUAGGUCUGAAUUGGGUGAUGUUCUCUGGGUUAGUUACUUUAGGGAUAAGAGUAAUGUGCGUUAUGUUUAGCUCUGGUUCAAACGUACCUUGACUGAAAAAGGAUUGCACCAUGUUGAAAAUAACGUUGUUGAUGAUUGGCCAAUGAUUUUGAUAGAAUAAACCGUUUAGCCCAUCUGGUCCCGGUGCCUUAGUGGCCCCUAGCUGAAAAACUGCAUCUUUAACUUCUUCUUUUGUUACUAGUUUGAUCAUAUCAACAUUCAUCUCCUUAUUAACCGCCACUUGGCAUUGCUCUAACACAGGUUGAUAGUUCCGGUCACCAACUGAAAUGAAUAAAGAUUGAUAAAAGCUGUAAAUAUGAUGAGUAAGAGUCUUAGGGUCCCUACACCAGGUUUCAUCAUCUAGCCGAAGCAUAGAUAUUUUAUUUCGCUGUCUUCUUUGAACUGUUGUUGCAUGAAAAUAUUUGGUAUUUUGAUCUCCCAAUUUUAACCAUUAUAUUCUGGACUUCAUGCACCAGUACAUCUCUUCUUGCCUCCACAACUCUUCAAUUUUUCAAACAAUGUUGCUGGUUUCCUCUCCGUUUUGCUCCCUAUCUAUUUUAUUUGUUAACUCCAUAAGCCAGAACUUGAGGGGGUUGAUCUGUUUUGGGCAUUUUGGAACUUUCUCUAGCUCCAUUUGUAUAAUUCUGAUGCAACCAGCUUUAUUUUGUGAGUAAAACUAAUUGCAUUAGAGCCAUUUGCAUGCCAAACCCUCUUAAUUACCUCCUCACACUUAGGGUCUUCUAGCCAAAAAGGUUGAAACCUAAACAUUUUAUGACUUUUCAUUUCUUUUUGUUAUGGGGAUAGAAUAAUCGGGCCGUGAUCUAAGCCUAUUGCUGGUAGAGUAAAAGCCUGUGUAUUUGGGUAUAGCACUCUCCACUCCAAAUUGCAAAGUGCCCUAUCUAAUCUCUUUUUAACUAAUGCACUUCAUUCUUUAUUGUUGGACCAAGUGAAAGCAUAGCUCUUGCUUUCAAUAUCCAUCAAAGAACAAUCAUCCAAGAAAGCUGCAAUUCUGUAUCGGUCCAUCUCCCUACAUCCAACUUUUUCCCAAUGGUAAAGUAUUCAUUGAAAUCCCCAACACAUAACCAUAGGGAGAAUUGGAGUAGUUGUUGUCUUGAAAGUUUGUUGGUGCAUGUAAAAAGGAAAUGCGCAUAAGGCUGCCGCUAUUAAUAUCCUUACAUUUUAUAUUUAUGAGCUCCCUAGAACUUUCCUCCACUUUCACUUGAACCUCAUCAUCCCACAUUAAUGCUAAACCUCGAGCUAUGCCAACUGGUUCCAUAAUGAAAGAUUCUUUGAAAUGAGUCAUUUUCCUUACUCUCUCAACAACAUUAUUCUGAUUUUUUUGUUUCCAUGAGGAACACUAGGUUGGGCCUUUCUUGAGCCACUAAGGCUCUAAAAUGCUGGAUUGUUAAGGGGUUGCCCAGCCCUUAACAAUUCCAGCUAAGUAGCUUCAUCUGUGCUCUGGUGGCUUAUUAGGGCCAGCCACCAUGGCCCAUGUGUUCGCCCUUUCCCAGGACUGAAUAGGGGCAUCCAAAAGUUGGUUUUCAUCCCCCACAAGCUCCUGUGAGAGUUUCUUCUCAUGGGGAUUGACCCACUUUUGUUUUUUGGCUGCAAGAGCUUUAUAUAUCGCCUUUCCUUUCUUAGAAUUCUGUGAGGACAUCUUAAUCCCAACUUGAGAGAGAAGUAGUGUUUGUUGUUUUUUUUUAGUUGUGCCUUCUAAUUAUACUCAUUUGUUCUGUUUUUUCAGGUUGGACAAGGACAAGGGCCAGAGCAAGUUGUUCUUCCAUCACUGUUUCCAUUGUUUUUUAUAUCACCUCUGUUUGAGUCUCCAUGACAACUUCUUCUUCUGGAGCCGAAGGAUCCGGUUUACCAUAAAAGGUCUUCCAGUAAUGACUGAUUUCUCUAACUUCCGCCUUUAGCCAUGAACCAUAACGGCCUAGUUGAUCUUGAGCUAGUCCAGUUUCUUCAUAAGGUAUUUCAGUGCAGUAAUUAGCAUAAUGCCCAAUUCGACCGCAAGAGUAGCAAAAAUGCGGAAGCCUUUCAUACUUAUAAUCGAUCCAUCAUUUCUUGUCCUCACAGGUUAUCACAGUACUUGUUUUGAGCGGGCUGGACAGGUUUAGCAGCACUUUGGCCUUUCCACUUUUCCUGAAGUUUGUGCCUCUUGCCUCGAUCUUUAUCUCCUAUACUUUCCCCAAUUUAGAAGCUAAGAGGCGUAUGGCACCUUCAUUAACUCUGGCGCGAGGAAGACCUAUAAAGUGAACCUAGAACGCAUUAUGCGUGAAUUCAUAACAAUGCUCAGGUAUGUUUGGGUCACCUUCUUUAAGAACUAAUAGAUUACUCCCAAAAGACCAAGGUUCCGAUUCUAACACCCUUCUUUUUUCUUCACUUGAUUGGAAAAUAAAUGAGAAAAAACCCGGUUCAAUUUGUUCACAUUUUACUGAAUCAGCUUUUCAUGCUCUCUUCAUAGUAUUACUGAAGGCCUGAAAAUUUACAUUUGGCUUCGAAUAUAGCUUGUCAUACAGGGUUAAUUCACUUUGUUGUUUUUCUUCAUCUGGGAUGUCAUCCCUUAGGUCCAUGAUGUCUUCUUCGGACCACAGAUCUCCUAUUCUCCUACACAGCGCUGCUAAACGAAGAUGGUUGUCCUCUCUAUCUGCCAUUUCCUGUCACCUGUUCUGGGCUUGCAACAGAUCACUUUGGUAAUUUGGCUAUGGAGUGAAGGGAGCUCUGGAGGCGAUUUUGAAACAGGUGUAUUGCGACUAAACAGGAGAAUUCACUGAGGGGAAUUGUAUGCCUACCGGAAGAAGCACAUAGUUGCGAAGAGAAGCGCAAGACCUAGGGCCUCAAAGAUCUAGUCACAGGUAACUAUUUCAGCUAUACAAUCACUGAUGCAGCACUGAUCGUACCUUAAGAUGAUAGACAGGAAAGGAAGUCUGGAUGUUUCAAAAGACCUUCGCAAGCUUCAAGCAUUCAUGGGUUGCCCUUCAAGAGGAGGUUCGGAGGAUGCACAACAAGAUCCAACGACGCUUCUUUCCAUGGGUGCCCUUCGGAUGGGAUAGAUUAGUAUAAGAGCCUUUAAUCUGGUGGUGUAUGCCCGAAUAUUGCCAUGAUUGGCAGAUCUAGGGUUUUUGAUUUGGGUUUUUAGGGAUUGAGAAACAGCUAUCACUUAGGGAUAGAGAGGAAACUCAACCAUUGUUGGGCAAAAAGCAUUGAAUUGUGCACAAUGCAUGAUCAAAAAACUAAUUUUUGUAUUGUCCACAUCUGAAUUUUUGCAGGUAAAACGGACAUGAAUUUUUGUUAAAAAAAUAAUAAAGUUAAAUAAUAAAAAAGGAAGAGAACCCCAGUCCAAUACGGUCAUUUUUCUAAAGGACCUAGUCCGGCCCACAUCAGCUUAACCAAGCCCAAUUCACUACAGCCCGUUACUUCGACCCAGUUCAUUAAGCCCACGAAUCGAUCAGGUCCAAGUGGAUUUCUUCAUCUUCGUUCCCUUCAGUGAUCCUGUAUCCGCCAGCAACCGCUGCGGUAGCCGUUCCGCCAUCGGCGGUUCGGCUACGGUGGUAAUUCCUCUGUUCGCCCCUGUUUCUCGGCCAGGGAGUUUGAAGUGCUUGAAGAUUAUUCGUUCAUUGGUCGUCUUCUCUGAUCCUCAGCCUCGUCGUCAUGGCGCCCCCCGAUCGCUCUCCGCGGCUCUGGACUUUCCGUGUCGCCGUUCCUGUGGGGUUCCAUCGAUCUUUUUGUUCUUCGAGUGCUGGCGUCUUUGAAUUCGGUCUGCUGCUGGAGCGUUGGCUGUGUGACCUAGAACGCCUAUAUCGGCAACGAUCGAGUUUCUUUUCUUGUGCCUUAGCGAGCUAAGAUGGUGUUAACGUAAUGCAUGGUCACCACCCUUUAUCUUCACCCAGCCCCCAGUGCUGUGGGGGAGAGGGGAAAACUACGCCUUGCACAAUGGGUAGAUCAUAACUAUGUGAGUCGUAAGUGCUAUUUUUGUUGGAACACGUUUGAGCAAUUUCCUUUUGAAUUAUUAAGUUUCUUGUGUAAACGUGCUGUGUAGCAUAUUUAUCAUGCUGCUGUUAAGUACAAAACUGUAGAUAAUGCACAUUGCAUGAGAAACAUGUUUUCCAUAAGAAAGCCGGACAUGGCUUACCUUCUUAUUUUGGGGGAACUCAUCGGAUAUUUGUGGUCUUCUUGCGACUAGAUCUAUUUUCAAAUGUUAAAAACAUGGGAACUGAUUUUCUCUUGAUUAAGUAUUUCCUAAACGUCCCUUUAGUUUUGAUCUGUAUAUAUCAAUAAAUUAUCUCUUCUGGACUUUUUCAGUUAAGAGUUGGUAUUUGCCAUACUCAAGGAUUGCAGUUGUAUUUAUAGCUAUAGAGGGAGGGAUGAGAUUGGAGUAACCAUGGCGUAUAUGCGCUCGUCUAUUCCUUAGAAAGUGGUCACUAUACUUUGACCCUAGAUGUUGGUAUUGGUGAUGUUGUUUUCUUUAACUCAGCAAUGCAAUAAGUUACCUUAGUGACAUUGUUGCUGUAUGGGAAACUUGCUAGCUGCAAAUUCUCUUCUAUUUAUAUUUAUUGAAAGAUGGUUGUGGAAUGUAAAGUUUCCCACGUUUCACUGCUCGUUCAUCAAGUAUUAAAAUGACUUGAAAGAAGAACAGCAAUUGGAUGAAGCACAUCCAUUUAAAUGCCGCAUUUGCCUUUUUGUACCUUAUGAGUGGUACAAUACUUAUCACUAAACAGUGGAUUGCAUGAAUUAUUUGGAAUUAGGGAUUCCUUUCCGAAGAAUGUGCUUACCUGUUCAGUUUUCAUAUUGAAACUUGUAACGGCUAGAACUAUGAUGAAUUAUAAUGUUUAUCGGCCUACUUAUUCAGUCAUUUUUAAACUUUCAGUGGGGUUAUACUUUUACACUUCCGGCUUGAGUAGUCUAUCCUCUAACUUGAAGGCUGACACUGUCUUGCUUUGCCUUUGUCAAGCUGCAGUCUUUCUUCUACACGCUAUCAUCUUUGAUUACCCUAAGUGAUUUGAACAUUUAGUAGGUUUUGCACUUCAUUUCUCUCUCUUAACCAAUUCAAAGAGGGAUUUCUGGAAUUCUUGUAUGUGGUGGCGUGGGUUUGUGGGACCCUCUUUUGUUUUUUUUUUGGGGGGUGGGGGGAUGAGGGGUUGUUUACAUGUCAGAACGAGGCAGUCUAUUACAUGAAAUGAACUUUCUUUGCUUUUGAAAUGAUUGUGUGGGAUGACAAGUCUUGACAAGUCUUGAGGGUAUGCUUGUUACUUCAAGUUGCUUAGACCCAUGCUUACGGAAGACGCCUUAAGUAUGAUCCUAUUUAGAAGAUGUGGCACAUAUCAAAUAUCAAAAGGUCACCCAUAAAAUGAAAGGUUUUUUGUAAGUCAAAAAUAACUUGCUAUUAAUAUUGUCGACUAACAUUAAUAAGUGAUACCCUGUCGAUAUAAUUAUCUAGAGAUUUCUUUUCAGUCGGAGAAAGUGCCUAAAAACUACCAAGCAUGUUAUCCUUGAAAAUAGGCUGAGGCUACUUCAGCUCUCACUAUAGCCAACACUAAUUUGCUUUGAGUCACAAUGCUUUGCACUUGCGACAAUGCGGUAGUAGUUUUGUUAUUGAUUGACCAGAUGUAUUGCAGCAUAAGUUUGUGCCAGUUUCGUAAUGUGAUGAGAAACGCACAUUCCCUAAAGCUUUGGGAUUUUUGAAGCAUUGCACCCAUAGCAACCUGCUUCUGCAUGCCAUCAUGAAGUGAGGAGGNNNNNNNNNNNNNNNNNNNNNNNNNNNNNNNNNNNNNNNNNNNNNNNNNNNNNNNNNNNNNNNNNNNNNNNNNNNNNNNNNNNNNNNNNNNNNNNNNNNNGUAUCAACUAGUCUUAAGCACAUAAUAUGGAGCACAAGUUCAGGCCUCAUUUUCUGUGCAUUUUAAGUGGUGAAACUUUUAGAGAGACUGAAGAUGGUGAAAGGAGCUGACGUGAAUUGGCACGUCAAUAUCUUGAUGACGUAGUUAUGUUUUCUGUUGUAUAUUACCUGACUUCCCCUUAAUCUCUAUAGUAAUUAAAUCUCUCUGUCUCACUACCUCUCAUUUCAUAUAACUGUUGUAGACUGGUUAAGCAAUUUAAUUCUGCUUUCAGAGAUAUGGGAUGCUCUGCAUGCAGCAGCAGAAGCAGAUCUAACGCUUGCCCAAGCAAUUGUGGAUACUGCUGGUGUGAUUGUUCAGAGAGCUGACUUGACAAUAUGCUAUGAUGAAAGAGGUGCUAUGUUCAUCUAUUCACCCAAUCCCCCACCCGCUUCUCGCCCACCACCACCUAGAAAUCUUUUCCAUCUCUACCGUCCCAUCCAGCAUCUAAUUCAAGCGAUGUUGAUCGUUGCAGGUGCUAAGUACGAAUUGCCCAAGUACGUUUUGAGUGAGCCGACCAAUUUGAUUGAUGAAAAUUGACAACGGAGGUGGGGCAGAUUUUGCUCAGCUUCGUGUGUAAAUCCUGUGAAUUGAUAUUGAUAGUUUGGUAAAACAAAUUGCAUCAAGGUGGAGGUCAUUCAGGCAUUUUAAUGACGCACGCUUAAAUACAAAUGUUACGUGACUUCUGCCUCACGAGAUGUAUAACUACCACAAUUUCAUAUGGUUACCUGAACCUUCUAGGGAAACAAGAAAAGUAAUUAAUUCAGGUGAUGGUUACGGUGGAAAAUCAUGACAGCCUCGAGUGCUAGACCAUUGUUUUCUCCAACUUUUUACUGUUUCUCAGGCACAUUGACCUUUUAAUAUCAUCUGUCUGUUAUGUGGAGUUGUUGAUGGCCCCUACAUUUUCAAUGCUCUAGAUUCAUCUUGUAACUUAUUAUAGUUUCAGAUAUGUUUUGAAAUUUGAAAACCGAUCCCUUAAUAGACUAGGGAUGGUAUAGAUUGUCCAAUGCACAGUGGGGAAAAUGUGUUGAAUUGUGCACAAUGCCGUGUGAAGUUUGAAUUUGACAUUACUUGUAGGUUCAUUCCGAGCCUUUAAAACUAGAUCUACCCAAUUUGUUUCUCUUGAUUUAAUCAACACGUAGAGUGGAGAUAUCGAUUGGGCAAAACAAACUGGUUAAGGAAUAUAAACAGAUUGCGGAUGGCUAACAGCAUAGAAGCCCUCUUAAAAUUAUCUAUAGCAAGAGCUCAUAGUCGUAGGAUUUUAGUACAGGUUCUUCUAUGGCAAGAGCUCGUAAUUGUAGGAUUGUAGUACAAGUUCUUCUAAACGAUUAUUUAUGAUGUUGUGAUUAUGGUCACGGAAUACGAUUCUAUGACAUUCUUCUAUCGUUCGUUCUUAUGUCACACAAGUUUGGGUCGAAGUUGUUCACCAACCAACGACAAAAUUCCCCUUCAACUGACAAAAAAAAUUUAUUGUAUUGCUUGUUUUUGGUAAUCAUCUAACCGAGCAGUUAAUCUCAUCAACCACAUCUUGCCAUAGUGAACUCCCUACUUUUUGGGGAAUGAUGAACAUAUAAUUGACAUUAUUAAGAAUGCAUCAUUAUUAAAGGUACGUCUUACUAUAUUCUGACAAAAAUGCUACAUAGAAAAAACUACGAAAUUGAUUCUACCGAUGGAAAGUGAUAUUUGCCCUUGUUUUUUGCCUGACACAUCACAAAGUGAAAAUUCUCUCUCUUGAGAGAGAGUGAAGAUAUAUCUCCGAAACCCCAAUUAGCAUUAAAUAAGAAUCUAUUCCCUAAAUUUUGCGUCAAUUAUAUAUAUUCAAUGUGUAGAUUUCAACGCGAAAAAUAUGUUGGAUGUAAUAUUCCCCACUCUUUCAUUAGCCAUUGAGAUCAAAUUUAAGCAUAUAGUAUGUGGAUAUGUUAUAAGAGGUACACAUAAUGUUGGUGAUAUUUCCUUCUCUUUGCUGAACUUUAAAAUAUCUCUCAUUAAUUGGAUUUUAAAUUUUAGCAAUUAGAAAAACUGGACAAUUAAAUGGAUUAAAAAAAUUCUACCAAUUUGAAAAAAAGUACAUGCCUUUCCAGGCUUUGACAACAUUAUCGGAAACACUACAAAAAAUUUCAUAAUAACGACAAAAACGUGACGACGCAAUUACAGAAAAAAAAAGUCACUAAAUUCUCGAAUCUUUGUUAUUCAAUAGUGAGAAACUAACAAGAAAUCCCAGUCUCUCCUCUCGAGAAAAUAUUCAGUGGUUCGUGCGCGCCAUGUCAUCUGCUGACCUAGCGCACACUUACCACUCAGAGAUCGACACGCGUUAUGUGGGACCCGUUGGAAAAUGGAGGGGCGGGCUCGGCUUGGCUUGGCUCGGCUCGCUUCUAAAGACAGAUCACGACUCCCACUCAAAAGAUUUCUCUCUCCUGGAUUGAAUUUUCCGCAAUUUUUUUUUUUCUCUCUCUCUCUCUCUCUCUCUCUCACUUUCUCUCCUCCUCCUCCUCCUCCCUCUCUUGACGUCCACUCUGCUCUCUCUCUCUCCCCCCUCCGCGAAGUCGUCCGACGCCGACGCCGACGCAGCCUCCACCUCCUCCCCUGAACCCGACUCUGAUGCCGACGCCCCUCCACCGGUUGCCUCCGUCGGCGUCGGAGUCCGUCGCCCCCGUCUCCUCCGCCUCCGCCUACGCGCCCGACGCCAACGCGUCGAACCACGACGGCGAAAAUGGAGGAGAGAGAAACGACGAAGCAGAAGACGGAGGUCGUCGUGUCGGUCGCGUUCCGGCUCGCCCUCGUCUACCUCCCCAGGAACCUCCGCCUGUCCACCCGCCCCGAGGUCGCCAGCCCUCUCACCAGCAUUCGCCGCCAUAACGCCGCCUCUUUUCGCUCCGUCGAUCGAUUCCCGAUCCCCGAUCCCCUGCCCCCUCCUCCCUUUAAAUCUUGGAGGUCCAUUUUCUGAUACGAUUUCUAGUUUUUCUUGUUUGUGCCGCCUACAGUUGGCGAAGGCUACUGGUUGAAGCAGUCGGUGAUGUCUCCCUACGCAGGUUCGGCUCCGUUCGAUCUCUGUAGGAAGGAAGCUGCUUGUUUGCCUAUUGGUGUGUCGCUGUUUGAUGCUUUGAUCCCUUCCACAGGUUCCAUGUAUCACGGUUCUCCUUUGCUGUUGCUUGUUCUCGGACCUCUCGCUGUCAAAAGGUAACUACCGGAGUAUAAUCGCCAAUGCAUUUUGAAGGCUAGGUUGAUUGUGAGCUUUGCUGGUUAUCUGCUAGAACUGAACUAGAUUUAUCUGGCGUUAUCGAAGCGGGUUGUUUUUUAUUCUAGAAAUUGAAUUUCUUUUUAGGGGAGUUUUAGUUUCUUGCAUGUUGUGAAGUUAAUUAUGUUCUGUAGCUUUCUCGCGAUGCAAGGUUCGCCCCUUUUUUUUUUUGGUGGGUGUUUGCUGCUUGUAUUGGUAGAUCUUUCCGGGUGGUGAAGUUGCAGUCUUUGCAGUUGGCGAACUGGAUAGUGGUGCACAGAGCGAUAAUGGCGAUAAAGGAUCUGGACGCCCUGUUCUCUUCCCUGGAUCCGGAGUACGACGACAUCCUCAUGAAGUGAGUGUUCCGCUGUCUUUUCCCUGUUUUCUGUACCCGUCCGUUGUCGAUGCUUGUUCGGAUUUAUUGCUUCGUGUUUGUUUAGUAAUCUUUACCGUGGAAUUGAAAUGUUUGGAGUAAUGGUAGCAAUUUAAGGCACAGGGGAUGGUUUUCUUGUUUCCAUUAAGUUUGUAGCGCUUGAAGGCACAAGUGAUAUCAAUGCCAAAAUGCCACUGUGUGUGUGGGGGGUUUGUGAAGGGCUUAAUCUUUUCACUCAACUGUCUUGUUCUUUCAAUGGGACAUUUGAGUACUCAUGUAGUCCCUUGAUACAGAUUAACAUAAGGAUCAUGGGCUCAUUGGGUAGUGACGAUUAUGCCUAAUGAUUAUCGGUUGUGAAGGGCUUAAUUAUUAAGCUGUUUGUUGUGGCUGCAGCUUUUGGUAGAGAUAUUUAAUAAAGAUAAAGAAUUCAUGGGUGAUGUAAUGACUAGAAACAGCAAACUGUCUCUUCAGUUCAUUGGUUUAUCUAUGUCAUCAGGGUUUGCACGUUAGGAUCUCUGAAGACUUAACGUUUUUUUCCCCCAACGACUUAGUGUGAUAUUCAUUUUCUUAUUUCUGGUGUUCAAACCUACAAAUAAUUGGGUGAGAAUAACUCAAACUAAUGAAGUGAUCUUGGAAGAAUUACCAUUUAUGAAAUUUGACCAUAACUUUGCUAAGGAAUAGCCUACUACUUUGGUUUAGGUUAUCAGUUUCUCAAUUUUGCUUAUGAAGAAUAGGUUGCGCCAGUAACUACUAUUAAUUGUAUGUUUUGGCUGAUCAUAGUCUAUCUAUUUAAGGCCUUGUUAAAAUGUUUGUGUUGUUGUAUUGUGAAUUCACUGAAUUAUGCUACUUGUGAUUGCUCUACUUAUUUGUUGACACCCCAUUUUUUGAAGGAACAAACCUUGUUAAACUAUGCAAGGCAGUCAAGUUAAAGUGUAUAGGGAUUCCUAUUCCCAAAGAAAAGCCCUUUUAGAGGCUAUGCUCAGACUAAGCUAGACUUUCUUUAUUGCUACAAUGUGAUUUGUAUUAGGCAUUCUAGUUGCCUCUUCCCAAGGAUCGGUACCAAUGCUUUGUUUGGGAAGGAGGGGAGGGGAAAGAAAAUUGGGGUAAAGUUUGAAACUUUGGCGCAGAUAGGACAGAAAUUUAAAUUUUCUUUCCAUUUUCAUCCCAUCCUUGCCUUCUAAAUGAAGUAUAAGAAUGAUAGACUGGAGAGGAUAAAGCAGGGCAGGCAAGGUUGUCAAUUUGGAAUAGAUGGUAAGAUAUGCUCAAUGAUAGUUGCUCCUGUCCUGGGGUUAUAUGUGUUAAUGCUUGGGGUGGUUGUGGAUCUAGAGUAGCAGAAGCAACUCCUGGUUUAGAUCGUCUCAAAACUAUGAUGACGUGUAGCUUUCCCUGAAUUCUAGACAACGCAUUUCAUCAAUUUUAUCGACAAAGUCCUUAUUGGUUGUUUCUUUGUUGGUUGUAUUGAGUGCCAAAAUCUAGUCAUGCAAUCUAGUCCUAAAAGAUCUCCUUUCUAGAUCAAAUCCCUGAGACUUCUGAGUAGGUUGAUCUAAUGGUAUUUCUGUUCUGAGUGAUUGGAAGGAGAGAGGAAUUAAAUUGAUAACUUUUGGGGUUAGCUUGAUCUCAAGGCCGGUUUCAAGCAGGAGUAGAAUAAUUUUGUUUCUGCAGGAUUCUGGUUUAGAUUCCAUUUUCACCAAGGUGUCAUACUCUAUUGGCUUGCCAUAGUCUUCACAACUCAGCCAGAAAAAAAGCAGUACCAUGUUCAUUUGUCUCGUGUGUUCAUCUCACUCACUGAAUUUUGGUAUAUAAUGAUCAUACAAGACAAUUGCAUGCUGUUUUCCCCAGUCUCCCUGCAGUAAUGUAUUUAAAAUUCCUUCCUGUCCAUAACAGUGUCAUUUGACUAGAUAAAUUGUGUUUGAUAGCACGAUACUUUUCUUUCUAGUUAGAGAACAUGUUCCUUCUUUUCAUCAGCACUCGAAACCUAUCUUAUUCUAUGGAUACUGCAAAUAUGACUUAUUGGCUUGUCAAUGCUUAAGACUGGCUUAGAGCAUUAUCUAACUCUCCUUGAAGAAUUAUAUGCAAAUGCUCUGGGGAUGUUUCUUUAUCGCUAUUGGUACUUGAGUUGGUCUAAACUGACAAGAUGGUAUACAACAAAAAUUGUCUUGAGGUCAUCGUCAAAGUACUUGAAUGUUCUUACGGCUGUAAACAUCGUCAUUUAGGACUGGUCAUUAAAUAGAUGGGAUUUGAUGGCAUCUGUUGUUUGCCUUAUGUAUGUACGCUUAACAUGUAUUUUACUUUGACCUUCAGGCUCAUCAUGCAACUAUGGUCUCAUGACCAGCAAAUUGAGCAUUGUCUUCUAAUUUUACCAUGGUUAACUGAGAUUAAAGGUAGAUAUAUUUAUUGACCAGUUGGUUUUGUUGUUUGGCUGGCCAAUAAGUCCAAUUCGAGGAGAGCAGAGUUUCCCCAUAUAUUAUUCAUUCCUCAUCUGAUCGUUACCAUCUUGCUUGGAUUACCGUUAUUGUUAAGGCCUUUGAUGGAGUUAAACAUGCAUUCCUUCUCUAGUGAGUAGUAAGAGAAUUCAGUGUGCAAAUGCUAUCGCUGUUGUAGUUCGUGGGUGCUACGUUUAGUUCGUUAAUGCCUUCUUUUCCCACGUACAGCAUAUCUGCAAAACCAGAACCUACCUCAUUAAUUUGAUCCUCUCGUUGCUUGCCGGAUACUUGUACAGAGGCUUGUCUACAGGGGAUUGCCCCACCUCCACCUGUGACCAGUGCCUGCGGAUUCACGAAAGACUCACGGAGAGAGCCGGCUUGGGGUGCAUACUUCGUUCCCUAGCAGACACCACAAAUACAGUAUGAUGAUUAUUGCUAUCAUGAUUUGAAGAGAGAAAAGUGCCCACUGUAUGAUUCCUCGCCUCCCUUUCCUGUAGUUUUGGGCUGCGGUGUAUCCGUCAUUGACAUGAAUGUGAUCGGUAUUACACUUUAUUACGAAGUAUCAUCUCUGAGUCCUUACAAAGCUAAACUUGCUUCGGAUUGCCAAAGAACAUGCAUUCUAUCAUUUUGAGGAGUUGAGCAUUUGUCUACCCUUGAGAUUAACUCAACACGAACAUGAGAAACUUUUGUUCCGGACUUAAGUAUGGCUAACUGAUAAUUAACACAGUUUAGACUGCAUCCAAAUUUCACGUAGAUGAUUCUGCAUCGUCACUUGGGGACUGAGACAGUCGAAAGCAACAUUUUGAUUAAGUCCAAUUUUGUCAAACUGAAAUAAAAUGAGAUCUCCAUAGCUCAUCUUGGUAGCUGAGUUCUGUGCAUUGAUUGUACAAGGAGGACGAAUGGCCAUUGUUCCAUGACAAAGGUGAUGUGUAGAAUCUUUGAAGUUGUAAAAACCGGGUCAAAUACAAGCUGAAACAUACGCAUGUGUUCUAAACCAUCUUUUCCACUUCUUGAAGCCACCUUAUGGGAAAGGUACUUCAUGUAUCAGUCACCUAACCAAUGUGCACUAUGUACCUCAUCCUACUCAAUCAAUGCUUGAAUUUCCGAAAUCUUUCACUUUCGAUCGGUUUAUUACACCUUAAGUCGCCGUCAUAUGCCAUGUGACGUAACUACUUGCUCUACCAAAUGGGCUAGUCAGGAAAUUGACUUUAGCAUUCCAGAAACCUAACCAGUUUACUCCUAGACCAGAAACGUCGUCAGCAAUCAAGAUUUAUUAAACAAUAAGAUGAAAGAGAACUGUCAGUAUUCUGAUACUGUCAUUGCCUAAUCAUAAAAUGUGACCGCCAUGUACGUAUCCAUGGUUAGGGGACACCAUGCACCUCUUGCCCGUGUUUCAGUACUUUGCUCCUAAAUUUACUUUCGAAAGGCAUAUUCCAUGUCACCCGUCAACAAAUAUCACAAUUGAAUUGCUCGAAACAAUUGAUGACCCAACAUGGUAGAUGAGACCAUGAUUCAUCGACAUUUGAAUAGAUUCGACAAUCACCCACAUCAUGAUAGAUCAUCGAAUUACCUAAGUGAAGAAGUUUCAUGAACAACUAACGUUCACCUUUUCUGUUCCCUACAUGUUUUCGACCUUAAAAACAGGGAUAAGAUUUGUCUAUCCCAGCAAUCAAUGUCCUAUUAUCAGCAAAAAGCACAAUAGACGCUCUAUUUUGCCAAUCAUUGGAUCUUUCUAUGUCAUACUUGCUAAUGUAUCGUCAGGAUGAGCUGAUGCUCUUUGCUUUACGCCUUGGCACAUGCCACGCAGAUGCCAGAAAAGCCAUUAAGAGUGCAAAUUGUUCAAUCCUUGUUGCAUCUGUAGCCUUGCCCAAGAGUUGAUGGAUGGUCCAGACUGACUAAAAGGAUUAUGGACCGGCCCUAUGGGGCCAAUCACUGAGGCAGUGACUGAAGAUGAAGAUGGAGGCGACAAUGAUGCUGAAGGAACAGACACUCGCUGACAUGAAGGGCACAUGGUGAGCGUGGUGGGAGGGUUCAUAUGCAUGUAGAGCUGUGGGGAGAGCUUCAGUGCUCUGAGCUCCUGCACUUCCUUCUGCAGCCUCUUGUUUUCCUGUGUAAGAUUGUCGCAGCAUCUCUUAAGGUACUCACAGUCCACCUUAGUUUGCUUCAUCUUAGACCUACACUAAAUUGGUAAAAGGAAAAAAAGAUGUUACGGUACAUCCUUAUACAGAGCUACCCACACAGAUUGUUGGUGCCAAACUACAGCAUGAUAAUAACACAUUAUCAGCUCAAUCUAGUAAGGUAUGAAUAACAAUCUUCAGCCCAUUUCCAUGUGAUUAAGAAAAUCAAGAUGGCAGCUAUUAGACAAAAGAAUUGCACAUUUGCUCAAACUUAACAUAGAGAAGCUGCUUCAUCAAACCAAUUCUUUGAUGCAAAAGACCCAACGUCAUUAUCCUAACCAUAAACAGAGCUUUCCAGAGCUGCAUUGUAAAUCAUGAGUGCAUGAAUCUAAACGGGGGCCCUUGUAUAAUAAAAUUUUAGGUAUUUGAGUACUCCCUAAUAACUUCACUUCCUCCCCUGGCGGCUUAGAAUUUAUGGAUCCCACAUAUUGGUGCUCCAUACUAAAGUGAGAACGAGAAGUGUACUCCUAGAUUAAGUGACAAGUCACAUCACCGGACUCCCGCUACACGCUCACACACCUCGUGUGCAAGAUGGCCCAACUGGGAUACAUGUGGACCCAAAGAUUACAUGCACUCACUAUAAAGAAAAACUUCGCUGUUGAACUACCAUCAAAUGAUUAAGAGAGAACCAACCACCCCCACCCCUACCCGCCUCUCUCCCACUCCUGACGUUUUUCUUCCACAAUGAUCAGAAUGAUGCAGAUGAGACGCAGAUGUAAAGCCAUGUAUUUGGGCAAAAAGAACUCAAAACUAUCAAUUACCUGGCACGCCUGUUCUGAAACCAGACCUCUACCUGUCUGGGACUAAGAUUCAGCUGCUUGGCCAAGGCAAGCUUUUGCUUCUGAAACUCAAAACAAUCUCCAGUUAAACUCAUCGAAACCAUCCCUUUAUUACAUCCAAAGGGAAACCUAAAGAUGAUCUCAUUAUUCAUAAAUAAAAAUGAAAACCAAUUUGUUAUUCACACAGAUUCAAUCAUUGCAAAAAAGAAAACAAGAAAAAGGUCUCAAAUCCCCAAUUCGACUGUUACCAGUAACUGACAACUACAAAUAAACAUCAAUCUCAUGACAGAAACGCACUUUAAAUUCAAUUUUCCCUACCAAACACCCAUGUCAGGUUUAUAAGCAGUGAUUACAUGCUCACGCACAUUUAAAGAAAGCAUAUAUUAAUCAGUAAUAGAAUGACCAAAAUUGCCACUCACAGGGUUAAGAGUGUUAUGCUCUUUGAAUGUCUCCUCUAGCACCAAUGACUGUUCUCCAGACAGCCUGAGCUUCUUCCUCGCUCCAUCUCCUCCGCUGCCAUCUUCUUCGAUGCUCUCACAAGAGCACGAAGUUCUCUCAGCCUCAACUUCAUUUUCUCCAUGCGGAUCUCUCUCACUUCUCUUCCCACUUAUGCUCGACACGGUGCUGUUAGGUGAUGAGACAUGAUUAUCAUCAUCCAAAUCCACCACCAGUAUGUCUCGGUUGACGCCGACUCCACCAAAGAAUGGCCUUGUUUUGGAGUUUGUUUCUGAAAUUUGAUGAAUACAAAUCAGGAUUUGAUAUCUAAGGCCAAGGAGGACAACGCUCCUCCAAAACUUAAUCGAGUUUUUAAGGCAAAUCUCACACUUCAACCUCCUUGAAAAUGACAAAGCGACAGCCAAUGAAGAUUAGAGUCUUACAGUGGGACUUCAGAUCUUCAUAGCCAGCAAAGCUUGUUCUGUGUUACAGCACCAUAAAGGGCUAAUAGGAUUGCCAAAUUUGGAGAAAAAUCUCUUUUUGGACUGUUUUAAGAAUAGACAUUAUUUCAACAGUCCAAAUGUUCAGAAGAAUACUACCUCUUGGAGCUGCUCGUUUACUAGAGAAGACACUAUUUGCAUCUCCCAGAGCAUUCUCCACCAUGUCCAAAAGAAAUUCAUUAGGGACCCAACCAUAGCUUAAAAGUGCAAUCAAAAUCUUUGAAAGAUAUGCAGGCUUUGGUUUAUUACUGCAUCAAUGAGGACCAAGGUCUAAUCUGUUCUUUCGAAAAGGUAAAAUUUGAUGGCACAAAAAGCUCCAAACAAAAAGCAAUGGGAUUUAGUAAUUCACAAGAAAAACAUGUCCAAUAUUCAAAUUAAAAUGCUGAAAGAACAAAAAAGCCGCUAACUUUUCAGUUUGCUUAUGUAAGGGUCUUUUAACCAGCUAACUCCAAAGGAAAAUCUUAACACAAUAAUCAACAAAUCAAUAGCAUAGCCAGGCAACAAACCCACAGAUAACACUGUGAUCACAGUACUAGGGGUCAGAGGUACCAUAAGAACCUCAAGAGAAUUAAUUAAAACAAUGAUAGCCUGCUGGCAAAAUAUGUUGGUUGUACCUUGUUUGUACUAUUUCGAGUGCAUCAACGGUCCUGAUAUCUGAAAGCUUCGGGUCCUUUUCAACCUUGAUCAUCAACGGUCGAAUAUGAAUUGUAUGAGGAGGGAGCUACAGAUUAAAAUUCGGCCAAAACAAUUAGAAUGGAAGAUAUAAAUGAACCGAAAGAAAAAAUGAAAUAUAUCGCAAUAUGGAGAAUUAUUGAAGCUAAAAUACUAAAAACUAGACUCACACUUACAGCUCAAAGCUGAAAUGAGACAUAAUUAUUUGUCAGAAAAUGGACCUCCAAUGAUACUUAAUAAUGCAAUGUAGAUUUUCCUAGCCGCCAAUAAGCAAUAUCAUUACCAUUAAGUGCUCAGAGAAGGUCUGUAUCAUGCAUUACUAAGAACUAUCGAUUUCAGGUUUGAACAUAGUUGGUCAAUUGGCAACAAGAAAGUACAUGUGGGAAGACUAGUACUUAGCCAGCUUGUGGAUGGCUUUGGGAAGACAAGUGUUCUCCCACCACUUAUAAGCAGGAUCAUUUCAGACAAAUAGACUAUCGUGCACAUAAGGGAAAAUGGUAAGUAUAGUCUCUGUCAGCAUCCCAGUAGAAAUGACUAAAGAGAUAGGAACUUACCAAUGAUGGGAGCAUCCAGUGUACAAGGAGAACUGAUUCGCAAGUUCCAAAACUUCUUCAGCAGAAGAGCCCUCUCAUGCGAGCCUGCCAAGCAUUUUAGUACAUUCAGAACUGCUUUUCUCCUUUAUCUCGUUCUUGUUCUUCCUCUUUCUCUGCUUCGACGUCGAGCCUGAAAUCACCGAGCGAAAAGUAACGACUCAGGUCGAUCGUGCUCUCGCCGUCCGCCACCAGUAUAUCUAGCCUCGCAAACCUCUUUUGCUUCAAAAUCCUUGGCUACGUACUCGAGGACAGAGGCGAGGAGGGAAGCGCUUAGGGUGAGUGAGAGGGCUCGAGACAGAGAGGAGGGGGGCGUUUGGGGUGAGUGAGAGGGCUCGGGACAGAGAGGAGAGGAGUGCUUGAGGAAGAGAAAGAGGCAGAAGCGGGAAGAAAUAGCGCGCGCUUCGUUGAAAAAAAGAGAGAGAAAACGCAGCAGGCCUCUCCUUCUUCGCCGCGCCGUCGACCCCGCCCAAGUCCGCCGAGAUCUCCCUCGCGACCGAGCGGGCCAGCGUCAGGGACAACGCCCGGUCAGCGGCGGGGAGCCUGGUGCCGCUCGGGAACGAGACCGAGAUGCCAGAGGCAGAUGGCCAGCGACGCUUUUGGGCAGGCGCAGGCCGAGGCGGAGGUCCGGAGGCGGAGGAGGUGGGAUGCGCGGAGAAGGAUCCUCCUUUCGAGCCGAGCCGAGCCGCCCAAAAGCCAGCCCUUUUCUCAUUUUCGGGGGGUCUCGCUCGGGACAGGUGUUAGUAUCUGAGUGGUUUGUGCGUGCCAGGUCAGCGGAUGACGUGGCGCGCACGAACCACUGAAUAUUUUCAGUCUCACACUCCUCUCUUUCUUUUCCUUCUUUUGCCCCCGACUUUCCGUUCCUUGUACGUGCUAACUGUGCCAUAAAACGAUCCUACAUCUAGAUUUGGGCAGCCAUAAAUAUCUAGAAAGCACUCGUCUGGUACUUUCAAAUUGAAUACGUUGAGGAAACUUUUCAAUGAUCUGCACUUGUGAAAAGUCAAUGUUCCGAGAGUCUCUAGUUCAUCCGGGCCCUUAACUGCUUGAAGCUUUUCACAAUAGCGAAUCUUCAAGGACUUUAGCUUUUUCAAAUCCGAUAGAUCAUCUAGACUUCCAAUUUUAGGGCAGAAACUUAUAUUCAAUUGCUCCAACGAGUCCAAUGAACCAAGACCUUGGAUGGCAGUAAGAUUUGAACACCCGAACAGCCUCAACAGCUUCAACCUCUUCAAACUUGAAAGACCAGCAAAUCCCUCAAGGAGGCUUGAGCAACUCACACGAAAUUCAACCAACUGUUCAAGCCCACCGAGUAGAACUUCCUUCCAACUACAGUAAACAAUGUUCAAACGUAUCAAUUUUCUCAAGUUGCAACGAAACGAUAAACUAGUUGUCGAUUUGUGACGUUGCAAUGACAAUGUUGAAACACAUGGUGGAAGGACCCCAAGGGACAGUUGGCAUUGACCAUCUUGGAAUAAGAAAGGACCACAGUUGUCAUCAUAAUCAUCAAAGCUCAAAUCCUCCAAUUUAGUUAGGUUUGAGAGAUUCGGGAGCUGCCGCAAUGAGCAUGAUCCUAAGCUUAGGCUUAUCAAACUUGUGGGAAGCUCUGGUAAUACUUUGAGUUUGCUACAACACUUUAAACUCAAUUUCUGUAGGUGAGGAAGUAGUUUGAUCGUCUGUGGAACAUUCUUAAUGGAGCUAUUUUGCAAGUUCAACACUCUCAAAAGUGAUAAUUGCCAAAUUUCCUCAGGAAUUUUCCACUUUAGACCCAAGCAACUCUCGGCAUGUAGCUCUUCCAACUCUUUUAGUGCGAUAAUGCUCCAUCGUAGCUUUUUUAUUGGAGUAAACGAAAUCCUGACGAUUUUUAAUCUACUUAGGUCUUCAAUAGAUUUGGGUAACUGCAGACAUUUUGUGUGUGAAAUAUCCAACUCAAGUAGAGAUUCCAAAUUACCAAUCGAGAACGGUAGUUCCCUUAUGUUAGUAUACGAUAGAAAGAGAGACUUAAGUUCUCGUAAAUUCCCAAUAGAAUUAGGAAGUUCAUCGAUUUUUGUAAAUUGUAAUUUAAGAAUUGACAAGCGGUUUAGGUUACCAAUGGAGUCAGGUAAUCUUGUGAUGGCCGUAUGCGAGAGAUCUAACUCUGCUAGUGAUGUCACUCUCACAAAUGAUUCAGGUAGCUUCAUCAACUUUUGGCAACGGGAUAAAUCCAAGUACUCGAGCUUCUGUAACCCUCCGAUCCCUUUGGGCAACUCCCUAAGAUUUCUGCACCCACAUGCAUUGAAGUAAAUCAAGCACUUAAGCUUUUUGAGGGAACCAUCAACUUCAGUUAGUUUUUCACAACCCCUAAGGUUCAAUAUCUCUAAACUCAAAUAAUUGGAGAAGUUUGGAGUCUUGGUCAUGCCGCUACAAUAUGAGAUAUCCAAAACUUUAAGCUCUUUAGCAACCUGUUACAAUAGCAAAAGGAGAGUGAAGGGAAAAUUCCGUGCGAAUUUAGAGUUAAUAAAUGGUUGUGCUAGAACCUAGAUGUAAUUGGGUUGACUCAUCUUCCUCAUUUAACUCACAUAGAUCCGUUUAGUACUAACCACCUAUAUAUCAAUUCAGUGCAAUUUAAUUUAAUGGCCUUGAUUACGAGAUCAACUUAGUUUUACUUGUGGAAAGACCUUGAUUAAAUUUAUUCAUGAGCGAUUUUAUUUACAGCGUGUUAUUGCCUAUACAGUUUUGGGUUAGUCAAUUUUAAUUAAAAACAUAAAAAUUGCGUGAGACAAUUCAAUGGAGAUAAAAAAAAAUAUAGCGACGAUGGUACCUUGAAUUGACUCCAUCCAGCCCAUUCCUCUGUGAUUGAACUCCGCGUCAAUUGAAGAACUACAAGAUUGCUUGGAUGGAAAUUGAUGGCCAAGAACUCUCGAGAGACCCCUGUGCACGUCAUGUAUCUUAACUCUGAAAACUGAUUCUCAAAGUCUCCAUUGAAAAUCCCCCCCUCUAACAUGAGGAACCUUAUGUUUGGAAGCCUUGAAAACUCUUUGCUCGUAUAAACUCGUGUUGGUUCACAUAAGCAGAUUGCUUCAAUGGCCUUCUUUCUCUGCCAUUCAAUGGUAAAGUAGCAUCAGUGUAAAUGACAAAUGUCUUCAUUCUCUCCCCCGCUUUUAAGAAAGGGCUCCUAAUUCAUAAAUGAACUAUUGAGAAAAACAUAGAAUUCGAUGGUUGAACAUAUGCUUUUACCUCUUUUGUUCCUAUGAUAUUAUUGGCCGUCUCAGGAACCCAUAACCUGCUUUGCUUUCUUGGAUCGGUUAGUCUCGUAUCUCCACGAACAAUUUUCCUUCCGAGAUCUCUCAGUUGGUCGUGCAUCCAAAAUUUGUUGUGACCGGUUAUCUUUAUUAAGGACAUACAAACAAGGACUUGAAUUGAAUAAUCCGGCCUAAACCCACAAUCCUUCCACAUAUAGAGUGCAUUUGUCUUGUCCUCAUCCACAAAGAGACAUGCGAUGUCGAGAAAAAUCUGUUGUUGCUCAUGAUUCAAGGCAUUGUAGCUGAUCUUCAGCUUGUCCUGGACCUUCUCAUGAGGUAUUUCUCUCAGAUUGUCUAGCACAUUGUACCAUGAGGCUUUGUUUUGACGAUAAACCAAUGAGCCUAUGACUUCAAGAGCCAAAGGAAGCCCUCCAGUCGUAGAAAUUAUUUGUCUAGAAAGAUUGACAUGAUCAUCCGGAGGAGGAUUCCUUCUAAAAGCAUGUCGACUGAAAAGCUCUAGUGAUCGAACAUCAUCCAACGGCUUCACUUCGUACUCCAAAGUUUUGUUGGAUUUUAUGAUGCUUUUGUUCCUACUUGUCAUAAUAACUCUGCUUCCUAAGCCGAACAUAAUGUGGUUGAUGGCAAGUUUCUGGAGUUGCUCCUCAUCAUCCACAUCGUCAAGAACGAGCAAGACUUUCUUGUUAGAAAGUCGUUGCGAAAUCACUUUGAUCCCAUCGUCGACAUCGUUGAUUUGAUCUUGAAAGCCCAAACCCAAUGUGUCUGACAAUAAUUGUUUUUGCAAAUUUAUGAUGCCACAGCUGGUCGACGAUUCUCGGACAUUUCCUAGGAAGCAGCAUUGAUUGAAAUGGGAAUUAAGUUUGUUGAACACUAUCUUAGCAAGAGUUGUUUUACCGAUUCCGCCCAUUCCAUGGAUUAGCACAAAGCGCAAGCCCCCGGAGUCCACGUCCAACAACUCCCGAACGGCUUCCACUGGAUCGUCCAUUCCAACUAAAUGCUCAGUAACGUAUUUGUCUUUUGUCUUCAGCUUCAUCACAAUCUCUUGUAGCACCGAUUGAAUGAACUUCCAAUGCCUGCCACAUAUGUGAGUUAACUAAGUUGAUAUUGUAAAAGAUAACCUCAGGACACUCAACAUGCAACCAACAUGGCUAGUGCCACUUAUUUAAUCGGCUAGUGCACCCGAUAGGAAGACAUUUUUAUGUGUGUUUAGAACACGAUUUCCUGUGAUUUAAACAAAUAAUCACAUACAGAAAAUUAUGACCAUUUUUUAUUUAUUUGCUUCUGAAAUGGUAACACUUUGACAUAGACGGAUAGGACACUUGCUCUAAUUCCAUGUAAAAAUCUAUCGAUAAGGAGAGAGAAGGUAACUUUUAAGGAUGUGAUCCAUAAUUUACAAACACAAAGAUAUAUAAAAUUAGAUCUAUCAAUAAAAGAAUGCCCUCUUGUCUAUCAUUCAAAGAAUAGACUAUUAGAUGUAGGCAUUUUCCCAUGUUAAAGGAAGCAAGGCAUUGCUAAUUGAUUCCUAAUCCCUUAAGGCAGUCUUGGUAGCUAGGAUAAGAGCUAAGAAGAAAUGUAUUGAAAGUUUUCACACUUAAGAGAGUUAGAAGCAAAGUAAAGUACGUGAUAAAGCUAACUCAUCAAAUUGAAGUGCUAAAGUUUCGACCAAAAAAAAAAAAAUGGAGUGCUAAAGUAAGGAAAGAACUGAAAAACAAAAACAUAAAAAGUACAACGAAUUACUCCUUGAAUUUAUUAACGCAUCUCCCACCUCUAAACUUACCAAAAAAGACAAAGAACUUUGACUGAAUACUUACCCGGUUUUUGCUUUAUUUGUUUUCGAUGAAUGACAUAAUUGAUUCCGUUAUUGAAAAUAAUUUUGAAAACAUACAUGGUAUUCAUUCAAUUUCAAACCACCUAAACGAGAAUUUAUCCAAGUUUGGGCAUAUAAUUAAUGAAAGUCCGAAGCAGAAGUUAAUGGAGUGGUUUAGGACCCCUGCAUACCCUUGCUUCUUCAACUCCCAUCCUUUGAUUUUGGCAACACUUCUGAGGGCAUCCUCCCACUUUAGCCGCGUUUGGCGACCAAACUUCUUUUCAUGCUCCUCCAAAGCGCUAACGUACCGUGGAGGCUUAAGCUUAACAUCGCGAGGCUUAAGCUUAACAUCGUGAGGCUUAACGUUGUAAAAAAUCGGCAUAAUCUCCUUCUCAGAUGGUUUGGAUUUCUUGCACUCCACCAUGUGUGCGAGCUCGCGAAGGCACCACGCGCUCGAAGCAUAACCUUUAGAGAAGAUGGGUAUGUAGAUUUUCGACUUUUGGAUGGCUGCCGGUAGCUCACCAGCUAUUUCUUCACCGACGUGGAGCUCUUCCUCGUCGUGGAAAACACGGAUGUUUGCUUGUAGCAUUUGAUGAUAAAGACAAUCCGUGAAGCCUUGGCGAGUGUCCGGCCCCCUGAAACUCAAGAAGACGUCGUAGUCAAUCGCCGACGGCUCACCACCGCUCGUUCCUGCCUCCAAGCCGUUUCCCAUGUCCAUUCUCACAAGUAUUUUCUUCCGAGGGUUUCCUCUCUCGUAGCACCUGAACAAGAAAGGCUCGUUCACUUUACCACCACCGAAGUUCGUUUAUAUUACGCUUCGGACCUAUCUUCCUAGAACUUUCCCCACUGCUUUUCACAUAAGAAAAGCAAACCACUUUGAGUCUUCGUCAACUCUAAAAUGGCGUAACCAUUACGCGUAGCUUUUUGGCCCCCGGUGGUCUCUGCCUCUUGUUGACUUGACUUUGGCGAACGCCCGACAUGUAAGCAUGGAAGCACGGACACGUUCAGAGGGGUGUCCGUCUGCAGCGCCGACUGCAACGCCGAGAAGCCUUCUCGAUCGUCUUGGUCGGCUGCGACCGCCGACUGCAACGCCGAGAUGGAGAACCGCAAUGCCGCGAUAGAACGGAGGCGAGGCUACGACGGCAAAGGGGGAACGGAGGCGAGGCAGCGGCGAGAGAGGUAGAGACCGAGCAAGGGAGAGGAGAAGGCGAUUGCUAGGGGAUUGCGUUUUCAAUUUUAGGGAGAAGAGCAAGGAGAGAGACGACAGCUUCUGGGGAAGAAACGAAAGCCUCGUGCAGCGUGACUUCAAUAUUGGAAAGUGACAGGCGCAGGCGGUGGGUGGGAUGGGGGAAGAAAACAGAUGGUGAAAUAAAUGGGUGGGACCCAUUUAGCCCAAAAAAAUAUUAAAUAUUAAAUAAUUUUAUUAAUACAUAAUAAGACUAAAAAAUAAAUAAAUAGGCGGAUUAAAAAGUUAUUUUGAAAAAUAAAAGCACUAGAUGUUAAAUAAUGAUAAAUUUUGAUCAUUAUAAAAAAUAUAAAUUUAUUUUAACUCUAAUCAUUCGCUGCUUAUUUAUUUCAUUGAUAACUUUUAUUAAAGUCAAAAAAUGUCUUUCCAAUUUUUUAUGAGUAAAUUUAUUAAUGUUAUUAGUAUAGAUUUACUAUAGGUUUUUUUUAUUAUUUUAUUUAUUUAUGAAUUCAUUUAAAUAUAAUAAUUAAUCAUAUAUAUAUAUAUAUAUAUAUUCAUUUAAUAUACAACAUGUCCUAACGUGUUGGAAUACUGUCGUUCGUGUUGUGUGUUCAUGUCGGUGCUAAGUUGUUCUCAGUGGAAAUAAAAUAUUGAGGAAAUUACAGUACUAGUCCUUGUUUUCUCCAUAAUUUCAUUUUCGGUCCCCAGCUAUGAUUUUUUUUUUUUUUAGAUGGGCACAGACAUAUUGAGAUUAUAAUUUUAUUUUACUUCCUAAAGUCUAGUAUCCUUUUCCAAUUAAGUGAUAUUUUUGACAUAGUUUUUUAUUAGAUUUCUUUUACUUGAAAAGGAAAUUCUCCCCUUCUAUUAGUAAAUUAGUUUCCUAGAUUUGUUUGGAGAGACUUUCUUUUGUCUUUUUUUUUUUUUGGUAGUGCUCGAAUCUUGAUUUUCUUUAAACUUAAGCAAUUGAAACGUACACACGAAAACGUUGACAUGCGGAAGAUUUCUCCAUGGAAAGAACGAAGCAAUGCUCAUUAUCAACAUUGAAAUGCAUAAAAUAGAAAUAGAUCCACCGAGUGCACGCAUGAAUCAUUCUAUUUUUUUUUUCUAUUUUUCUGUUUUUGAGAGAAUAAUUUUAGAACAGAAAUCAGUCUAGUAAGACAAUUUCAUUUUUCUACUUCUGGAAUAAUUUUUAGUCUAUAAAUAUGUUUCCAAUAGAAAUGAAAAGCAAAAAAUUUAUACUUUUCUAUUAUUAGAACAAAAAGUAGGAAUAAAAUCUCUUUUCAUUGCUCGUCCUCGCUACUAGUUGGCCGCCCACUCGUAGCUUGCCACCUCCUGCUGCUUGCUCGCUAUUGUCCCUCGUUGGCCGCCUCUUGUUGCCCACUACCUUUAGCCACCCGAAAAGAAGAAAUCUUGUGUUAUUACCAAAUGAAUUUUUAUUUCAAGAAUAAAAAUUUUAUAUUAUUAUCAAACACAUAAAAAUGUGUAUUUCUAGCUAAAAAUCGAUUUUUAGAAUAGAAAUUGCACACGACAUGAGUCCAUAAGCAACCAACAAAAAAAAUAAAGGGAUCACGACGCAAAUCAGGUACUCACAGAGGUAGAUUUUCCAAAAGAGUCACUUACACACAAAAAAAAAAAAAAAAGCAUUAAAAAAUUUAAUUAAAAAGUUAAAUGAAUAAAAAUUAGGAAAAAAUAAAAGAAAAAGGGCAUUGGCAGGCAAAAGUAGCCUGGCAUGUUAAAAGCACGACAACAGAGAGAAGAAAAAGGUGGGCACGCGUGAGAAAAAGGACAUACCGGCAAAAGCCGUGGAAAUGGUGAGCGCUUGCUUGGCAAAUUCCGACGGACGUGCCAGGGCCAUUCUGGCAUAUUCAUUCAGCGAUGAAAAAGUUUAAUCGCCGGAUUUUAUUUUUUUUUCUUUUUGUGGGGGCGAGGGAGGAUAGGAAGGAGGGAGGGAAGAGUCCCUCAUCCCGCUGCAAAUCUUGCUUUGGUCAUAGGGAUGGGUUUGGUUUGUUUCGUUUUCGUUUUCCUACGUGGUUUCUGUUUUUGUUUUUUUUCCCUUUUUGCCCUUUUUCUGGAGGACAGACGAAUCAAUUUAUUUAUUUUUAAAUUAAUCUUCUUUUCGGACAACCUUUUUUUUCCCCCUCGUGGCCGGCCCCCACACACAAAGCUCUGACAGUUAAGCGCGUCACUUAAAGCAAGGACAAGCGUCGGUCGAGUUCAUCAUGGGAGGACUAUCUUUUUCUUUCUUUUUUUCUCUUUGGAAGGGUCCGGUCCCGCGUCGCGGGGCGGAAGGAGAGGGGCCCAGUCCGUGAUUGUCGGCAGCUGGCCGGAAAUUUCGAUUCAUUUCCAUUAUAUUUGUAUUAUUAUCCAAGGAUCGUGUUCCAUUUAGAUUACAUUACACUAAAUUUUCGUAAUUACAAGAACGAUUUUUAGGAAAGCAACUUAUUUUGGCAAGUUGUGUCCGGAUAUUUAUAUAUAUAUCCCUUGACAAAUUAGUACAUCUCAAAAGUCUUGCACAGACUUCCCAUUCGCUACUCACAGGGUCUCGUCUUGAAGCUCGACAUCAAGGCCUUAUGUCAUUUUAUUAGACGCGGCUCAGGUUUUUAUUUUACUCGUACUUUAUUUAUUUUAAUUGCUUUGAUUAUUGAUUUUUUUUUUUUUUGCCUGAGGGUUUCCCUUUGUCAGAGCACCUAAUCAAUGAAAGGCUCGUUCACUUUGCGUUUGCAUAAAAAGUAGAUUGACCAUACGCUACUGAAUUUCGUUUGUAUUAUGCUUGAGAGUUCUAUUUUUAGACCUGAAUUUUAAUUUAGAGUAAAUAUGACAUGGAUAUAUUUAUUUUCUUUAACUCUAGGGCUUCUCAGAUCCCACUUUUCGAAAGGUGAUUUUUUUUUGUAAAAUAAAUUUAUGAGUAGAUUUCCACUCAAACAGUAAAUUUCCAGAUUUAUUAGCUAAUUCGUUUCCUAGAUAUAUUUGGAGUGACUUAUAUAUAUAUAUAUAUAUAUAUUUUUUUUUUGCGGUACUCGCACUUUGGCUUUCUUUAGUAUUAAGCAAUCAAAACUUUCUCAUAAAAAUGUUGACAUGUACAUUCACCUAAAUUUUUUUCAUAAUUCUCUAAAAUUUAAAUUACAAUAUUACUAAUUUGAUGGGAAAGCAAAAAAGUCAUUCUUACUUUUUAUAAGCCCAAACAAAUAGACCCUUAUCUCUAGGUUGUUUUAUGGAUUCGACUCUUUGAAUUCAGAUGUGAAAAUUAAGUUUUUUUUUCCCCUUUUGCACUUAGUGACUGGUUCCGGGCCUUUUAUUAAGCAUUCCGAGUUUUGCAACUACACAUACAACACCCAAAAAAAAAAAGACAGCUAGAAAUUGACUAACAUUUGCAAUUCCAGUACAAGUUAUAUAAUCAAUUUUCUAAAAAGGGGCACGAAAUGCCCAUUAUCAACCUUGAAAUGCGCAAGGCAGAAACAGAUCCACCAAAUUGCACACUAGAUGAGUCCACUUGCAAGCAACAAGCAAAGAAAAAAAAAGGAAUCUCCGAGCGAAUCAAGUACUCACAAAGGAAAGAGAAAAAUCUCCACCAGUUCCUUCCUAUUCUAGAUUCAACCACCAGUUCUCAGGCAGAACCGUAAGUUUAGCACGAUACAAUGGGAACCAAACUAAUUAUUAUGGGUGAAAUGGCACUGAUUUUCGCCCUUAAUUUUAAUUGUACUUAUUUGACAGUGGAGCAGGUAACUCGUGUUUUUUCUUUCAAAAGUCAAAAGAUUCCACCAGGAAUUAUGCUUGAAUGUUGGAUUAACAAGCUUUUCUUUUCUUUUUAUGUCGUUGCUUUUGUAUUAGUAUUAAAAUUUUAUAUUUCUAGAUAUCUCAACAUUUAAAUUAAUGGAUACUCUUGCUUUUUAAAUGAUCGCAAUAUUCUCCAUUUACAAAAAGUUAAAGUAAGCUCUUGUAAAAGAACUCAAUAUCAAAUCUAAGAAGCCGCGCUGAUAUCUUUUUUAUUAGCAAAAGCAAAAUUUCAAAGUUAGCUUAAUCAAUCUAUCUAAACCAAACCAAACCAUGUAUCUCAAUGGUAAGUUUAUUUGAUUUCCUGCACAUUGUUUUGUAAUAAAUUUGACUAAAUAAAACAGUUAAACAAAUUUUAAUUUUCUUUUUUGACAUUAAUUUUUGAAAUUUUACUAUCAUAAUACAUCACUUUGGGUCCAUUUAUUUCGCAAAAAUUUUCCUUUUGGAAAGCAAUCUUCAUAAUUUUUGUCAUUUUUCAUAUAGGAAAAUGAGUCAAUAAAAACAAUUUCAUGAUUAGUAAAAAACUUAUACUCAAAUUUAGUAAAUAAAUUAUUUAAAAAAUUAUAAUUUUUUUUUCUUUUUGUAAAUAUGACAAGACUUCGGCACUUGGAGCCGAUUAUUCCUUUGAGAUACUUUUGGUUGCACUAAAAAAUGAAUUGCGACUAUCUUGCCCCUAUUGAUGCUCGGUCUAAGAGAGGAUGGCUACUUUUGCGUAGCAUUUUAUACUCUUUUUUGGAACAUCUUGGACCUGAGCAGGUCCUAAAACUGCUCUCUCCUGAAUUGGAUAUCCCGGGAGGACUUCCCCUCACAAGCCAUUUAAAGCAAGUGAGAGGGAGUAGUAUGGGAUAGUAUCCCCAUUGGGUAUCCCGGCCAAACCUCGAAAGGGGUUAGGGACCCACCUAGGAUCUCCGCGAUGAAGCCGCUGGGUGAAACAUCCCAGACGCUUUACAGAGAAAUGACUAGGCCAGACCCGGUCUAACCGGUGCUCUGGAUAAUAAUAAAUUUAAUUAAUUAAAAAAUUAAAGAAAAGGAAUUGGCAGGCAAAAACAGCCUGGCAUGUAUGCAUAAAAGCACAAUAACAGAGAAGAAAAAGAGGGCACGCGUCAAAAAGGACAAACCGGCCAAAGCAGCGGGGAAAAAGGGAAAAAUGGAAAGAAAAAAAAAAGAAAAAGAAAGAUAAGAUAAAAAAGAGAAAAGUUCAAAAUAUAAAAAUUGUGUUCAUCACUACUUAUAGAUUCAUUCAGAGCCUUUGAAAACAAAUUUGCUUAGUUCGUUUCUCUUGCUUAGGGAUUGAGAAAUGUCAUGCACAGAGGGGAGAUAACCAUUGGGAAAAACAAUUCCGGUCGAGGAGUAUAAACAGGUUGCUAAGGGGAAACUAAAUUAAAGCCCUCCUAAAAUUGUCCAUAGCAAGAGCACGUAGUUGUAGACUUGUAAUAAAAGUUAUUCGAAAUGAUUGAUCAUGAUGUUCUCAUUGUCUACACUCAUCGAAUACGAUUCUAUGACAUUCCUUUGACAGCAUACAAUGCGAACAUUUGGUCCCUCAGAUUGCAAGUUAAAAAUCCUCGUCACAUGACUAGUUGUGACUCGCAUCCUACCAUGGUUCGUCCUUAUCUCGGUCAAGUUUGAAUGAAAGUUCUCUACCAACCGAUGACGAAGAUCCCCUGCAACAAUUCGGAGAUCCAAUAGGCACGUGAAUACAAUUUCUUAUAUUCGCUUGCUUUUGGUAAUCACCUAAUUGAGCAGUUAAUCUCCUCUAUCUUUCACUAGUACAUCUUGUCAAGAAUGAAAUACUUCCCCUACGUUUUAGUGAAUGAUCAACAUGCAUAAAACCAAUAUGAGGAAAACAACAAUAAUUGAAGGUCCGUCUUACCAUCUUGCAACAAUAAAAAAAAAAAAAUGUGAUAACUAGGAUAAAACUGAUAGAAGUAAUAUUGACCUUUAUUUUGCUGAUAUAUCAUAAGUGAAGAUAUUUCUUAGAAAAAAAGAAGUAAGAUCUAAAACAAAAAUCAAUUGCUUCUAGAAAGGAAUCAACUCCUAAAUUUCGUGUCUAUCAUAUAAAUUCAAUGUGUAAACUCAACGUGACUAAUGUGUUAAAAAUAAUAUUCACCAAUCUUGCAUUAGCCACUAAGAUCAAUAUUAAGCAAAUAGAACGUAUAUAUGUUAUAAAAGGCAGAAAUAAUGCUGUUAAUAUCUCCCCUGUCUCCUUAACUGCAAAAAACUCAUCAGUGAGAUUUUUAAUUUUUAGCCUUAAGAAGAAUAUGGACAAUCAUAUAGAUUCAAACAAAAUAAACAAUUCUACGGGAACCGAAAAGUAUUGUACAUGCCUUUCUAUGGCGGGGGAAACAUUGAUGGAAGCACUACAGAAGUUUUCAUGAUAACGACAGAAACAUGCGAAGCUAAUUAAGAUAAAUGACAAUACGAAAGGUCAACAAAUACUCGGAUUGAUUGAUCAGAACAACACACACCAAAUUAUGACGAACGCUCAUAACCAACAAGCCGAAUACACGUGGAGAAUUACACAAUCAGGAAUUAGCUACUCAAAAUCAUCCAAGUAUGACUAGUCUCCGAGUCAAUCCUUUCUUCGCCUGAGUACCACAACAAUGGUAUUUACUUAUCAGUGGGCAAAAGAACGCUUCAAGUGCCAUAACUUUGGCCAAAGAGAUACUUAAGUGUCAUAACUUACGAAAUGUAUACUCAAGUACCACAUUUGAAGAAAAAUGGAUCACUUGAGUGCCACUCCGGCCAAAAUGCCGACGUGGCAUUUUUCCGGCGAAGCGCGCCCAAAACGAUGCCGUUUUGCACGCUGACAUGGCGAAAUAAUGCAAAAACGGCGUCAUUUUGGGCUGACAUGGUAAAAAAAUAAAAAAUAAAAAAUAAAAAAUAAACAUAAAAUUUAAUUUAAUUUUAGUUAAAACAUUAAAAAUAAUAAUUUUAAAAUUAAAUUUAGUUAAAAUAUUUAAAAAAAUUUUAAAAAAAACUCUAAAAAACUUUAAAAAAUUUAAACAAUUUUUUUUAAAAAAGGGAAUGGGGAGAGGCGGCUGAGGGAUCGGCCUUCAGCCACCGCCGUCGCGGCCUCGCCGCUGCCGGGAAGGGCAAGUGAUGGCGGGGGGAGGGUCGGCCGGGGUCGCCGGGCCUUGGCCAAGCGCCGGCGACCCCGGCUGACUGGCGGCAAAGGCCGCGAGCCCCCCCAGAUCUAGUGGCGAGGGCUCGUGACCCUCGCCUAGAUCCAGCGAUGAGGGCUCGUAGCCCUCGCCACCGGUCGACCGGGAGAGGGCCACCGACCCCUCGCCCAGAUCCAGCAGAGAGGGCUCACGGCCCUUGCUGUUGGUCGACCGGGCGAGGGCCACCGACCCUCGCCAGAUCUGGGUGAGGGCCGCGAGCCCCCCCAGAUCCAGCGGCGAGGGCCGCCGACCCUCGUUGGAUCUAGGCGAGGGCCGCGAGCCCCCCCAAAUCCAACGGCGAGGGCUCGUGGUCCUCGUCCAGAUCCAGCGACGAGGGCUCGUGGCCGGUCGGCCCUCCCUCCACCGUCGCCGGCGCUUCCUGGCAGUGGCGGGGCGGCGGCGGCGAUGGCUGAGGGUUGAUCCCUCAGCCGCCUCCCCCCGUUCCCUUUUUUUUUUUUUUAAGUUUUUAAAAGUUUUUUAGAGUUUUUUAAUUUUUUUAAUUAUUAUUUUUAAAUAUGUUAACUAAAUUUAAUUUUAAAAUUAUUAUUUUUUAAUAUUUUAGCUAAAUUUAAUUAUUUAAUUAUUUAAUUUUUUACCACGUCAGGCCAAAACGAUGCCGUUUUUGCAUUAUUUCGCCACAUCAGCGUGCAAAACGACGUUGUUUUGGGUGUGCUUCGCCGGAAAAAUGCCAUGUUGGUAUUUUGGCCGGAUUGACACUCAAGUGAUUUCUUUUACUCCAAUUUUGGCAUUUAAAUGUACAUUUCAUAAGUUAUGGCACUUGAGAGGUCCGCACGUCCUUAUCAGUGGUAUAGAUUAAAUGAGUGAUAAUGUGGAGAUCCAGUAACACGCGAGCCUGAGCCUGAGAGAAUGGUCGCCUCCUCUUCACUCCUCUCUCUUUUAUUCCCUCUUUCUUCCCGGACAUUCCGUUGCUUGUGCAUUCUGACUUGUUCCGUAAACGAACUCGCUCCUAAAUUUGGGCAGCCAAAAAUUGUUAGUGAGCACUCGUCUGCGACUUUCCAAUUGAAUACACUAGGGAAACUGGUCAAUGAUCUGCAACCGAUCAAUUUCAAUUCUGUGAACGCCUUUAGUUUGUCCAAGUCCUUAAUUGCUAGAAGCUCUUCGCAUCCUUGAAUUUCCAAGGACUCAAGCUUUUUCAAACCCGAUAGAUCUUCUACACUUUCAAUCUUAGGACACGUGCAUAUUUCCAAUUGCUCUAACGACUGCACUGAACCAAGACCAUGGAUUGCAGUUAUAUUUGGGCAAUAAGUCAGCCUCAACAGUUUCAACCUCUUCAAACUCGAAAGACCCGCAAAUCCCAUGAAGAGUUGUAACGGUGACACAUGGAGUUCAACCAACUGUUCAAGCACAUCUAGUUGAACUUCCUUCCAACGACAUUCAAAAAUGUGCAAACGUGUCACUUAUCUGAAGUUGCAACGAACUGUUUCUUGAUUCAUGAUUUACUAGUGACAAUGUUGACAAAAAUGGUGGAAGGAACAUGAGGGGUUGUUGGCAUGGGCCAUCUUGGAAGAACAAUGGACUGUUCUUAACGGGACCACUAUAGCUCAAAUCCACCAAGUUAGUUAGGUUUGAGAAAUUUGGGACCCACCACAGUGAACUUGAUCCAAAGCUUAGGCUUAUCAACGAUCGGUACGUACGGCACCCCGAUUGUUCUCUGCGGCUCUAUAUUUUCCAUCUUGCUGUUCCUGUUGGGUUUCCUUGACCUUUGUUCUUCGAGUUUUGGUGUUUUUGAAUUCGGUCUGCUGGAGCGUUGACUGUGACCCAGAACGCCGAUAUCAGCGAUGAUCGAGUUUCUUUUCCUGUGCCUUAGCGAGCUCAGUGACUCGAUUGUUUGCCUGCUGAUUUUUCCGCGCCAUCGGUUUCUUGAAUUCGAGCCGUGUCGUUGCCUUUUCGGGGGAUGUGGUUCGUUAAUUCGGUGAUUGUGGAUUGCAUCGGGUUGGUGGAAGUCUUUCUAGAUUACACACUUGCUGCUGCGUAUCGGAUAGGCUGUAUUCUUUCGGGAUGUGCGACACAUUGGUCGGCUAGGGUAUUUAUUUUUUUUUUCGGGAGUUGAAGAAUUAAUGAAACCAUUUGAAUCUGUAUGCGAAACGUGGGAACGAUUAAAGCAAAUUACGCAUUUUGACCAAACCGUGAUUUUGAUGGAGCCAGUGAAUAGUUUCGACUUUUUACUCUGUUGGUAUGACAACUUGAUCUACUGAGCAUUUGAGAAAGAACAGAAUUUGUUUCUAAUGGAGCCAUUCAGAAAAUGUAGUUUGCAUAUGGCUGCAUGUGAUUCUUUUCAUGUAAAGCUCGGAAGGGUUUGAGCCUACUAGUGGGUGCUUCCCUUGAUAUUCUCCUCGCUUCAAUUAACGGCAGUGGGCAGCUAUUCUUCUUCACUUGAGCAAUGUUGGAAGUUUACAUCGAUCAAUCCUUACUCCGUGACAUUCUUUGUUUAUAUAGAUUGUUAAAAUUGGUUGCCUAAGUGCUUCAGAUGAUUCUCUUCUCAUGACAGUCUUGCACUGGAUGGGGAAAUUGAUGUCUGAGAAAUUUAUAGACAUUAACACUAUGUGAAGUCCUUGAAAUUAUCUGUCCAACGAGUAAAGUCCUUGAAAUUAUUUUUCCAAUAAUUGGUAUCAGAAACACUGUUUAGCAUUGCGUUUUAGAACGAGGCAGUCCAUUACAUGAAAUAAACUUUCUUUGCUGUUGAAAUGAUUGUGUGGUUUGACAAGUCUUGAGGGGCUGUUUACAUGUCAGGACGAGGCAGUCCAUUAUAUGAAAUAAACUUUCUUUGCUGUUGAAAUGAUUGUGUAGAUUGACGAGUCUUGAGGGUAUGCUUGUUACUUCAAGUUGCUUAGACCCAUACGCCUACGCCAGACGCUUUAUGUAUGAUCCUAUUUAGAAGAUGUGGCACAUAUCAAAUAUCAAAAGGCCACCCAUAAAACGAAAGGUUUUUUGUAAGUCAAACAAAUAACUUGCUAUUAAUAUUGUCGACUAACAAUAAUAAGUGCUACCCAGUUAAUAUGAUUUUCUGGAGAUUUCUUUUAAAUUGGUGAAAGUGCCUAAAACCUACCAAGCGUGUUAUCCUUGAAAAUAGGCUCAGGCUACUUCAGCUCUCAUUGUAGCCAACACUAAUUUGCUUUGAGUCACAAUGCUUUGCAUGCGUGACAAUGCGGUAGUAGUUUUGUUACUGACUGACCAGAUGUAUUGCAGCAUGAGUUUGGGCCAGUUUGGUAAUGUGAUGAGAAAUGUACGUUCCAUAAGACUUGUGGGAUUUUUAAAGCGUUGCACAUCAAUAUUUCUUGUCUACAAUUAAGAAACCUUCAUAGCAACUACUGUGGAGUAUGACACACACGAUUGACUAAGGGAGUGGGGAGGGAGUGAGGGAGGGAGGUUUCUAGGUAGGCACAUCAUUUGUGCAUAUUUUUUGAGAUAUAUUCAAGCCUCAUCUUCUGUGCAUUUUCAGUGGUGAAACUUUAAGAGAGACUGAAGAUGGUGAAGGAGCUGACGUGAAUUGGCAUGUCAAUAUCUUGAUGACGUAAUUAUGUUUUCCGUUGUAUAUUACCUGACUUCCCCUUAUUCUCUGUAGUAAUUAAAUCUCUCAAUCUCACUACCUCCCAUUUCAUAUCACUGUUGUAGACUGGUUAAGCAAUUUAAUUCUACUUUCAAAGAUAUGGGAUGCUCUGCAUGCAGCAGCAGAAGCAGAUCUUGUUGGGUUUUCAUGAAUCGUGUAUAAGAAAAAUUAACAAAAUUAACACAACGGAAACAAUAAUAUAUUUUAUACAUGAUUCUUUUAAGGAAUUGUCGUGCGUUUUAAUCGAAAAUCUAAAUAUAAAAAGGGUGUUAAACGAAUUACCUCUCGAAGCACGCUUGAAACAAGUCGGUUCAGAUGUUCUACAGUUCGAGUCUCACAAGUGUCGGACCUCUAGUUCAGACACACCAACAACGAACGUCGAACAGAAGAGAGAACUUUCGGAUAUUCACCACAAUGAUCGUGUUAGCAAUCUCGUGGAAACAAUCUGUUGUAUUCUUGAUGUAUAAUAAUCACAGCCCGAACGAGAGAAUUGCUUUUCUUCCUCAUGUCUCGAAGACACAAGAAGACACACACUUUUUGCUCUUUGUUUUCAGCAAAGCAUCACUCGUACGUCUCUAAAAACACAGGACGCACGCCCACAAAAAAUCUCUCUAAGUUGCAACCUUUUCGCAGCCUUUCUUUUUAAAAUUUAUACACGAAUCAGCAACAGUUGCCGAUCGUGGGAUCAGCAACCGUUGCUGAUCCUCAUUCUCAUGCACGAUCGAGCACGAUCGUGCAUGAGUGGAACAGUCAGCAAUCGCUGAUCGUUUAUGCACGAUUUCGUGCGUGCAUGUGCACAUAUUCGUGUGAAGUGGUCAGCAAAAAUUGCUGACUAUUUCCACUUUAAUUAUUCAAUUAAUUAAUUAAUAAUUAAUCUGUCACGCCCCGAUCCUCGGGCACGCACACAUCCUUCUCACUUGGUCGAUUUUAUAAUGCAAUAUCCCAGGACUAUGUAUCGCCAACCCUUUUUUUUUAUUAAGCACACGCGGAAGCAAUUAUAAUCCCUAGAUAAUAAAUACGAUGUGAUAGAAAAGCAAGGCCAUAUUUUCAUAUUGAAACUUAUAACCAAACUUUUAUGCAAAACACAAACCAUUCAUUUCCAUCAUUGGAAUUCCUUUUCCAUUCACACACCAUUCUCCCAUUUCUCUCCUUUCUCUCGGCUACACACCACCAACCUUUCAAGUCAUUCAAGUUAGUUCUUGAGGCUUGCCAAGGUAAGUAAGACCCCUAUGUGUCCUCUAAGGCGGUAGUUUCCAUUGUCAAGUCUAGUUAGGUGCUCAUCUAUCAAAGCCGUGGAUAUGAUGUUUAGUUUCCAUUGUCAAUUCUAGUUAGGUGCUCAUCUGUCAAAGCCAUGGAUAUGAUGUUGGAUCUUUUGUAUGGUUUUGCUUAUGUUUUUACUUGAACAUGUGCUUGAGUCGUGUAUGUUCGGAAUGGAAUCAAGGUUCAUUCGAGUUGAGUUUAUUGCAAGGCAAGGUCGCCUCAAGCCAUAAAGCCUUGGUUUCAACAUAACUAGGAUGCCGGGUCCAAGUCUCGCUUGGUGUGGGAAUCGCCCGAGGCUGCAAGGUCCUAAGUCGACAUUGAGGCGUGUCGAUCUUAUGCCUUCAUCGGUAAGGGGAUUGUCCAAAUCCAGGAGAUCUGGGUAAGGCACCAAGCAUGUCGAUUUCUAUAGUCCAAAUGGACGCAGGGACUUUGUGCUUGGCGUUAAAUGAAAGCACGAGUCAAGGGUCAUUCUUGAUGCAUGUGCAUUCACAUCGGGUUGGAGCCAAGGCCGUCAAGCUUGAGAUCUUAGUAAAGUGAGGUAUACCCAAGCCUCGAGGUCUUGGAUCAGUAUUGAGGUGUACCAUUUCCGAGCCUUGUCCAAUGUAGGGAUCGACGCUAAGUGGUUGAUUUGAGUUACGGACCAAAGUCGCUCCCAAAACACUUGUUAGCAAAGUAUGAGAAUUCAUGACACACACGAACGAUUGAGUAUGCCUUCGGGCCAUACAUGUGUCGACUAAGAGAUAAAAUAAGAACCCGCUUGUAUGAUGCAUUUAUGCAUGCACUUAAAGAGGAAAGGAUGCCAGUCAUCACACAGCAUUGGUGGCAAUGCCUCGAUUAAGCUAUGAUGCCUGGGUUUUGGACCCGGAAGCCUCGAGAAGCUAGCCUCGAGAAGCAUCAUUCGAAGCUAAGUGGCCUUGGUUGAGUUAGGAAGCCUAGCAAGAAGCUGGAAGCCCCGGUUGAGUCAGGAGGGUCUGGUCGAGCUAGGACGACACCAAAUGAAUUAUGCAUAAAUGCCGGUAUUUGCGUAAGUAUGAUAUGUUGGUAUAUUUGUUGAUAAGCCAAAGGUAAGUAUGCAUUGAAGCAUGUUGCAAUGGACAUUUGCAUCUAGUCAAGGAUAGCAACAAGUUUGCUAUUGAUCUGCCAUUGACGCUGUCUACAAGUGUUGUACUUGUUAAGCUUCGAUGAUGAGAUGCUUUCCUAGUAGAGAACUAGGAAUUUUACUUAUUGAGUUUCCCCAAAACUCAUUCCUCAUCUUUCAAUCUAGUAGGCAUGGAAGUCUCAUGUCAAUAUUGAGAGCUGCAGUCACACUAGAAGAGAUAAGACUUCCUUGGCCUAUGUGGAAAACGUGUACUAUGAUGUUAAAAAAAAAAAAAAAAGAGGGCCCAUAAAGAAAUGGGCUUUUAAAAGUACUAAUAUAAUAUAAGUCAGUGUGUUCAGUGUGAUGUAUGUCCUAGUCUUCCAGCUGUUGUUUGUCCGGAGAGUUAUUUGUUCACGUUUCCGCAUGUGCACGAUAAUAAGAUAAAAAAAAAAAUCGGCACAACGAUGAGUCGGGGAUAUCGCCAAAUAACCCUUGUCACUCGUGACCCUGGAGAUGGAGUUAGGGUCGUAACAUGUUGAGCAUUAAAAAAAAAAAGUAAAGUAAUAAAUUAAAAUAUUAAAUAUUAAAUUUUUAAAAAAUUAUCUACAUCAGUACCGACUAAACCAUGUUGGACGACAACAUCCACGUCGGAUUUUCCGGUGAGGCAAAUCGGAAUUAGCACUCAAGUGAUCAAUUUUUCAAAUUUGUGACACUCAAAUGAGCGAUUUUUUUUUUUGACACUUAAUUGAGCACCGUACGAAAAUUUUAGCAUUCUUAGUGUUCUUAUCCCCAAACUAUUUCUUAUCUAGAUUUGAAGGAACAUAGAACUAGAGAUGGUAUAAGAGAUUCCACAAGGAAUGACCCAAGCUAUUUUUAUCUAGAUUUGAAGGAACAUACAACCCAAGAUGGUAUAAGGGAUUCCACAAGGAAUGAGUUUCGCUUUUGUAGGCAUCAAAUAAUAGGCACAGACAUCACAAAGUUCAAAAACACUACUAGCAAAGUUAAUCAUGAAAAGCAUAUAAUAGGGGCUUGUUUAGUUCAAGUUUGACCUCAAUUAGUGCAUUCCAGUGUUACUUAUUUGCAGACUAUACUCUUCCUGGCUAAUAAAGGAGUGAACCCAAACAUUAUGAACUCCAAAAGUGUCAUAGCACUUGCCUUAUUAACACAAGGCGAAAGUGUGGAAAGAGCCUCCAAGUUUGUGGAUUAUGUUCCUCAAACUCUAGAGAAUCACGACCCAUCCAAAUGAAUAUUCUACGCGGAUAACAUGGUCACCGCCUCUCAUCACCUGUAAGGAAAGAAAACAAAAGGAAAAGAAAGCAAAAAUGGCAAAACAAUAUGAAUAAGACGCUAACGAUGAUGGCAAUAUUAUUAGCGACCGUGGCAUUCCAAGCAGGUAUGACCCCACCUGGUGGUAUUUGGCAAUAUCAUUUCUACGGCAAUGAAAAGCAUCCGCACAUAUUGUGGGCGACUCUCUAAUGGCUCAAAGAUACCCGGAUGAGUACUCCAUGUUCAUAGCUUAUAACAUGAUUAGCUUUGUCGAAUCGCUUAGCAUCAUUAUGCUUCUCAUAAGUGGUAUUCCUUUAACACAGCGUCGGAUCUUCAUGGGAUUACAAUGUUGACCAUGUGGGUUGCGAUAACCUUCACAGCAGCGACUUCUGCAAUCUCCAUAUUAGUAUUCACACGGAACAACAAAAGGAAUACUGCAUAUCAAAUAGUUGGGAUUGUAGUGUUGGUGUGAGCUAUAUUGAUGGCUCUUCUUUUCAAGUGCCACCUUGUAUGCUUGAUCUUGAAAUUGUUAUGCAAAGUCCUGAAAGUGAUACUCAAAGUCCUGAAGUUCAUCUGCAAUGCCUUGAAGAAACAGAAGCGAGAGGAUGUUGUAGUUUAGUGGUUGUAUAUCACUACAAAUGUGUUUAUCCCAAAAGAAGUGCACUAAGCCAUGAGACCAUGAAAGAUUAGAUUCUAUAUAGUACGUGCCAUUCAGUGUGCCGAUGAUACAAAGUAUUGACAAUAUAUUAGAGAAUGCAUGUAUGUGUGUAUGUGCUUGUGAAGAUAAUAAAUGUUUAGAGUGUGUUUAAUGUAAGUAAAAGAUGGGGUUUACAAGUAUAAUGGAUGGAUGUUUUACUUGAUUUGACUUGUGGCGGUUACAACUAAGGAAACCCCCGGCAGCAGAAUGUACCGAAUUAGUGCGUGCAGAGUGUGACAUUUGAUGUAAAGUCAAAAUGAAAAAAAAAUCUUGGCCAUUGGGAUCGAUUUUGUGUAGCCGGGCUGGUCAAAGUGGUAAGUUAUUGAUGUUGUAGAAUUGUAAGUUUUAUCAUUAGUUGGGGGAAAUUAUGACAAUCAAGGAUUAUUACUUAUGGACAUGCUCCGUUGAUUAUGGGCUUGAAAGAAAUGUUGUGAUCGUUUAAGUAAGUUACUAAGAAUAGACAUUGUUUGCGUUUGGUCUAUGUAAGUUGACAUGUCGUGUUUAGGAAAUUGAGGAAGGCACCUAGGGACCAAUUGUUGGCAACACUGUUUGCAUUUGGUCUAUGUAAGCCAAGUUCACGCGUUCGUAUAUGUCCAUAUUUGUAAGGAAAGGUAAGGACCGGUGUUGAUAUAUCCCUGAUUAUUCGGUGAAAUUAUCGCAGAGAAUUAUGGUCUUUGAUCUUAGCCAGUCAUGUCUUAAACUGUGUGAAAAAUGCCUGGCCGUCGUUUAAGGGAAGAACAUAGUUGCAAUGAAGCAUUGUGACAACAGCGAAUUUCAAAGGACGUCAAGUCACAAGGGGACAUGUUGAGACUCACCACCUCUCCCUCUUCCAUUUUCCAAAUCUCUCUCUAUGGUUCUCUCUGAUCACGAAAAUUUUUCAUGAAUUGGACAUCAAAAUCCCAAGAAAGUUGAGCAAAUUUCAAUUACCUUCGUUGGAGAUAGAUGAGCAAAUGAUACUGAAGAUGAGUUUCAGGCACACCACUGAAAGUUGGAAAAAUAAAAACGAUAGACUUCUGAAAGUAGAUGUCAAUGAAAUUGUGUAAGACCUAGUUGAUCAUCCCAUCAAGAGAAGAAGGAUUGUUGAACAGAGACGAACCUCUCAAGUCUUUCUAUAAAGGCUUAAUGCAGUGGCUAGAGUCAGAAGAAGACACGGUUUAUUUGGAUGAUAUCAAUGAUGCAUAUCAACUUAACUUUGAAGAUGAUGUUGAAGAAGCAAUUGAAGCAAAAGGAGAAAUAGGGAUAGGAAUAGCAAUUUUAGACAGAGGAAGUCAUUACUAUAGAACAACAACAAAAGGAUGUUGAGGAUUGACUCCAACCAACUGAUGAUCAAGUUAGCAUGAUAAAUGUUGAUGUCAUGCCCCGAACCUCGAGUGUGCGUACAUCCCUCGAUGGUUGAUGAAAUUGCAACGUUCCAGGAUGCGUCGCCGACCCAUUCAUUUUAUUGCACAUGUAGAAGCGAAUAAAAAAAUCUCCUGACAGUAAACAACAUGUGAUAGAAAAGCAGGAUAACAAAUUCACAACCAAAACACACUCUUAUAAACAAACUAAUAUAUACAAAACUAGUCUGUCUACCAAAAAGGUCGGCCCUCAAAAAGGAAAUUGUCCCACGACCCACUAGCCGGAUAUGUUCAUCAAUCCUUUGGACUCCAUAGGCUCCGAGGGUGCCGGGUCCACCACAGCACCAUCAAGAGGGUCAGCUGCACCCUCUCUAAAAAUGGCAUCGACUACCACAGCAGGUUUCUCAAAACCCUAGAGGGGACCAACUCUAUAUUCAUUGAGCUUGCGGCAAAACGACGCUUUAAAUCGAUGAGGUACCCUAUGAGGUAGGCCCUCAUUGACCUAGACGGUGGUCUCUACAAGCUCAUAGACCUAGUGGCCUCCGAGACUAGGGAAGUCAGUAAUCAAUUUAGUAACCCUCCGAGGCUAACUAUAAUGUACCGGAGGGGCCGCCAUCUAAGGACCUGAAAAGAUUGAGCCCACGAUGGGGUGAGACAACGUCUCAGCAAGUCCACCCCCUGAACUUCGACUAGAAAGAAAAUACGCCUAGGGGCGUCCUAAUCACACAACUGCACAAUCACAGAGACUCACCUUAUCUCAAAUCCUCCCUACAGGUCAGCACAAUUCAAAUACACAACCAUAUAUAGUAAUCAAACUCAACAAUUGGAACACCACCACUUUCAUCUCAGUAAAUACAAGGGUCUUAAUUGUAAGGCCAAAUUGUUAUGACACGUUUCAUACUAUAUCAUACAAUUUUGUCCCAUAAUGAGGCGCAUCAAUUUCACCCAACAUGCAUUCCAAUUUUUAAUCAUGGCCCAACAGGACCUACUCGACGUUCGACAGUCUUCUAGCGUAACUAGGCAUCGUCUCACCCCACUGAGCACGACAACGUCUACAUGAGACGGUAUUCAACAAAGGAGCAUCAGUCCAGAAUCUACUGCUACCAGCAUCCGUUGACGAGGGACGUCCCAUAUAGGGGCACGUCCACCCGACUCACUUCAGGGACGGGUUCUCUUAACCAACACACGAUCAUUCAAUCUAGACCAAGGGCAUCCAUGCAUUGCACUCAAAUGCCUCGAUUAAAAUAGUGAACUUGGCAUUUUUUCUUCAUAUUAAAAAUACACGGUAAAAUAAUCGUGUGUGGGUACACUGUCAAUUUAAACCAGAAAAAUUGAUACCCUCCCUUUUAAAAUCCCACUAAUUGAUAUAGUCUUUAAAACCAUUUUUGGUGUUAAAACCCGACACUUGAGAUUUUCUAAUUAAAUAUCUUACAAUUUUGGAAUAAAUAAACAAAAUUCAAAUCACCACUCAAUUUGCACAAAUUAACACUUAAUUGCAUAAACUAAGUACACCACUACAAUUAGCACGAAAUUUCAGUCAUCGACUAUCCCGGUAUAAUGUUUGGAAAAUAAUAAAUAAUUAAAUAAAUUACAAAAAUAAUUCAAUAAUGCAAUUUAAAUACAAUAAAUACCAACUUAGGCCGGAAAUGCUAAUCUAACCUCCUAAAUAGGCCUAGAAAAUUUCUGAACCUAUCUAGAUAAAUAGUACAUUAUAUCCGAUCCUUAAUUAGUCUAUUCUAACCACCCAACAUGCAUAAUUAAACCAUUAAAUUGCUAAUAUAAACUAACUAACCACAUAAUCCCUAAUUAGCCUAAACUAAUUAUCCACUAAGCAUCAUUAACUCCAUAAGCAAAGUUUAGCAAAUAAACUCAUCGGUUUAGCGGGCCGGUGAGUCCACGGCAAUGGCGACGCGGAGGCGAGCAACACUCGAGCCUGCAGCAACACCAACAGAGGUCCCGACGGGCCUUAAAAUGGGCCUAGAAGUCCUUGGCUGGGCUAAGCUUUGGCCUUUGGUCGCUGUUGAAGGAGGCGGCUUGGCUUGGCUAUGGUGGCUUAAAAACAAACUAGGCGGGCAGUAAUGGGCCAAUGGCUACAUCGGGCGACGGCGGAGGCAGAUGGCGGCUAGAUGGUGAUGGAUGGCAGCUAGGCGAGCUCGAGUCGACGGCUCGAGUCGACGGCCUAGGAGCGGACGAUGGCAAUGGACCGUGUGAUGAUCGCGAACGGGUGGACGGGCAGUGCGCAACUCGCGGGCGACAGUGAUGGCACCCGAACGAUAGCAAGGGGCGGUCGACGGGCAAGGGCUACUUGGCUCGGUUUCUCUGGAUUUAUUUGAGCUUUCAAAACACUCAACAAUGGAGAAAGGAGGGAAGUAGAGGAAGAAGAAGGUAGCAGCUGCCAAUGGGGACCCAAUAUACCCCAAAGUCUUCACAAACUAUCCAUUUCAUCAUCACUUGUCCCCACCAGCCAUCAGCCCUAUCCCUUGCCUCUUUUCCUUCACAAUACUUCCACAAUAAGCCAUUACAGAGGUCCAAAAUGUUGUUCCCCCCUGGCCUACGAAUUUUGGACCAUUUCCCUCGAAAUCCACUUCAAUUCUUCUCCAAUUGAGCUCAAAUUGAAGUCCAAAAAUUCAGCCAAUGUGCUAUCAUCCAUCUCAUGAUUUUUCCUCAUGAAUUGAACCAACUUGACGGCCGAAAUUACGACAAAAAACAGUCCCUUGAAUUUUCCGGUCCAAAAUAUCCUUACUUUGAAUUUUCUCCGAAAUCUCGGAUUUGCAAAAAAAUCUUCGAAGGAUGAGUCAACAUUCCUAAAAUGAAUUGUGACAUAACAAAAUUUUUAAUUUCUGAAAUUGGGUUUAAAUUUGCGGUUAAUUUCAACUGGGCGCCAUUUUAGCGUGACCAAACCUUUCGAGUAGCUUUUAGGAAUUUUUAGUUUAAUUGACCCGUGGUCGAUUAUUUUUUAGCCACAUUGUGCAUCUUCGACUCAUUGGCAACUCUAAAUUGUCGUGAAAAUCUCGAGGUUUCAAAUAUGGGCAUAAGAUACAGAAAUGAUAGAAAAAUCAGUUUAGUGUCGUUUGACGAGAAUUUUGCAAUUAGGUGGAAUCACCCACACUUCAAUCACAUACCUCAGUUGAACCAACCUAUCUCCGAUCUCUAAUGGAUUUUGAUAGUGCCAUCUUGACCUUUGCCAAUUAGCACAGUCAAGCAGUCGAUUUUUGGUCGAAUUUUCAAGUCUAAUAAUGUGUUAAAAGACUUUAACGGCUUCACUAAAUAGAUUAGUUAUCUUGUGAGUGAUCAGCUCAGAGAAAAAUGCUAUAGGCACAUCAAUGAAAAGCCUGACUCAUUCAAUUGAAAACAAAAUUGGAAAAUCAGGAUGUCACUGUUGAUCUCACUCAAGACUUAGAGAGUGUUGACUAUGUUGCUGAGCAUCAGGAGUCUGCUAGAGACCAAGACAUCACUGAGCAUCAGGCACCUACUCAGGACCAAAUCAUUGUUGGAGAGUAGGGUUUAGUCUCAAUUAUAGGUGUUGCUGAAGUUGAAUCCUCUCAAAUUAUAACAUCAAUCCAAGGGGAGCUUGAUCAUGCCGAAUAUCUUAUUGAGCCUUUACCUAAAAACAUUCCCAUAGACUCCACGAAUGUUGCUAAGAAAGGAGUUGUUGACAAUGCCAAUGUUGUCCAAGAAGGUCGAGAAUUACCUAAUGCAAUGAUUGAGGCUCUUCAUGAUCUUUAGAUUCUCAAGAAAUCCGUGUAGACACCAAUUUGGCUCUAAAACCUACUGUUGAUGAUGCUCCUGUUGUUGAAUUACCUUUCAUCCCCGCUGGAACUCCUGGCCUUACUUAGUGAGCAAAUUGUUAAUCCUACUCAUUCUUCUGACUUGGUUGUUCAGGAUAAAGGGAAAGGAGUUGCAAGUGUUGAGAGGGAGUCUAAAACUGCUAGACAAAGGCAAGAUAACAUCAAUAUGGUGAUGAAACUUACAUUAGAAACUGACCCUUCAAGAAUUCUUGCUAUUGAUAGCACUGAAGACAAGCUGUUUCUGCGGACUCAACUCAGAAUGAUAGAGCAUAAGGACAGGAUGGAGAACGAGCUGAAGAAUUUAACUAUCUUUCUCAGAACUCAGGUUGAAGCGUUGGACAACAUAAUGACAAUAAUCGAGCAUAUUCUGGAUGAUAUGCAGUACUAUGUUCUUGUUUAACUGCCUUAAAACACAGAUUUUCAUCUCCUACUUCAGCUCCAUCUCCAACUCCCAUUCUAGACCUUGACCCAAACUAACCAUCCUCCUCCAAAUAGUUUUCUAUGUUUGCAUUAUUUCUCGAAGUUUUGAUUGUUUUGUCAUUUGAUUUGUAAUGUUUGUAGAUCUUUUUUGUUGGACUAACCUUCAUAUUUUGGUUUGUCUAUUAUAUUAUGCUACAUCUAGUAUCUUUUUUAUUUUCGACAAAAAGGCGAAGAAGGACCAACAAAUCUGAAGAUACAAACUUUAUUGCACUAAUGUUACUUACAGAGGUUUUUCAAAGACUCUGAACAUCGGAAAAGUUUAGGGGACUAGUUAUAAAUUGUUCUUAUCCCUUAUCUUUUAUUUUCAGAGCUUUAGCUUUAAGAAUCUUGCCAAAUUUUCAUUUAAAUAUUCUUAUGAUUUAACUAUGCAUCAUUUUCAUAUCUAACUUUAAUCAAGAGCAAUUUAAAUAUCAAAUUUUUAUCUCUUUAAGAAGUUUUGCUUGAAUGAAUUUUCUCAUUAUCAAAAAGGGGGAGAUUGUUGAGAAAACAUUCCCUAAGCUGUUUUGAUGACUGACAAAACUUAGCGAAGUUGAUUCUAUUAUAAACUAUUUUCAGGUGGAAAGUUCAAUUAGACAUGAUCAGACGAUGUCGAUUAGAAUCAUAGUCAUGAUUUAUUCUUCAUUCCUUACAUAUUAUGUCAAACAGCUGGGAAGGAGUCAUAUACACUCAUGCAAUAGCUAGUGGUGACUGGUUAAAUUCUUUGCCAUAUUUAUAAAGAGUUUCAAAAGAAAAAUUUUCCUAAUAUUAAUGGAGAUUCAACCUUCCUGGAAUUUCUUACUAAAGACAAAACAUUCUUUCCAUUCAUAAACACCCAUUUUUUGGAAAUUCGAACUGUUAUAUGGGCAGUAGAACAUAUGGGAAGCUCCACUCUCAGCGAUCCUAAAGCAAUUAGAUCUUCUCAACUGGAUCCAGGACCAAUGGGUAGAUUGGCUGGAUAAUCCUCCUAGAGAUAUAUCCAAUGGUCAACUUGGACUAAAAGGAGUAUAAGAGGAGGUUUCAAAGUUGAAGGAAAUAGAAUUUGCAUUCGUGAGAAUUUCGAAGCUUUUAAUUUCAAAGUUCGUCUCUGUGAGAAUCAUUGUGUAACCAAUUAGAGGUCAAGAGUGUAUGAGGAGUGAUACGCACGAGCUUGAGCCUAGAUAGCUCAGAUCUUGUAACAUUCGAUUAGUUCUUAUUAGUGGAUUCCCACCAAUUGGCUGUAGCGCGAGAGAAUGGACGCAAGCUUGCAAAAGUUGAACCACUAAAAUUUUUGUGUGCAGUUCUCUAUCUCUUAUUCCUUUUAUUUAUUGUGAUAGAAUUAUAUACCGGCAAGAUUUGACCACUUUACCAGAAGUUGUCUUGUUGCAAUAUUUGUUUAAAUUCUUUCACUCCCACAUAGUUAUCUAUUCAUCCCCCUCUAGGUGAUAGUUUUAGCUAUAACACCAUCCAUGAAGAGGCCAAUGCAGCUGGGCACCUGCUUGAAGUCUCGAGAUUAGAGGGGGAAAAUAAAACUUAAUGCUUUCAGAUGUGUGCUCUGAAGGGCUAAUACGCUGCUGUGAACAUAGUGACAUAAGAGAAGUCCUCACCGUAGCCAUCGAAAUGAUGGACAGGAUCAAAAUCCACAGCAUGGGGUCGCCCAACCAAACAUGCCUUAAUACGUCCCCAGCAAUGGGCGCCGCGGCUCUCCAUCCUCCUAAUGUACAUUGCUCGCCACCUCUGUUGUUAAAAGUUUGAAUGUCAAAAUAAAAAGAUCACGUGCCAAUGAAAUUUCUAUAUAGGUCAUGAGAGGAAGAAUCGGGACUUUCUCAAAAGUUCUUCGCAAUAUUUUCUGAAUGCAGGGGAGCAAGUGAUCCGGGUAUGUAACAUGCUUAAUUUGUCACAUGACUUGGUUUUCUUGCUCUUACUUUCCGGGACAGAUCUUAGUAGGGCAAAUUGAUUCAGACUACUUUGGCUUUCCCUUUUCCAAUUUACGAUCAUUUCUUUUUGCUGAUCGAACCUCUAAGUAUAUGAUUCUUUCCGUAGACCCACGACAUGCAUAAAAACACACCGCUGUUCAAACAAAAAUGGGCAAUCUAAUGGAAAGCAAGACUGCUGCUUUCUCAUUGUGUUUAACUUUUUUGCUAGCUUGAAAUCAUUUGCGACUAUUUCGGUGGAAAGACUUAAUGCACUAAUGACGCUAUCACUCGUUUCAAGCAUCGCCCUAACAGAAUUGCUGAUUUGCGGAAGCGUGAUGUUGAUACUACUUGAUAGUUUGCAAUUUUAAUGUGCAAGUGUAUAUGUAUGUGCGAGAUAUUUGGCAGAGAAGGACAAGGAAUAAGGAGAUAGCCGUUUGUUGAAUGAUAUGGGAGGAGGAAAUAUUAUUUUAUUAGUUUAUAGAAAUGAUUUUACAAAAGACGUUGGCGGAGUAGAUUAAGAGAUAAAAGCUUUAUAAGCUCUCCUCCCCACUUAUCUCCACGAUCAAUCCAAGCUCUAUCUAAAGAGCACGUCCACUGCCUCAGAAGAUUUUUACCACAAUUGCCAACUCUAACUAAGCUAGAACCACAAACUUUACCUUCCUCCCAAGAUUAGAAUUCUCGUACGAUACAUAUAGUGUUCUCUAGUAUUCACAGAUAUUUCUGCAUGCGAGGACUUUCGAACAAAUUAUAAUUCGUUUACACACAAGCAAAGACAAAGAAGAGACUGCGGUCUUUUUUUAAUGUACAUGACCGGUCUGCGCUGCCAAGAAUGACUAGGUCUAUGGAGCUACCAGCGACAUCUACCAAGCGUUUGUAUUCCGAAACAUCCGAGGCGUUUCAUCUAAAUGAGAAAACCAUUCCUAUGGUGGCUUGGCGUCAGUAUAUAGUCAAGCCCCCAAAUGGAGUAGUUAAUAUUCCCAAAGUCCCAUUUUAGAGAGCCCAACAUGGAGUCUGAAAUUUACGAAGCCGCUGUGAAAGGAAAUGUGCAUUCUUUGCGUCAGUUGCUUGGAAAAGAUAAGCUACUUCUUGACCGAAUCAUGAUCGGGAAUCACACUGAGACUCCUCUGCACAUCGCAGCCAUGCUCGGGCACCUGGAAUUCGUGGAAGAGGUCCUAGCUCGGAAGGCUGAGCUAGCAAGAGAGCAAGAUUCUCAAAGAUCUACGCCUCUUCAUCUUGCAGCAGCAAAAGGGUACCUUAACAUAGUGACAAACUUGUUAAGAGUCAACCCUGAAAUAUGUUUCGUCCGUGACAAAUACGAAAGAAACCCUCUUCAUGUCGCAGCCAUGAAAGGCCAUGUGGAUGUGUUGGAAUUCUUGGUUAGAGCAAGACCCAAUGCAGCCCAUAGUUUCAUCGAACAUGGCCAGACAAUCUUGCAUUUAUGCGUGAAGCAUAACAGAUUUGAAGCUUUGAAGCUUUUGAUGGAUAUCUUGGGCGAUGAUGAGUUCAUCAACUUGAGGGAUGAAUAUGGCAACACAAUUUUGCAUUUGGCUGCUUUAGAUAGACAAACUAAGGUAUGUUCACCCAACCAACCAAGUCUCUGUACUAGUCAAAUUCAAGGAGCUUAUCAACCAAAAAAGGAGGUUUUAGGAUGUAAUGACAUCUUUGCACUAAUAAUUUGUUUGACAUGAUCCUUAAACAAUUCAUAAAUGUUCGAUUUAGUCCCCAAAUUUCAAUUUAUUUGAUAUAGUCUCUCAACUUUUCAUAACAAAGUCAAAUAAGUCAUUCGAUACAAUUUACAAAUUUUCACAAUGGCAUAAUUGCCUAGAUUUUAGAAUAUCUUUUCAUUUCAAUCAAAGUUCCCAAAUCGAUAAAAAAAAAUAUUAUGUCUUUUUAUUAUCUCUUUACCUUGUUAAAUAUUACUAUAGUUCCAUUUUAGUGUAUUUUAACUUAUAAUCUCUAUAAUAGUAAAAAGGUUAGAGUUAUAUUGGAUACAUAAUCCUUUCAACUUUAAAAUGAGUAUUUUCCUAAUAAUAUUCAACAACGAUAAUCAUAUAUCUAUAUAGAAUUUUUGUAGUUAUAUUACUCUAAAUCUCGUUCCUAAUUUUUUGAUAGAUUAAAAAUUCAAUUUUUUCCUUUUUUGUAAUAAAUAAGGAAACUAAAUAGCAGGAAUAUCAACCCAAUACAACAUUAAAUAAGAUUCCACUUUUGCCACAUGGGAUCAAAGUAAAUGGACUAUUUGUGUUAUUUUCCUUUCUAGGAUAUCUAAGUGUCCUAGAAAUUUUUUAAAGCCAAAUGGCCUCCAUUUAUAAAUCAUUGAAGGUUAUGAUAUUUGGAAAAAUAAAAUAAUUAGCACGGAUAAUUAAUGACAACUUUACACUUCACACUAUUUUCAUGCUAAUUUUAUCUAGAUCAGAAGGAACAAAAAACUAGAGAUAUCAGAAUAGAUUCAAUAGGGGAUGGGUUUCCCUUGUGAAGGCAUCAGAUAAUAUUCACAAACACUACAAGACUGAAAAAACAGUUGUUUCAAGGUUCAUUUUGAAAUAGAUAUAACAUGGGCUUGUCUAGUUCAAAUCUGACUCCAAUUGGUACAUUAUGUUGUUACUCCUUUGCAGACUAUAGUCUUCCUGCUUCAGAAAGGAGUAAAUCCGAACAUUACUAACUCUAGAGGUCUCACAGCACUCGGCCUAUUAGCACAAGGCGAAAGCACGGGAAGAACCUCGGAGAUUAAGAAUUCUCUUCCUCGAACUUUAGAGAAUCAUGAGCCAUCCAAACGAUUAGUCUAUGAAAAUAACACGGUCACCACCUUGCGUUCACCUAUAGGAGAAGAGGACAAAAGGGAACAAAAGAGAAAGUGGCAAAACAGUAUGCAUAAGACGCUAAUGGUGGUAGCGACAUUGCUAGCAACCAUGGCAUUCCAAACCAGUAUUACCCCGCCUGGUGGCCUUUGGCAAGAAGAUUUCCCAGGCGAGAAGGAUGUUAAGGCACAUAUUGCGUGCUUCAUCGUAUCGCUUAGCAUCUUUAUGCUUCUCGUAAGUGGUCUUCCUCUAAGGCAGCGUCGUAUCACCACGUGGAUUGCAAUGCUGACUACGUGGAUUGUGAUAACCUUCAUGGCGGCGACUUAUGCCAUCUCUUUUUCUGUCUUCACACCGCCGAAAGAACUGGAAACUUUCGUUGACGCAAUUGGAUGGGCAGUGCUGGCAUGGCUCGGAUUGAUGGCUCUUCUUUUCCUAUGGCACGUUGUUCGCUUAAUCCGGAAAUUAGUACGCAAAGUCCUAAAAUUUGUACGCAAAGCCUCAACAGAACACAACCAAGAGGGUCUUACGGUUUAGUGGUUGUAUAUCGCUGCAAAUUUGUUUGUUCUAGAAGAUGCACCCUGAGCCCCAACGCUAUGCAAGAAGAGAUGUUAUACGGUGCAUGUGUUGUUCGGUGCACUGAUUGGACAACUUAGCUAUGAUGCAUUCUAGUAUGGUAUGUGCUUGUGAAAACAUUAAGCGUGUUGAAUCUAUUUAAAAUAUGGUGUUUAGAUGUAUAAUGGAUUGUUGUUUUACUUGAAUUGAUUUGGGGCAGUUACAAUAUGACUUGUUGGAUUCAAAGUCCAAAAAUCUUAGCUGUUGGAUCAAUUUUAAUAAUUGUAACCUGAAAUUGACAAUUAAGGGAAUUUGUUCCAGUGGAACUGUAAAUUUUACACUUAAGGAAAAUCAUCAUAAGGAUUAUGGGUGCGUUUGAUUUAGUAUUUUGAAAGUCCAUCAUGAAAAUGCAAAGUAGUUUAGCAUAAAGGACUUUGGGUAAAUGCAAAGGUCGUUUGGUAAAAUAUACUUUGAAAAACAACUUUGAGAGAAAUGUCGUUUAGUAAAAAAUAUAUUUGAAAAGCCUUUUGAGUGAGUAAUAUCCACAACUUCAUAUUAUGAUGAAAUAGUGGAGGUUGGUCAUAGAGAUUUAAUUUGGAGAUCUUUUUGACUUGCUGGUGAAGUGAAGAAGACUAUAAAUAGCUUCAUCAUUAUUUUUUAAGCUGUAGCUCAGAAAAGAAGAUGAUGGAUAGUGAUUUAAAUUCAACUAGCAAGCGAUGUGAAUUUAUUGUUGAUGUGGAAUAGUCAUGUUGGACAAUUAAGAUUUCAAGUCUACAAAACUAGAUUUAAGAUUUAAGUGAAAGUUGAUUUUUUUAUAAAACGAAGAAAAAAAUUUUAGAGCAGACUUUUUUUUUUUUUUGGUUAGUCCUACUCUAUUCCUACUCUACACUCACUCGCAGACUUGUGCCCUGCCUCUUGCAGGGUGUGGGAGUCGCAACCCACUCUCGAAACUUACGAGUCGCUACCCCCCAUCCCUCCCUGAGAAGGUGGGGAUUUGAAUCCCUCACCUCCCCCUUCCAUGUUGGAAGGGUGGCCACUGGGGCGAACCCCCAGUGGUUUUUAGAGCAGACUUGACUUUAUUUUUUUUUAGCAGAGUUGUCAAUUAAGGUAAAAAGUUUAUUUCGAUUGCAAAAAGAAGAUUCCACCAGGAAUUACGCCUCUCUCUCUCUCUCUCUCUCUCUCUCUCUCUCUCUCUCUCUCUCUCUGUGCGCGGCUAGAAUGUCGGAUUAACAAGUUUUCCUUUUUCUUGUUGUUGCUUUUGUAUUAGCAUUAGCAUUAAAAGUUUAAAUUUCUAGAUUUCUCAACAAUUAAAUUAAUGGAUACUUUUGUUGUUUAAAUAAUCACAAUAUUCUCCAUUUAGGAAAACUUAAAGUAAGCUCUUGUAGAAUAACUUAAUGUCAAAUCUAAGAAGCCGCGUUGAUAUCUCUUUUAUUAGCAAAAACAAAAUUUUAAAGUCAGCUUAAUUAAUCUAUAUAAAUGAAACCAAACUAUGUAUCUCAGUGGUAAGUUAAUUUGGUUUAUUGCACAUUGUUUUGUAAUAAAUUGUUAUUGACUGGAUAAAAUAUUUAAACAAAUUUUAAUAUUCAUUUUUAUAUUGAUUUUGGAAUUUUUACUAUCACAAUACAUUUCUUAAGAUCCAUUUAUUUUGCAAAAAUAUUUCUAUUGAAAAACAUUCUCCAAAAAUUUUCAGGGGAUAAGUACACUAAUGGUGCCAUAAGUUGUGUACGGCGCUCAUUUUGGUGCCAAAAGUUUCCGUCGGAUCACUUAAGUGCCAAAUCGGAGGAAAAACGCUCACUUUGGUGCCACCGGCGAAAGAUUCCGGCCUCCGGCGAAAGAUUCCGGCCAAAAUGAUUUUAAAAAAAAAAAAUCGAUAAGCCUUUAAAUUACGUGGAUGGCUUCAUGGAAACGACGCCGUUUAGGGGGGAAAAUUAGGGUUUCCGCCGCUCGGCCACCGUCGUUUGCCCGCCGUCGCUCAGCCACUGUCGCUGCUCGGCCACCGUCGCUGCUCAGCCACCGUCGCUCAGCCACCAUUGUAGUUGCUUGACCAGGUGAGCGAGGAGAGACUAAGAUUGUUGCAGGAAAAAUCAAAGGCGAGGGCGGAGGAGGAGGAGGAGGAAGAAGAUGGCUCGAAGGGGCUGCUGGUGCGCUGCUGCUGCUGCUGCAUUGCUGGUGUCGUUGCUGGUGUGCUGCCGCUGCUGUUGUUGGUGCCAUGCCGGUGCUGUUGCUGGUGUGGGUCUUCGAGGAAGAAGAAGACACGAAGACGAGCUUCCCUCUCUCUCAAUUUGGGGAUUAGGGUUUCAAAGUUGGGGGAAAGAUGCCAAACGACGUCGUUUUGGUGUUUGGAUGCUGACUCAGCUCUCCGACGAGCCACGUCGGCGUCAAAAAUUAAUAAAAAAAGGCCACGUCGGAUUUCCGGCCAAUUUCGUCAGAGUUGGCACCAAAGUGAGCGUUUUUCAAAUUUUUUAGCACUUAAGUGAUCCGACAGAAACUUUUGGUACCAAAGUGAGCGCCGUACACAACUUAUGGCACCAUUAGUGUACUUAUCCCAAUUUUCAGUGUUUAGAUUGCCUAAGAAAAUGAAUUUAAUAUAAAGUAUUCUCAUAGUUAGCAGAAAAUUUAUACUUAAAAUCAAUAUAAUGAAUUCUUUAAAAAAUUAGAAAAUAUUUGUAGAAAUAUAGCAAGACUGGGGCACUUGGAGUUUUAUGAUUAUUCUUUUGAGAUAUUUUCAAUUGUACUGUAAAAAAUGAAUUGCAAUUUUCUUUGAGACAAGGGAUCUCUACAUAGCAUUUCUUAUUCCUUGGGCACCUAGAUAUUUCCAAAGUGUCACUUGCAUUGAAAAUAAGAAAAAUUCCAAAUAAGAACUUGAAAUGCUCUCAUUUUCUUAAAUAAAGACUUGAAGUGGACAUUAUUUCAAAUAAGGGCCCGAAGUACUUUUAUUUUCUUAAAUAAGGGCCUAAAGUGCCCAUAUAAGUUUUAAAAAGGGCUUAAAGAGAAAUUUUGCCUAAAUUUUUAAAUUUUUUUUCCUUUUAUUCUUUCUUCAAUCUUUUUUUUUUAUUUUCAUUAAAAAAAAAAAAGGAAAACAAAGGUGGGAGGGAGCCCCUCUCGCCUGUGGCCAUUGUGCCAUCACCAGUGGGGCAACGAUGGCAAUGGGGGAGUGGCCAUAUCAGUUUUAAAAAGGGCUUGUAGGGAAAUUUUGCCUUUUAAAUUUUUUCCUUUUAUUCUUUCUUUAAUCUUUAGAAAACGAAAAAAAAAAUGAUAUUUGUGCCACAGUUGUAUAAUUUAGGAUUUUUGAUGGUAUCUUUCCAUAAAUAUAUAUAUAUAUAGUAUCUUUCCAUAAAUAUAUAUAUAUAUAUACUUUUUACAUAUAAAAUGGACUAGGCCUAGACAGAUUAAGGUCAAGAAAACAACCACAUGCGCAGCCUCCCCUACUUGCACUUCAAGCUUGGGAGGGUCUAGCGGGCUGUUAGGCGUAUAAUUACCUCUCUUGUCAAAAUUUCACGUCUUAAUUACGAUUUCAAUUUAAAAGUAUAGUCUUGACACCUUUGAGUCUAAUUUCGUUCUCAUAAAGCUUGGGACGAUUAUAGAAAGUAAAUGGUAUCAAGGGUCGAUUACAGAGAAAAAAUGGAUAAUGAAAUAGUGUCUCCCCAAUACUGUUUUCGUCAAAUAAGGAGGAAGAGUAGGGAAAAAAAAAGAAAAAAAUUAAUGAAAAAUUCGAAAAAAUAAUGAUGUAUUAAGCAAGAAUGUCCGCGUGAGUAAUUUCAGGGCUAAUUUGGCUGGAUUAGUUCAAUUGGUAUUAAUAUGAAAAGAUUUAGAAUUAAAUUGGUCCAAUUAAAAGAUUUAUGACUGAAUUGGUACGAAUGCAAUACAUUUAUAACUUUUUUGGUAUAUUUUCCCUAUAAUGACAUAGUUGGUCCCUAUAGUGUUUUUCCGAGAUGUGCCCCGCUCCUUGUAGACUCGACUUUUGACAAGCCAACGAUAUGCUAGUUUUCUUGUUACAAUUUUAGUCAUUGGUUUUUCCAGGAUUUCGCUUUUGGUCCCCGACUAUGCUUUGUUUGUUUUUAACGAGGCUCUGACAAAUCGAGAUUGCAAUUUUGUUUUAUUUCCUUAAUCAAUAACUUUUACAGAUAGUAUUUUCAGAAUAAGGUUAUUCUAUUUCUUUUAGUUGAUGAGUAGAUUUUCUUAUUUAUUAGCUAAUUUGUUUCCUACGUCUGUUCGGAGUGACUUUUAUCUUCUUUUUUCUUUGCUUGUUAUUUUUCUUAUUUUUUCGGCGCUCGCACUCUGCCUUUCCUUAAUCUUUUGCGAUUAAAACUUUUGAUAAUAUAAAUGUUGACAUGUACAUGCACCUAUAAUUAUUUUCACAAUUUUCUAACGUUUGAAUAAUAUUUCAAAAUUUGGUGGAAAAGCAAAAAUGUUGUUCUUGUUUUCUACAAAGGCCAAACAAAAGCCCUGGUCGCUAGAAGCAUGGUGGGUUCUAAUAAAAGUUCCCUAAACAACGUAAAACGAGUUUAUUUAUUAAUUUAUUAAUUGUGAAUUCGAUGACGAGCUGAACCCUAGAUCCAUAAAGCUGAUCCAGAAUUCCUCUUCUUAUAAGAUCGUCAUCGUUAGACGGUUGCAUAGAUACAUUUGAGAAAAAUGAAUUAAUUCUGCAGUAGAACAAUGGAAGAUUGCACCAUUCCGGUGAAGCUAGACGAGAGAACAGUUCAAUCAUGUCAGCUUCUAAUGAAAACACCAUUAUAGUCUCCCCAAUAGCACCUAGUUUUUAUUUUAUUAUCUUCUCAUUAAAAUUUCAGAUAGUUUCUCGUGUUGUUUUUAGCAAUUGUGUGCCAUGAACAAAUUGAUAUCGUCCUAAAGGCAUUAUACACACACCGCAGGUGGUGAAAUUGGAAACUUGCUACGACCAUGAACUCCUACUAGCAUGAAGAACAUGUCAAACAAUCACAAUUCUGUAUGUCGGUCGCAUCAAUCACGUUGUCUGCAUGACUACGUCUCAUCCUAUUUAGCACUUAAAUAUUAGAUAUACUCAUGUUUAAGUGGCUUGUUGCAUCAUAGGUUGUUAUCACGAACUUUAACUGUUACACGAAAUAUCUUGCCCAUUCCUCAACAUGAAAUGAUAUGCUUUCUUGUAUGUAUUAAUAAGUGAUGCUUGAGCAUUAUCAAAUACAUUUGUGCAUGAACGACUUUCUUUACUACAUCCUUUGCUCAAUCAAUGAGCCGAGGUAGCUUUCCAUCAUGGUGGGUUAAUACCAUUUUGCUAAUGUCCACAUUAUCAACAUAAGUCAAAUGCACAAGUAAAAUGCAUUUUUUUUUUUUGUCGGAAUAUGCUGAAUUUCAUUACUAGCCCGUAAAAUGGGCAACGUUAGUUGGUAAGUCUAAACAUAAUAUUGAACAUAAAGGUUGAGGAGGGAAAAAAACACAAUUUCUAGGAAGAGAGUUGGUGCGGCAGGCUUUGGCAACCCAAUCAGUAGCCUUGUUGAAUUCCCUCCACUCAUAGAGGACAGAGACGACACCGAUCUGGGCUAUAAGUUGCGUGCAGUCAGCAAUAAUGGAUUGGGCCUGCCAAGGGAGCUCUUCCCGGCCCGAUAAGCAUUCAACAAGGGAUAAGCUAUCCGAAAAUAAGUGCACCUUCAGAUCAGUUGCAGCAAAGACUUCGUGUGGGGUUUCAGUUCAUGCGGAGCUUGCUGUUCGACUUUCCCUUACCCACAGCAAAGCUUCUCUCACGGCUAGGGUUUCAGCAAUCCAUGCGGACGGGGCCGAGAUUUGCUUCGUAAGUUCGGUGACGAGGAGGCCAGCUGCAUUUCAGCAGACACUCGCGACCGAUCCCUCCAGUUUCGAGCUGCACCAUGAGGCGCCGACAUUCACCUUCAACGUGUGUGGUUCAGGUGGUUUCCAUUUUUCCUAGCUAUUCUAAUUUGCUUGCUUUCAGUUUUCUCCAUUUUUCCCCUUAGCUGUCCAUUUCAUGCACAGAUCUGCUACUGUACGAGCUUCUUCUUGGGUGCUGAUCGGGUUGGGCUCUUUUCCUUAGAAAACUGCAUAGUUGCGGGUCUUCCAAAUCUACCAUAGGAGAGCAGCAAAGAGGGAUUUCAAAUUUGUUCCGACUCUUGAGGUGAGGUUUUCUAAAAUCCAUCUAUCAAUUCGAGUUAUACUUGCUGGGUCUGUGUCGGCUUGAAAAUCAGGGGCUAACCAUACACUUUUUGUCCAGUCAUAGAGGAUGAAUAUGUGCUCCAUUGUCUCUGGUGCUUGGCCGCAUAUCUAGCAAGUUGGGUCAGGUAACAUUUGUCUUCUAUGCAUAUUUUCUUUUGUUGGGAGAGAGUUGCUGCAUAUAUUCUAGAUUAAGAAUCUAAUUUCAGGGGAUGUUGGUAGCUUCCAUAUUUUGUGCCAAAGUGAUUUUGGUAUUUGGUAGGAUGGAGAGGAAUUUUGUCUGGUGGAGGGGACGGCUAAGUUUUGUAUUUGGUUAUAGCCGCUCUUGACAAUGUAUGAACUAGAUCUGUUUGCUGUCUACACAAGCUUUUCUAGGUUAGGAUGUAGGCUUAGAGGAUGAGCUAGAAUCUCUUUCGCUACAAUUUCCUGAAAAAGUGCAUUUACUUUGUUCAUAUCACAUUCCUUCGUGUCGCGAUCUAUUAGUUCAGCCACAACUCUUGGAUCAUCCUUAUUUGUUGGGCCAAUGAUUCUUCCAGAAGGCAGCCAUGCAUCAUCUCGAAUUCUUAUUGUUUGUCCAUCCCCAACCUCCCAUCUUGUGGCUGGUUCAAUUGCAUCUCUCCUCACCUCCGUUUGCAACCUAGAAAUCACCUCAAGGAUAAUAGAUACUCUUCAUCACUUGGCACCAUAGAGCAUUUGGUUGUUUGACAAUUCUCCAAGCCUGUUUUCCCAGUAUAGCUUUAUUAAAAUCCACCAAAUCUUUAAACCCUAAACCACCAUAAUCUUUCCCGAUUUCCAAAUCUUCCCAUUUCUUCCAAUAAACUCCUCUUCUAUAUGCAUUCUAUUUCCACCAAAAUGAAGCUACUCUCUUCUCAAUAGUUUGGCAUAUAGAAGUUGGAAUUUUAAAAAUGGACAUCGCAUAUUGGGGAAUGGCUUGAAUGACUGUCUUGAUAAGAAUUUCUUUACCCGCCUUCGAGAUCAACCUCUCCUUCCACCCUUCCAAUUUCCUUUCGACUUUUGCAAGGAUCCAAGCAAAUAUUUACUUCUUUGUUUUCCCCCAGUCUGUUGGAAUUCCAAAAUACUUUCUUAAAUUUUCUAAGAUAGAAACUCUCAAUUCUGCUACUAGAUUAUGUUUAAGGUUGUGAGGACAACCUCUCCCUAUGAAAAGGCCUAAUUUAUUGAGGUUUAUAGCUUGACCUGACACAUAGCAGUAUUGAUUCAGCACAUUUGAGACAUUUUGAGCUUCUCGGAUUGUGCCAUCUAAGAAGAAAAUGACAUCAUCUGCAAAGAGGAAAUGUGAAAGGGUUGGGUAAGUAGAAUUAAGGUGAAUACCCUUUAUACUUCCAUCUUGAAUAGCUUUGCUCAUGAGGGUUGAGAGAAUGUUGGCCAUGAUGAUGAACAGGAAGGGGGAAAGGGGGUCCCCUUGCCUAAAUCCUCUAGUAAGUUUAAAGCAACUGAAGGCUCACCAUUAAUUAAUAUAUUGAAAGAUACCGAUAAGAUACAUUGCUUUAUCCACUUGAACCAUUUCUCAUGAAAACCCAGCUUCAGCAUAUAAUCACAAAGAAAAUCUCAUUCAACUCUAUCAUAUGCUUUUUGCAUGUCUAGUCUUAGAAUGGCUUGAAAUUUACGUUUCAUCAUUUUCACCCUUAGUUGAUGGAUCACCCCUUGGACAAUAAAUAUGUUGUCUUGAAUUUGCCUGCCACCUAUAAAGGUUGUUUGCUCUUUAGAAACUGUCAUUGACAGUCAUGGUUUCAACCUAUUAGCCAGCACUUUUGCUAUAAUUUUAUAAUUGAAAUUGCAAAGACUUAUAGGUCUGAAUUGGGUGAUGUUCUCUGGGUUAGUUACUUUAGGGAUAAGAGUAAUGUGUGUUCUGUUUAACUCUGGUUCAAACGUACCUUGACUGAAAAAUGAUUGCACUAUGCUGAAAAUAACGCCGUUGAUGAUUGGCCAAUGAUUUUGAUAGAAUAAACCGUUUAGCCCAUCCGGUCCCGGUGCCUUAGUGGCCCCUAGCUGAAAAACUGUAUCUUUAACUUCUUCUUUUGUUACUGGUUUGAUCAGAUCAGCAGUCAUCUCCUCAUUAACCACCACUUGGCAUUGCUCUAACACGGUUGAUAGUUCCGGUCACCAACUGAAGUGAAUAAAGAUUGAUAAAAGCUGUAGAUAUGAUGAGUAAGAGUCUCAGGGCCCCUACACCAGGUUUCAUCAUCUAGCCGAAGCAUAGAUAUUUUAUUUCACUGUCUUUUUUGAACUGUUGUUGCAUGAAAAUAUUGGUAUUUUGAUCUCUCCAUUUUAACCAUUCUAUUAUGGACUUCAUGCACCAGUACAUCUCUUCUUGCCUCCAUAACUCUUCAAUUUCCCAAACAAUGUUGCUGGUUUCCUCUCCGUUUUGCUCCCUAUCUGUUUUAUUUGUUAACUCCAUAAGCCAAAACUUGAGGGGGGUUGAUCUGUUUUUGGGCAUUUUGGAACUUUCUACUGCUCAAUUUGUAUAAUUUUGAUGCAACCAGCUUUAUUUUGUGAGUAAAACUGAUUGCAUUAGAGCCAUUUGCAUGCCAAACCCUCUUAAUCACCUCCUCGCACUCAGGGUCUUCUAGCCAAAAGGGUGGAAACCUGAACAUUUUUUGACUUUUCCUUUCUUUUUUUUUCUUUUUUGUAAGGAUAGAAUAAUUGGGCUGUGAUCCGAGCCCAUUGUUGGUAGAGCAAAAGCCUGUGUUUUUGGGUAUAGCAGUCUCCACUCCAAAUUGCAAAGUGCCCUAUCUAAUCUCUUUUUAAAUAAUGCACUUCCUUCUCUAUUGUUGGAUCAGGUGAAAGCACAGCCCUUGCUUUCAAUAUCCAUCAAAGAACAAUCAUCCAAGAAAGCUAUAAUUCUGUAUCGGUCCAUCUCCCUACAUCCAACUUUUUCCCAAUGGUAAAGUAUUUCAUUGAAAUCCCCAACACAUAACCAUAGGAGAGAAUUGGAGUAGUUUUUGUCUUUUACUAAACGACAUAGUCUCAGUCUCUCUUAAAAGUUUGUUGGUGCACGUAAAAAGUAAAUGCGCAUAAGGCCGCCGCUAUUAAUAUCCUUACAUUUUAUAUUUAUGAGCUCCCUAGAACUUCCCUCCACUUCCACUUGAACCUCCUCAUCCCACAUUAAUGAUAAACCUCUAGCCAUGCCAACUAGUUCCAUAAUGAAAGAUUCUUUGAAAUGAGUCAUUUUCCUUACUCUCUCAACAACAUUAUUCUGAUUUUUUGUUUCUAUGAGGAACACCAAGUUGGGCCUUUCUUGAGCCACUAAGGCUUUAAAAUGCUGAACUGUCAAGGGGUUACCCAGCCCUUGACAGUUCCAGCUAAGUAGCUUCAUCUUUGCUCUGGUGGCUUAUUAGGGCCAGUCACCAUGGCCCAUGUGUUCGCCCCUUCCCAGGACUGAAUAGGGGCAUCCAAAAGUUGGUUUUCAUCCACCACAAGCUCCUGUGAGAGUUUCUUCUCAUAGGGACUGACUCGCUUUUAUUUUUUUGGCUGCAGGAGCUUUGUAUAUCGCAUUUCCUUUCUUAGAAUUCUAUGAGGACAUCUCAAUCCCAGCUUGAGAGAGAAGUAGUGUUUGUUGUUUUUCUGAGUUGUGCCUUCUAAUUAUACUCAUUUAUUCUGUUUUUUCAGGUUGGACAGGGACAAGGGCCAGAGCAAGUUGUUCUUCCAUCGUUGUUUCCAUUGUUGUUUCUAUCACCUCUGUUUGAGUCUCCAUGACAACUUCUUCUUCUGGAGCCGAAGGAUCUGGUUUACCAUAAAAGGUCUUCCAGUAAGGACUGAUUUCUGUAACUUCCGCCUUUAGCCACGAACCAUAACGGCCUAGUUGAUCCUGAGCUAGUCCAAUUUCUUCAUUAGGUAUUUCAGUGCAAUAAUUAGCAUAGUGCCCAAUUCGACCGCAAGAGUAACAAAAAUGUGGAAGCCUUUCAUACUUAUAAUCGAUCCAUCAUUUCUUGUCCCCACAGGUUAUCACAGUACCUGUUUUGAGCGGGCUAGAUAGGUUUAGCAGCACUUUGGCCUUUCCACUUUUCCUGAAGUUUGUGCCUCUCGCCUUGAUCUUUAUCUCCUCUACUUUCCCCAAUUUAGAAGCUAAAAGGUGUAUGGCACCUUCAUUAACUCUGGCGCGAGGAAGACCUAUAAAGUGAACCUAGAACGCAUUAUGCGUGAAUUCAUAACAAUGCUUAGGUAUGUUUGGGUCACCUUCUUUAAGAACUAAUAGAUUACUCGCAAAAGACCAAGGUUCCGAUUCUAACACCCUUCUUUUUUCUUCACUUGAUUGGAAAAUAAAUGAGAAAAAACCCGGUUCAAUCUGUUCACAUUUUACUGAAUUAGCUUUCCAUGCUCUCUUCAUAGUAUUACUGAAGGCCUGAAAAUUUACAUUUGGUUUCGAAUAUAGCUUGCCAUACAUGGUUAAUUCACUUUGUUGUUUUUCUUCGUCUGGGAUGUCAUCCCCUAGGUCCGUGAUGUCUUCUGCGGACCACAGAUCUCCUAUUCUCCUACACAGCGUUGCUAAAUGAAGAUGGUUGUCCUCUCUAUUUGCCAUUUCCUAUCACCUGUUCUGGGCUUGCAGCAGAUCACUUUGGUAAUUUGGCUAUGGAGUGAAGGGAGCUCUAGAGGCAAUUUUGAAACAGGUGUAUUGCGACUAAACAAGAGGAUUCACUUAGGGGAACUAGUACGCCUACCGGAAGAAGCACAUAGUUGCCAAGAGAACCGCAAGACCGAGGGCCUCAAAGAUCCAGUCAUAGGUGACUAUUUCAGCUAUACAAUCACUGAUGCAGCACUGAUCGUACCUUAAGAUGAUAGACAGGAGUCUGGAUGUUUCAAAAGACCUUCGCAAGCUUCAAGCAUUCAUGGGUUGCCCUUCAAGAGGAGGUUUGGAGGAUGCACAACAAGAUCUAGCGACGCUUCUCUCCAUGGGUGCCCUUCGGAUGGAAUAGAUUAGUACAAGAGCCUUUAAUCUGGUGGUGUAUGCCCGAAUACUGCCAUGAUUGGCAGAUCUAGGGUUUUUUAUUUGGGUUUUUAGGGAUUGAGAAACAGCUAUCACUUAGGGAUAGGGAGGAAACUCAACCAUUGUUGAGAGAGUCUGUAAUUUUCCGUAACGGCUCUUGUUGGGCAAAAUGCAUUGAAUUGUGCACAAUGCAUGAUCAAAAAACUAAUUUUUGUAUUGUCCACAUCUGAAUUUUUGCAGGUAAAAACGACGUGAAUUUUUUGUUAAAAAAAUAAUAAAGUUAAAUAAUAAAAAAGGAAGAGAACCCCAGUCCAAUACGGUCAUUUUUCUAAAGGACCUAGUCCGGCCCACAUAGCUUAACCAAGCCCAAUUCACUACAGCCCAUUACUUCGACCCAGUUCAUUAAGCCCACGAAUCGAUCAGGUCCAAGUGGAUUUCUUCAUCUUCGUUCCCUUCAGUGAUCCUGUAUCCGCCAGCAACCGCCGCCGUAGCCGUUCCGCCAUCGGCGGUUCGGCCACGGUGGUAAUUCCUCUAUUCGCCCGUUUCUCGGCCAGGGAGUUUGAAGUGCUUGAAGAUUAUUCGUUCAUUGGUCGUCUUCUCUGAUCCUCAGCCUCGUCGUCAUGGCGCCCCCCGAUCGCUCUCCGCGGCUCUGGACUUUCCGUGUCGCCGUUCCUGUGGGGUUCCAUCGAUCUUUUUGUUCUUCGAGUGCUGGCGUCUUUGAAUUCGGUCUGCUGCUGGAGCGUUCGCUGUGUGACCUAGAACGCCUAUAUCGGCAACGAUCGAGUUUCUUUUCUUGUGCCUUAGCGAGCUAAGAUGGUGUUAACGUAAUGCAUGGUCACCACCCUUUAUCUUCACCCAGCCCCCAGUGCUGUGGGGGAGAGGGGAAAACUACGCCUUGCACAAUGGGUAGAUCAUAACUAUGUGAGUCGUAAGUGCUAUUUUUGUUGGAACACGUUUGAGCAAUUUCCUUUUGAAUUAUUAAGUUUCUUGUGUAAACGUGCUGUGUAGCAUAUUUAUCAUGCUGCUGUUAAGUACAAAACUGUAGAUAAUGCACAUUGCAUGAGAAACAUGUUUUCCAUAAGAAAGCCGGACAUGGCUUACCUUCUUAUUUUGGGGGAACUCAUCGGAUAUUUGUGGUCUUCCUGUGACUAGAUCUAUUUUCAAAUGUUAAAAACAUGGGAACUGGUUUUCUCUUGAUUAAGUACUGCCUAAAUGUCCCUUUAGUUUUGAUCUGUAUAUAUCAAUAAAUUAUCUCUUCUGGACUUUUUUAGUUAAGAGUUGGUAUUUGCCUAAGAUUGCAGUUGUAUUUAUAGCUAUAGAGGGAGGGAUGAGAUUUGAGUAACCAUGGCCUAUAUACACGCAUCUAUUCCUUAGAAAGUGGUUACUAUACUUUAACCCUAGAUGUUGGUAUUGGUGAUGUUGUUUUCUUUAACUCAGCAAUGCAAUAAGUUACCUUAGUGACAUUGUUGCUGUAUGGGAAACUUGCUAGCUGCAAAUUCUCUUCUAUUUAUAUAUAUUGAAAGAUAGUUCUGGAAUGUAAAGUUUCCCACAUUUUACUGCUCGUUCAUCAAGUAUUAAAAUGACUUGAAAGAAGAACAGCAAUUGGAUGAAGCACAUCCAUUUAAAUGUCGCAGUUGCCUUUUUGUACCUUAUGAGUGGUACAAUACUUAUCACUAAAAAGUGGAUUGCAUGAAUUAUUUAGAAUUAGGGAUCCCUUUACGAAGAAUGUGCUUACCUGUUCAGUUUUCAUAUUGAAACUUGUAACGGCUAGAACUAUGAUGAAUUAUAAUGUUUAUCCGCCUACUUAUUCAGUCAUUUUUAAACUUACAGUGGGAUUAUACUUUUACACUUCCGGCNNNNNNNNNNNNNNNNNNNNNNNNNNNNNNNNNNNNNNNNNNNNNNNNNNNNNNNNNNNNNNNNNNNNNNNNNNNNNNNNNNNNNNNNNNNNNNNNNNNNNNNNNNNNNNNNNNNNNNNNNNNNNNNNNNNNNNNNAUGCAAACGGGAUUCUAGGGAAUAAUAGCUCAGCCAAUUGGUAGAUACUUCAGCAAUAAAAGGAUGCCCAUGCCAUAAUUUACGGCACGUUGAACAGGGGCAUCACAUGCAGAUGUACAAUCUUAAGCUCAUUGGAGAAACUGUAGGGCUGGGCAGCCUCUUAUGCAUUCCCCCAAUGAGUGAAAGCUUGGGACCGAAGGAAGAAAAGAAUGAGACUAGAUGAGCCAGGACGGCAAUAGUUCUCGCUCUAUACAACUCUCAGUGCCAAAGGUCGAUUUCAAUUAUGGAAUGUUUUAUUCGGGGGGGGGGGGGGGGGGUGGGGCGGCGUGGUUUGGUUUGUAGGUGCAGAUGGUAUCAACUAGUCUUAAGCACAUAAUUUGGAGCACAAGUUCAGGCCUCAUCUUCUGUGCAUUUUCAGUGGUGAAACUUUUAGAGAGACUGAGGAUGGUGAAGGAGCUAACGUGAAUUGGCACGUCAAUAUCUUGAUGACGUAGUUAUGUUUUCUGUUGUGUAUUGCCUGACUUCCCCUCAAUCUCUAUAGUAAUUAAAUCUCUCUCUGUCUCACUACCUCUCAUUUCAUAUCACUGUUGUAGACUGGUUAAGCAAUUUUAUUUCUGCUUUCAGAGAUAUGGGAUGCUUUGCAUGCAGCAGCAGACUAUUGUCCGUGAUUCCGUGUCGUGUCGGACACGCGGUUAACUUUUAUCGACACGCGUGUGUCCGGAAGAUUGAUGGAGGGUGGAGGUGAGGAAGGGCAAGGGAGCAAAGGCUGCGAGUGCCGGCGAGACGAAGCCACGAACGGACCACCGCGACGGCGAGAGACAGCUAGAGAAAGAGCCGAACAGAGAGAAAGAAGAGAGAAGGCAAACUCCCGCCGGUGAGGCGAAGCCACGAACGGACCACUGCGAUGGCGAGAGACGGCCAGAGAGAGGUGAGGGCCACCAUUGUUGCGAUGAAUUGGCAACGAGAGGAAGAGGAGAGGAGGGAAGGGGGUCGUGCGGCGCGGCAAGGAGGAUAGGAAAAGGAGGGCUCGGCAGCUCGAAAGGAGGUCUGAUGGCGUGAGAGAGUGGGGGUUGGGGGGGGGGGGGGAAGUGACGGCUCACUUGUCACUGUCAAGUGGGGGAGGGAAAAAAGUAAAAUAAACGCGGGGGUGGAGGGAAAAGGACGAACGAAAGAAUGGGUGGAUUUUGAGGAUUGUUUUUUUAACCGGAAAAUUAAAUAAAUGAAAUUAAAAAAUAAUUUCGAAAUAUAAAAAUAUUAAAUUUUAAAUAAUGAUAAAUUUUGGUUAUUAUAGAAAAUCAUGGAUUUAUUUAAAUAAAUUAAUUCUAAUUUCUUAUUAAUUUUUAGUUUCAUCAAUAACUUUUGUUAAAAUUAAAAAAUGUCGCAUUAAUUAUGAAUAUAUCUUUCGAAUUUCAAAUGAAUUGAUUUGUUAAUAUUAUUAAUAUAAAUUUAUUAUAGGCUUUUUUAAGUAAUGAAUUAUUUAUGAAUUUGAAUCAAAUUAAUUAAAAAUAAAAAUAUUCAUUUAAUAUACAACGUAUCGCAACGUAUCUGAAUUCUCCAUUUUUUAGAAAUGACGUAUCGAUGUGUCGUGUCGUGUCGGACACUCAUAUCGUGUCAUGUGUCAGUGCUACAUAAGCAGCAGAAGAAGCACAUCUAACGCUUGCCCAAGCAAUUGUGGAUUGGCGUGAUUGUUCAGAGAGCUGACUUGACAAUAUGCUAUGAUGAAAGAGGUGCUAUAUUCAUCUAUUCUCCCAGUCCCCCGCCAGCUUCUCCCCCACCACCACCUAGAAAUAUUUUCCAUCUAUAUUGUCUUGUCCAGCAUCUAAUCCAUGCGAUGUUGAUUGUUGCAGCUGUGAAGUACGUUUUGAGUGAGCCGACCAAUUUGAUUGAUGAUAAUUGACAAUGGAGGUGGGGCAGAUUUUGCUCAGCUUCGUGUGUAAAUCCUGUGAAUUGAUGUUGAUAAUUUGGUAAAAAAAAUUGCAUCAAAGUGGAGGUCAUUCAAGCAUUUUAAUGAUGCACAAUCCGCCUCACGAGAUGUAUAACUUCCGCAAUUCCACUUGGUUUGUUUCAUUAGUACACUGAACCUUCUAAAGAAACACGAAAAGUAAUCAAUUCAGUUAAUUGUUACAGUGGAAAAUCAUGACAUCCUCGAGUGCUCAUUGUUUUCUCCAACUUUUUACUGUUUCUCCGGCACAUUGACCUUGUGAUGUUAUCUUUCUGUUACGUGGAGUUGUUGAUGGCCCCUACAUUUUCAAUGCUCCGGAGUCAUCUUGUAACUGAUUAUAGUUUCAGAUGUGCUUCGAAAUUUGAAAACCGAUCCCUGAAUAGACUAGGGACGGUAUAGAUUGUCCAAUGUACAAUGGGGAAAAUGUGUUGAAUUGUGCAUAAUGCUGUGUGAAGUUUGAAUUUAGCAUUACUUAUGGAUUCAUUCAGAGCCUUUAAACCAGAUCUGCCCAAUUUGUUUCUCUUGAUUUAAUCAACAAGUAGAGUGGAGAUAUCAAUUGGGCAAAACAAACUGGUUAAGGAAUAUAAACAGAUUGCGGAUGGCUAACAGCAUAGAAGCUCUCUUAAAAUUAUCUAUAGCAAGAGCUCGCAGUCGUAGGAUUGUAGUACAGGUUCUUCUAUAACAAGAGCUCGUAAUUGUAGGACUGUAGUACAAGUUCUUCUAAACGAUUAUUUAUGAUGUUGUGAUUAUGGUCACAGAAUACGAUUCUAUGACAUUCUUCGCUCGUUUUUAUGUCGCACUAGUUUGGGUCGAAGUUGUUCACCAACCAACGACAAAAUUCCCCUUCAACUGGUAAGAAAAAAUUUCUUGUAUUGCUUGUUUUUGGUAAUAAUCUAACCGAGCAGUUAAUCUCAUCAACCACAUCCUGCCAUAAUGAACUUCCUACGUUUUGACAACAUUGUCGGAAACACUACAAAAAAAUUCAUAAUAACGACAAAAACGUGACGACGCAAUUACAGAAAAAGAAAAUGUCACUAAAUUCUUGAAAUCUUUGUUAUUCAAUAGUGAGAAACUAACCAAGGCACUAAAAAAUCCCAGUCUCACACUCCUCUCUUUCUUUUUCUUCUUUUGCCCCCAACUUUCCGUUCCUUGUACGUGCUGACUGUGCCAUAAACUGAUCCUGCUUCUAAAUUUGGGCAAUCGUGAAUACUUAGAAAGCAGUCGUCUGGUACUUUCGAGUUGAAUACGUUAUGGAAACUUUUCAAUGAUCUGCAAUACCAAAAAGUCAAUCUUCUGAGAGUCUCUAGUUCAUCCAGGCCCUUAACUGCUUGAAGCUCUUCACAACAGCUAAUAUUCAAGGACUUCAGCUUUUUCAAAUCCGAUAGAUCAUCCAGACUUCCAAUGUUAGGACAACCCGAUAUUUCCAAUUGCUCCAACGAGUCCAAUGAACCAAGACCUUGGAUGGCAGUAAGAUUUUGACACGUGUACAACCUCAACAGCUUCAACCUCUUCAAACUUGAAAGACUAGCAAAUCCCUCAAGGAGGUGCGAGUUACUCACGUCCAAUUCAACCAACUGUUCAACCCCAUCGAGUUGAACUUCCUUCCAACAACAUUGAAAAAUGUACAAACGUGUCAAUUUUUUGAAGUUGCAACGAAAUGACAAACUAGUUGUCAAUUUCUGAUAUUGCAAUGACAAUGUUGAGACAGAUGGUGGAAGGACCCCAAGGGACGGUUGGCAUUGACCAUCUUGGAAGAAGAAAGGACCAUAGUUCUCAUCAUAAUCAUCAAAGCUCAAAUUCUCCAAUUUAGUUAGGUUUGAGAGAUUCGGAAGCUGCCACAAUGAACGUGAUCCUAAGCUUAGUCUUAUCAAACUUGUGGGAAGCUCUGGUAAUACUUCGAGUUUGCUACAACGCCCUAAACUCAAUUUCUGUAGGUGAGGAAGUAGUUUGAUUGUCUGUGGAACAUUCUUAAUGGGGCUGAAUUGCAAGUCCAACACUCUUAAAAGCGAUAAUUGCCAAAUGUCCUCAUGAAUUUCGCACUUUAGAUUAAAGCAACCAUUGGCAUGUAGCUCUUCCAAAUCUUUUAGCAUGAAAAUGCUCCGUUGUAGCUUUUUUAUCGAAGAACCCGAAAACUUGAUGAUUUUUAAUCUACUUAGGUCUUCAAUAGAUUUGGGUAACUGCAAACAUUUUGUGUGUGAAAUAUCCAACUCAAGUAGAGAUUCCAAAUUACCAAUCGAGAACGGAAGUUCCCUUAUAUUAGUAUGCGAUAGAAAGAGAGACUUAAGUUCUCGUAAAUUCCCAAUAGAAUUGGGAAGUUCAUCGAUUUUUGUACAUUGCAAAUUAAGAACUGACAAGCCGUUUUGGUUACCAAUGGAGUCAGGUAAUCUUGUGAUGGCCGUAUACGAGAGAUCUAACUUUACAAGUGAUGUCACUCUCGCAAAUGAUUUGGGUAGCUUCCUCAACUUUUCGCAACUACCUAAAGACAAGUACUCGAGCUUUUGUAACCCUCCGAUCCCUUUGGGCAACUCCCUAAGAUUUUUGCACCGAUUCGCAUUGAAGUAAAUCAAGCACUUAAGCUUUUUGAGGGAACCAUCAACUUCAGUUAACUUUUCACAACCCCUAAGGUCCAAUCUCUCUAAACUCAAAUAAUCGGAGAAGUUUGGAGUCCUAGUCAUGUUGCUACAAUAUGAGAUAUCCAAAACUUUAAGCUUUUUAGCAACCUGUUACAAUAGCAAACUGAGAGUAAAGGGAAAAUUCCUUAUGAAUUUAGAGUUAAUAAAUGGUUGUGCUAGAACCUAGAUGUAAUUGGGUUGAUUCAUUUUCCUCAUUUAACUCACAUAGAUCCGUUUAGCACUAACACCUAGGCAACCUAAUCCACAUAUAUCCACCUAUUUAUCAAUUCAAUGCAAUUUAAUUUAAUGGCCUUGAUUACGAGAUCAGUUUAGUUUUACUUGUGGAAUGGCCUUGAUUAAAUCCAUUCAUGAGCGGUUUUAUUUACAGCAUGUUAUUGCCUAUAUAGUUAUGGGUUAGUCAAUUUUAGUUAAAAACAUAAAAAUUCCGUGAGACAAUUCAAUGGAGAUAAACAAAUAUAGUGACGAUGGUACCUUGAAUUGACUCCAUCCAGCCCAUUCCCCUGUGAUUGAACUAAAGCUUAGUUCAAGAACUACAAGAUUGCUUGGAUGGAAAUUGAUGGCCAAGAACUCUUGAGAGUCCACUUUGCAGGUCAUGUAUCUUAACUUUGAAAACUGAUUGUUAAAGUCUCCAUUGAAAUUCCCCUCCUUUAACAUGAGGAACCUUAUGUUUGGAAGCCUUGAAAACUCUUUGCUCGUAUAAACUCGUGUUGGUUCACAUAAGCAAAUUGCUUCAAUGGCCUUCUUUCUCUGCCAUUCAAUGGUAAAGUAGCAUUAGUGUAAAUGAAAAAUGUCUUCAUUCUCCAACCCCCCCCCUUCUUAAGAAAGGGUUCCUAAUUAAUAACCUAAUUAAUAAAUGAACUAUUGAGAAAAACAUAGAAUUCGAUGGUUAGACAUAUGUUUUUACCUCUUUUGUUCCUAUGAUAUUAUUGGCCGUCUCAGGAACCCAUAACCUGCUUUGCUUUCUUGGAUCAGUUAGUCUCGUAUCUCCACGAACAAUUUUCCUUCCGAGAUCUCUCAGUUGGUCGUGCAUCCAGAAUUUGUUGUGAUCAGUUAUCUUUAUUAAGGACAUACAAACAAGGACUUGAAUUGAAUAAUCUGGCCUAAACCCACAAUCCUUCCACAUGUAGAGUGCAUUCGUCUUGUUCUCAUCCACAAAGAGACAUGCGAUGUCAAGAAAAACCUGUUGUUGCUCAUGAUUCAAGGCAUUGUAGCUGAUCUUCAACUUGUCCUGGACCUUCUUGGGAGGUGUUUCUCUCAAAUUGUCUAGCACAUCGUACCAUGAGGCUUUGUUUUUAUGAUAAACCAAUGAGCCUAUGACUUCAAGAGCCAAAGGAAGUCCUCCAGUCAUAGAAAUUAUUUGUCUCGAAAGAUUGACAUAACCAUCUGGAGGAGGAUUCGUUCUAAAAGCAUGUCGACUGAAAAGCUCUAGUGAUCGAACAUCAUCCAAGGGCUUCACUUCAUACUCCAAAGUUUUGUUGGAUUUUAUGAUGCUUUUGUUCCUACUUGUCAUAAUAACUCUGCUUCCUAAGCCGAACAUAAUGUGGUUGAUGGCUAGUUUCUGGAGUUGCUCCUCAUCAUCCACAUCGUCAAGAACGAGCAAGACUUUCUUGUUAGAAAGUCGUUGCAAAAUCACUUUGAUCCCAUCGUCGACAUCGUUGAUUUGAUCUUGAAAGCCCAAACCCAAUGUGCUAGACAAUAAUUGCUUUUGCAAAUUUAUGAUGCGAAAGCUGGUCGACAAUUCCCUGACAUUUCCUAGGAAGCAGCAUUGAUUGAAAACGGAAUUUAGUUUGUUGAACACCAUCUUAGCAAGAGUUGUUUUACCGAUUCCGCCCAUUCCAUGGAUUAGCACAAAGCGCAAGCCCCCAGAGUCCAUGUCCAACAACUUCAGAACGGCUUCCAGUGGAUCGUCUAUUCCAACUAAAUGCUCGGUAAUGUAUUUAUCUUUUGUCUUCAGCUUCAUCACAAUCUCUUGUAGCACCGAUUGAAUGAAUUUCCAGUGCCUGCCACAUGAGUGAGUUAACUAAGUUGAUAUCGUAAAAGAUAACCUCAGGACACUCAACAUGUGGUUGCAACCAACAUGGCUAGUGCCACUUAUUUAAUUGGCUAGUGCAACCGACGGGAAGACAUUUUUAUGUGCGUUUAGAACAUGAUUUCCCAGUGAUUUAAACGAAUAAUCACAUACAGAAAAUUAUGACCUUUUUUUUUAUUUGCUUCUGAAAUGGUAACACUUUGACAUAGAUGGAUAGGACACUUGCUCUAGUUCCAUGUAAAAAUCUAUCGGUAAGGAGAGAGAAGGUAACUUUUAAGGAUGUGAUCCACAAUUUACAAACACAAAAAUGUAUAAAAUUAGAUCUAUCAAUGAAAGAAUGCCCUCUUGUCCAUCAUUCAAAGAAUAGACUAUUAGAUGUAGGCAUUUUCCCAUGUUAAAGGAAGCAAGGCAUUGCUAAUUGAUUCCUAAUCCCUUUUUAAGGCAGUCUUGGUAGCUAGGAUAAGAGCUAAGAAGAAGUGUAUUGAAAGUUUUCACACUUAAGAUAGUUAGAAGCAAAGUACAUGAAAAAGCUAACCCACCAAAUUGGAGAGCUAAAGUUUCGACCAAAAAUAAAAAUAAAUAUUGGAUUGGUAAAGUAAGGGAAGAAUUAAAAAAAAAACAAAAACACAAAAAUACAUCCUUGAAUUUAUUAACACAUCUCCCACCUCUAAACUUACCCCCCCCCCAAAAAAAAGAAAAAAAGAAAAAGAACUAACUGAUUGCUUACCCGGUUUUUGCUUUAUUCGGCUUCGGUGAAUGACAUAAUUGAUUCGGUCAUCGAAAAUAAAUUUGAAAACAAACAUGGUAUUCAUUCAAUUUCAAACAACUUAAACGAGAAUUCAUCCAAGUUUGGGCAUAUAAUUAAUGAAAGUCCAAAGCAAAAGUUAAUGGAGUGCUUGAUGCUUACCCUUGCUUUUUCAACUCCCAUCCUUUGAUUUGGGCUACACUUUUGAGGGCAUCCUCCCACUUUUGCCUCGUCUCGCGACCGAACUUCUCUUCAUGCUCCUCCAAAGCGCUAACGUACCGUUGAGACUUAAGCUUAACAUCGCGAGGCUUAACGUCGUAGAAAAUUGGCAUAAUCUCCUUCUCAGAUGGUUUGGAUUUCUUGCAAUUCACCAUGUGUGCAAGCUCGCGAAGGCACCACGCGCUCGAAGCAUAACCUUUAGAAAAGAUGGGUAUGUAGAUCUUCGACUUUUCAAUGGCCACCGGUAGUUCAUCAGCUAUUUCUUUACCGACGUGGAGCUCUUCCUCGUCGAGGAAAACACGGAUGUUUGCUUCUUGCAUUUGGUGAUAAAGACAAUCUGUGAAGCCUUGGCGAGUGUCCGGCCCCCUGAAACUCAAGAAGACGUCGUAGUCAAUCGCCGACGGCUCACCACCGUUCGUUCCAGCCUCCGAGCUGUUUCUCAUGUCCAUUCUCAAAAGUAUUUUCUUCCGAGGGUUUCCUCUCUCGUAGCACCUGAACAAGAAAGGCUCGUUCACUUUACCACCACUAAAGUUCGUUUAUAUUACACUUCGGACCUCGCUUCCUAGAACUUUCCCCACUGUUUUUCACAUAAGAAAAGCAAACCAAUUCGAGUCUUCGUCAACUCUAAAAUGGCGUGACCUUUACGCGUAGCUUUUUGGCCCCCGGUGGUCUCUGCCUCUUGUAGACUUGACUUUGGCGAACGCCCAACAUGUAAGGGCUGCGACCGAUGACUGCAACGCCGAGAAGGCUGCGACCACCAACUGCAACGCCGAGAAGCCUUCUCGAUCGUCUUGGUCGGCUGCGACCGCCGACUGCAACGCCGAGAUGGAGAACCGCAAUGCCGCAAUGGAGGGCUGGACGCGAGGCUACGACGGCAAAGGGGAAACGGAGGCGAGGCAGCGGCGAGAGAGGUAGAGACCGAGCAAGGGAGAGGAGAAAGCGAUUAUUAGGGUUUUUGCCCUUUGGGCUAUUACUUUCUUGAUUGCGUUUUCAAUUUUAGGAAGGACAGCAAGGUGAGAGACAACGGCUUCCGGGAAAGAAACGAAAGCCUCGUGCAGCGUGACUUCAAUACUGGGAAGUGACAGGCGUAGGCGGUGGGUGGGUGAAGAAAACGGUGGGUGAAAUGAAUGAGUGAGACCCAUUAAGCCAAAAAAAAAAAAAUUAUUGAAUGUUAAAUAACUUUAUUAAUACAUGGUAAGACUAAAAAAUAAAUAAAUUGACGGGUUAAAAAGUCAUUUCGAAAAAUAAAAGUAUUAAAUGUUAAAUAAUGAUAAUAUAUUUUUUUGUGAACUAGGGAACCCGCGCACCGUACUAACACGGACAGCCCAAAAGGCCUAGGGUAACGGGGGAUAAACUCUGGGGGCAACACAUGCUAGUCACCACACACGUGCCACCGGGUAAGUCACCCUGCGACGCCCGGGAAUCGAACUCCUCCCCUUGCGUUAGGGGGAGAAGCUCGCCGCCAGCAGCGCCACCCAGGUGGAUGGUUAAAAUAAUGAUAAAUUUUGAUCAUCGUAGAAAGAUAUAAAUUUAUCUUGACUCUAAUCUCUCGUUAGUUAUUUAUUUCAUUUAUAGCUUUUGUUAAAAUCAAAAAAUGUCAAUCCAAUUUUUUAUGAAUAAAUUUAUUAAUGUUAUUAGUAUAGAUUUAUUAUAGGCUCUUUUUUAUUAUUUAUUUAUUUAUUUAUUUAUGAAUUUGAAUAUAUUAAUUUAAUAUAGUAAUUAAUCAUGUAUAUAUAAAAAUAUUCAUUUAAUAUAUAACAUGUUCUCACGUAUUGGAAUUAUCUUUUUCUGAAUGGAAAUAAAAUAUUGAGGAAAUUACAUUAUUGGUCCUUGUUUUCUCCAUGAUUUCAUUUUUGGUCCCCAGCUAUGCUUUGUUUUUUUGACAGGCACAGCCAAAAAGAGAUUACAAUUUUAUUUUACUUCCUUAAGUCCAGUAUAUUUUUCAAACUUAAGUGAUAUUUUUGAAAUAGAUUUUUGAUUAGAUUUCUUUUACUUGAAGAGGAAAUUCUCCCCUUUUAUUAGCUAAUUUGUUUCUUAGAUUUGUUUGGAGAGACUUUCUUUUGUCUCUUUUUUUUGGUAGUGCUCGCAUCUUCAUUUUCUUUAAACUUAAGCAAUUGAAACUUACACAUAAAAACGUUGACAUGUGGAAGAUUUCUCCAUGGAAAGAACGAAGCAAUGCCCAUUAUCAACAUUGAAAUGCAUAAAAUCGACAUAGAUCUAUCAAAAGCAAGUAUGAUAGUCAAUCUAUUUUUUUUUCUGUUUUCGAGAGAAUAACUUUGGAAUAGAAAUCCGUCUGAUAAGACAAUUUCAUUUUCUACUUUUGGAACAAUUUUUUUAGUUUAUAAAUAAGUUUCUAAUAGAAAUGAAAAGUAAAUUUUUUUUAUUUUUAUAUUUUUAGAACAAAAAUUAGGAAUAAAAUCUCUUCUCAUCGCUCGUCCUCGCUACUAGCUGAUCACCCACACGUUGCUUGCCACUUCCUGCUGCCUACUGGCUGUCAUCCCUCGCUGGGCGUCUCCAAUUGCUCACUAUAGUUAGCCACCCACGAAAAAGAAAUUUUGUGUUGUUACUAAACAAAUUUUUAAUAUAAUUAAACGUGUAAAUUUUUUUAUUUCUAGGUAAAAAUUGAUUUCUAGAAUAGAAAUCGCACACAACAUGAGUCCAUAAGCAAGCAAAAAAAAAGAAAAAAAGAAGGGAUCACGACGCAAAUCAAGUACUCACAGAGGUAGAUUUUCCAAAAGAGUCACUUACCUAAAAAAAACAUUAAAAAAUUUAAUAAAAAAGUUAAAUAAAUAAAAAUUAAGAAAAAAAUAUAAGAAAAAGGGCAUUGGCUGGCAAAAGUAGCCUGGCAUGGUUAAAAGCACAACAACAGAGAGCAGAAAAAGGGUGGGCCCGCGUGAGAGAGGACAUACUGGGAAAAGCAGUGGAAAUGGUGGGGGUAUAACGGGCACGAGAUGUCUGACCGAAUGCAAGAUUGAAUUGCAAUUUUCUUUCGUCUGCCGAAUAUGGUGAGCGCUUGCUUGGCAAAUUCCGAUGGACGUGCCAGGGCCAUUCUGGUAUAUUCAUUCAGCGAUAAAGAAGACGGAUCCCCGGAAUUUAUUUAUUUUAUUAUUAUUACUUUUUUUUGGUAGGGGAGAGGGAGGAUAGGAAGGAGGGAGAGAAGAGUCCCCCACCCCGCUGCAAGUCUUGCUUUGGUCAUGGGGUUGGGUUUGGUUUGUUUCGUUUUCAUUUUCGUGCGUCGUUUUUGUUUUUGGUUUAUUUCCUUUUUUUGCCCUUUUCUGGAGGACAGACGAAUUAAUUUAUUUAUUUUCAAAUUAAUCUUCUUUUCGGACAACUUUUUUUUUUUUCCGUCAUGGGAAGACUUAUCUUUUUUUUCUCUUUUCUUCUUUGGGACGGUCUUCUCCCGCGUUGGGGGCGGGAAGGAGAGGGGUCCAGUCCGUGACUAUCGGCAGCUCCUCUAGUCUCUCGUUUCAUUAUUUUGAUUGGUGGUGGUGCGAUUUUCUCAAUCACUACAGGGGCGCGUUUGGACCAGGGGUGUGAGAGAGGGUAGCUAUCUUUGGAUAGCAUUUCUUAUUUUUACUGAUUUUCAAUCAUCAUCGACACAUGGUAAACUUAAUUAAAAAAAAUUAAAGAAAAGGAAUUGGCAGGCAAAAACAGCCUGGCAUGUACGCAUAAAAGCACAAUAACAGAGAAGAAAAAGAGGGCACGCGUCAAAAAGGACAAACCGGCGAAAGCAGCGGGGAAAAAGGGAAAAUGGAAAGAAAGAAAUAAAAAGGAAAGAUAAGAGAAAAAAGAGAAAUGUUCAAAAAAUUUAUAAAUUAUAAAAAUUAUCCACCUCAGAUAAUUGUAUUGCAUAAGAUUGCCGAGAAUGUUUAGAAGUCCUUAAAAGAUUUAAGAUUAAACUAAUAAUUCAUCACAAAUUUUAAGAUUAAAUUGACACAAUUAAAAUUGAGAAGUCGUCAAAAAAUGUAUAAUUAAAUUAAUAUAAAUAAAAUAUUUAAAAUUGAAUUUGUUGCUGAGUUAUAAAUUUAGACUUUUUUGGAUAAUUUCUUCUUAUCACUGGCCAUACUUGAUACCUAAAUUUUUCAUAACUAUCGGUCUGUCACUUACAUUAAAAAAAUCAAAAAAUAAUUAAACGAAUAAAAAUGACAAAAACAGAGAAAAGGUAAUAGUCAGCCCCAACCACCACCACGACCACGACCUCAAAAAAAUAAUCAAUAAUCAUAAUAAUAAUAAUAAUAAUAAUAAUAAUAAUAAUAAUAAUAAUAAUUAUUAUUAUUAUUAUUAUUAUUAUUAUUAUUAUUAUUAUUAUUAUUAUUAUGUUCUAUGAUUUUUUUUUUUAAAUCCAAUGACACCUUGGAUAAAUCAUGGUGCCCGCAUAUAGCACGCCAUAUUGUCAGCAUUUUGUUUGGAGGUAAAUCAAAGUCAUUCUUAAUUCUCUUGCUAUUCCAAACAGAAUAAGAAAUGCCAUGCAAAAUUAUCUACCCUCUCCUAGACCGAGUAGUGGUAGAUGAAAGAAAAUUGCAUUUCAUUUUUCACAGUAUAUUCAAAAGUACCUCAAAGGAGUAAUCAGGAUAAUCCAAGUGCAGGAGUCUUGUCAUAUAUCAAGAAAUAUUUUCUAAUGUUUUAAAGAAUUCAUUAUAUUAAAUUUGAGUAUGAGUUUUCCAUUGACCUUGAGAAUAUUUUUUAUUGAGUCAUAUACCAAAGCGAUCGAAACACCAAAAAUUAUGGAGAAUAUUUUAUGAUAGAAAUUUUUUCACGUAACAAAUGGGUCUUAAGAAAUGUAUUAUGGUAAUAAUAGUUCAAAAGUUAAUGUCAAAAGGAAGAUUAAAAUUUGUUUAACUAUUUUAUUUGGUUGAUAAUAAUUAAUUACAAACCAAUGUAUAGGAAAUCAAUUCAACUUAUCAUUGAGAUACAUGGUUUGGAUUCGUUUUGGUGGAUCAAUUAAGUUGACUUUGAAAUUUUGAGGUAAAUUCAUUGUAAGUGUAUCAUUUUGAGUUUUUUUCAUGGUAUUAACCAUUUUCUCUAUUCUCGUGCUUUCAUGGGUUGCAUGGCAGGCUGUUUUGGUCUCCCUCGUUCUUUCUUUUUAAAUUUUUAAUUAUUUAUUUUUCUCCAGACAUUUAUAUAAAAAAAAAUGCAUUGAAUAGAAAACCAAGUACUAAGUUAACUUAAUUAAACAUGAAAACGGGAAACCAAAUAUCCAUGCCCCACCGAGCACGAGCAUCACUCGGCAUCUUUUUACACACUGAGCAUUCUGCCAUUUCCUCUCUGUUGCUCUGCUUUUAUGCGCCCAUGCCAGGCUGUUUUGGCCUGCCAAUUCCCUUUUCUCUGUUUUUGUCAUUUUUAUUCGUUUAGUUAUUUUUUGAUUUUUUUAAUGUAAGUGACAGACUGACAGUUAUGAAAAAUUUAGGUAUCAAAUAUGGCCAGCGAUAAGAAGAAAUUAUCUAAAAAAAACUAAAUUUAUAACUCAGCAAAAAAUUUAAAUUUAAAUAUUUAAAUUAUAUUAAUUUAAUUAUAAUUUUUUUGACAACUUACCAAUUUUAAUCGUGUCAAUUUAAUCUUAAAAUUUUUGAUGAAUUACUAAUUUAAUCCUAAAUCUUUUAAAGACUUCUGAACAUUAUCAGCAACCUUAUGCAAUACGACCAUGCUAUGCAAUACGACCAUGCUAAGGUGGACAUUUUUUAUAAUUUGUAAAUUUUUUGAACUUUUCUCUUUUUUAUCUUAUCUUUCCUCUUUAUUUUUUUCUUUCCAUUUUCCCUUUUUCCCCGCUGCUUUCGCCGGUUUGUCCUUUUUGACGCGUGCCCUCUUUUUCUUCUCUGUUAUUGUGCUUUUAUGCGUACAUGCCAGGUUGUUUUUGUCCGCCAAUUCAUUUUCUUUAAUUUUUUAAUUAAUUAAAUUAUUAUUAUUAUUAUUAUUAUUAUUAUUAUUAUUAUUAUUAUUAUUAUUUAUGAUAAUUUUUUAUUGCAGGUGACACUUGAAAGAAUCUAGUUGCCCCCUUAUAGCACAUUAUGUUGUCAAUAUUUUGUUAUGAGAUAAAUCAAAGUCACUCUGAAAUUCUCUCAGAUGUUCCAAAAAAGAGUAUAAAAUGCUACGCAAAAGUAGCCAUCCUCUCUUAGACCGAGCAUCAGAAGGGGCAAGAUAGUCGCAAUUCAUUUUUCAGUACAACCAAAAGUAUCUCAAAGGAAUAAUCGGGAUACUCCAAGUGCCGAAGUCUUGUCAUAUUUACAAAAAGAAAAAAAAAUCUAAGUUUUUAAAUAAUUUAUUUACUAAAUUUGAGUAUAAGUUUUUUACUAAUCAUGAUAAUUGUUUUUAUUGACUCAUUUUCCUAUACGAAAAAUGACAAAAAUUAUGAAGAAUGCUUUCCAAAAGGAAAAUUUUUGUGAAAUAAAUGGACCCAAGGUGAUGUAUUAUGAUAGUAAAAUUUCAAAAAUUAAUGUCAAAAAAGAAAAUUAAAAUUUGUUUAACUGUUUUAUUUACUCAAAAUUUAUUAUAAAACAGUGUGCAGGAAAUCAAAUAAACUUACCAUUGAGAUACAUGGUUUGGUUUCGUUUAGAUAGAUUGAUUAAGCUAACUUUGAAAUUUUGCUUUUGCUAAUAAAAAAGAUAUCAACGCGGCUUCUUAGAUUUGAUAUUGAGUUCUUCUACAAGAGCUUACUUUAACUUUUCCUAAAUGGAGAAUAUUGCGAUCAUUUAAAAAGCAAAAGUAUCCAUUAAUUUAAAUGUUGAGAUAUCUAGAAAUAUAAAAUUUUAAUACUAAUACAAAAGCAACGACAUAAAAAAAAAAGAGGAAAGCUUGUUAAUCCAACAUUCAAGUCAGAGAGAAAGAGAGAUGGGCGGCUAAGCAUAAUUCCUGGUGGAAUCUUUUGACUUUUGAAAGAAAAAACACGAGUUACCUGCUCCACUGUCAAAUAAGUACAAUUAAAAUUAGGGGUGAACAUCGGUGCCAUUUCAACCAUAAUAAUUAUUUUGGUUCCCAUUGUAUUGUGCUCAACUUACGGUUCUGCCUGAGAACUAGUGGUUGAAACUAGAAUCGGAAGGAACCAGUGGAGAUUUUUCUCUUUCCUUUGUGAGUACUCGAUUUGCUCAGUGAUUCCUUCUUUUUUUCUUUGUUUGUUGCUUGCCGGUGGAUUCAUCUAGUGUGCAAUUUGGUGGAUCUGUUUCUGUCUUGCGCAUUUCAAGGUUGAUAAUGGGCAUUUUCAUGCCCCUUUUUAGAAAAUUGAUUUUCUAACUUGUACUGGAAUUGCAAAUGUUAGUCAAUUUCUAGCUGUCUUUACCAAGUUUUUUUUUUUGGGUGUUGUAUGUGUAGUUGCAAAACUCGGAAUGCUUAAUAAAAGGCCCGGAACCAGUCACUAAGCGCAAAAGGGGAAAAAUAAAACUUAAUUUUCACAUCUGAAUUCAAAGAGUUGAAUCAAUAAAACAACCUAGAGAUUAGGGUCUAUUUGUUUGGGCUUAUAAAAAGUAAGAACUGACUUUUUUGCUUUCCCAUCAAAUUAGUAAUAUUGUAAUUUAAAUUUUAGAGAAUUAUGAAAAAAAUUUAGGUGAAAGUACAUGUCAACAUUUUUAUGAGAAAGUUUUGAUUGCUUAAUACUAAAGAAAGCCAAAGUGCGAGUACUGCAAAAAAAAUAUAUAAAAAAAAAAUCACUCCAAAUAAAUCUAGGAAACGAAUUAGCUAAUAAAUUAGGAAAUUUACUGUUCGAGUGGAAAUCUACUCAUAAAUUUAUUUUACAAAAAAAAUCACCUUUCUAAAAGGGGGAUCUAAGAAGCCCUAGAGUUAAAGAAAAUAAAUACAUCAAUGCCAUAUUUACUCUAAAUUAAAAUUUAGGUCUAGAAAUAGAGCUCUCAAGCAUAAUACAAACGAAAUUCAGUAGCGUCUGGUCAAUCUACUUUUUAUGCAAACACAAAGUGAACGAGCCUUUCAUUGAUUAGGUGGUCCGACAAGUGGAAACCCUCAAGCAAAAAGAAAAAAAAAAUCAAUAAUCAAAGCAAUUAAAAUAAACAAAGUGCGAGUAAAAUAAAAACCUGAGCCACGUCUAAUAAAAUGACAUAAGGGCUUGAUGUCGAGCUUCAAGAUGAGACCCUGUGAGUAGCGAAUGGGAAGUCUGUGCAAGACUUUUGAGAUGUACUAAUUUGUCAAGGGAUAUGUAUAUAUAUAAAUAUCCGGACGCAACUUGCCAAAAUAAGUUGCUUUCCUAAAAAUCGUUCUUUUAAUUACGAAAGUUUAGCGUAAUGUAAUCUAAAUGGAACAAAAUCCUUGGAUAAUAAUACAAAUAUAAUGGAAAUGAAUCUAAAUUUCCGCCCAGCUGCCGACAAUCACGGACUGGGCCCCUCUCCUUCCGCCCCGCGAUGCGGACCGGACCCUCCCAAAGAGAAAAAAGAGAGAAAAAAAGAUAGUCUUCCCAUGAUGAACUCGACCGACGCUUGUCCUUGCUUUGAGUGACGUGCUUAACCGUCAAAACUUUGCGUGUGUGGGGGCGGCCACUAGGGAAAAAAAAAAGUUGUCCGAAAAGAAUAUUAAUUUGAAAAUAAAUAAAUUGAUUCGUCUGUCCUCCAGAAAAGGGCAAAAAAGACAAAAACAAAAACAAAAACAAAAACGACGUACGAGAACGAAAACGAAACAAGCCAAACCCAACCCCAUGACCGAAGCAAGACCUGCAGCGGGAUGAGGGACUCUUCCCUCCCUCCUUCCUAUCCUCCCUCGCCCCCACAAAAAGAAAAAAAAAAAACCAAGCCGGGGAUCUGUCUUUUUUAUCGCUGAAUGAAUAUACCAUAAUUUGUUUAACUGUUCCGGCCUCCGAGCUCUUUCCCUCAUCCAUUCUCACAAGCAUUUUCGCCUGAGGGGUUGCUCUCUCAUAUCACCUGAUCAAUGAAAGGUUCGUUCCCUUUGCAUUUGCAUAAUCUUUUUCUUUUACAAAAAAAAAAGCCACUGCUGACUUUCGUUUACAUUAUGAAGACCUCCAUUCCUGGUACUUUCGUUUGCCUUAUCUUUAAGCGUCCAAGAUUGAAAUUAAAAAAAAAAAAAAGAUAUUUCGAGUCUACGUCAACUCUAGAAAAGCGGAAUCAGUCCCCACAGCUUUUUGCUCCGGUGUGCUCCGCUCCCCCUAGAGUGACUCUCGACGAACUCGCAAUAAUACAAGCUUCGUUCUCACUGGAGAAAAAAUAAAAAUAUUGAGGAUUUAGUUGAUAUUUCCGAAAAUAUUCGAGUCUCCGUCAACUCUAAAACUAUGCUUUGUCUUUCUAUGGGUCACGGACAAAUCAAGAUUGCAAUUUCAUUUUAUUUACGUAACUCUAGGAUUUUUAUCAAAAUUUUUAAUAGAUUUAGGAUUAGAUUUCUUCUUUUUUUUGGUGAAUAAUUUAUGAUUAGAUUUCUUUAACUUGAAUCUUUAAUUUUCCCUACUUUACUUGCUAAUUUAUUUCCUAGAUUUGUUUUGAGUGACUUUUUUAUUUUAUCUGUGUUUUUUUAAUAAUGUUACGGCGCUCGCAACUUGACUGUCUUUAAACUUAUGCAAUUAAAAAUUUUAUGUGAACAUGUUGACAUGUACAUUCACCUACAUAUUUUUCAUAAUUCUCUAAAAUUUGAAGAAUAUUACAAAAUUAGGUGGGAAAGCAAAAAAAUUGUUUUUAUUCUAUGAAUUCGAAUGUGAAAAUUCGGACUUUUUUUAAUUUUUAUUUUGUGCUUUUCACCUAGGGUGCGUUUGGUAACGUUUUUGUUUAAAAAUUAUUUCAGGAAACAAAAAUAGAAAAAAAAAAUUUUGGAACUUGAAAUCUCCUUAGUCAGGGCCAAAACUAACCUAGUUCCAGGUUGGUUCUAGGAUUGAGCCAGCUGAGUCUUUUUUUUUUCCCCUCCAAUUUUUUAAACUUAAGUUAAGUUCAAUUUUGUGUCAUUAUCAAAUGAAGAAAAUUGUUUUAUUGUCAUUGAACACAUUUUUAGUCAAAAAUUGAUUUUUGGAACAUAAAUUGCACCCAACAUGAGUCCAUAAGCGAGCAACAAACAAAAAGAAAAAAAAGGAAACAUGACGCGAAUCAAGUACUCAUAGAGGUAGAUUUUCCAAAAGUGUCACUUACUUAAAAAAAAUCAUUAAAUUUUUUUAAUAAAUAAAAAAUAAAUGAAUAAAAAUUUAAAAAAUAAAGAAAAAGGGCAUUGGCAGGAAAAAGUAGCCUGGCAUGGUUAAAAGCACAACGGAGAGAAGAAAAAGGCGGGCACGCGUGAGAAAGGACAUGGUGGGGGAAUGUCGAGCACGAGAUGUUUGACCGAGUGUAAGAUUGAAUUGCAAUUUUCUUUCGUCUACCGAAUAUUGUGAGCGCUUCUUUGACAAAUUCCGAUCCACGUACCAAGGCCAUUAUGGUAUAUUCAUUCAGCGAUAAAAAAACAGACAGAUCCCCGGAUUGGUUUUUUUUUUUUUCUUCUUUUUGUGGGGGAGAGGGAGGAUGGGGAGGAGGGAGGGAAGAGUCCCUCAUCCCGCUGCAAGUCUUGCUUUGGUCAUGGGGUUGGGUUUGGUUUGUUUCGUUUUCUUUUUCGUACGUCGUUUUUGUUUUUGUUUUUUUUCCUUUUUAUGCCCUUUUCUAGAGGACAGACGAAUCAAUUUAUAUAUUUUUAAAUUAAUCUUCUUUUCGGACAACUUUUUUUUUCCUUCCUUUUUUGUAACUCAUAAGCUUAUAAUGGGGACACUAAAAUUGGAAAUUGGGUUGUGCCAAGAAGAUUCACAAUAUGUAUCAAUUCAAAUGCGCGUUAGGUAAGAGAUUGGAAAAGCUAUGAACAAAAAGGACAAUUGGACAUUUCAAAUCGUUCACUCAGCUGCCAUCUUUGAAUUGUGAAAGACGGAAGUUGCUCAGAAAUUGUGUCGUUUGCCGACUCUUAGCAGAAAAUGUCCAUGAAAAGCUAAUUCUUUAAAAAGUACCCAAAAAAAUUACAUCUUGCAUGUUAUUAAUUUGGAUUGUUUCUUCUUAAAAAAAUAUCACCAAAAAUAUGUUUAGGGGUCCCUUUGGGGAAAUUUAGAUUUUUCUGCAUUAUAUUUAUAUUAUUCUUCGAGUAUUGUGUUCCAUUUAAAUUAAAUUAUCAUUUUAGGGAGCUUAGCAAGUUACAUCCACAUAUUUAUAUAUCCUUUGAUAAAUUAGUUUAUUUUAGAAAACUUUCAUGGACUUUCCAUUUACCACUCUCAGGGUCAUGUCGCGAUGCUUAUUAACGAGGCCUUAUUUUAUUUUAUCGGAUGCGGCUCGGAUUUUAUUUUACUCGCACUUUUUUUUUUUUUUCACUCGCACUUUUGUUAUUUUCGCCUGAGGGUUUCUCUGUCGGAGCAUAAAAAGUAGACUGAAUAGCCACCACUGAAUUUCGUAUGUAUUACGCUUGACUUAAGACAUCUAUUCCUACAACAUUCUCUAGUCGAAUGGUCUUUGGAUAGCACUAACCAAAACCGAAUUUUCUCCAGUCGAGUCUACGUCAACUCCAAAACAACUGUUUUUUUUUUUUUGGGUCGAACCUUAUGGUAGACAUCACUUUUGACAAACUCACAAUAUGCAAGUCCUUCUAAAUGGAUAUCGAAUAUUCAGAAAACUACAGUAUUAUUCCUUGGUAUUCCCAAUAUUUCAUUUUCAUUCCCCGGCUAUGUUUUUUUUUUUUAUUUGAUGGGCACAAACAAAUCGAGAUUAUAGUUUUGUUUUACUUCCUUAACUCUAGGUUUUUUCAAAUACUGAUUUCAAAUAUAGGUGAUAUUUUUUAAAUGGAUUUAUGAUUAGAUUUCUUUUACUCAAACAGUAAAUUUUCGCGUUUAUUAGCUAAUCUUUUCCUAGAUCAAACAUACUUUAUCUUUUACUCUGUUGUAUUUUUUACUGUCGCCCUUUGACUUUCUUUAAUCUUGACUAAUUAUUUUUCUGACCCCCAAAAAUAAAGUAAUUAUUGCAUUCAUCUAAAAAUAUUGGCACGUACGUUGGCCUACAUAUUUUUCAUAACUUUCUAAAAUUUAAUUAGUACUUCAAGCUUUGGUGGGAAAGCAUAAAAGAAGUUCUUACUUUUUAUAAGGCCAAACAAAAAGGCCUUGAUCUCUUGGUUGUUUCCUAAUCUUCAUUUAGGAUUCUUAUGGUUUGAUUUGGAAGAAAGGUUGCCACUAUGAAUUCGAUGCAAAAAUUGGGAUUAUUUUUUUUCGUUUCACGCUUUUGCAUGUGAAGCUAUAUAUCAUAUGGGCCUAAUGGUUCAACUCUCUUCGUUUUCAUGGUAUUAGUUUGAAAAUGGAGCAAGGAACUUGUUUUCGCUUCAUGAAGUAUUGCCAAAAUGUCCCCCUACUUUUAAAUUUUUUUAAAGAAUUAGCUUUUCAUGGACAUUUUCUGCUAAGAGUCGGCAAACGAGCUAUUUAGACAAUUUCUGAGCGACUUCCGUCUUUCACAAUUCAAAGAUGGCAGCUCAGUGAGCGAUUUGAAAUGUCCAAUCUUCCUUUUUGUUCAUAGCUUUUCCAAUCUUUUAUCUAACGUGCAUUUGAAUUGAUACACAUUGUGAAUCUUCUUGGAACAACCCAAUUUCCAAUUUUAGCAUCCCCAUUAUAAGCGCAUGAGUUACAAAAAAGGAAGGAAAAAAAAUUAUUCUUUUAGAGGGGCCUUUUAGAACUAGGGAUAAAUAUAUUAGAAGUUCUAAAACUUAUCAUAAAAGUGCGAUUGAGUUCUAAAACUUUCAAGAAGUGCAAUUAAGUCCUAAAACUUAUCAUAAAAGUGCGAUUGAGUUCUAAACUUUUCCAAAAAUAUAAUUGAGUCUAAAUCUUUUAAAAAGUACAAUGAAAUCCUAAAAUUUGUUAUGAAAGUGAAAUUGAGUUCUAUAACUAAAAAGUGUUAUCAAUGGAAAUACUUGAUUUGACUAAUUUGAUUACAUUUUUUGAAAGUUUUAAGAUUUCAUUGCACUUUUAUAAGAUUUAAUUGUAUUUUUUUGAAAGUUUUAGUGCUAAAUUGUACUUUUUUGAUAAGUUUUAGGAUUUCUAAUGCACUUAUGCCUUAGAAUUACAAUCGUGAAAGGGUUUGGAGUGGGUGUACCAUGUCUUCGGAGAUAUAGAUAGAACGGACAUUUGUGUGUUCUAUAAGAACUAAAGAGAAAUUGCUAUAGGUGUUUUAGAAUGAUAUGUUUGAUUAAAUGCAUAACCCAACUCUGUUUGAUGAACUUAACCGUCUCUCAAACACAUUUCAUCCGGAUUUCCCAAUUCAUUUUCCAAGCGAAUUCAUGUCCAAAGCAGAUUUCACGCAUCAAAUCUUAGGUAGAGCACACCCAUUUGUGUUAAUUAUUAGCGAGGGAGCGAUGAAGCAAACUUCCUUUGUUGUAGAAAUGAUUGUGCGGGAUGACAAGUCUUGAGGGAAACUUCUUGUCGCUUCAAGUUGCUCAGACCCAUGCUUAAACUCUAACCUCAUGAGAUGCGCGUUGGUCUCUCGAAUAUGGCAGUUCUUUCUUCUUUGCCACAGCUUUAGCAAGUGAUCCUCAACAUGAAAAAUCAUCAAAUAACGACAAGCAAAUAUUUCCCGACCUCAGGCGGUAACUUGUUCCAAAUUCCCAACUAAGCAAGAUCAAGCAAAACGGCUGGUGUACUCAAAUUUUAGCUUAACCAAAUCACCAAAACACUUCACAACGAGGGUUCUGGAAUCAGGGAUUAUAUCGUCCCUACUCAAUUUUCUACUAUAUUUGCCAAUGUUCACCUAUGGUUUCCAUGGUCUCCAUGGAAUCAAGGUGACUUCCCUAGGAAGUUUUGCUCCUCUCGAGCUCAUCCCGUCCACCAAAACACUCAGCAUGCAAAUCCACAGUUAAUGAUAGACCAAAAUCCUAUUCAAUCUCCUUAUCCAGCUUAUUCUGCCUAAGUGCACCAGACUUAUAAUCCCUAAAUAAAGCCGAGGAAGACACCAACAGAUGAUUAUUAUCAUGUGUAGCAAUUCCUUCGAGGCAUGUCAUUAAACAGUCACCGUGCAUUAUCCAUUUGGCCGCAAUGGAUCAAUAGCUAAGAAUAACUUCCUGACACCUCGAAGAUAGAACAGAGUCAAUGUCAGAAUGAGUGAUUUCGACUUCGUUUAGGAAGAUCCCAGUUGUACCGGUCGCACGUGGAGCGAAUCAUGGAUCAGUUCCUGCUGUUGAGCUUGAGAGUGCGGCAGGGAUGAAGCGACAGGAGCUUCGUGUAUGGAGGUUGUGGUUGCGGAGAAGAAGACGGCUCCAUAGAAAGGAAGAUGGCGAAGCAACAGAGAGAGAGCGACGGAGAGAGAGUUUGGCGGGCCGAGCCCAACUUGAGCUACAGUGAUCGGGCUUUAUGCAUGGGCUGGAUUAGGGACCCGAUUGGCUGGGUGCUUUAUUUAUUAUCUUUUAUUAUAUCUUUAUUUAAAUUUUAACAAAACUCCAAUAUUCAAUUUGCCGGUAAAAAUUCAGAUGCCAACACAGUUACUUUUUCUUUUUCUUUUUUUUAUUCCACCAAAUUUGCUCUUCAGCGGUCAUAAAUUAAUGCAUUUGUAUCAUUCUCGUACCCUUUAAUUUGCUAGUAAUCAUUCAAUUUAAAAGAAAUUGCUAGUAAUUACACUUUAGAUACCUUUACUUUGAAAAACCAUUUAUUUUCCUGUCGAAAGGCAACAACAAAUCCACAUUCACAAAAAUCCAACAAUUUCCAUCUCUAUACUACAUUUUUCACCUUUUCAGUGAAACACAUAAAAUCGGGUGAGGUCUAUAUAGGCCGAGAUCGAAAGAGGAACCGCGUGGCUAGACUUGCCUAUGUGCACUUCGAGCUCAGGAGGGUCUAGCGGGCUGUGAUACUUAAGGAUCGCAAUUGUCUUUUAUGGCUAGCGAUGGAGGGAUGAGAUUUGAGUAAUUAUGGUCACUUCACCUUUGACACUAGAAGUGGGUGAUUAGUGAUGUUGCUUUCUUUUAACUCAGGAAUGCAAUGGGUUACCUAUCUAUUUACUGCUCGUUUGUCAAGUAUUGAAAUGACUUUUAUUUAGGACAAGCAAUCGGAUGAAGCUCAUCCAGUAAAAUGUCUCGGAUACAUCAAGUUGCUUGGACCCCAUGCUUUUGUCCAUGGCCUUACCCGUAACCCUAGCAUUACCUUACCCGUAAUCCUAGCAUUAAGCUAGAAGAUGCGGCACAUAUUGAAUAUCAAAAGGGCACCCCAAAAAAUGACAAGUUUCUAGUAAGUCAGCAAAAUAACUCGCUACUAAUACUGUCGGCUAACAUUAAAUAAUGAUAGCCUGCUGAUAUGAUUAUAUUGAGAUUGAUUUCGAUUUGUGGAAGUGCGCGAAAACUAACAAGCAUGUUGUGCAUGAAAAUAGGCUCAGGCCACUUCCACUCUCCUUGUACCCAGAGCUAAUUCGCCAUGAGUCACGAUUCUUUGCACUCCUGACAACGUUUGUAGCUUUGUUAUUGACUCACAAGAUGUAUUGCAGCAUGAGUUUGUGCUAGUUUUGUAAAGUGGUAACGAAAAAAGUGAAGAAUUUGAUAGACGGUGAAAACCUUGUUAGAAAAACAAUUCUGCGGAUACAAAAAAGACAAAAAAGAAGUGUACAUUGUUGAAAGCACUUCAGAAGUUUUCAUAAUAGCGACACAAACAUGUGAAGCAAUCUAAGAUAAACUACAUAGCGAAGAUGUCAGCAGAUACCGUGAUUGAUUGACCGGACUUGGUCGAAUUAAUGCAGGAAAUGUAAACUGCAUGGAAGGACGACACGCUGAAUUAUGACGAACCCUCGUUACCCAAAAGCUAGUACACAUGAAUAAUUACAACCGGAUCAUAUAUUAUGGUGUCUAACUUGAAAGCUACCUCCUGGGCAAUAGCUAGUGAAAAUAACAAGGGUUGAAUAUCGGGGAAGCUGAAAAUUCUUGAGAUUGAACCUGAGAGAAUGGCCGCCUCAUCAUAGUAACAGGCGAGACUCGAAUUUCAAAUGUUUCCAUUGCUUGUACAUGCUGACUGUCUCUUCCAACCAAUCAUCUCUUAAAUUUGGGCAGUCGGAAAUAGUUAGUGAGCACCCGUCUGAUAAUUUCCAAUUGAGUAUAUUUGGGAAACUUCUUAGUGAUAUGCAACCUACAAAUUCCAAAUAUUUGAGAGUCUCUAAUUCAUCCAAGCCCUUAAUUGCCAGAAGCUCUUCGCAUCCUCGAAUUACCAAGGACUCCAGCUUUUUCAAAUUUGAUAGAUCAUCUAGACUUUCAAUCUUAGGACACUUGUCUAUUUCCAAAUGUUUCAAGGACUCCACUGAACCAAGACCUUGGAUCGUAGUUAGAUUUGGGCAAUCUCUCAGCCUCAACAGCUUCAACCUCGUCAAACUCAAAAGACCCGCAAAUCCCUCGAGCUGUUUUAACCCUUCCACUUCGAAUUCUAUCAACUGUUCAAGCCCAUCGAGUUGAACUUCCUUCCAAAAACAGUGACUAAUGUGCAAAUGUGUCAAUUUUCUCAAGUUGCAAUGAAAUGAUGAGCUGGCUAUUGAUUCAUGAUAUUGGGCACACAAUGUUGACAGAGACGGUGGAAGGUAUGUGAGGGAUUGUCGGCAUGGACCAUCUUGGGAGUAAAGACAACACCAGUUCUCAUCAUGACCACCAUAUCUAAGAUUCACCAAUCCAGUGAGGUUUGAGAGAUCCGGGAUCCAUCGCAACGAACUUGAUCUGAGGCUUAGACUUAUCAAGCUUGUGGGGAAGCUCAGGCAAUAGUUCGAGUUUGUUGCUAACGUCAUAAAAAAUAUAUAUAUAAUUAAUUAAAUUAAAUUUAAAACUAAACUUAUUUAAAACAUUUAAAAAUAAAAUAAAAAUCUUUAAAAAAAAACUAAAAGUGGAUGUGGGGCUUUAAUUUAGUUUGCCCUUAGCAAUCUGUUUGUACUCCUCGACCGGAAUUGUUUUUCCCAAUGGUUAUCUCCCCUCUGUGCAUGACAUUUCUCAAUCCCUAAGCAAGAGAAACGAACUGAGCAAAUUUGUUAUUGAAGACUCUGAAUGAAUCUACAAGUAGUGAUAAAUACAAACUUCACAAAGAUGUGUUGUACUUUUACAGAUACUAUAUGUAUCCUUGAAUAAUAUCAAAAUAUUUGUUCAAUCAUUCAUCGUACAUAAUUUAACACAUUUUGCCCAUUAUCCAUUGGACAAUCUAUAUCGUCCCCAUUUCAUUCAGGGAUUGGUUUUCACAUUUGGAAUCACAUCUAAAACUAUAAGAUGAAAUCUGGAGCAUUGGAAAUGCAAGGUACAUCAACAACUCCACAUAAUAAGCAAAUGAUAUCAUAAGGUCAAUGUGCCUUAUACGCCCUCACCAAGUUAGAGAAAACAAUGUUCUAGCAAUAAAGGAUGUCCUAAUUUCCACUGUACAAUCACCUGAAAUGAUUACUUUUUGCAUUUUUUUAAAAAGGUUUGGGUACUAAUGAAAUAAACCAUAUGAGACUGUGGAGGUUAUAAAUCUUAUAGGGUAGAAGUGACAUAACAUUUGUAUUUGAGUGUGCAUCAUGAAAAUGUCAAAAUACGCACAAUUUCGAUGCAACUUAUUUUACCAAAUUAUCAAUGGCAAUUCAAAGGAUUUGCACACUAAGCCAAGCAAAUUCUACCCCGCAUCUAUUGUCAAUUAUCAUCAAUCAUUUUGGUUGGCUAGCUCAAAAUGUACUUGGGCAAUACAUACCUGGACGACAUAAGGGAUCAUCUUUAAUAAAAUGUUUCAAAAUUAUUCAUUUUUCGCGAAAUAAAUAGAGCCUAAAUAAAACUAAUUAAAUUUUAUUACUAAAAUCUAACUACCUAAUCAAGACCUAUUUUUCUAACCAAUUUCCAUAUUUUAAAAAUAUUUAUUCAUUUAUUAAUUUUUUAAUUUAUGGGAGAGGGGGACAGGCUGAUCUGUGUGUGUUGGACUCCAAGGACGCGGGCCGAACUCUUGGGUUUAGUCCACACGUAAAUAAUCGGAUUUCAUAACAACAACUCUUCCAUUUUAACCAUAAAAAGCCCAUUACCAUACUUUUUUCCUUCAUUUUCUACUUCCCUAUUGUUAUUUCUAUUUAUUUAUUUUUUACUUACAAUCGUCUUCUUCGCAAGACCAAGAACUCCUCAAAACACAAAUGGAGAUUUGCAAUCUAAAAUAUUAAAGAAUGAACGAAAAAACACUUCCGCCGUUAAUCCAUAUACGUUUUCCACCACCGUCAACCUUCGGCCACCAUUGUUCGUUGCACUUUUUACCCCAAAACCACAGCUUGCCAUGACAAGCAGGAGAUGAAAAUGUGCAGUGAAACCACCACAAGGAAACCGACUCAAAACGCUUUCGGAGAAUCCAUAAACGUGACCUCAACUCCGACUGCUUUCUCGUUGAUAUUCAACAUUUAACGCCAUUGUUUCAUGGAACACAAAACAGAGCAAGGCAGUGAUUCAGAAACAAGUUUGAGCAUCAUAAAAUAGCUAAAAUCAUAUUUCCGUGACUUAAAAUCGAGUAACACCAUUUAAUCCAGGUCAAUAUACUUUCAGGUUAGCCAAAAACGAAGCUAGCUUGCACCAAUUUUCAUAGACAUUUCAUCGAACUUCUACCAGAUGGUGGCUAUCUCAAACUCCGACUCACAAUCUUAACUCAAAUCAGACCAAUAUAAGCAGUCAACUCAUACCUAAUGGAUUGCGAUCUUUGUAAAAUAUAAUGUCUCAGCUAUUCUUUUCAAAACAGAACACUGAAAGGGAUUAUGUCUGACCUAAAUAAAAAGAGGUCCUGAUCGUAAUUGCAAAUCGUAGCAACAAAAGGAAGCUCCAGUUGAGAUUUAUGUUGGCUAUGAAGCUUGGACUGUAGCUCCUUGCAUUUCACGGUCGGGAAAACAGAGAGGAACAGAGCAAUGAAUUUGCAGAUCUAGAAUGUAGGAAAAUGGCAGAGACCAGGACUAAUCAACAUUAAUAUAAUGAUUUCGAAGCUCAAGAAUGUCGACACAAGCCUAAGUCAGCGAAAUAGGCGACCAUGGUUACAACUUCAGCUCUUCAAGUCACCGCUCGCCUGCGCACAUUUUCAUUUGUGUCGCCCCUUGACGUCCGAGAAAGCCCAAGUCGAUGGGUUUCAGCUAGUUGUUAUGAUGAAUGGAAUGGCUGAACAGUUUCAGAUGUGUAUCGAAAUUUGAAAACCGAUCCCUGAAUAGACUAGGGACGGUAUAGAUUGUCCAAUGCACAAUGGGGAAAAUGUGUUGAAUUGUGCAUAAUGCUGUGUGAAGUUUGAAUUUAGCAUUACUUGUGGAUUCAUUCAGAGCCUUUAAAACCAGAUUUGCCCAAUUUGUUUCUCUUGAUUUAAUCAACACGUAGAGUGGAGAUAUCAAUUGGGCAAAACAAACUGGUUAAGGAAUAUAAACAGAUUGCGGUUGGCUAACAGCAUAGAAGCCCUCUUAAAAUUAUCUAUAGCAAGAGCUCGCAGUAGUAGGAUUGUAGUACAGGUUCUUCUAUAGCAAGAGCUCGUAAUUGUAGGAUUGUAAUACAAGUUCUUCUAAACGAUUAUUUAUGAUGUUGUGAUUAUGGUCACGGAAUACGAUUCUAUGACAUUCUUCUAUCGUUCGUUCUUAUGUCGCACAAGUUUGGGUCGAAGCUGUUCACCAACCAACGACAAAAUUCCCCUACGUUUUGGGGAAUUUUGUCAUAUAACCGAGCAGUUAAUCUCAUCAACCACAUCUUACCAUAUGAACUCCCUACGUUUUGGGGAAUGAUGAACAUAUAAUUGACAUUAUGAAGAAUGCACCAUUAUUAAAGGUACGCCUUACUAUAUUCUGACAAAAAUGCUACAUAGAAAAAGUUAUUAAGUCGAUACUGCUGAUGGAAGUGAUAUUGAGCUUGUUUUUGCUGACAUAUCGCAAGUGAAAUAUUUUUUUGGAAAGAAAGCGAAGAUAUAAAUCGAAACUCAAUUGGCAUUAAAUAAGAAUCUACUCCUAAAUUUUGCAUCCAUUAGAUAUACUCAAUGUGUAGAUUCAACGCGAAAAAUAUGUUGGAUGUAAUAUUCACCAGUCUUACAUUAGCGAUUGAGAUCAAAUUUAAGGAUAUAGUAUGUGGAUAUGUUAUAAGAGGUACACAUGAUGUCGUUGAUAUUUUCUUCUCUUUGCUGAACUUUAAAAUAUCUCAUUAAUUGGAUUUUAAAUUUUGGCCUUAGAAAAACUGGACAAUUAAAUGGAUUAAAAAAAAUUCUACCAAUCUGAAAAAAAAGUACAUGCCUUUCCGGGCUUUGACAACAUUGUUGGAAACGCUACAAAAAAAUUCAUAAUAACAAUAAAAACGUGACGACGCAAUUACAGAAAAAAAAAAGUCACUAAAUUCUUGAAAUCUUUGUUAUUCAAUAGUGAGAAACUAACCCAAGGCACUAAAAAAUCCCAGUCUCACACUCCUCUAUUUCUUUUCCUUCUUUUGCCCCUGACUUUCCGUUCCUUGUACAUGCUGACUGUGCCACCAAAUGAUUCUGCUUCUAAAUUUGGGCAGCCGGUAAUAUUUAGAAAGCACUCGUCUAGUACUUUCGAAUUGAAUACGUUAAGGAAACUUUUCAAUGAUCUGCAAUUGACAAAGAACAAUGUUGUGAGAGUCUCUAGUUCAUCCAAGCCCUUAACUGCUUGAAGAACUUCACAACUGGAAAUCUUCAAGAACUGCAGCUUUUUCAAAUUCGAUAGAUCAUCUAAACUUCCAAUUUUAGGACAGAUGAUUAUAUUCAAUUGCUCCAACGAGUCCAAUGAACCAAGACCUUGGAUGGCAGUAAGAUUUUGACACUUGUGCAGCGUCAACCGCUUCAACCUCUUCAAAUUCGAAAGACCAGAAAAUCCCUCAAGGUCUGAGUUAUACAUGUCAAAUUCAACCAACUGUUCAAGCCUAUUGAGUUGAACUUCCUUCCAACUACAGGAAAGAAUCUUCAAACUUGCCAAUUUUCUCAAGUUGCAACAAAAUGACAAACUAGUUGUCGAUCGAUGAAAUAGCAGUGACAAUGUUGAAACACAUGGUGGAAGGACCCCAAGGAACAGUUGGCAUUGAUCAUCUUGGAAUAAGAAAGGAUUCCGGAACUUAUCACAAUCAUCAUAGCUAAAAUCCUCCAAUUUAGUUAGGUUUGAGAGAUUCAGGAGCUGCCGCAAUGAAUGUGAUCCUAAGCUUAGGCUUAUCAAACUUGUGGGAAGCUCCGGUAAUACUUUGAGUUUGCUACAAUUCCCUAAACUCAAUUUCUGUAGGCGAGGAAGUAGUUUGAUCGUCCGUGGAACAUUUUUAAUAGGGGUGAAUUGCAAUUGCAACACUCUCAAAAGUGAUAAUUGCCAAAUGUCCUCAGGAAUUUCCCACCUUAGAUUCAAGCAACAACUGGCAUGUAGCUCUUCUAGCUCUUUUAGAGCAACAAUGCUCCGUCGUAGCUUUUUUAUCGGAGUAUCCGAAAUCCUGAUGAUUUUUAAUCUACUUAGGUCUCCAAUAGAUUUGGGUAACUGUAGACAUUUUGUGGUUGAAACAUCCAACUCAAGUAGAGAUUCCAAGUUACCAAUCGAGAACGGAAGUUCCCUUAUGUUAGUACACGAUAGAAAGAGAGACUUAAGUUCUCGUAAAUUCCCAAUAGAAUUGGGAAGUUCAUCGAUUUUUGUCCAUUCCAGUUUAAGAACAGACAAGCGGUUUUGGUUACCGAUGGAGUCAGGUAAUCUUGUGAUGGCCGUAUGCGAGAGAUCUAACUCUACUAGCGAUGUCACUCUCGCAAAUGAUUUGGGUAGCUUCCUCAACUUUUCGCAACGGCCUAAAUACAAGUACUUGAGCUUAUGUAACCCUCCGAUUCCUUUGGGCAGCUCCCUAAGAUUUUCGCACCCAUGCGCAUUGAAGUAAAUCAAGCACUUAAGCUUUUUGAGGGAACCAUCAACUUCAGUUAGUUUUUUACAAUCCUCAAGGUUCAAUCUCUCUAAACUCAAAUAAUCGGAGAAGUUUGGAGUCCUGGUCAUGUUGCUACAAUGUGAGAUAUCCAAAACUUUAAGCUUUUUAGCAACCUGUUACAGUAGCAAAAUGAGAGUAAAGGGAAAAUUCCAUACGAAUUUAGAGUUAAUAAAUGGUUGCGCUAGAACCUAGAUGUAAUUGGGUUGACUCAUUUUCCUCAUUUAACUCGCAUAGAUCCGUUUAGUACUAACACCUAGCCAACCUGAUCCACAUAUAUCCACCUAUUUAUCAAUUCAGUGCAAUUUAAUUUAGUGGCCUUGAUUACGAGAUCAACUUAGUUUUACUUGUGGAAUGGCCUUGAUUAAAUCCAUUCAUGAGCGAUUUUAUUUACAGCAUGUUAUUGCCUAUAUAGUUAUGGGUUAGUCAAUUUUAGUUAAAAACAUAAAAAUUGCGUGAGACAAUUCAAUGGAGAUAAACAAAUAUAGUGACGAUGGUACCUUGAAUUGACUCCAUCCAGCCCAUUCCUCUGUGAUUGAACUAUAGCUCAGUUUAAGAACUACAAGAUUGCUUGGAUGGAAAUUGAUGGCCAAGAACUCUCGAGAGACCCCUGUGCAGGUCAUGUAUCUUAACUCUGAAAACUGAUUCUCAAAGUCUCCACUGAAAUUCCCCCCCACUAACAUGAGGAACCUUAUGUUUGGAAGCCUUGAAAACUCUUUGCUUGUAUAAACUCGUGGUUCCCAUAAGUAGAUUGCUUCAAUGUGCUUCUUUCUCUGCCAUUCAAUGGUAAAGUAGCAUCAGUGUAAAUGAAAAAUGUCUUCAUUCUCUCCACCUCUUUUAAGAAAGGGCUCCUAAUUAAUAAAUGAACUAUUGAGAAAAACAUAGAAUUCGAUGGUCAGACAUAUGCUUUUACCUCUUUUGUUCCUAUGAUAUUAUCGGCCGUCUCAGGAUCCCAUAACCUGCUUUGCUUUCUUGGAUCGGUUGGUCUCGUAUCUCCAUGAACAAUUUUCCUUCCGAGAUCUCUCAGUUGGUCGUGCAUCCAGAAUUUGUUGUGAUCAGUUAUCUUUAUUAAGGACAUACAAACAAGGACUUGAAUUGAAUGAUCCGGCCUAAACCCACAAUCCUUCCACAUGUAGAGUGCAUUUGUCUUGUCCUUGUCCACAAAGAGACAUGCGAUGUCGAGAAAAAUCUGUUGUUGCUCAUGAUUCAAGGCAUUGUAGCUAAUCUUCAGCUUGUCCUGGACCUUCUCAUGAGGUAUUUCUCUCAAAUUGUCUAGCACAUCAUACCAUGAGGCUUUGUUUUGACGAUAAACCAAUGAGCCUAUGACUUCAAGAGCCAAAGGAAGUCCUCCGGUCGUAGAAAUUAUUUGUCUCGAAAGAUUGACAUAAUCAUCUGGAGGAGGAUUCCUUCUAAAAGCAUGUCGACUGAAAAGCUCUAGUGAUCGAACAUCAUCCAACGGCUUCACUUCGUACUCCAAAAUUUUGUUGGAUUUUAUGAUGCUUUUGUUCCUACUUGUCAUAAUAACUCUGCUUCCUAAGCCGAACGUAAUGUGGUUGAUGGCUAGUUUCUGGAGUUGCUCCUCAUCAUCCACAUCANNNNNNNNNNNNNNNNNNNNNNNNNNNNNNNNNNNNNNNNNNNNNNNNNNNNNNNNNNNNNNNNNNNNNNNNNNNNNNNNNNNNNNNNNNNNNNNNNNNNNNNNNNNNNNNNNNNNNNNNNNNNNNNNNNNNNNNNNNNNNNNNNNNNNNNNNNNNNNNNNNNNGCAGCACUGAUUGAAAAGGGAAUUUAGUUUGUUGAAUAUUAUCUUAGCAAGAGUUGUUUUACCGAUUCCACCCAUUCCAUGGAUUAGCACAAAGCGCAAGCCCCCGGAGUCCAUGUCCAACAACUUCAGAACGGCCUCCACUGGAUCGUCCAUUCCAACUAAAUGCUCGGUAACGUAUUUGUCUUUUGUCUUCAGCUUCAUCACAAUCUCUUGUAGCACCGAUUGAAUGAAUUUCCAAUGCCUGCCACAUGAGUGAGUUAACUAAGUUGAUAUUGUAAAAGAUGACCUCAGGACACUCAACAUGUGGUUGCAACCAACAUGGCUAGUGCCACUUAUUUAAUAAGCUAGUGCAACCGAUGGGAAGACAUUUUUAUGUGCGUUUAGAACAUGAUUUCCCAGUGAUUUAAACAAAUAAUCACAUACAGAAAAUUAUGACCUUUUUUUAUUUAUUUGCUUCCAAAAUGGUAACACUUUGACAUAGAUGGAUAGGACACUUGCUCUAGUUCCAUGUGAAAAUCUAUCGAUAAUGAGAGAGAAUGUAACUUUUAAAGAUGUGAUCCACAAUUUACAAACACAAAGAUGUAUAAAAUUAGAUCAAUCAAUGAAAGAAUGCCCUCUUGUCUAUCAUUCAAAGAAUAGACUAUUAGAUGUAGGCAUUUUCCCAUGUUAAAGGAAGCAAGGCAUUGCUAAUUGAUUCCUAAUCCCUUUUUAAGGCAGUCUUGGUAGCUAGGAUAACAGCUAAGAAGAAAUGUAUUGAAAGUUUUCACACUUAAGAUAGUUAGAAGCAAAGUACAUGAAAAAGCUAACCCACCAAAUUGGAGAGCUAAAGUUUCGACCAAAAAUAAAAAUAAAUAUUGGAUUGCUAAAGUAAGGGAAGAAUUUAAAAAAAAAAACAAAAACACAAAAAUACAUCCUUGAAUUUAUUAACACAUCUCCCACCUCUAAACUUACCCCCCCCCCCCCCCCCAAAAAAAAAAAAGGAAAAAGAACUAACUGAUUGCUUACCCGGUUAUUGCUUUAUUCGGCUUCGGUGAAUGACAUAAUUGAUUCGGUUAUCAAAAAUAAAUUUGAAAACAAACAUGGUAUUCAUUCAAUUUCAAACAACUUAAACGAGAAUUCAUCCAAGUUUGGGCAUAUAAUUAAUGAAAGUCCAAAGCAAAAGUUAAUGGAGCGCUUCAGGAUCCGUGCAUACCCUUGCUUUUUCAACUCCCAUCCUUUGAUUUGGGCUACACUUUUGAGGGCAUCCUCCCACUUUUGCCUCGUCUUGCGACCGAACUUCUCUUCAUGCUCCUCCAAAGCGCUGACGUACCGUUGAGACUUAAGCUUAACAUCGCAGGCUUAACGUCAUAGAAAAUCGGCAUAAUCUCCUUCUCGGACGGUCUUGGAUUUCUUGCAAUCCACCAUGUGUGCGAGCUCGCGAAGGCACCACGCGCUCGAAGCAUAACCUUUAGAGAAAAUAGGUAUGUAGAUCUUCGACUUUUGGAUGGCGGCCGGUAGCUCAUCAGCUAUUUCUUCACCGACGUGGAGCUCUUCCUCAUCGAGGAAAACACGGAUGUUUGCUUCUAGCAUUCGGUGAUAAAGACAAUCCGUGAAGGCUUGGCGAGUGUCCGGUCCCCUGAAACUCAAGAAGACGUCAUAGUCAAUCGCCGACGGCUCACCACCGCUCGUUCCUGCCUCCGAGCCGUUUCCCAUGUCCAUUCUCACAAGUAUUUUUCUUCUGAGGGUUUCCUCUCUCGUAGCACCUGAACAAGAAAGGCUCGUUCACUUUACCACCGCUGAAGUUCGUUUUAUAUUACGCUUCGGACCUCUCUUCCUAGAACUUGCCCCACUGUUUUUCACAUAAGAAAAGCAAACCAAUUCGAGUCUUCGUCAACUCUAAAAUGGCGUAACCAUUACGCGUAGCUUUUUGAACCCCGGUGGUCUCUCCCUCUUGUUGACUUGACUUUGGCGAACGCCCGAGAUGUAAGCAUGGAAGCACGGACACGUUCAGAGGGGUGUCCGUCUGCAACGCCGACUGCAACGCCGAGAUGGAGAACCGCAAUGCCGCGAUGGAGGGCCGGACGCGAGGCUACGAAGGCAAAGGGGGAACGGAGGCGAGGCAGCGGCGAGAGAGGUAGAGACCGAGAAAGGGAGAGGAGAAGGCGAUUGCUAGGGUUUUUGCCCUUUGGGCUAUUACUUUACUGAUUGCGUUUUCAAUUUUAGGAAGAAGAGCAAGGAGAGAGACGACGGCUUGGGAAGAAACGAAAGCCUCGUGCAACGUGACUUCAAUAUUGGGAAGUGACAGGCGCAGCGGUGGGUGGGGUGGGGGAAGGAAACAAGGGUGAAAUAAAUAGGUGGGACCCAUUUAGCCUCAAAAAAAUAUUAAAUGUUAAAUAACUUUAUUAAUACAUGAUAAGACUACAAAAUAAAUAAAUAAAUGGGUUAAAAAGUUAUUUCAAAAAAUAAAAGCACUCGAUAUUAAAUAAUGAUAAAUUUUGAUAAUCGUAGAAAAAUAUAAAAUUAUUUUAACUCUAAUAACUCGUUAGUUAUUUAUUUCAUUGAUAAUUUUUGUUAAAGUCAAAAAAUAUCUUUCCAAUUUUUUAUGAAUAAAUUUAUUAAUGUUAUUAGUAUAGAUUUAUUAUAGGCUCUUUUUAUUAUUUAUUUAUUUAUUUAUGAAUUUGAUUAAAUAAUCAUGUUUAUAUAAAAAUAUUCAUUUAAUAUACAACGUGUUCCAAUGUGACAAAAUUCUCUUUUCCUGAAAUAUGAUGUGUUGUCGUGUUGUGUCGUAUGUCCGUAUCGGUGCUAAGUCGUUCUCAGUGGAAAUAAAAUAUUAAGGAAAUUACAGUACUAGUCCUUGUUUUCUCCAUGAUUUUAUUUUCGGUCCCCAGCUAUGCUUUUGUUUUUUUGAUUGGCACAAGCAAAAAGAGAUUACAAUUUUAUUUUACUUCCUUAAGUCUAGUAUAUUUUUCAAACUUAAGUGAUAUUUUUGAAAUAGAUUUUUUAUUAGAUUUCUUUUACUUGAAGAGGAAAUUCUCCCCUUUUAUUAGCUAAUUUGUUUCCUAGAUUUGUUUGGAGAGACUUUCUUUUGUCUUUUUUUUUUGGUAGUGCUCUCAUCUUCAUUUUCUUUAAACUUAAGCAAUUGAAACUUUCACAUGAAAACGUUGACAUGUGGAAGAUUUCUCUAUGGAAAGAACGAAGCAAUGCCCAUUAUCAACAUUGAAAUGCAUAAAACAUAAAUAGAUCUAUCAAGAGCACGAAUGAUAAUUAUUCUAUUUUUUUAUUUUUUUUUUAUUUUUCUGUUUUCGAGAGAAUAACUUUGGAAUAGAAAUCCGUCUGAUAAGACAAUAUCAUUUUUCUACUUUUGGAACAAGUUUUUUAUUUUAUAAAUAAGUUUUUAAUAGAAAUGAAAAGUACAAAUUUUCUACUUUUCUAUUUUUAGAAUAAAAAUUAGGAAUAAAAUCUUUUCUCAUCGCUCGUUCUCGCUACUAGCUAGUCACCCACUCGUCACUUGCCACCUCCCGCUGCCUGCUAGCUGUCGUCCCUCGCUGGCUGUCUCUUGCUGCUCACUAUAGUCGGCCACCCAGGAAAAAGAAAUUUAUGUCGUUACCAAACGAAUUUUUAUUUUAAGAAUGAAAAUUUUAUAUUAUCAUUAAACAUGUAAAAUUUUUUAUUUCUAACUAAAAAUUGAUUUCUAGAAUAAAAAUUGCACACAACAUGAGUCCAUAAGCAAGCAAAAAAAAAAAAAAAAAGGGAUCACGAUGCAAAUCAAGUACUCACAGAGGUAGAUUUUCCAAAAGAGUCACUUACAUAAAAUAAAAUAAAAAAAUCAUUAAAAAAUUUAAUAAAAAAGUUAAAUAAAUAAAAAUUAAGAAAAAAAUAAAAGAAAAAGGGCAUUGGCUGGCAAAAGUAGCCUGGCAUAGUUAAAAGCACAACAACAGAGAGAAGAAAAAGGUGGGCUUGCAUGAGAAAGGACAAACUGGCAAAAGCAGUGGAAAUGGUGGGGGUAUGGGUGCGUUUGGCACUAGCUUUGCCAAGUACCUUUGGGUACCCAAAGCCCAUUUGCCCAAAUAUUGGGUGUUUGGGAAAAAAAUUUACACCUGCCUUGAAGAAAUGCUGGCCUUCCAAAGGCUGAAAGCCCAAGGCAGGUCCUAGGCUGCCUUGGGCUUUCGGCAUUUUCGGAAGGUCGAUGCACUGUUCAUCUUCCUCUUCGUCGAAUUCUCGGAUGUCCAGCAGGCGAGGUGGCGAUUUGGCCGGCGAGGUGGUGAUGGGUCGGCGACGGGUUGGAGAGAGGCCGGCAACCGUCGCCGCACCCCGGCGACCGUCACCGACCAGUCGUGCGACCCAGAUCUGGGUCGCGUCGGUUGCCUAGGUCAUGGCGAGGUCAGUUGCCGCGACCUCCGGCGACCCACGACCUCGCCGCGACCCAGAUCUGGGUCGCGGAGGUCGCGGCGACCCAGGUGACCCAAGACCUCGCCGCGACCCAGAUCCUCCGCGACCUCGUGGUGACCUUCGCGGCGCAGUGGGUUGCACGAUGGCGCGGCGAGGGUCGUCGCGACCCUCGCCGGAUCGCCUACCCUUCGCCGGCGGUAACCGGCGAAGCCUUGGCCGACGGUCACCGGCGAAGCUUGGCUGGCCAACUUUCCUUUUUUUUUAAUAAUAAAAGUAUUUUGCAAAUUUAAUUUACCCAAACACUAUUUUGCACAAGUAUACUUCACAAUGGACUUUCACAAAUAAAAUUACCAAACACGCUUUGCAUUUUCAAAAACACCCUUGACUCAAAGGCCUUUACAUUUUCUCAAGGACUUUUCCCAAAAGUCUUCCCAAAUACACCCUAUGUCGAGCACGAGAUGUUUGACCGAGUGCAAGAUUGAAUUGCAAUUUUCUUUUCGUCUACCAAAUAUAUCCCAAGAGGACUCCUCCUCACAAGCCAUUUAAGGCAAAUGAGGAGAGAGUAGUAUGGGAUAGGAUCCCUAUUAGGUUACCCGGCCAAACAUCCCUAGAAAGGGGGAAAGGCGCCCACACCUCAUCCCCGUGAAGCCUUCCCUAGGUAACCAAUCCCGGGCGCGGUUCAAGGAUAAGACGGUGCUUCUCCAUGGAAACAUGGAGGAGGUGGCCGGCCGGCUUGCUUGGCAAAUUCCGAUGGACAUGCCAGGGCCAUUCUGGUAUAUUCAUUCAGCGAUAAAAAAGACGGAUCCCCGGAUUUUUUAUUUAUUUAUUUUAUUUUUGGUGGGAGAGAGGGAGGAUAGGAAGGAGGGAGGGAAGAGUCCCUCAUCCCGCUGCAAGUCUUGCUUUGGUCAUGGGGUUGGGUUUGGUUUGUUUCGUUUUCAUUUUCGUACGUCGUUUUUAGGAAAGCAACUUAUCUUGACAAGUUGCGUCCGCAUAUUUAUAUAUAUCCCUUGACACAUUAGUAUACCUCAAAAGUCUUGCACAGAGUUCCCAUUCACUACUCGCAGGGCCUCAUCUUGAAGCUUGAUAUCGAGGCCUUAUGUCAUUUUAUCAGAUGCGGCUCGGGUUUUUAUUUUACUCCUACUUUAUUUAUUUAAUUGCUUUGGUUAUUGAUUUUUUUUAUUUGCCUAAGGUUUCCCCUCGUCAGAGCACCUAAUCAAUGAAAAGCUCGUUCACUUUGCGUUUGCAUAAUAGAUUGACUAGCCACUACUAAACUUCGUUUGUAUUAUACUUGAGAACUCUAUUUCUAGACACGAAUUUUUAUUUAGAGUAGAUAUGAUACGGAUAUAUCAAUUUGAGAAUUUUUAUGACAUUUACUUUUAUUUUUUGACACAACACAUAGAAAGCGAGAUUGCAAUUUUAUUUUAUUAGUACUUUUAAAAAGGUGAUUUAAAAAAAUUUAUGAGUAGAUUUCCGUUCGAACAGUAAAUUUACUGAUUUAUUAGCUAAUUCAUUUCCUAGAUAUAUUUUGAGUGACUUUUGUUUUUUUGUUUUUUUGUGGUACUCGCACUUUGGCUUUCUUUAGUAUUAAGCAAUCAAAACUUUCUUAUAAAAAUGUUGACAUGUACAUUCACCUCAAAAUUUUUCAUAAUUCUCUAAAAUUUAAAUUACAAUAUUACUAAAUUUGAUGGAAAGCAAAAAAAUUGUUCUUACUUUUUACAAGCCCAAACGAAUAGACCCUGAUCUCUAGGUUGUUUUAUGGAUUUGACUCUUUGAAUUCAGAUGUGAAAAUUAAGUUUUUUUUUUCCCCUUUUUUUGCCCUUUUGAGCUUAGUGAUUGGUUCCAGGCCUUUUAUUAAGCAUUCCAAGUUUUGCAACUAUACUUACAACACCAAAAAAAAAAAAAAAUUCUUCGUAAAAACAGCUAGAAAUUGACUAGAAUUCCCAAUUCCAGUACAAGUUAGUCCUUCAAUUUUCUAAAAAAGGAGCAUGAAAAUGCCCAUUAUCAACCUUGAAAUGCGCAAGACAGAAACAAAUCCACCAAAUUGCACACUAGAUGAGUCCACUUGCAAGCAACAAGCAAAGAAAAAAGAAGGAAUCUCCGAGCGAAUCAAGUACUCACAAAGGAAAGAGAAAAAUCUCCACUAGUUCCUUCCUAUUCUAGUUUCAACCACCAGUUCUCAGGCAGAACCAUAAGUUUAGCACGAUACAAUGGGAACCGAACUAAUUAUUAUGGUUGAAACGGCACUGACUUUCGCCCCUAAUUUUAAUUGUACUUAUUUGAUAGUGGAGCAGGUAACUUGUGUUUUUUCUUUCAAAAGUCAAAAGAUUCCACCAGGAAUUAUGCUUAGCCGCCCAUCUCUCUUUCUCUCUGGCUUGAAUGUUGGAUUAACAAGCUUUCCUUUUUUUAUGUUGUAUUAGUAUUAAAAUUUUAUAUUUCUAGAUAUCUCAACAUUUAAAUUAAUGGAUACUUUUGCUUUUUAAAUGAUCGCAAUAUUCUCCAUUUAGGAAAAGUUAAAGUAAGCUCUUGUAGAAGAACUCAAUAUCAAAUCUAAGANNNNNNNNNNNNNNNNNNNNNNNNNNNNNNNNNNNNNNNNNNNNNNNNNNNNNNNNNNNNNNNNNNNNNNNNNNNNNNNNNNNNNNNNNNNNNNNNNNNNNNNNNNNNNNNNNNNNNNNNNNNNNNNNNNNNNNNNNNNNNNNNNNAACCGGCGAAAGCAGCGGGGGAAAAAGGGAAAAUGGAAAGAAAAAAAUAAAGAGGAAAGAUAAGAUAAAAAAGAGAAAAGUUCAAAAAAUUUACAAAUUAUAAAAAAUGUCCACCUCAGCAUGGUCAUAUUGCAUAAGGUUGCCAAUAAUGUUUAGAAGUCUUUAAAAGAUUUAGGAUUAAAUUAGUAAUUCAUCAAAAUUUUUAAGAUUAAAUUGACACGAUUAAAAUUGGUAAGUCGUGAAAAAAUUUAUAAUUAAAUUAAUAUAAUUAAAAUAUUUAAAAUUGAAUUUGUUGCUGAGUUAUAAAUUUACACUUUUUUGGAUAAUUUUUUCUUAUCGCUGGCCAUAUUUGAUACCUAAAUUUAUCAUAACUGUCAGUCUGUCACUUACAUUAAAAAAAAAAAAAAAAUUAAACGAGUAUAAAUGACAAAAACAAAGAAAAGGGAAUUGGCAGGCCAAAACAGCCUCGCAUGGGGCGCAUAAAAGCAGAGCAACAGAGAGGAAAUGGCAGAACGCUCGGUGUGUAAAAAGAUGCCGAGUGACACUCGUGCUUGGUGGGGGCAUGGUUAUUUGGUUUCCCGUUUUCAUGUUUAAUUAAGUUAACUUAGUACUUGGUUUUCUAUUCAAUGCAUUUUUUUUUAUAUAAAUGUCUGGAGAAAAUUAAAUAAUUAAAAAAAUAAAAAGAAAGAACGAGGGAGACCAAAACAGCCUGCCAUGCAACCCAUGAAAGCACAAGAAUAGAGAAAAUGGUUAAUACCAUGAAAAAAACUCAAAAUGAUACACUUAUAAUAAAUUUACCUCAAAAUUUCAAAGUCAGCUUAAUUGAUCCACCAAAACGAAUCCAAACCAUGUAUCUCAAUGGUAAGUUGAAGUGAUUUCCUAUACAUUGGUUUGUAAUUAAUUGUUAUCAACCAAAUAAAAUAGUUAAACAAAUUUUAAUCUUCCUUUUGACAUUAACUUUUGAACUAUUAUUACCAUAAUACAUUUCUUAAGAUCCAUUUGUUAUGUGAAAAAAUUUCUAUCAGAAAGUAUUCUCCAUAAUUUUUGGUGUUUCGAUCGCUUUGGUAUAUGACUCAAUAAAAAAUAUUCUCAAGGUCAAUGGAAAACUCAUACUCAAAUUUAAUAUAAUGAAUUCUUUAAAACAUUAGAAAAUAUUUCUUGAUAUAUGACAAGACUCCUGCACUUGGAUUAUCCUGAUUACUCCUUUGAGGUACUUUUGAAUAUACUGUGAAAAGUGAAAUGCAAUUUUCUUUCAUCUACCAAUACUCGGUCUAGGAGAGGGUAGAUAUUUUUGCAUGGCAUUUCUUAUUCUUUUAAUGAUAAUAAUAAUAAUAAUAAUAAUAAUGAUAAUAAUAAUAAUAAUAAUAAUAAUAAUAAUAAUAAUAAUAAUAAUAAUAAUAAUAAUAAUGAUAAUCAUAAUAAUAAUAAUGAUAAUAAUGAUAAUAAUGAUCAUAAUAAUAAUAAUGAUAAUGAUAAUGAUAAUAAUGAUGAUAAUGAUGAUAAUAAUGAUAAUGAUAAUGAUAAUAAUAAUGAUAAUGAUGAUAAUGAUGAUGAUAAUGAUGAUAAUGAUGAUGAUGAUGAUGAUGAUAAUGAUGAUAAUACUAGUAGUAGUAGUAGUAACAUCAUCAUCAUCAUCAUCAUCAAAGGUAGUGAUAUUUGCGCUCCCGCGUGAUAGUUGAAUGAGGGGAAGGCCCAAAUAUUUGGUUGGCUAUUUUCACGUUUAAGGCUCCGUUUAUUUUGGAGAACUAGAUAAUUUAAAAAUUAAUUUUAAUUAUUAUUUAUAUUGUCUAUAUAAAUGAAUAUACAAAAAAUAUUUUCAUCAUUCACGAAAAUAUUUAAUGAUAAAUUGUUAGCGAUGAUGAUAACAUUUUGGGUUAAUAUCCUUAAAAACCCUAAACUGGUAUACCUGUAACAAAUUUACUCAAAACUAUUUUUUAACCAUAAAAACUUUAAACCAGUACACCUGUGAUAAAUUUACUCCGACUGACCAAAAAGCCCUAAACUGGUACAUUUAUGACAAAUUUACCCUAAAAUAAUUUAUUUGACCGCAAAAAACCCCAAACUAAUAAAUUUAUGACAAAUAUACUCUCCGCUAAAUUGGAUUAAUACAAAAAAAAAUCACAAAAUUUGUAAACUAUGACAAAUGGAGCGUAAAAUCCCAAAUUGGUAUAUCAAUCAACUGUCACGUGUCAUUUAACUUAAUAUUUUAACGAUAAAUUUAACAAAAACUAACGGAGGGUAAAUUUGUCACAAGUGUACAAGUUUGGAGUAAAUUUGUUAAAGAUAUACCAGUUUAGGGUUUUUUGUGGUAAAAAAAAAAAUAGUUUGGGGUAAAUUUGUCACAGGUGUACCAGUUUGAGAUUUUUCAGGAUAUUAACCCUAACAUUUUUUAUUGGCUAAUUGUUUCAAACAAUACAAGCAAUCGUUUUUCUAAAAAUGCUCAUUAAUUUUUCAUGAUAAAAAUGAAGCCUAAGUUAACUUAGUACAUGGUUUUCUAGUUAAUGCAUUCUUUUAUAUCAUUUCUCAAUAUUUUUUUUUUGGGUAAGGAUAUCAUUUCUCGAGAUUUGAUGUCUUCACAAAUGUAGAUGUAUAUUUUAGGACAUUAAGAUCACUUUUUUUUUUUUGUAAUUUUUAUUGCCAUCUUGCAUGAAUGAAAUGUAAUAAAAAGUACCCAAAAAAAAAAAUUACAUCUUGCAUGUUAUUAAUUUGGAUUGUUUCUUCUUAAAAAAAUAUCACCAAAAAUAUGUUUAGGGGUCCCUUUGGGGAAAUUUAGAUUUUUCUGCAUUAUAUUUAUAUUAUUCUUCGAGUAUUGUGUUCCAUUUAAAUUAAAUUAUCAUUUUAGGGAGCUUAGCAAGUUACAUCCACAUAUUUAUAUAUCCUUUGAUAAAUUAGUUUAUUUUAGAAAACUUGCAUGGACUUUCCAUCUACCACUCUCAGGGUCAUGUCGCGAUGCUUAUUAACGAGGCCUUAUUUUAUUUUAUCGGAUGCGGCUCGGAUUUUAUUUUACUCGCACUUUAGUUUUUUUCGCCUGAGGGUUUCUCUGUCGGAGCAUAAAAAGUAGACUGAGUAGCCACCGCUGAAUUUCGUAUGUAUUACGCUUGACUUAAGACUAAUAUUCCAAGAACAUUCCCUCGUCGAAUGGUCCUUGGAUAGCACUAACCAAAACCGAAUUUUCUCUAGUCGAGUCUACGUCAACUCUAAAACAACUGUUUUUUUUUGGUCGAACCUUAUGGUAGACUUGACUUUUGACAAACUCACAAUAUGCAAGUCCUUCUAAAUGGAUAUCAAAUAUUCAGAAAACUACGGUAUUAGUCCUUGGUAUUCCCAAUAUUUCAUUUUCGAUCCCCGGCUUGGUUUUUUUUUUUUUAAUUUUUGGUGGGGGGGAGAGGGAGGAUAGGAAGGAGGGAGGGAAGAGUCCCUCAUCCCGCUGCAGGUCUUGCUUUGGUCAUGGGGUUGGGUUUGGUUUGUUUCGUUUUCGUUCUCGUACGUCGCUUUUGUUUUCGUUUUUUUUUUUUCGUUUUUUGCCCUUUUCUGGAGGACAGACGAAUCAAUUUAUUUAUUUUCAAAUUAAUCUUCUUUUCGGACAACUUUUUUUUUUUCCCUAGUGGCCGCCCCCCCACACGCAAAGCUUUGACGGUUAAGCACGUCACUCAAAGCAAGGACAAGCGUCGGUCGAGUUCAUCAUGGGAAGACUAUCUUUUUUUCUCUCUUUUUUCUCUUUGGGAGGGUCCGGUCUUGUGUCGCGGGGUUCGUGAUUGGCGGCGGUGCGAUUUUCUCAAUCAGUGCAGGGGCGUGUUUAGACCAAGGGCCUGAGAGAGGGUGAGUAUCUUUGGAUAGCAUUUCUUAUUUUUACCGAUUUUCAAUUAUUAUAGGCACAUGAUAAACUUAUUAAAGAGUUAAUUCCCAAAAAAAGAAAAAAAAAACACAAACAAUUCUAGCCUGAACAUUUUUUUCUUCAAUAAAAAUCAUAAAUUUUAUUCGAGUAUCAAAUCUAGCGUCUGUUAAUUGAAGUUUGAGAUUUUAUAUAUUGUGACAAGUACUUUGGUAGGGCACAACUUUAGAUUCUCCUUCAUUAUACUUCUUAACAAAAUCAAUUUAUAUAUUAAAUGAGAUUGAUUGAUCAAUGUCCAUUUGAAGUAAAUUUUGAAGUUUCAAGGGGAGGGCUUGGGCUUGUUCUAGAAAAUAAGGUUUUGAUCAUGAGUUUGGCGGAUCUUAUCCAUGGUGUCUAUUGAUGGGUGGUGAUCCAUGUCCACAACUUCAUAUUACGGCGAAAUAGUGGAGGUUGGCCACAGAGAUUUAAUUCAGAGAUCUUUUUGACUUGCUGGUGAAGUGAAGAAGACUAUAAAUAGCUUCACCAUUAUUUUUCAAGCUGUAGCUUAGAAAAGAAGAUGAUGGAUAGUGAUUUAAAUUCAGCUAGCAAGCGAUGUGAAUUUAUUGUUGAUGUGGAAUAGUCAUGUUGGACAAUUAAGAUUUCAAGUCAACAGAACUAGAUUUAAGAUUUAAGUGAAAGUUGAUUUUUUUAUAAAACAAAGAAAAAAAAUUUAGAGCAGAAUUGACUUAAUUUUUUUUAGCAGAGUUGUCGUUUAAGGUAAAAUUUAUUUCGAUUACAAAAAGAAGAAGAUUCCACCAGGAAUUACGCGUCUCUCUCUCUCUCCCUCUCUCCCUCUGUGCGGCUAGAAUGUUGGAUUAACAAGUUUUCCUGUUUCCUGUUGUUGCUUUUGUAUUAGCAUUAGCAUUAAAAGUUUAAAUUUCUAGAUAUCUCAACAAUUAAAUUAAUGGAUACUUUUUUUGUUUAAAUAAUCACAAUAUUUUCCAUUUAGAAAAACUUAAAGUAAGCUAUUGUAGAAGAACUUAAUGUCAAAUCUAAGAAGCCGCAUUUUUUUUUUUUGGUAACCGAGGACUCCACCACGGACCCCCCGUGCUCGAACGACUCCUGAGAGCCAAGCCCUUAUACCGCGGAGGAGACUAGCUCAGCAACUCACGGUACAUUUGAAAAUAUUUCUUAAGAUCCAUUUAUUUUGCGAAAAUAUUUCUAUUGAAAAACAUUCUCCAAAAAUUUUCAGUGUUUAGAUUGCCUAAGAAAAUGAAUUUAAUAGAAAGUAUUCUCAUAUUUAGAGGAAAAUUUAUACUUAAAUUCAAUAUAAUGAAUUCUUUAAAAAAAUUAGAAAAUAUUUUUAGAAAUAUAGCAAGACUCGGGCACUUGGAGUUUUCUAAUUAUUCCUUUGAGAUAUUUUCAAUUGUACUGUAAAAAAUGAAUUGCAAUUUUCUUUGAGAUAGGGGAUCUCUACAUAGCAUUUCUUAUUCCUUAGGCACCUAGAUAUUUCCAAAGUGUCACUUGCAUUGAAAAUAGGAAAAAUUCCAAAUAAGAGCUUGAAAUGCUUUUAUUUUCUUAAAUAAAGACUUAAAGUUGACAUUAUUUCAAAUAAAGGCCCGAAGUACCUUUAUUUUCUUAAAUAAGGGCCUGAAGUGCCCAUAUCAAUUUUAAAAAGGGCUUGAAGGGAAAUUUUGCCUUCUAAAAUUUUUAAUUUUUUUAAUUUUAUUCUUUCUUUAAUCUUUUUUUUUUCUUUUCAUUAAAAAAAAAAGGAAAACAAAGGUGGGAGGGAGCCCCUCUUGCCUGUGGCCAUCGCCCCAUUACUGGUGGGGCAACGACAGCAAUGGGGGGAGUGCCCAUAUCAGUUUUAAAAAGGGCUUGAAGGCAAAUUUUGCCUUUUAAAAUUUUUAAUUUUUUUCCUUUUAUUCUUUCUUUAAUCUUUAGAAAAAAAAUGGUAUUUGUGCCACAGUGUGUAUAAUUUAGGAUUUUUGAUGGUAUCUUUCCAUAAAUAUAUAUACUUUUUACAUAUAAAAUGGACUAGGCCUAGACAAAUUAAGAUCAAGAAAACAACCACAUGCAUAGCCUCCCCUAUUUGCACUUCAAGCUCGGGAGGGUCUACCGAGCUGUUAGGUGUAUAAUUACCUCUCUCGUCAAAAUUUCAUGUCUUAAUUACGAUUUGAAGUUUCACUUUAAAAGUAUAGUCUUGACACCUUUGAGUCUAAUAUCGUUCUCAUAAGCUUGGGACGAUUAUAGAAAGUAAAUGGUAUGAGGGUCGAUUAUAGAGAAAAAAAAGGAUAAUGAAAUAGUGUCUCCCCAAAUACUGUUUUCGUCAAAUAAGGAGGAAGAGAAGGGAAAAAAAAAAGGAAAAAGAAAAAAAAAUUAAUGAAAAAUUCGAAAAAAUAAUGAUGUAUUAAGUAGAAAUGUCCACAUGAGUAAUUUCCGGCCUAAUUUGGCUGGAUUAGCUCAAUUGGUAUUAAUAUGAAAAGAUUUAGAAUUAAAUUAGUCCAAUUAAAAUGUUUAGGACUAAAUUUGUACAAAUGCAAUAAAUUUAUGACUUUUUUGGUAUAUUUUCAUUAUAAUGGCAUAGUUGGUCCCUAUAGUGUUUUUCCGAGAUGUGCCCCGCUCCUUGUAGACUUGACUUUUGACAAACCAACGUUAUGCUAGUUUUCUUGUUACAAUAUUAGUCCUUGGUUUUUCCAGGAUUUCGCUUUUGGUCCCCGACUAUGCUUUGUUUGUUUUUAACGAGGCUGUGACAAAUCGAGAUUGCAAUUUUGUUUUAUUUCCUUAACCAAGAACUUUUACAGAUAGUAUUUUCAGAAUAAGGUUAUUCUAUUUCUUUUAGUUGAUGAGUAGAUUUUCUUAUUUAUUAGCUAAUUUGUUUCCUACGUCUGUUUGGAGUGACUUUUAUCUUCUUCUUUUUUUCUUUGUUUGUUGUUUUUCUUAUUUUUGCGGCGUUCGCACUCUGCCUUUCCUUAAUCUUUUGCGAUUAAAACUUUUGAUAAUAUAAAUGUUGACAUGUACAUGCACCUAUAAUUAUUUUCACAAUUUUCUAACAUUUGAAUAAUAUUUCAAAAUUUGGCAGAAAAGCAAAAAUGUUGUUCUUACUUUAUACAAAGGCCAAACAAAAGCCCUGCUCGCUAGAAGUAUGGUGGGUUCUAACAAAAGUUCUCUAAACAACGUAAAACAAGUUCUUUUUUUUUUUUUAAAUUUAAAUUGUGAAUUCGAUGACGAACUGAACCCUAGAUCCAUAAAGCUGAUCCAGAAUUCCUCUUCUUAUAAGAUUGUCAUCGUUAGACGGUUGCUUAGAUACACUUGAGAAAAAUGAAUUAAUUCUGCAAUAGAACAAUGGAAGAUUGCACCAUUCCAGUGAAGGUAGACAAGAGAACAGUUCAAUCAUGUCAGCUUCUAAUGAAAAUGGCAUUAUAGUCUCCCCAAUAGCACCUAGUUUAUAUUUUAUUAUCUUCUCAUUAAAAUUUCAGAUAGUUUCUCGUGUUGUUUUUAGCAAUUGUGUGCCAUGAAAAAAUUGAUAUCGUCCUAAAGGCAUUAUACACACACACCGCGGGUGAUGAAAUUGGAAACUUGCUACGACCAUGAACUCCUACUAGCAUGAAGAACAUGUCAAACGAUAGCAAUUUUCUACGUUGGUCGCAUCAAUCACGUUGUCCGCAUGACUACAUAUCAUUUUAUUUAGCACUUAAGUAUUAGAUAUAUUCAUGUUCAAUUGGCUUGUUACCUCAUAAGUCUUUAUCACAAACUUUAAAUGUCACAUUAAAUAUCUUGCCUAUUUCUCGACAUGAAAUAGUACAUCUUUUUGUGUAUAUUAAUAAGUGAUGCAUGAGCAUCAUCAAAAAAGUUUGUGCGUGAACGACUUUUUUUACUACAUUUUUUGUGCAAUCAACAACUCGAGGUAGCUUUUGAUCAUGCUGGGUUAAUACCAUUUCGCCAAUAUCCACAUUAUCAACAUAAGCCAACUGCAUAGCAGGGAGAGUGCAUUAAAUUGUGCACAAAUGCAUGAUCAAAAAACUAAUUUUUAUAGUGUCCCCAUCUGAAUUUUUUGCAGCUAAAACGGACAUGAAUUUUUGUUAAAAAAAAUAAUAAAGUUAAAUAAUAAAAAAGGGACAGAGCCCCAGUCCAAUUGGGUCAUUUUUCUAAAGGACCUCGUCCGGCCCACAUCAGCUUAACCAAGCCCAAUUCACUACAGCCCAUUACUUUGACCUAGUUCAUUAAGCCCAUGAGUAGAUCAGGUCCAAGUGGAUUUCUUAUUCUUCGUUCCCUUCAGUGAUCCUGUAUCCGCUAGCAACCGCCGCCGUAGCCGUUCCGCUAUCGCCGGUUCGGCCACGGUGGUUCGGCCAGGGAGUUUGAAGUGCUUGAAGAUUCUUCGUUCAUUGGUCUUCAUCUGUGAUCCUCAGCCUCGUCGUCAUGGAUGAUAUCUCCCUUUGAUCCGAUCGCUAUUUGCGGCGGACAUCAGCAAUUUCAAGAUAAUUAUCGUCUAUGCUCUGUUUCCGUUGCUCUUCACGCGAAGCAGAGGCUGAGAGCUAUAUAGACAACUGCGAUUGAAGUUGUUUUUGAUAAUUUGAACUUUUAUUGAUUUUGAUUUGAUGAACUAAAAGUGAACCAAUGCUUUAUAUCCGCCGCCGAUUCUUUCGGGAUGUGUGACACAUUGGUUGGCUAGGGUUUUUUUUUUUUUUUUUUUGGGAGUUGAAGAAUUAAUGAAAUCAUUUGAAUCUGUAUGCGAAACGUUGGAACAAUUAAUGCGAAUUACGCAUUUUGACCAAACUGUGAUUUUGAUGGAGCCAGUGAAUAGUUCAACUUUUUACUCUGUUGGUAUGACAACUUGAUCUGCUGAGCAUUUGAGAAAGAACAGAAUUUGUUUCUAAUGGAGCCAUCAAGAAAAUGUAGUUUGCAUAUGGCCGCAUGGGAUUCUUUUCAUGUAAAACUCGAAAGGGUUUGAGCCUACUAGUGGGUGCUCCCCUUGACAUUCUCCUCGCUUCAAUUAACAGCAGUGGGCAGCUAUUGUUCUUCGCUUGAGCAAUGUUGGAAGUUUACAUCGAUCAAUCUUUACUCUCUGACAUUCUUUGUUUAUAUAGAUUGUUAAAAUUGGUUGCCUAAGUGCUUCAGACAAUUCUCUUCUCAUGACAGUCUUGCAUUGGAUGGGGAAAUUGAUGUCUAAGAAAUUUAUAGACAUCAACACUAUGUGAAGCCCUUAAAAUUAUCUGUCCAACAAGUAGAGUCCUUGAAAUUAUUUUUCCAAUAAUUGGUAUCAGAAACACUGUUUAGCAUUGCGUUUUAGAUAUUGCUCUGCCUACUGCUAACACAUUUAGUGCACUUGUUGCAUCAUUUAAAAGGGAAGCUGAACAAUUUAAUCGCAUGAUAACUUAUUGCUUGUAUGGUUGCUGACAGACUCUUCUAAGAAAAUUAGGAAGCCAAAACCUUGGAAGCAUCCUGAAGCAAUUACAAGGACACAACUGAUGAAGAUGCGUGAGGAGUUUUGGGACACUGCACCUCAUUAUGGUGGGAGACAAGGUAUUUCUAAAUUGUUAGGAUAAGAUGGUGUUUAACAUAAUGCACGGUCACCACCCUUCACCUUCACCCACCCACCCAGCGCUGUGGGAGGGGAAAACUUUGCUUUGCACAAUGAGUAGAUCAUACCUACGUGAGUCGUAAGUGCUAUUUUUGCUUGAACACGUUUGAGCAAUUUCCUUUUGAAUUCUUAAGUUUCUUGCAUAAAUGUGCUGUGUAGCAUAUUUAUCAGGCUGUUGUUGAGUACAAAACUAUGGAUAAUGGACAUUGCACGAGAAAUAUGUUUUCCAUGGGAAAGCAGGACAUGGCUUAUCUUCUUAUUUUGGGGGAACUCAUCGGAUAUUUGCGGUCUUCUUGUGACUAGAUAUAAUUUUACUUGCCAUACUCAAGGAUUGCAGUUGUCUUUAUUGCUAUAGAGGGAGGGAUGAGAUUUGAGUAACCAUGACCUCUAUACAUGCGUCUAUUCCUUAGAAAGUGGUCACCAUACUCAAGUAUUGGUGAUGUUAUUUUCUUUAACUCAGCAAUGCAAUAAGUUACCUUGGUUGCCGUAUGGGAAGCUUGCUAGCUGCAAAUUCUCUUCUAUUUAUUUUAUGGAAAGAAUGUUGUUGAAUGUAAAGUUUACUAUGUUUUACUGCUCAUUCAUCAAGUAUUAAAAUGACUUGAAAUACGAACAGCAAUUGGAUAAAGCACAUUCAUUUAAAGGUAGCAGAUGCCUUUUUGUACCUUGUGAGUUGUACAAUACUUUUCACUUAAAAGUGGACUGUGUGAAUUAUUUAGAAGUGGGGAUCCCUUUUCGAAAAAAUGUGCUUACCUGUUCGGUGUUCAUAUUGAAACUUGUGGAGGCUAGAACUAUGAUGAAUGAUAAUGUUUAUGGGCCUACUUAUUCAUUCAUUUUUAAACUUUUAGUGAGGUUAUACUUUUACACUUCUAGCUUGAGUAGUCUAUCCUCUAACUUGAAGGCUGACACUGUUUUGCUUUGCCUUUGUUAAGCUACAGUCUUUCUCCUACAUACUAUCAUCUUUGAUUAUCCUAAGGCUGCGUUUGGUUGUCUGGAUUUUUAAUUAGGAGAGGACUGGAUAGGAUAAGAUAUGAAAUCUUGGGAUUUUGUUAGGUGAUUGCAGUAAUAAAAUUGGAUAUCUUCACAUUACAUCAUGUACAUUGUUUAAUAUAAAUAAUAUAUUAAUAUAAAUGAAUAAAAAAAUUUACAAAUAGAAAUGAUAAUAAUCUCUUAUGAUAUUCUUGCUUACUUUACUUUUAUUUGCUUUUUUAUUUUAUUUUUCUCUUUUUUGGAUUAAUUUCUUUUUUAUUUCUUUCUACCCAUUCCACUAUUCUUUAAUAAAAUUCUAUUAAAAAGUAAACUGUAUCAAUAUACCUAAAUUACUAAAAUACUAGAAUAUGUAAAUUUAUAUUAUAAUAUAAUAUAAGCAAAAAUAAGAUUAAAUUAAAAUUUGUUAUUUUGAAUUUUUUAUAUUAUAAUUUAAAUAUUAUUUAUUUUGAAAUAUAAUUUUUUUUUAAUUUAAGAAGUUUGUCAUUCGAGAAAAAUAACUUUUCUAUUAUGAAUAUUAAAAAUCCUAUCAACUUUUAUCCUACCUCCCCAUAAAAUGAUUUUAUCUUGUCUAUAUUCCCUCUAUAUCCGACUUUAUUUUGUCUUAACUUAGUACCAAACAUAGGACAGAAUAAAUUUUAUCCUAUCUUGAAUCUUAUCUCGACUGCCAAAUGCAGCCUAAGUGAUUUGAACAUUUAGUAGGUUUUGCACUACAUCUCUCACUCUUAACCAAUUCAAAGAGGGAUUUCUGGAAUUCAGGUAUGUGGUGGUGUGGGGGUGUGUGGGACCCAAUUUUUUUUUUUUGGGGGGGGGGGGGGGGGCAGCGAGGGGCUGUUUACAUGUCAGGACGAGGCAGUCCAUCGCAUGAAAUAAACUUUCUUUGCUGUUGAAAUGAUUGUGUGGGUUGACAAGUCUUGAGGGUAUGCUUGUUACUUCAAGUUGCUUAGACGCUUUAAGUAUGAUCCUAAACCCAUACGCCAGACGCUUUAAGUAUGAUCCUAUUUAGAAGAUGUGGCACAUAUCAAAUAUCAAAAGGCCACCCAUAAAAUGAAAGGUUUGUUGUAAGUCAAAAAAAUAACUUGCUAGUAAUAUUGUCGACUAACAUUAAUAAGUGAUACCCAGUUAAUAUGAUUUUCUGGAGAUUUAUCUUCAAUUGGUGAAAGUGCCUAAAAACUACCAAGCGUGUUAUCCUUGAAAAUAGGCUCAGGCUACUUCAGCUCUCACUGUAGCCAACACUAAUUUGCUUUGAGUCACAAUGCUUUGCAUUCGUGACAAUGCAGUAGUAGUUUUGUUAUUGACUGACCAGAUGUAUUGCAGCAUGAGUUUGGGCCAGUCUGGUAAUGUGAUGAGAAAUGCACGUUCCACAAGACUUGUGGGAUUUUUAAAGCAUUGCACAUCAAUAUUCCUUGUCUACAAUUAAGAAACCUUUAUAGCAACCACUGUGGAGUAUGACAUGCAUGAUUGACAGAGGGAGUGGGGAGGGAGUGAGGGAGGGAGGUUUCUAGGUAGGCACAUAAUUUGUGCAUAUUUUUUGAGAUAUAUUCAAGCCUCAUCUUCUGUGCAUUUUCAGUGGUGAAACUUUUAGAGAGACUGAAGAUGGUGAAGGAGCUGACCUGAAUUGGCAUGUCAAUAUCUUGAUGACAUAGUUAUGUUAUCUGUUGUAUAUUACCUGACUUCCCCUUAAUCUCUAUAAUUAUUAAAUCUCUCUGUCUCACUACCUCUCAUUUCAUAUCACUGUUGUAGACUGGUUAAGCAAUUUAAUUCUGCUUUCAGAGAUAUGUGAUGCUCUGCAUGCGGCAGCAGAAGCAGAUCUAAUGCUUGCCCAAGCAAUUGUGGAUAGUGCUGGUGUGAUUGUUCAGAGAGCUGACUUGACAAUAUGCUAUGAUGAAAGAGGUGCUAUGUUCAUCUAUUCACCCAGUCCCCCACCCGCUUCUUGUCCACCACCACCUAGAAAUCUUUUCCAUCUCUACUGUCCUGUCCAGCAUCUAAUUCAUGCGAUGUUGAUUGUUGCAGGUGCGAAGUACGAAUUGCCCAAGUACGUUUUGAGUGAGCCAACCAAUUUGAUUGAUGAAAAUUGACAAUGGAGGUGGGGCAGAUUUUGCUCAGCUUCGUGUGUAAAUCCUGUGAAUUGAUAUUGAUAGUUUGGUAAAACAAAUUGCAUCAAAGUGGAGGUCAUUCAGGCAUUUCAAUGAUGCACGCUUAAAUACAAAUUUUACGUAACUUCUACCUCAUGAGAUGUAUAACUACCACAAUUUCAUAUGGUUUGUUUCAUUAGUACCUGAACCUUCUAAAGAAACACGAAAAGUAAUCAAUUCAGGUGAUUGUUACAGUGGAAAAUCAUGACAUCCUUGAGUGCUAGACCAUUGUUUUCUCCAACUUUUUACUGUUUCUCAGGCACAUUGACCUUGC
This 233391-nucleotide long non-coding RNA is filed under the name Eucalyptus grandis. RNAcentral's name for it is "long non-coding RNA (EGRA_LNC003054)". The stretch from base 106389 to 106693 matches the Rfam family "Plant signal recognition particle RNA". Lineage: Eukaryota; Viridiplantae; Streptophyta; Magnoliopsida; Myrtales; Myrtaceae. The record is from RNAcentral.